RNAcentral lists this long non-coding RNA (276357 nucleotides) under Vitis vinifera (wine grape). Its description in RNAcentral is "long non-coding RNA (VVIN_LNC001392)". The stretch from base 20837 to 20908 matches the Rfam family "tRNA". The record is from RNAcentral. Lineage: Eukaryota; Viridiplantae; Streptophyta; Magnoliopsida; Vitales; Vitaceae.
UUUUCAGGAUUUGCCUUUUAUUUCUCCCAUUCUCUCUGAUAUAAAGACAAAACCUAAUACUUGUAGAAAGACACAUGGUUAAAUUUUUGUUGUCAACGCCAACAAAUCCAUGUAAGGUGAUGCUUUUCACUAAGAAGAGACUCUAAGAUUAGAUUCCCAAUGUAUAGAGUGUUUGCGCAGUAAACAAAUCAAUCACUUAUCAUUUAUAUAACAGUAGAAGUGUAUGGAGAGUGGGACUAACCUUGGAAGCAAAGGUCCCCUGAGGCCAGUUGAGCAACCCGGCAACCAUUUGCCCUGUUUGAUUGCAAUCGUCAUCAAUGGCCUAGAAAACCCAUGCCCACAUCAGAAAACAACAAUCCACCAUAAAAAGAGUCUAGGAUUUUCACGGAAUCCGCAAAUUUAUUUUUAAAUCGUUACCAAAAACCCUAAUCUCUGGGCACGAAUUCACAGACCUGUUUGCCCAGAAUAAGGAGGCCAGGCUUCUCCACAUCGACGAGAGCUUUGAGAAGCUUAGCAACUGAAAGUGGGUACAGAGUGGCGGAAGCUUCGACGUGGAUGGCCCUAUCGGCGCCCAUGGCGAGACCCGUUCUGAGCGUGUCGACGCACUGGCUGGGACCCACACUGACAGCGAUAACCUCCGACGCCAGACCCGAUUCCUUGAUCCUCAGAGCCUCUUCCAAACCUAUCUCACAAAAGGGGUUCAUCGACAUCUUGACGUUGCUGGUCUCCACGCCGCUCUGAUCGUGGGUUGGCGAUUGUUAUUGGAUGAUGAUGAAAUUACAGAUACUGAAUAACUUGAGAGUUUGGAUUUGGGUUACCUUGUCGGAUUUGACUCUGAUCUUGACAGCGUAGUCCACAACACGCUUUAUCGCCACCAUUAUCUUCAUCUCGUAUAUGGGUGGUUAUCUUCUCCGGCACAAGGGUAUUGGCAAAUGACUGAUGAUGAAGGACGAGGAUAUUCGCCCGAGCCCUACUGCACGACACCACAUCCGCUUAUAAAAUCUUUUGAUACGGAUAAGUACAAGGGAAGUGGAAAAAAAGGAUUAUUAAGAAAAAUAAAUAUAUUACCAAAAAAAUUAUUUAAAAUUUUGUUCAUGUAGAAAGAACCCGUGAAUCAGAUCGAAAAAAUUAUAUUAAAACUGCUGUAUAGCCGAAAAUUGUGUACAGAAUUUAUUUUAACAUUGUAUUAUUGAAUUUUUUAUUCAAAAAUUGCUUAACGUGAGAUAGAAAUUAAAAAAUCAUUAGUAAUUUUGUCCGAAAGUUGUUAUAUUUCAUGUGUUUUAAAAAUAGAUGUAAUUUAUUCCUAUUUGCAUUUUUAACGUACAUUUAAUUAAAUAACCCAAAAAGUUAUUGAGUUCACAUCAUCUAUGGAGUCUACCUCUCUUUGCUUUUGUUGCUUCCAAAAAUACCAUACUCCCAUAUUUUUUUGGUUCUACUCAUUUUACUUUAUUUUUUUCAUUCCAUUCAUUCCACGUGAAGUCUUCAAUCCUAAUAACAUUUACUAUAUUACAAUUAAGUUUAAUUUUUAAAAAACUUAAUUAGGGUUAAAUUUCCUUUGAGAGAACUUCAUUACAAUUAUUUGAGUUGUACGUUAAGUUUCAUUUAAAAAUAACUUAUUUAAAAAGAUGUUAAGCUUCCCCUAUUUUAUUUAUAAAGUUUAAUAUCUAUUUGAUUUUAUAUUUGAAAUCCAACUAAAACCUAAUAACGAAUUGUUGUAAAAAAACUCCAAUCAAAAUACUAACAAAAAUUAAAACAUAAAACUCUGAUAAAAAAUUGUUAAAAAAUCCAACAAAAAAACAAUCAUAAAAAACCCUAAUCAAAAACAUCAUGGAAGUUUAAAUGAAAUUGCCAAAAAAUAAAAAGUAUAGAAAACCCUAACAAAAAAACAACACCAAAACACCUGACAAAAAACAAUUACAAAUUCUAGCACAAAAACCCCCAAUUAAAAAUAUCUAUAAAGAAAAACCUAAAAAAAACCAAUUAUAAAACCUCCAACAAAAAAUAAAGAGAAAGAUGAAGAAUAUGAAAAAUUUUGAAGAAGAAAGAAACAUGAGAGAACUAUCAUUGAUCUUUAUUUGUUAAUCUUUGUUAUAUGUUUGAACUUCACUAGAAAAUGAGAGAGAGAGCAUAAACCUAAAGAGAGAAAGAGCUGAAAAUGAGAGGAGAAAUGAAUCACAAUGAGGGGAAUGACAAUUUGAGGAAAUAUAGAAGGGUUAAAUCAUUUGAACUAGGUUAACGUUUUUAUUAAAAAAAAAGAGUAAUGAAGGUCCUUGUUCUAAUUUCAAGAGUAUGUCUGUUAAUUACCAAAUGUGGCAACUCUAAAUAAAAUCCUUUGUUAUCAACUAAAACUAAAAGUCCCAUUACAUCAUAUCCAACUUUCAUUUGUUAUCAACAAAGUAAAACUAUAUACAACUAUUAUCACCAUCUCUCCUAUUUUGAUGUUAUUUUCUUAGAUGAAUUUGUAAAUCAAAAUUUACACCACCCAUAAAUUUUUUGAGCUUCCUAUUUAACACAACUUCAAUUUGUUAUACUUUGAACAUCACAAAGAUAAAGUAAUCAACAUUUUGCUUGGACAAGUUUUUCUUCUCUAAAGUUUAGAGUCCUAUUUCACUUCCCGUUUAUGGGUUGUUAGUUCAUCUAAUAUCUCACCAUCAUCCAUUCCAUGUACUGUGUUUCCGAAAUGAGUUGAUUCCACAUCCUAAAUGUCUGUGCAAAUUAAUAAGGAAUGUCGAGUUACCAAUUUUCUUAAAAGCUUAAUCUUGCAAGAUUUGGAUUCAAAAUGCAUAUCAUGCUCUCUUUAACACCCCUCCCCCCUCUCACAUGUAGCCCUAUACCCACACGUAGAGAAAUAGACUUAUAGGAAAAUUGGUAGUUUAAUAUAGUAUCAGCACUUGGUUUGGUGGGAGGUCUCCUGUUUGAGUCACCUCUCCACAAUUUACAUUUCUCCUAUUUGUUUAAUUUACAGUUCUUCCCUUAAUCUGUAAUUCUUUGGAUAUAAAUUUUCCCCCUAAUUUGUAGUUUUGUGGAUAUGAAUCUCUCUUCCAUGUUCAGGUAUGGGGCCACACAUAAGAGAGGGUGUUAAAGAGCAUGAUAUGCAUAUUAAACCCAAAUCCUAUAAGUUAAAACUUUUAGGAAAAUUGGUAGUUUAACGCUUUUAGGAAAAUUGGUAGUUCAACAUGUGUACACCCCAUUUUGGGGACUGCUAUUGCUCCCACUUCUUUUUGUCAAAUGGUGGAGCUUUUUAGGAGCACAUGUUGUAUUUGGAAAGGCUAUUAGAAAAUGGCAACAUGACUGUUAAUGGAAGUAAUGAUUUUCUAAAAAGGCAACCAUGGGAAGACACAUAACAAAGAUGUUUGGGGAGGAGGGAGAGUGUGCAUCAAGACUACUCAUGAGGGGUAAGAAACAAAAAAAAAAAAGUGUCGAAGAUAACUAAAAAAUUGGAGAAACAUAAAGGAAUAAGGAUUUUAGGGCUAUGGAUGGUGAACAAGAGUGAAUUAUGGGUGUCUAGGACAGCUAGGAAUGGUGAGAGGAGUAGGGAGCUGUAGAAGGUGAUGAGCUAGGUAAGAUGUAUUUUCGAGAAAGAAAAGAACCAAAGAAAGAAGGUGGUGAAUUAAGUGAGACACGUCUCAGAGAAGCAGAGAAAGUUGGCUUGAAGCCAAGCAAACUUUUGCUUGAGAUGAGCAUUGCCUAGUAAGAUUGUUUCGAUUCAUCGAUUAUUACUGAUCAUCAUACUUCUCUUGUCUUAUAUUCAUGUGAUUAUUUUACAUUGAUUGUGGGGUUGCUUUGGUUUGGUUAUUAUGGCUUCAUCCUCUAUUUCUUUAGUUUUAUUCAAGGAUAAAUCUAAUUGUGCUUUGAUUAGUUAUUCCAUAUUUGAAAAUCUUUGUGUAUUUUGGGUUUUUUCUCUUUAGAUAUUUUCUAGAUUAAUCCACUGACCUUUAAACCCACAAAUAAAGAAAAAUGAAAUGAGUUUUUUCAUAUUUGUUGGGUGUUUGGCCCUUGUUUAUCUUUUUUUAAAGCUUUAUUCCUUUAUAUUCUCUAUUUCUCCCCAUUUUGUACAUGGGUGUUUCAAUCAGAGUCUCUAUUUUGGCUUCCACAUUUGAGAUUUCUUUUAUGAGCGAAGACCCAAAAAUGGAGACUGGCUUCUUGUAAUUGAUAAAAUAGUUAGUCACCCAUUAGCUUAGAUGAAGCAUAGAUGUUAACCGGAUUGUGAACAUGGAUACUCUAUUUUGGGCCUAUUAGGCCUUCCAAUCCUCUCUUAGUUUCAUUAUUCUUGAGGAUAGUGUUUGGUUGUGUCUGCUACUUAUUCUGUGGCUUCGGUGGUCUGUUUGUUUAUUCUUGGCUAUUAUCAAUGCUAACAAUGGGAAAGAGACUGGUUUUGGUUAUGCUCUUACGGAUUUGAAGGUGAUCAAAGGGUCCAGUGAAGAGAAGAUUAGUAGGUCAUAUUAGGUUAAUUAAUUAAUUAGGACAUGUUUUGAGUUAUAUUAAGUAAUACAAGCUCUUAGUGGGCUUAAGUAACUUAAGCCUAGUGGGGAAUGCCAUAAAUACCCCUUAGGGGUUAGCAUUUCCAUAGGUUUUUCUAGAGAGUCAUCUUUCACCUCCAAAGAAGGAGAGUCAUAGCCUUUACCAUUUUUUCCAUCAUUAUCGAAGUGUGUCAAGAUUAAGGUUUAAGUCAUUGAGCGGAAGACUCCAGGUUUAUGAGACUUCAUACAACUUCGUUUUUCAUUUUCAUCAAAUGGAAUUAAUUUGAAAACAUUUGAAUCUGAAGUAUGGUUUUUGUUAGCAUAUUUCGAAUCCCUUUAAAGUUUAAAAAUGCAAAUUUUCCACUAUGUAUAGGAUUUAAAAUCGCUUAAGAUAGUUAAACAUGUUCCCCACUUGAUCUGAAUUGGGAAACGGAGAAAUCUGAUAUUUUCCCAUCACAAGGUAGGAUAAGAACUUGUGAUUGAUCUUUAUGGAUUGGACUAAUUAAUUAAUUGGAACCUAAUUAGGCUAAUUAAUUAAUUAAGACCUAAGCAAACUAGUUUAAGUUACACAAGCCUAGGAUGGACUUAAGUGACUUAAGCCCAUGGGAAGCUUAUAUAAACUCCUUUAGGGGUUAGGGUUUCAAACUUUUAUCAUCUAGUCUUCAAUUCCUUAAAGAGAAUAGAACUCGAGCCAACAACUCUCCUAAAGGAUUCUAUUGCUCCGUGUCAAGAUUCGAAAAAAAACUAUUUGAUGGAAGGUUGUUAUGUUUAUGAGAUUCGUUAUGUUUUUUUACACCUUUUCACUAAAUGGAAUUGAUAUAGGAAUGUUCAUAUCUCAAGUGCAACACACUUAUUCUCUUUAGAUUUAUAUUGCUUAUGGUUUUUUUUUUUUUUGUCAUGGUUUUCCGUUAAGAUUAGAUUAAGAGAGCCCUAUGUCAUAGAAUGCUUCAAAUGAGCCUCCCCGGGGGUUUGUAUAGAGCCCAUGAAGCUUCUAGAGACUCCUAUACUUAGCCAUUGGUGGGAAGAGUGUGAAAGGUUCUACAGAUGUCUAGAGAUAUUUACACAUCUCUACACUAUGGUGGAAGGCAUGAGAGGAGUCUAAGGCAUUCUAAAGAAUUAUAAAGAUCUCUUAUAUAUUCUUGUACAUAGGCUUGUACAUAGAAUUGUGUAGGAAGUUAUAGAUUAUUCUUGAGCUGUAAGGAACCCUCCAAGGUUCCAGAGAGUUCCAUUGGUGCCUAUAAAUAGGUGAAUGCCUCAUUUGGCCAAGACACUAAGCAAGUGAAUUCCAAAACACUUGUAAAGCUUCCUUUGAAUAAUAAAAGUUUCAAUUCUUCAAGAGUUGCCUAUUAUGCCUUCUAAAACUUCUAAGUCAUGAGCAUCUUAACCUAACAAGUUAAGCAUUGGGAGUAAUGCUAACUUAGCAAGAUCAAGGAUCUUGACUUGUCUAAGUGUUGCACGAUCUUAGGAAAAGAUUAAGUUUGUGACAGUUGGUUUCAAAGUGUGACUACGAAGUGAGCAUAGUAAAGGAAACAUGUCGAGCUUCAACAUGGAGGAAACUAGUGAGCAAACCCGUGGGAAAGAAACCGAGCCUACUGCAUAGGACAGGGACAUGAAGGAUAAAUCUCGUAAUGCCAUAGCCAACGUGGAGGCAAGGCUAGCCAAGGUGGAGCUAGCCAUGGCAGACACCCGGGAAGGGGUGGACUUAAUCGAGCAAGGCAUGGAAAAUGGCUUAGAGGAUCUAAAUGAGCAUAUCCAAGACCUUCAUGAGAGAGUGCUAGGCUUACAAGUUCGGCCGAUGUCAUAUGAGGAGUUCAUGUCCUUCCAAAACGAGGUCAUGAGCAUGUUUGCUAGCAUGGAGUCGAAGGUGGAGGCCUUGGCUGCACGCAUAGAGGCCCAAGACCAAGAGGUUCAACAAGAGCUAGCUAUCUACAAGACUGUCUUAUCAGCACGAGUCAUGGCCACUCAUGAGGCACUAAGGGUGGAAGUGCCCAAACCACACACGUUCAAUGGCAAGAGGGAUGCCAAGGAGUUGGACAAUUUCUUGUGGCACAUGGAGCUCUACUUUGAGGUUAUAACACUAAUAGAUGAAGCCACUAAGGUAUGUACCACAACCCUCUACCUCACCAAUAAAGCUACUCUAUGGUGGCGUCAGAGGUUUGCCAAUAUAGAAAAAGAAAUGUGCACCAUAGACACAUGGGAUGCCUUUAAGCAAAAGAUCAAAAAACAAUUAUACCUUAAUGAUGUGGCUUACCUAGCAAGGAAAAACACAAAAUGUCUUAAGCACACAGACUCGAUCCGUGAGUAUGUCAAAGAAUUCUCUACACUUAUGCUUGAGAUACCCAACAUGUCUGAGGAAAAGCUACUAUUCAACUUCAUGGACAACUUGCAAAGCUGGGCCGAGCAAGAGUUAAGGAGAAGUGGUGUCCAAGACCUAGCCACGGCCAUGGCGGUAGCGAAGUCCUUGGUGGAAUACAAAAAGGGAGACUCUUUUAAGCCCAAGCCACAGUCUAAGGGUAAUCAUGCUAAAGGUGGGGAAACAAGGGAUCAAGGAGGUACACUCCUAAGGAAUGAUCAAGCAAGACCUCUGGUGGCAAGGAUGGUAAGGGUAAGGAUAAACGGAAAUAGUUCACGCCUAAGAUCAAUUGCUUCCUAUGUGAUGGUCCACAUUGGGCGCGAGACUACCUCAAAAGAAAAGCCCUAAAUGCCAUGAUCGAGGAAAAGUAGAAGGAAGACAAUGCUCAUGUGGGAUCAUUACAACUCUUAAAUGAUAUCAAGGCUAAGUCAGUGCUUAAGACACCUCAAAGUAAAAGUCUAAUGUACAUAGAAGCCCUUGUAAAUAGGAAGGCUACCAAGGCUUUGGUGGACACUAGUGUCACUCAUAACUUUGUCUCGAAGGAUAAGACAAAGAACUUAGAGCUCCAAGCAUCUAAGGAAGGAGGUUGGCUCAAGGCAAUUAAUUAAGUUUCCAAGCCAUCACACGAAGUAGCACGCAGGGUGGCAAUGCACAUUGGCUCAUGGGAAGGAAUGGUCGACUUCACAGUGGCACCCAUGGACUACUUCAAGAUGGUACUGGGAAUGAACUUCCUAUAGAAAGACAAGGUCAUGCCACUACACUUCCUACAUUUAAUGGUUAUCCUAGAGGAUGAAAAGUCAUGCAUAGUCCUUACGGUCACCGAAGGUUCACCCAAGACCCCUAUGAUAUCGGUUAUGCAAGUAAAGAAGGGAUCAAAGAGGAAAGAGGUGACCUACCUCACCACUCUUAAGGAGGAAAAUGAUGAUGAGUUGGGGGAGCCCAUGCCUAAGGAAAUCAAGAGAGUCUUUGAUGAGUUCAAGGACGUGAUGUUGCCUAAGUUGCCUAAAAGACUCCUUCCUAGAAGAGAGAAAGAUCAUAAGAUCGAGUUAGAUGCAGGAACUAAGCCCCUUGCUAUGGGGCCAUAUAGGAUGGCACAACCCAAGCUGAAAGAGCUAAGGAAACAACUUAAGGAGUUGUUGGAUGCAGGGUUUAUCCAACCAUCCAAGACUCCCUAUGGCGCACCGAUUUUAUUUCAAAAGAACCAUGAUGGGUCCCUACAGAUGUGCAUCGAUUACCAAGCACUCAAUAAGGUAACAAUAUAGAAUAAGUACCCCAUUCCACUCAUUGUUGAUCUAUUUGAUCAACUUGGUAAAGCAAGGUAUUUCACUAAGUUGGACUUGAGAUCAGGCUACUACCAAGUGAGGAUUGUGGAAGGAGACAAACUGAAGACUACAUGUGUGACCCGAUAUGGCUCAUAUGAGUUCUUAGUGAUGCUCUUCGAUCUCACCAAUGUACCAACAAUGUUUUGGACACUCAUGAAUAAGAUCUUCCAUCCCUAUUUAGACUAGUUUGUGGUGGUAUACUAAGAUGACAUAGUCAUCUACAAUAGCAUCUUAGAGGAGCACGUGGAGCAUUUAAGGAAGGUCUUCAAGAUCUUAAGGUAAAACGAGUUAUAUGUAAAGAAGAAGAAAUGCUCAUUUGUUAAAGAGGAUGUGAGCUUCCUAGGGCAUCGCAUCAAAGAUGGCAAGCUGAUGAUGGAUGACAACAAGAUGAAGGUCAUCUAGGAAUGGGAUCCACCUACUAAGGUACCUCAACUAAAGUCUUUCCUUGGCUUGGCUAACUAUUACCAGUGGUUCAUCAAGGGUUACUCUACAAAGACAGCUUCACUCACUAAUCUUCUUAAGAAGAACAAGGCAUGGGUGUGAGACAAAAGGUGGCAACAAGCCUUUGAAGAUCUAAAAAGUGUUGUGAUUGAGGAGCCAAUGUUGGCAUUACCCAACCACAUGAAGGUUUUUAAGAUACACACAGAUGCCUCAAACUUUGCUAUUAGGGAAGUUCUGAUAAGAUAGACAUCUAAUCGCCUUCAAGAGUUGCAAGCUAAAUGACAUAGAGAGACGCUACAUGGUACAAGAAAAUGAUAUGACUGUCAUUGUCUAUUACUUGCACACCUGAAGACACUAUCUUCUAGGGUCUCACUUCAUAGUGAAAACCGACAAUGUUGUCAUUAGUUACUUCUAAACACAGAAAAGUCCUAAGUAAGCUAGGUGGCAAGACUUUCUGGUUGAGUUUGACGAUGCGCUGGAGUAUAAGACAAAAAGUACUAAUCAUGUGAAUGACGCCCUAAGCCGUAAUGUAGAGCUAGCAUUCAUGACGAGCCAGCCCCAAUGAGACAUAAUAGAUCUUCUAAGAGAGGGGUUGCAACAUGAUCUAGUGGCUAAGAGCCUUAUUACCUUGGCCCAUGAGGGAAAAACUAAGUGUUUUUAGGUAGAGGACGACCUACUCUACACUAAGGGGAGACUACUCUACGUGCUUAAGUGGGGGAACAUAAGGUAGAACUUGAUUAAGGAGUGCCAUGACACCAAGUGGGUUGGGCACCUUGGGCAACGACGCAUAAAGAGCACUACUCGAGUCAGCUUACUACUGAUCUUAGAUACAAGAUGAAGUUGAGGCAUAUGUGAGGACUUGUCUUGUGUGCUAACAAGACAAGGUAAAACAACAACAACCUAGAGGCUUGUUGGAGCCACUACCUAUAGCAGAGCGUCCAUGGGAGAGCAUCACCAUGGACUUCAUCAUCGGGCUACCUAAGUUGGAGGGCUAUGGCUCGAUCAUAGUGGUAGUGGAUAUGUUCUCUAAGUAUGUGACCUUCAUAGUAGCCUCUACUGACUGUACUGCAAAGGAGACAGCAAGGCUAUUCUUGAAACACAUGGUCAAAUACUGGGGGUCGCCUAAUUACAUCAUCAGUGAUCGCGAUUUGCAUUUCACUAGGAAGUUUUGGACAAAGCUCUUUAAGCUUAUGGGUUUGAAGCUUCACUUCUUCACAAGCUUUUCACCCGUAAACAGAUAGGCAGAUUGAGAGGGUGAACGCCUUAUUAGAGUUAUACUUAUCCUUCAUGAGUGUCAACCAAAAGGAAUGGACUAAGUUGCUAGAUGUAAUCCAAUUUUCAUACAACUUGCAAAGAAGUGAGACAACCAACAAGAGCCCGUUCAAGCUAGCCAUAGGGCAGCAACCAUUGACUCCUCACACACUACCAAUAGGCUAUACGAAGAGAAGUUCAGCGGCUUUGAAGUUCACUAAGGGGUGACACGAGCCAACUGACAUAAUAGCUCAUACUUGGAUAGGGCCGCUAGAAAGAUGAAGAAGUGGGCUGACAAAAAGCGACAUCACACUGAGUACAAGGUCGGAGACAUGGUCUUUGUCAAGCUCCUUCCUAAAAAAUUCAAGUCACUAAGGCCGGUACAUAAAGGCCUUAUGAUGAGGUAUAAAGGACAUUUCCCCAUACUUGGAAAGGUCGGCAAGGUGUCCUAUAGAGUUGAGUUACCACCGAGGUUGAAGAUUCAUAUCGUCUUCCACGUAAGUUACAUAAAAUCAUAUCACGAAGACAAGAAUUAUCCAAGCCAAGGGAUGUCCUAGAUGACACCUACAUCGAUUAUGACCUUCUAUGACAAGGAAGUAGAACACAUCAUUGCAGGCUGAGUCAUCAAGAGAUGAGGCGUGCCUCCUGCUACGGAGUACUUGGUGAAAUGGAAGGGACUACCAGAGAACGAGACUAGCUGGGAGCCAAUAGAUGCACUAUGGCAAUUUCAGGAGCACAUUAAGUGGUUCUAGGUGGAAGGUGCGACAAGGACGUUUACGGUUUAGGUAGGGGAGAGUGUCAUAGAAUGCUUCAAAUGAGCCUCCCCAGGGGUUUAUAUAGAGCCUAAGAAGCUUUUGGAGACUCCUACACUUAGUCAUUGGUGGGAAAAUGGUGGAAGGUUCUAAAGAUGUCUAAAGAUAUCCACACAUCUCUACACUAUGGUGGAAGGUAUGAGAGAAGUCCAAGGCUUUCUAGAAAAUUCUAGAGAUCUCUUGUAUAUUCUUGUACAUAGGCUUGUACAUAGAAUUGUGUAGGAAGUUUUAGAUUAUUCUUGAGUUGUAAGGAACCCUCCAAGAUUCCAAAGAGUUUCAUUGGUGCCUAUAAAUAGGUGAAGGCCUCAUUUGGCCAAGGCACCAAGCAAGUGAGUUCCAAAGCACUUGUAAAGCUUCUUUUAAGUAAUAAAAGCUUCCAUCCUUCAAGAUUUAUCUACUACGCCUUAUAAAGCUUUCAAGUUGUGAGCAUCUUAACCUAGCAAGCUGAGCAUUGGGAGCAAAACUGACUUAGCAAGAUCAAGGGUCUUGACUUGUCUAAGUGUCGCACGAGCUUAGGAAAAGACUAAGUUCAUGACACCUAGGACUAGUAGCAUGCACCCUAAGUAAUCCAAGGCUAGAAAUGAAAUGAUACAAGGAUUCCCAACACUUGACUUAAUUCCUUAGAAAUUGAAACUCAAUAAAAAACAUUAGUGUCAUUAACCUCAUUUUUUUUAUUACCAAUACUUAAUUAGGGGAAACCUUGAGCUAACAACCUCCUCAUUUUUUAUGAUGAUAAAACUGUACCAUCUAAAGAAAGCUUUCCUUAAUGUAUGCAUAUUAUAAGCAAUUUAAACAUUCAUCAUAAAAGAUGGAAAACAUAAACUCAAAUGGAGACAUGGAUAUAUAGAUAUAAGAGACAUCAUAAAGGUUGCAACAUGAUCGUAUAUCCGAAAUAGCAUCCAAAAGCAUGUCAUCCAAAAAAAAAUCAACCAUAAUAACCAUGUUCAAAUUGUCCCAAAAAGGAAAAAAAUAUAUAUAUGAAACAAAAAGUAUUAAAUAGUUUACUAAAUGUUAUGCCCUAGAUACCUAAAGAUAUCUCCCCCUUAGGCAACAUCGAAACAAUGAGGGAACUAUAUGGCUCAAGGUUGAGGUGGUGGAAACAAGGAACAUAGGACAGCUAUUGAAGAAGCUAAAAUUCUUCAUAAAUGAUUGAAUUUUAUUUCACCAUGAGAAACAAUACAAAGAGGGAUUUUUUUUUUUUUUUUUUUUUUUUUAUCAAGGGGAAGACCCCUUUCUCUUUACUACUUAUCCCUUUUAAUAAAAAUUCUUCCACAUUUUUCCACUUUAUUUUGCCAACAUUCUUUCAACCCCUUUUGCACAAAAAUGCCAAAGAUAGUAUUAGGAUAACCUUUUACAACCAUUGCUAACUUUUGACACAAGUUGCUAAAAAUUGUUGAAGAUUUGCUUUUAAUGUCAGGUAGGAUAGCAGAUUGGUUCUAAUUGAAGGUCAUUUCUUGUGGAGGACCUUACUUAUAAGUGAGAUGAUUGUUCCUAUCUUCAUGGUUUUAUGUUGUAUAGUUAUAGAGACUUUUUAGAGGCUAUCAGCUUUAGAGCAAAUUUAUGUUGUUUGUUAGGGAUUAAGUAUUUUAUUCAAAUUGGGUGAAUGGUACUACCUCUUUACUUGAGAUGGCUUUGAGAUUGGGUGGUUGAAUAGUAGUACUUUGGAAUGGUCUAGUUUUUGUUCGCUUUAGCUAUCAUUUUCUUAUGCUGUGUCUAUAGACGAGUGGAGACGUCAUUUGGAAAUUGGUCAAAUUGCCCGUGAAAUUGAUCAAAUUGUCAAGUUGUCAUCCUAAAAUUGACUAAACCUAGUUUGUAAAAAUGAGAAACGACCGUCACUAGCGACUAACAUCUUCUCAAGCUAAGUAUUAAUAGAUCCAAUCUGAGCAUAAAGGGCAUCUUAAUGUUGCAGGUUCAAUGCUCAUGAAGCAUAAUAUUUUGGAUACUUGGUGUGAGACACCUCAGCAUAAGUCUAAUCCAUAAGGAUAGUCUCCUCAGGAGGUUGAGAUGUGGGCAAUUGAAUGGUGGCAUCCAUGCCCUUGGUUUGCAUCUCCUGUUGAACAUCCUCACCCCCUAAUCCUUUAUGGUCACCCUCAGUCUCUAUCUAUAGAAUCUCUGCCUCUUACUCAACCCGGUCUUCAUUCAUAGCAGGACCCUUUCUUUUUCUUUCCAAUGAUCCAUUAGGCAAUUUCUCAAACAGCAUUCGGUCUGGAUUUUACGUUAUAGGUAUCAUAGGAUGAGGCCUGAAUGUUUUUUUCUCUUCUUAUGUCCACAUUGAAUGCUUUCAGGAUUUUUGUGAUCAGUCUUCUUCCGUUGGCCACUACUUUAGAAUUGCUUUUACAACAGUUUUUCAUGUGUUGAAAGAUGAUAAGGAAACCUUAGAAUGGAUCGGAGUCAAUAGAAAAUGCUACAUAAUAGGACACCUUGUCUCUAUGUCCACCCUUAGGUAGAAAAAUAUGUUUGAUCAUGUGGUGGUGCACCCUAGAGAUAAUGCUCAAGGCAUGGGCAUGGAGCUUUGAAGUCACUGUGUCGAUGGGUAAGUUACAUAUCCUCUAGAAAGCCCUACCUAGGUUAAAACUAGACACUAUAGGCCAUCCCUUCGUCUCAAAUAAACAAAGUCCCCCACAAAGGAUCUCCAAAAUAUCACAAAGCAUAUCAAUAUUUAGUUUAAUUCAACUCCUCUAACAAAUGUGCUAAUUGGCCUUCAUAUAUUUUAGGUUCAAGUAAAAUACCUGAACAAGGUUGGGGUAUGUAGGCUCUCUUGAUGAGAUGGUAUUGGUGAGUAUUUUUUUUUCUUCAAUACAAAACUAUUACAACACUUGGUUUUUUUUUUUUCUAAAAAAAAAAGAAAAAUAAAAAUAGUUUUAUAUUAUACUUAGUUUCAAGAAAAAUAAUAAUCAAAGCAAAAUGAAAAAAAAAUUCUCAUAUUGGUUUCUCGUGAAAAAUAUAAAAGCAAAUAAAAUACAAUUAAAAUUAAUUAAAAUCUUAUGUAUUUUUAAAUUAUUAAUUUUUAUAUAAAAAAUGAAAAAUAGUAUAAUGAAUUUAGAAGAAUAUAUAAAAAUAAUGUAUUAACUUUAAAUCUUUUUUUCUUUAUAUAUAUAUUUUCCCUUCAAUUUUCUAAUACCAACACAUAAUAAGGUUAAUGUCUUCUAGCCAACCAAUUGUAAGUCAAUUUUCAUAGAGCUUUUUUUUUUUUUUUUUUUUACAUGCCACCAAGUAGUUAUAUAAGCAUUUUUGCAUGUUAUUGUUAUCCAACAUACAAUAACUAUAACAUCCAAUUAUUAUGAACAUGAACAAUAAAAUUAGAUGCAACUAACUAUUUAGUGUAUAACAAGAAGUUGGUGAAGUAAUUCAUCCUAACAUGAUUCAACAAUUUUUGUUUAUUUUUCAAGAUUAAUUAUAACAUACCCAUUCUAUUAAAGUUGUUGAGAUAUUUGAGCAAAACUAAAAAUCAACAUUAAUUCAUUUUAUACCCACAAGAGAAAUAAGAUUUGUUUUUUUGUUUGAUAAUAAAGUAGUUGUAGUUAUUAAUGAUAAUUUUGAUCCUAAUUUAAUAGGUAUCCAAAAAAAAAGGAAAAAUGCAAGUAAACCAAUUCUUAUCUAACACAAUUAUUACCACCUUAAAAUCCUGAGGGGUAGCUCAGUUGAUCAGUUCGAGUCCCUUUAGGACCAUGAAAAGCUUACCCGAUGGUUCACCUUAAGAAAAGCAAAGCAUUUAUAUAAUUCAACUGGUAGUUGAUAAGUCUUAGAAAGGGUUUUGCCAUCAUUGGCUUCUCAGUAAAGGGCAAAUUUGGGUUGUGGCUGACAAUUAUUGAAUUUGUGAAGAAAUAUGUGAAGAAAGGAAACAAAAAGAGUUGAGGACAGAAUUCUUCAAUUAAAAAAUGGUUAGCCCAUGAACCCAUUCUUCAAACAGUAAGCCAAUGAGCCAAUGAGCCAAAAAGAAAGAAGAACAGCUGGUUUCAUCUUUUUAUCUUAAUGACUUUGACAACCCAUCUUUCUUUUAAAUACUUGUGACUUUGGAAUAUAAUUAAAAUGAAACUUUGGAAUGCCCACAUCUGAUUCACGGCCUUUUUACCUGUUUUCUUGUUUAACAUUUUUUUAAAUAUUAUAACAGAUGGAAAAACAUGAUUCUAACAGGCUGGAAAAUAGUGGAAGUUGGAACACCAACCAUAACCAAACUAUACCUUCCAUCUUUCUCCAACACUCGGAAUUAUUGAUACAAGUUGGUGGUUUUAUGAUUGUUUCUAUUGAGGGGACCCCUCUCCAUUUCCAAUUUCAAUGGAAAGGUUCUUCUUUCCCUACUUUUUUUUUUUGUUUUUCAAAUUCUUGUAGUUUUGUCUGUCUCUCUCAACAAAGCAAACUGCAAUCACUAAUUCAAAGAAAAGGAAUCCUAAAUGAAAAGAAAAGAAAGGAAAGGAAUGGUAAUUUAGGCUAUGAUGAUGCUCCUAUAUAAUGGCUGUAAGUCAAUAACAACACACUGGACCCGCCUCCUAUCUCAAAAGAUCACAAACCCAAAUAUCAUAUACUUCCAAAUUUCAAUUUGGUUCCCUGUUUAUAUCACAAUCUGUCCUAUAUCCUCUUAAUACAUCUAAAAUCUCUCUAUAUCAUAAAAAUAAUGAUGGAAAAAAAAAUUAAAAAGAAAGAAGGAAAAAAUGACAAAAAAAAAAAAACCUUGGUGCUGCUAUGGGUCCAUAGGAAUUGGCAGGACUGCACUUCUGGAUCCCCUUCCAUGGCCAAAAGAAAAGAAUGAUCUUCGGAAUCUGCUGCUGCAACCUUCACUAGGGCUGAAGUCACUGACAGGCCUGUUCUGUUGCAAAAUCUCUUGAAUUGCUAAAUACAGCUGCCUGUCGUUGGAUGAGUCCAUUGAAAAAGACCUCCUGAUGGGUUGGAUUGAGAACUGAUCAUCUUUGCCUCUAGUGUCAAUGCACUCAUCACCCAUGCUUGCAACAUGAUGAAACUUCCUUGCCUUUUUAGGCACAAUUCUCUGCUCUAGCUUCCUAGGUGAUGGACUAAUUGAUGGCGCAGAUAACUCUCUGGAAUUCAGUCUUUCUGGUGGCCUAAGCAGUGAUGAAUCAGCAGAACUAUCAUUUCCCAAUUCAAUUACUACAAAAUCUUCAUCCCCUCCUAUGUAAUUAUUGGCGUAGGGGCUUGGAUCUUGGGGGGAAGAGCUAGGAGCAAUGAUUUGGUGAACAGGAAACCGGGGUGUGGUUGAAAUGCUUGUUCUGCAAAGUGGGCAAUUAGCAUUGCUUUGAAGCCACACGUCUAUGCAAUCUAUAUGAAAUAUGUGACUGCAGUUUGGUAUGAUUCUUAGCUUCUCUUCUUCUUGAAACUCAUUCAAGCAAACCGCACACUCGCAAUGGCUUCUUUCUCCAAACUCUCUGCCACCUCCUUUCCUGAACUGGAAUAUUGGGAUUGAUCUGAUGACUGACUCGUCCAGGCCUCGACUCUCGAUUGCUGGGGAGUACACCAUUAAAGGGUCUUCCGGGUGCCGACUCCUUGAGAAAGAAAAUCGUCUCAGCAGAUCAAUCCGGUGCCAAUUGAGGCAGCAUUUGAUUACAAAGAUGUAGUAGCUCACCAGCAAGAAAGCAGUGGCCAGGAUUCCUAUUACGGCAAUGGCUAUAAUGGGGAAACUGGUGUCCGAGGAAUGAGAGGGAGAAGGAAGCACUGAGCUCGCCUGGCUUUUGAUGGGAGAAAAGGCUUGUGAUCCAUGGAUGGAGGAGUCUGUGCUCACAAGAUCCAUGAGAGAGGCUAUGAAAAACAUUUAGAAAUGAGUCUAUUCGGAUCUUCAAUUCACAGAAACAUGCAAAUGCUAGAAUAAAAUCGACAGACACUCAGAUAUAGACCCUACAGUUGUAAUGCAGCAUACCAUAAAUGUGAUUGAGUGAGUGAGGCUGAAACAGCAAAUGGGUCACUUCAAGAUCUCAACAAGACAGAAAACCCAUGUUGAAUUCACCAGGAGAGUAUUGAAAAGGGAAAAAUUAAGGACAUAUAGCUGUAUUGAAAGUUGAAACAAAUGCAGAAACAUAGAGAAGAGAGAGAGAGGGAGAAAACCCAGGAGGGUUGAAUGAGAGCGCUGCUGGGGAAGACAUCAAAACGCUUCAAAUUCAAUGAGAAUCUGUUGGGGACCUCUUUAAGAGGACUGCACAAAGCCUGAGCGUAGGGUACGUGGUUGGUUGGUGAAUUUCUCGGCUUCCAAAAGAGAAAUUUGGUGAGAAAAUUUUCAAGUCUCUUGAUUAUAGUAACGUAGCGUUUAUUUUAAUUUUAUGUAACCGAAACUAAUGGGCUGGUUCAAAAAAAUAAAAAAUAAAAAAAGGAACUUUCUAGGAUAGGCCAGCAGUCCACCGUUGGUCAUGUGGUUUCUUUUGCAUGUCCACAUCUUCCAACUAGUGGAGGUCCCUGUCACAACAGUAAGAAAACACCCAAUUGAAUAAAAGUAUGAACUUUUGGCUCCCAAUAUUACUUAUGCCCUCAUUCAAUACCUCAAAUAAAGCAGAGAUUUUGUGUCCCAACUUUUAUGAUUUCAUUUCAUCUUACUUCAAAUGCUAAUGACAAAAGUCCAAGUAUAUUCUGUAAUCACCCACACCCCAAUAGUUUUGAAUCACACUUGAAAUAGUUCCCAUGCUUUCUUAAUAAUUUAGAUAAUUAUUUACAGAAAAAAAAAUUCAGAACAGGAUGAUAAUCAUUUUGUGAUAGCAUGGAAGAAACUUUACUAGCCACUUUGGCCCCAUGAAGUUGAGUACUUGAUGCCAAUUAAUGGCAGGGUGGAAAAUAGAGAAAAGGGAUCAUAGUCAAAUCUAGAGUACAAGGCAUUGAAUCUUUGUUAAUAAUUAACAAAUGGGUAAAGCAUGGGUCACAGGGUCUACAGUUUGGAUUGCAAAAACCUCAGGCUUCUAUAAAAAGCUCAUCCAUUAUCAAUCAUCAAUCUGAAAGCCAGAAAGUCCAAGGCACAUGCAACCCACGACAGGGGUAAGAUUUCUGCAUCAUGUCCCUGAGUUGCAUUCACAUCAUAUGUUUCCCUCCGGGCCGUUCCAAUUUGAAAUCUCAUGGAAAUCUUCAAGAGCAAGGCUACAGAGUUUAAGAUAAUACUAGGGGUGGGUCCUGAUGGGAAAAGAGGUAGUGUAGGAUAGUCAAUAAAGGGCAUGUGUCUCUGGUGUGAAGUCAAAUCCAGUGUACCAUCCUCAAUGGAAAAUUUAGAAAUAGAACCGACACUCUACAGACUGCCGUGUUGACAGAUUAGAGAAAGACAAACCCACUUACACUUGCCUCAAAACCCAGUCCUGCCAUUUCAAAGGCAAAAAAAAAGGGUUUCUUUUUAUAGUCAAAGGUUGAGGCCUGGCCUGGCCUAGCAAAGAAACUUCACCUACUCUUUUCUUAUUUUUCAAAUUAAGGCCAUUCAACUUUUCCUGUUUGCAGGCUUGCUGCCAUAUCUUACUCCAAAAAAGGUGAAAACCCAAAAGAAAAAGAGUGUUUGCUUCAAUGGAAAACUCAUGUUUAAUAAAUUCACCGCACGAGUUUUGUUCCAGCUUUUCCUAUGAAAGCUGUGAUGCGUUUGGUAUGAAGUUGAUUUUGUUCCUAAAAAUUUUGAUCUUGGCGUGGAAGGCAACUUUUUCCUUUUCCCCCUUUUUCUUUUUGAAAAGUUCGGCAUUAGUUACCAAAUGUCCUUUUACUUGCAUGUAGGACAGCGGAAGCAUUACACAUCGCAGCAAAAUCCCAUUUACCCGAAUUUUCCACUAACUCUUUUUAUUUUUUACCAUCAUUUUUUAAUAGAAGUGAUGCACUCUUCAAAUUACAUGAAGCUUUUAAGAAGGUAAUAACCCGUUUCAAAGCGAACUUAACCUACAGAGUAUGUUUUAAAAAUAUUUAGGUAUUUGAUAAAAUUUAAAAAAUAUUUUUUAAAAUCUUUAAAAUGAUUUGUAAUAUUGAAAAUUUAUUUAUACUUUUUUUAAUAAAAAAACAUUUUAUAGGUAAUUUUUCUAAAAUACUUUUAGAGAAAAUGUCUUCCCUUCACUAUAAAUAUUAUAUACUAUCAAAUACACUUUAAAAAUCUGUUUAACAAUAAUUUUAUAAAGUGUUUUUAAUUUUAAAAAUAUUUUUAAAAACAAAUUAAAUUUUUGAUAAAAUUUAAAAAAUCUUUUUAAAAAUUUUGAAAAAUAUCUCGUAAUAUUAAAAAAUAUAUAUAUUUAUAAUGUUUUUUAUAUAAAUACUCAAAAUUCAUUUAAUAGUGAUUUUAGGAAAUGUUUUUAAUAUUUCUAAUACUUGAAAAUUUUUUAUCAUUUAAGUAUUAAAAAUAUUAAAAACACUUUAUAAAAUCACUUUCAAAUGGACUCUUAAUGAUUUUACUAAAAACACUUUUCAUAGAAAACAUUUAUAAAAAAUAAUUAUGAAAUACACUCUAAAUUAAGUAAAAGUUGUUUUUAACAUUACCACUAUUUAUUAAUAGUGCAUUUGUUUAAAAUAUUUAUAUGAAAAAUUCAUUAGGGUGGGAUAUAAAUAUAGAAGUGUUUUUCUUUAUAUAUUUUUUAUAAUAAAAAAUGAUUUUUGAAAUUAUAAAAUUUGAAUUUAAGAAUCAUUUGAUAAUAAUUUUUGUUAAAGCACCUUUAAUACGUGGUGCUUCUAUUGAUAGCGCUUUCAUUUCUAUGAAUGGCUAUAAAUUAUAUUUGAAUAAAUUUUUUAUAAUGUAUUAUAUAAUAAAAAAAAAGUCAUUUUUAAAAAAAUUAUACAUUAAAUGAUUAUUCAAAUAGUAUUUCCUAAAUUUUAUUAAACAUUUUUUUCAAAAAAAAAAAAAAAGUUUUCAAAUACUAGAAAACGUUUUUAAUCUCUCACACGAUCACAUCCAAACAAGUCCUAAUGCUACUCCUAGAAACACUCCAAAACAAAAGUCUUCCUCUAUUAAUGUUCAUAAAAUCCACAUAUAUUCUUCCAUCGUUUUUUCAAAAUUCAAAAUCAUUUCUAAAACAUCAAAUCAUGUUCUUUGGAUUGGCUGACUUGUUUUUUGAAAAUAGAAGGCUCAUUAUUGACGUCCGUUGACUUCAUAACCCAGUCUUGAUCUCUUGAUGGAGGGCAUAAAUGUAAAUUGGACGAAACCCUAGGGUGCGCUAGAGUGUAGAGGAUGAAAGGUUGGAAAAAGGAUGAGGUGGGGGUGUAAUAAAGAGGAGGGUUGGGAGAAUGGGACAUGUGUAGGUGAAGCAUUAAAUUCAAGACUAUGCUUACCAACAACAUAUAAAUAAAUAAAUAAAUAAAUAUAGGAACAGCACAUGGGGUGAGUAGGAGACAUCAGAAGAUGUGAACAACCCCUUGUCAGUCCAAUUUGCGUCUUUUAUCUACUCUAUUAUCUAUAUCGAUUUUCGUAUUUAUUUAUUUAUUUAUUUAUUUUUACCAUUUGAUUUUGCAUGGAUGUCGAAGGGUUUAUUGGCUGCCACGUGUAGGGUUAUGGUCAAGAUCACGUGGGGUGCCUACAUGGGAGUCACGUGAGUGCAUGAGGCAGGCUUGAAUUGCAGGAGGAGCAGGAGCAGAGCAGUGGCUGUUGUCUUAAGACUUUGCUCUCUUGGUGGAACUGCAGCUUAAGCAGCAUCCACGUGUUGUCACGUGCAAUGCGAGCCAUCCACACCACCAGUUUCUUUUUAGUGAUUUUCUAAAGUCAGUUAAGGUUGCAGUCAAUACCUUCAAAUGUUGACAGAGUUAGGGAUCUUUGUUAAAUGGAUUUUAUUAAGAUAUUAGUAAGUUAAUUAAUUGAGGGUCAACAUAACAGAUGGGUCGGGUUGGGUUGAAUCUGAAUUUAAAACGAUUUAAUUUAUGUUUAAUCAAAUUUAACAUUUAACUCGAAGCACUCAACUUAAGUUUAAUUGAAUCUUAGUUUUCAAAACAUUAUUUAAAUUUGGGUCAUUUGGAUUAAAGUCAAAUGGGUUAGAUUAAUCGGGUUAUAUGGUUCAAAAUCCACUUACCUUAUUUUUUAUACAUUAAUAUUAAAAUUUAAAUAAAAAAUAUUAGAAGAAAUUUCAAACUUGGGAUUAGUUGAUUGUAGCCAUGCAUUUGGAUGUUGGUAUUCUUGUUUCUUGUCUUGUUUCCAAAUACCCUUUCAAAUCGCUUUGUUAUUCAAUAGCAUCCUCCCGAUCAUUUAAAAAUUUAAAGAGCAUUGGUAUGAUGGAGGAAUUCAGAAAUUUUAGUUGAAUAAGUAAAAUUUUUCUCUCAUAAAACCAAAUAGCCUCUAUAGCUCAGUGGUAGAGCGUCAGUCUUGUAAACUGAAGGUCUGUAGUUCGAUCCUGCAUGGAGGCAACUUUUUAUAUUUCAUGAUCCAUUAUGCUCUAGUGAUUUAGUUUUCAUUAUAAUUUUAGAUUAAAAAAUUACAUCAACAUUUGAUAAGUUGGUUAUGACUUUGAUAUAAGGAUGAAACUAUCAAUAAUAUAUAUAAAUAUUUUGACACAAAAUAUCUAAUAUAUUAAAAAAUUAAAAAAAAACUCUAAAAAACAUUAUAAAAUUAUAUAUAUAAUUUAUCAUAUUUAAUAAUAAUAUCUUCUACCCUAAUAAAAAAUAUAAAUUUUAUAAGCAUACAUUUAUUAUUACAUUGUAUUAUAUAUUAUUUUACAAGAAUAUUAUGAUAACAUGUCUAAUUUUAAAAUAUAUUUAAUAUUAAAAUUAUCAUCAAUUUUAAUUUAAAUGUAUUUAAUGAUAUCAAAUAAUAUAUAUAUAUAUAAUUUUUUAAUAUUUAUAUAUUUUUAUAUUUAAUAAAUAUAUAAAUUAUGUAAAAAAAAAAGACCUAUUAAGAAGAUUAUGUUUUUAUAUUUGGAUCAAAAUUAAGUUUUUCCGAUAAAAUAUAUGAAACUAUUGAUAAAUUAUUGAUUGAAACGUGAAAAAAAAAAUUCAAAAAAUAGAUGAGAUAUUAGUAAAAUAUCCGAAAAUAUUGAUUGAUGAAUAUAUCAUUUCAAAUUUUGCAUCAACAUCCACAUAUGUUGGAUAUAUUGGCCAAAUAUAUUUAAACCUUGUUUCCAUGAGAAGUCUUUCCUUCAACAAUUUCAAAAGGUUAAUGAGGUGGUUUCCAAGAGAUGUGUGUAGGGGUCUCCAACGGGCGGGCCGGGCCAGCGGGCUUUUUGAAAUAAGCCAAAAUGGCUUUCAAAAAAGGGAAGGGAGAGGAUUUAAACCCCUUCCUUCAUGCUUAAAUUUCAAGGUUCUAACCAAUUGAACUACAUUCCUUUAAUGUUUAUUAAUUGAGUUAGUUAUAUAUAUAUAUAAAAAUAAAGUAUAUUAUUUUUUAAAGGGGCGGGCCUACGGGCUGGGCCGGGCCGAAAGCGGGCCACGGGCCACGGGCUUUUUGGAGACCCUUGGAUGUGUGCAAUCACAUUUGGUAUUAUAGGUGACAAAGUUUGAUAAAUGAGUAAUUAUUAGGUUAACUUAUAAAAUCCGAAUUUGAUUUAAAUUGAUUCAUUUAAUAAUCCCAUUUAUUUACCCAAUUAAAACUUUAAAUUAUUUAACUUAUAUUUAAUUUAAUUAAAAUUUGUUUUUAAAUAAAUAGAUCAAUUAAAACAUAAACAUAUUUGAUUGAAACAUUAAUAAUAUAGAUUUAAAUAAGACCUAAUUCAACCUAACGAUCAAAUAGAAAUAUCUAAUUAUUAAAUAAAUUAAACAUGUUACUUGCUUAAUAAUUAUGUGACAUUUGAAUUUAUGCUUUUGAUAUAAUUAUUAUUUAUAUCAGGUUUAUAUAAUGAAAUAUCUAGACUUUGACACCAGUCAACAUUGUCCACCAAUACAGAUUGCAACUCUUAUAUGCUACAUCACAUCAUGUUGAAGGAAGAGGAUGACGUUCAUUGGCAGCAGAGCCUCCAAUCAUAAGGAGCUUGAGCAAAUUCAAUCUCAACACUGAAAUUCACUAGAAAAAAAGUUUAUUAUUGAUACUUCAUUUGUGUAAAAGCAUUAUAUUUCUUGCAUCAAUCGUAAAGCAUGACAUUCCAGUAGGUACGGAAGAGAAAAUUUGUUAUGAAUUGAAAAAUCUGUCAAGCUUAAUUUGGAGGGCCCAAAAUUGACACGUUUAAGAGCUCUAUCAUUAGCCCAAUGAUAAGAGUCCAUUUCUUGAGUUUCAAGGAAGGCCCAAGUUUAACUUAGAGGGCCCAAUCUUGGUACCUUCUAAAAGGUGCAAACUUUGGCCCAAUUAUAAAAGCUUAUCCUUGCUUCCUAAGCAUCAAUGAUAUAUUUGAUCGAAGUAUUCACAUAACUAUCACGAAAUGAAAUGAAAUGAAAAUGUAUAAGUAAAUGAUGAUUUUGAGUUAUUUACUGACAAUAAAGAAUUAGGUGGUGUUUGUUUUUUUUUUUUUGGCUUUUUACUAAAAGCAAUUUGUUUUCAGAAUUUAGGUUAUUUAUUUUUCUAUUUUUUCAUGACUUAUUAUAAACUUUUUACUAAAUAAGAAAAUCCAAAAUAUAUAGUUUUUUCUAAAUAGAAAAAAUAACAUAUUGGUUUUCUUUUUUUUUUACUUUUUAAUAUUUAAUAGAAAUAAAAUAUUAUAAAAACAAACAACCUAAUAUUUAACACUAUUAAGUAUUAAGGUUUUAUUUAGAAUUAAGUAAAAAAACAAACACUACCUUAAAAUGAAAAGUAUGUAUAAUGACCUUAUACAAAAAAAGUCUCAUUAUUUUCUUCCAAAGAACUCAUACUUUUGUUUUUCAACUAUUACUUUGUUUUUAUUUUUUAAAUAAUAUUUCAAGUUUUUUUUAAUAAUACCUUUCUCUUUAUUAGAUAAUUUUAAUGACUUUAAAAGUAUUUUAAUAUAUUAAUUUAUUAUAUAAUUUUAAUGAUUUAAAAAUAUUUAAAUGUUGAAAUAUUUAUUUUCAAGUCUAAUUUUAAUUAUUUAUUUUUUGAAGUAUUUAAAUAUAUAAUAAAUGUGGGAUUAUGUAAAUCUAGUUGUAAUUAUUUAUUUCAUUCUAUUCAUGUUUUUAGUUGAAUUUGCUCAAAAUUUACACCUCUUUAUUUAAAGAUCAUGGAUUAGUUAGGUGUCUUGAGAUUUUUUUUCUCUCAAGACACUACUUGUUACACUAGAAAAUAAUUUGUGGCUAUAUUUUUUAGGCAAAAAGAAUUAUAUGUUAAAACUUCCUUUAUUGACUAGUUUAUCAUAGGGUGUAGAGGAAAGUUUGUGAUGUCUUUUUAUGUCAACUUUGGGAGAAAAAUAUCACUUUAGCAUUUUCCUUAGAAAAUUUUCAUACAUAAUUGAUUUUGGAACUAUGGAGGAGCAUAAGUAGGGAUAGAUAAUUCGAUUUUGGAAAAAUUAUAAUAGCUUUUCAACUUGGUGUUAAUGAUAUAUUGUUUAUUUCUUAUUUUUUUUCCAUUUUAAUAUAUAAUUGGGGAUUUUAAACUUGUAGAACAAGGCUUUUUCAAUUGAAUUGACACGUACAUAUGAAAGUUCUCUUUGGUUGCUAAUCACAUUUUUUUUUCUUUUGCUUUUUGUUUUUAUCAUAAUGAAUAUUGAACUCGAAAUUCAGUUUUUAAAAUCUUAUGAUGUUUUAAAGUUUAUAAAUAUUAUUGAUUUUUAUAAAUGAUGUUAUUCAUAUCUUGGUAAAGACAAUAUUUUCAUAUCGGUCAAGAUGAUUAAUAACAUAUAAGUUCAUAAAGAAAAACCUAUUGAUUAAUGGAUAUUUAAUGAUUUUUAUUAGGAAUGUUUUUUAAUUAGUUUCAAUACUCAUCUUUUAGAGCAUACAUAUAGGGUUUUAGAUGCUACAUUGGUUUUCAGCUUGUGAUUUAAAUUAUUGAAGCAAAAAAUGAGGGUUUUGCUUUAUGGAACUAUCUAAAGGGAGGUGAAUUAGGCGGUCUUCCUUUUUAAAAUCCAAAAAUUAGAUUUUUAAUACUUAUAUUAGUUAUACAUGUGUUCAAUAAUUAAAACAAAGAACAAGUCCAUAAUUUACAUGUGAUGUGCAUGGAAAAACACCUACAAAUUCUCUCAAAUACUUUACAAAUGAAAAAAAAAUCAAGGAUCGAUCAAUCACAGAGCAACUUCACUAAAUAUGAAAACAUGACUAUACAAUUUUACUUGGAUGAGGUGCUACCUUCUCUUAAGGGUUUUUACACUAGCCAACAAUUACACUCACCUUCACUCUCACCAUGCACCUCUAUUGUGCUCCAUAGUAAACACUUUAAUGACUGUAGCAAGAUUGCGAUAAAUUACUGCGAUUAAUUUGAGAGUGUUGAUAAUGAACAAAAAAUAAUGAUAAUUAACUAGAGAGCAUAUGAUUUUGUAAAAACACCAAAAAGAGGCAUAGUUAUAAGUGAAAACUUUAAUGGAUUGGAUUGAAUAUAUAAUUGAAGUAUGAAUGAAAAAUUACCAAAACAAUGUUCAAAACCGUGCUAAUCAAAGCACAAUCACUUGAGUACUCUCAUGGGGCACUUGAAUGCUCCUUUUAAUCACCGUAAUGCUGAAAUUAAUAAUUUGUCUCAAAUUGUUUUUCCAAAACAUAAAGCAAAAUAUUAUAAAUUUAUAUAAUCAAACCCAAUUUCAUCUUAAAGCUAGCCUACUUAGUCUUAAUUCAUGUCCAAAAAUACUCAUACUUGUCAAAGAAUGAAUAUGGUAUAAACAAAUUCUUUAUUUUCAAUUAUAUUCAAUUAUUGAAAGAAUAAAUCGGUUUACAUACAUUUUGAACAAAGGUAUAUACACAUAGACUAAAUCAAGGAAAUGAGGAAAUCAAUCACAAUCAAAUCAAAAUCAAAUGAUAGGUUGAUAUCUAGGAGAAGGUUAAGUUAGAACCAACUCAUGUAUUCAAUAUUCCCCCUUAAGAUGGCAUAUGGAGAUCAUGAAUAUCAAACCUAGAAAGUAAGGGAUAUGAAAUAUCUAUACCAAGGGAUUUUAUGAAAUAUCAACCAAUUGUUGUUGUGAUUAAACAAAUUGAAUAAGAAUAAUUUCAUUUCGAAUCUUUUCAUAGAUCAAGUGACAAUCAAUUUCAACGUGUUUAUUCUGUUCAUGGAAAAUUAGAUUAAUAGCAAUGUAUAGAGUUGUAUUAUUGUCACAAUAUAGAUGCAUUGACCAAGGAUGAUGAACUCCAAAAUCUAUAAGUAAAUAUUGCAACCAAUGCAAGUAGUAAUCAUUAAAUAAUAUUUCACUUUUCUUCAUGAGUGUUAUAUCAUUGAUUGCUUUUUAGAUCUUCAAGAGAUUGAUAGGCCACCAAGUAAAAUACAAUACCCUAUAAUUGAACAUCAAGAUUAUGCACAAUAGGCAUGGAGGAAGGCAAAAGAAUUCCUUGACCUAGACGAUUUUUUAAAUAGUAUAACACUCAUGUACUUGUGAGAUAAUUGAGACUACAUUGGCUUGUCAAGAAUUUGAACAUAAUUAGCAAUAUUAAGCCCUAUCAUUAUGAGUCAAAGUAACUUCCCAAUCAAAUGCCUAUAAUAAGAAGCAUCCAACAAAGGUUCUCUAUCUAAUUUACUCAAUUCCAAAUUUUGUUUCCUAGGAGUUUUUAAAGUUACAUGUUCCAAGAAAACCAAAAUCUUUUAGUACUUCUAGAGCAUGUUUUCAAUAACUUAAAUAAAUCUCAUUCUUAAAAUAUGUCAUUUCAAUGAUGAUGAAGUACUUUAAUUUUCCAAUCUCUUAGUUAGUUUGAAAAUGCUAUAUAGGUUUUCCUUGACCACCUUAAUUCCUUUAAGAUCAUUCAUUGUAAUAAUUAUAUCAUAAAUGUAAACAAGAAUGAUUGUGAAAUAGUUAUUUGAGGCUUGAGCAAAUAAGAAGUAAUAUGUACGUCUUGGCUUGCUUGUAAACCAUAAACAUCAAUGUGAUAGAUAAUUUGGCAAACCAUCAACGUGAAGCUUGCUCAAGGCCAUAAAGGGAUUUUUUAACUUUGCAAAUCAUAUUUUUGGUUCUAGAUUUCCUACAAACUUGGUGGAAGCUGCAUGUAUACCUCUUUAUCUAAGUCUUCAUAAAGAAAAACAUCGUUGAUGUCAAGUUGGUGAAGAUGUCAAAUUCUAAUUAUACAAUAAUUAGGGGUGACAAUGUGUCUUAUCGUGUUGAGGUGAGAAAUAGUGAAAAUUUACUUAAUCCGACUAUGACCCGUUUGAUAAUCGUGUCAAAAUAACCUAACAUGAAUACAAUUAGUUUAUUUCAUGUAACAUGACCCUUUUAACAUGUUUAAUAAAUAUAUUAACUUGGAUUAUGUAUUAAUUGACAUGAAUAACUCAUUAACUUGAUUUCAACCCCUUAAACUCAUUAACACAAUUCCAACCCAAUAAACUCGUUAAUAUGAUUUAACUCAUUAAACUUGUUAAUAGGAUUAUAACCUCUUUAACCUAUUUAAAAUUUUAAAUUUAUAAAUAAUAAAAUACUUCUAGAAAGUUUAAUUUUUAAAAUUUGAACUAUAAUACAUGUAUGCACCAAUUUCAUGAAGUCCUGAAAAAUUAGCAAAAUUAUAGAAAAAUAAUAUAAACAAAAAUUUGUAUUAAAAUUAAUAAGUAUGGGCUACAAUAUUAGUCAUAGUACUGCUUAUUUCUGAAUGACUUUAUUAAAAAGCGAAGAAUACAUGUGUAGUUCUUAUGUGAUUUCUUAAACUUGUAAGGCGAUUUUAUAAAGUUUUUUUUUUCUUUGUGAAACCUCUUUUUCUAUGUGAAAUUGUUUUGCCGAUUUGAAAUCUUCAUUAAAGGAAGUUACUAUUAUUUAUAAUUGAAAUUAGAGAAUGAAAUGUGGAAUCCCCAUGAUUUAGUUGCUUAAUUCAAGGAAUUUGAUUAAUUGAUUUUGGUAACUUGUCUCAUAAAAUUUUCUAACAAGAAUAUUUAUUUUUAAUCUCUUUUAUUUCAAUUGGAAUAUUUGUUUCCUUUGUAAAUUUGUCAAUAGAAUAUUUAUUUAUUUAUUUAAUUCUCUUUUGACUACAAUGAGAAGAUUUGAUUUUGUUUGUAAGACUAAAUUUUAUAACCUUUCAAAUUUGGCCAAGUGACACCUUUUGAAUAUAUGUCACAUGUCAAAUGUGUGUGACUCAUUAGUUGUUGAACCUAAAUUUUCUUGAAUUAGAAAGCUAUACUUUUGAAGACUAAUUUAGUGAUAAUUUAAUUCAUUAAAUUUUUUUGGUGUCUACAGUAUAUUUAUAAUAUGAAAAGUAAAUUAAAAUUUUAAUUUUUUUACUUGUUUAUUAUUUUAUUUAUUAUUUAAUGAUAAAUAUUUUUAUUCUUUAUUGAAAUAUAUAAAAUUUUAAUUAAUAUUUUAAUUUUUUUAAUUUCUAUAUAUAAAAUAUAUAGAUUUAUAUGGUCUAAUUGAGUCAUUAAAAUAAAUAGGGUAAAUAACUCACACAUAAGUGAUGGAUCAUUCUAACAUGAUUAAAUUAACAAGUUAGAUGAAUUGAGUAGUCAAAUACAAACAUGAUUUGUUUAUUAAAUAAGUUAUAUGAAUUGAUACGAUUAUGACAUCAACUCAAUUAAACUUAACUCAAAUAAGCUUUGUCUUUUAUUUUAAGUUGUCUAGUUGUUCACACAAAUUUUCUCAAAAUAAAGAAAUUAUAUAUAAAAUUGUAAAUUUGAUUAUUUGAGGGGACCAUUUUCAAUACUCUUUUUUAAGUAAUCUGGUGUUUAAUUUUGAAUCAAAGGGGCUUUCAUUAACAAAUAAUAGACUGUAGUUUUCAUAUAAGAAGAAAUCUCAAGCCUUUUUUUCUUGAAGGAAUCUUUAAAUUUUCUUUGAUACUUUAAAAAAUCAAUCUUCUUUGAUUUUUUAAGAAAUCUUUGAAUUUUCUUAAAGUCUUCAAAAAAAAAAAAAAAAAAAAAACUGAGUUUAAGGAAUUUUUUUAAUAACUCUCCAAAUUUCUUUGAUAUUCCAAAGUGUCCUUUAGAAGGGGACAAAUCCUCUAUUUACAGGAUUGAGAGUUUUAUUUUAAUAUUAUCUCUUAAUUUUUAAGAAAUAACUCUCUUAUUUAUGAUAAUUACUAUUUAUUUUAUUUAUCAUAAUUAGUUGCCUAUGAUAAUUAUCAUAAUUAAUUUUUCUAGAGAUAAAUAAUUAUAUAUAUUUAAUUAAUCAUGAUAACUAUAAUAUUUAUUUAAUUUUUUAUUAAAUUAUUUUACAUAACAUAUCAAUAUAUAUUAUUAGUCAAUUAUUAACACCGAAAAUUAAUGAGUUGGCAUAAAAUUUAUCUCUCUAUAAUAGUAUCAAAGCGAGCCUUAAUAAUAACAUUGCUUAUAGUCAAUUUCACAUGCCAACUUUUUACUGGGCAUUGGCGAUUUCAAUUUUGAUAGUCCGGUUAGAAAAAGUAGGUAAAGAUUAUUUGAUGUGGUAGGUCAUUUCUUUCAUAAAGACGAUGGCGGUGAAUUCAUGAGACAGGUGAUAAAGGAGAGAUUCUUUCUUUUGGCUUUGGAAUUUUAAUGAGGUCCUCGAUCCUCAUCCAAAAUACACCUCUCCAAUUAUAAAAAUCUUAUUAAAAAAAAAAAGAUUUGACAUGUGCCUUUCGAACUGCUGGUUUUCUGUUCCAAAAAUGAGAAUGGUUUCAAGUGGAUGAAGGAAGGUGAAGAACCCUUGGUUUUGUUAAGCGAAAAGCCACAUGAUUAAAUAAACAUAAGGCGGCAAAGGCUGAAAAUUUAAAAUUAUACUAAGGAACCCACCCCACAGGGCGACUACACUUUUGGUGAAGCCACGAGAAUGAAAGAUAUCGAAGGUGACACCAAGACAUUAAGCAGCACCAAGGUUUCGAUAUAUUAUAAGAUGGGAUCUUAUGAAAGACGAUCUCUAAUCUCUCUCCAAUCUCUUCUUUAACCUUUUCUUACUUAAAUCCAUUUCCAUGGUAGGGCACAUGUCCAGCUGACCCUACCCCCUCACCUACCUAUACUGCUAUACCCUUUUGUAUAAUUUGAUAUGGAUUGGAAGCCACCCCAACAUCUUUCUAAUUGCUCGUAAAUGUUGAGGUGCCUUUCCAUUUUGAGGCUGCCCUAAUGUGUGGCUGAAGUACGUAGGAAAAAAAAAUUGUGAUACAUGCACUGACGAAUCAAAUCCCAAUGUCAAAUUAUUAGACUCACCUGGUUCUUAAAUUAUUGUGAAUGCCGCUGGCCAUGGAUAAAUGGAAUUAGUGCGUGGCUUAAUGAAAAUUUAUUUUGAAAGGGAUAUUAAUUUGAGAGAAUUUUGGCUGAUACUUGGAGUUGAACGUAAGCAUAUAUGACCUCAUUUCGGGUGUGAUAUUGUGCUUAUAACGAACCUUUCGUUCUUUCCAAUUCCAGUGGGUAUUAAAUAAUUAAAGAAUUCAUGGUUCGAAGGCGAAAGGUAGAAGACCAAAAAGGGAUUACAAAGCCAUCGGCUUGACCAUCCAGAUGCAAUGGAUACAAACUUUGGACUCUAUCGAAAGUUCUUUGGGCACGUGCCCAAGUGUCCUACCCAUAUGAUAAGUUACACGUGGCUAAUUGCGGACCGGUUGCUCGUGCUAAACAGGGUACUUUUUCUACGCAUAUAAGAUGUUUCACUAGUGGGGCUUCACCAUGCAAACUCAUGGAUGAAGACCCUGAGGCCAAGAUGAAGGAACAGAAAGAAGGCGGAGGAGAGGUUCGGUAUCGAGGCGUUCGGAGGCGGCCAUGGGGGAAGUUUGCUGCGGAGAUACGUGACUCGACUAGGCAUGGAGCGCGCGUCUGGCUCGGGACUUUCAAUUCUGCGGAGGAGGCUGCAAGAGCAUAUGACCGAGCUGCUUAUGCCAUGAGGGGUUCCUUGGCGAUUCUCAACUUCCCUAAUGAGUAUCAUACACCCGGCACGGCUAGCUCUUCAGCUUCAUCCUCAAUGCCCGAAGGUGAUCAGCAGGGAAAACAAGUCAUUGAAUUGGAGUACUUGGAUGAUAAGCUGCUAGAGGAUCUUCUCGACUCUGAAGACAAAAAGAACAAGAAAACCUGAAGUUUCUGCUGCCUCGAAUCCCCUGAAAUCUAGUGCUUCAUCGAAAAAAAAUCCCCUCGCUCCUGAUUAACAACAUUUUUAUUUUAGUCAAUGAAUGUGUUCUCGGAUCAUUAUAAGUAUUUCUGCCGAAGUCCAUUGAUUUUUGGAGACUGAAAAAUGUCAGAAAAAUUGGUGCGAACAGGUUUACUCCUUUCUAAAUUAUGCAAUUGAAGUAUUUGGAUUAGUGCGCAGUGUAAACAUCAAGGAAAGCAUGAUCCACUAUUUUAAGGAGCCUAAGUGCUUUCCCCUUUACUCUUUUAGGAUGUCUUUUCAGUGAAGAAAGUUGGGAGACCACCACUUACCCUUUUGAUUGGUAUAUAACUGCCAACUAAUAACUGGACUAACAUUUGGCCCGUCUGGCCCUACUUCUUUGACUUUGUUGUUAAUUUAUAACUUUAUGUGAAGUGGGGGCUGUUUGGGAAUGUGUGAAGCAAGGAUUUGAGCCGACUUCGCCUAAUCUGAUUCUCCAUAAGUGACUUCAUUUUAUCAUAUUGGUGUUUUUUUUCUUCUUCUUUUUAAAUGGCUGGGGAGGAGGGGAUUUGGGAGGGAUGCAAUGCCAUGGUUGCAUGCUGGAUUAUCCUUCCAAAUGAAACAUCCAUUUGGUUUCUAGUAACUAAUUGCAAACAAUUAAAGAGAAUAAAAUUUUAAGAUGAUUAAACAAUAAGUACCUAUGUCCAUGAAAAGGAGAGAAGUUCACUCAUGGGUGUUCAUGAAAGACAUCACAAAGAACCAUCAAUAUGAGAAGAAUCCUGAUACAAUUAACUUUCAUGCAUAAGAAAAGACGCUCAAAAAAGAAUAAUGCUUACAAGGAAAGAAUCUCACUACGAUCAACUGAAAAAAUAUUCCAAUUUAAUUGGAAAUCCUUACAUGGGAAGAAUAUCAAUAAAAUCAACUAAAAAAAUAUUUUAAUUUUAUAUCAAAAUAUUUGUGAUUUAACCCGUAUCAUUUCAUCAUGACUUCUUAUAAAUUUUGUUCCUUUUUAUCAACACCACCCCUUGAGUUGGAGCAUAAAUAUUUAUUAAGCUAACUUGAACAAGAUCUUGAGAAAUUUUGUCGCAGGAUUUGUUUGCACUUUUUUUUUUCAAAUAAAGUCAUAAUUAACUUUAAUAUGUUUAAUCAUUUCAUGAAAUACUAGAUUUUAAGCAAUGUUGAUAGCAUACUUAUGCCUGAAAGCUUUAUCCCAAAUCACAUGAGUACAUGAAGUGAUUGCAUCAUUAAUGGUAGUAUUAUUACUUUAUAUUCAACUUCUCCACUUGAUAGGAUGCAUGAAAGCAUUGUGCUUUCUUCUGUUUCAAGUAAUAAAGAUUAUCACCAAGAAAGGUGCAAUUAAUACCUAGUAACAGAGUACCUAGUGGUAGCAUGCACCUAUCCACUGAACUUGUACUCGACUCUAUGAGUGUACGUUACAUAGUCCUUUUUUCGAAGUCUAAAUGUCCCUUGAUAAAACCUUCUAAUAUUUGAGGUUUUGGUAACAUUCAUGUAUCAAUGAACAAAUUAAUUUACUAGCUAAACUUUAAAAUUAGGCAAUGUUUUUCAAUGGGUGAUCAAGAUCUUGGAAUUUUCAAUGUUGUUUGAAUAGCUUCCACACACAAGCAUAUUUUCUCCUAUUUAGGAAUAAUCCCUUUUUUGAAGGUGUGAUCUUUAUGCUCAAAAAAUAAAGAUACUCAAAAAUUUAAUAUUGACCUUCUCGUGAAGGAAAAGCUUUAUAACUAAUUUUUUUUGUGCAUUAUAUAUAUCCUCAAUAUAGACUUUAAAAAAAAAAGAAGUAACUCCCUCUACAAAGAGUGAAGAGUCAAUUAAACUUUUUUUUUUUUAAAAAAAAGGAACCAAUUACUCGUAAAAGUAAUGAUUAUUUUUACAUACCAAACUUGAGGAGAUUACUUAAGAUCACAAAAGUUUUUAUUAAAUUGCAAGCUAGAUGCAUUUGAAACGAUCGUUGAUGUCUUAGCAACACCUUAUGUAACUCAUCAAUCUUUAUGUAAAAAUGCAUUUUUAACACCCAUAUAAAAUAAUGAUCAAUCCUAAUUUAAUAGAAACAAAUGGUAAUACAUGAAUAUCAUUCAUAUUAAUGAGAAAAGUAAAUAUUGAUUUAUAAUCAACUUCUUAAGUUUGUGUCAAUGCCUUAAUCAUUAGUUUAACUUUGUCAUUCAAUGAUACCAUCAUUACGACAUUUAAUUAACUUAGAUUUGCGUAAAUCCCUUAAUCACUAGUCUAGCUUUAUGUCAUUCAAUGGUACCAUCAUUAUGGUAUUUAAUUGAUCUUAUACCCCCAAUUUGUAUACCCCAUGUUUUUCUUAAUUUACCAUACAUCACUUAACAAUGUUCCAUGCAUGGAUUUUGUUAAGUGCCUUAAGUUCCUUUUGCAUAGCCUUUCUCCAAAUUGGAUGAGGAUUGGCUUCAUUAAUGUCAUUAGACUCAUGAUAUAUGGAACUCAAACAAUUGUUAAGUGAUUUUGUAUAUAUAUAAAAAAAAAAUUGUAAUUAAUGUGGUAGGCAUAAAAAUCUCACAAAUGAGGAUUGAUUAAUUGUUAUAAUUGAGCAACAUGCUUGAGGCUUAGUCACAAUACUAGAACUUGAAGUCAGACAUUCUCUUCAAAUAAGGACGUAUAUACAUUAUAUUGGAUCUCCAUUAAACAAGUAAAGAACUAUUUAGUAGACAAUGAAACCUCAUUGAUCAAUGGUGGUAGAGAGACACAUGAUGACCAGACUAUUCCCCUGGAAAUGAGAAUAAAAAAUAUCAUUAGCCGCAAAAAUCUCAAAAAAAUUUAGAUAAUGGGAUAUAAAGAGUUUAUGAAUUUUACAAUCAUAACUCUUAUACUGGUUUAAGUGGUAGAGUAAUCAAGAACACAAAACGAGUUUGAUGAGUGGUUGAGAUAUGAACAAAGCAAAGAUUUCCAAAGACACCAAAAUCAGAAAUCUCAAUUUUUGGGCUAAGGAUUUCAAGAAGAAAUUUAAAAUUAACUACAUGACUAGAAAAUUUGUUCAUCAAGGAAAUAGAAGUAACGAUAUCAUAACAUCAUAAUUAAUCAAUAUUUUUAAUAACAUGCAUUUGGAACAUGAUAUACCGGCUUUCUAAUAAUCAAUGAUUUUUGGUUCAACCACACCAUUUUGUUUUGGGAUGCCAAUACAACAAGUUUAACGAANNNNNNNNNNNNNNNNNNNNNNNNNNNNNNNNNNNNNNNNNNNNNNNNNNNNNNNNNNNNNNNNNNNNNNNNNNNNNNNNNNNNNNNNNNNNNNNNNNNNAUGUAAGUGCCAAAUUAGGUAGUGUCGACAAUGAAAUGGAAAUUUUGGAAUAUAGAAACAACCUCAUUUUUAUGUUCUAAUAAGUAAACCUAUGUAGCAUAAGAAUAGUCAUUAAAAAAAAAGGUAACAAAAUGUUGAUUUCCAUCCUAUGGAUCAAUUAGGACACAACCCCAAGGUAAACUAAUUUGAAAGUUGCAACAAAAAUGGAAAGAGAUGAAAAAAUAAUAGAGGAAUUUAAGGUUGUUUCAAAAUUUCAAGACAUGCUAAGAAACACAUGAGAUUAUAGAUGAUUAGGUAACAACCUUGGUUAAGUAUAUUCAACAUAUAUAUCCCACGAGGAUAAAUAUCUUCACUAAACUUUUCCUAUUAUUCAAUCCCCUAAUACCAUACAAGUGAAAAAUUAAUGUCACGGUCAAAAAUUUUAAUAAGCUUCCAAAGAGAUAAUAAUUUUGGGGAAAAAAACAACCUAAGAAACCUAUGAAUUGAGAUAAUUUAGGAAAAAACUAAAUGUUCGUUAGCUCUAGAAGGGAAUUGAAGCUCAUCAUCAAUAAAGAUUGUUGCUAUCUCGAAUAAUAUCAAGUAAACCAUUAAGAUCGCUAUUAAUGGUAUGAUUAGCAGCACCAAUUAUCGACAAAAAAAUUAUUAAAAAUAUAAGAAAUGAGAGCUUUAAGAUUAUCUAAUUGAUUUGUAAACCUAGGUAAGUGAAUCAGUAUUACGUUUUGUUAAGGAAGCUUAGAUCCAAUUGGUAUCAUUCACCAAGUUAUUGGAUUAAAUUACACUAUCAAACUUUGGCUUUAAAUGAGAAUGAAGAAUCUAACCACAAUCCUUAUUGGGAUUAGAUAUGUUAUUGCAAUAAUGUUUACAAUCGGAUGAGUGCUAAUUUCUAUUGAAAUCAUGAAGCAAUCUCUGAUCAUUGGUCUUCUUUGUAGAAACAUGAGCAUUGAAUUUAAAAUUAAUAAUUGUUACUUGGGAUUCAACCUUCAUAAUCAUUGCCUGGGUUUCCUAAUCACUUUCAAGAAUUACUUAUAUAGUGAAGGCACUCGAAACUAAUCAAAUUUGUCCUCUUAUAAAGUUGUCAUAUUCAAGCUUCAGAAUAGCCAAUAAUUGAAAAACUUAUCAUACUCCGCAAUUUGUUGAAGAAUAUUUGGGUCUAUUGAAGGGGACAAUAUAGGGAAUAUUUGUCCCAUAUGCUCAAAAUGUUCAAUUAACAAAGUGUUCUGUAUGUUUAGGGAUUUGUUAGCUUUAAUUACACAAAACAUUAGCAGUUUUAGAGAAAAUUAAUUUUUUUUUGCAAUCUUAGGUUCCAUGAAAUUAAAAAGCCAAUAACAAGUCAAUAUGGCUUGAGACCCAGUCAUCAUAUUCAAAGUCAUCCAACUUAGAAGCAUUCAUUUUGCCACUAACAUGUGCUAAUUUCCAUUUUCUAUCUUUCAAGAGAAAAAGACUGCUCUUAACCAUGGCAAAUAAUUGAACCCAUUAAGAAGAUUGAGGAAAGUAUCAUAUGAGGGUUGUCAUUUUCCUCCAUGACAAAGAAAAAGCAACAGAGAAAAACUCAUAAUAUUAGAAAGAGAAUGAAAGAAAUUGAGUCAUAGAUACACACAGAAGAAUCCAAAAAUAAAGCAAUAAUACAACCACAAAUAUGAGAAGAAGCUCAAUUACAAAGAAAGGAACUCAAUACAAUCAACUAAAAAGCGUUCCGAAGUUCAUACGAAAAUAUUCAUAAUGUGAAGAUCAUUUCAUGAUUCCUACAAUUUCUUCCUUCUACCAGUCCACUCCAUACAAGGUUUGAUCAACAACUUCUUCAUUGAUUUUCUGGUCUCUCUCCGGUGUAUCAUAGAGCAUUUUUGACAUGUUUCUGCAAGAUACACUUGUUAACUUUAAGCGACAUAAGUGCAAAAAAAUAAGAUCAUGUUGUAUUGCCUGUGCUUCCACUCUGCCUUGUUUAGUACUAUUAUGGAGCAGUACUUCCAUAUAGAACCAGUGAUCUCCAGUUCAUUAUGUUGCCUUCUUUAAACUAACUUUAAUUAUCUAUACAUAUAAAACAAAGUGGUCCCAUCAAGGGGCUAAAUCAAGAAUCAAGUGGGGCGAACAGGAAACAGUGGCAUCAAUUUUUAAGUCCAUAAGCUUUAAUAAAAGGAAUAAAACCAAGGAUAUGAAUAUGUUAUUUUUUCAUUUGUUCAUGCACUGGAAGAUCUUUCCUCUUCAAGCAUUGAACCAGCAUCCUUCUGUGCAAGUUGCUGUCGGAACCUUCUAUAAUUGUCAGAAGUCUGUUUCUGAAAUAUACAGAUAAAACUUUUAGCAAGUCUUGACAUUGCUCAUCACUAGGACAUUGUACUAGGAUACCAAUUCAUCUAAUUAGGGUUAAGUUGGCAUCUCGUACACUAUUUUUUAUUUUUCCUUCAUCUUUUGUUCCCAUUUGCAGUGGAAGUGGCACUUAGAAUAUCUGAUCAUGAAGAAUUAGCUUUCGGUGAGAUGAUACUAGGUCAAUUGCCAUUAUCUUUUUGAGUUACUGUGCGAGCAAUCUUGAAAAUAUUUUGGGAUAAAUAGAAUUUGUGCUUAUCAUAAACAUGCUAAACAUCCAAAUCAAGUGCUUUUACUAUUGAUAUCAAAUCAGUAAUUGAUUUUAACCUUUAUGCUUAUCUUUCAGAUUCUCAAUUAUGUAUCUUGAAUAAUGAUAUUAAGCAGAAAUCAUGAAUUGAAUUGCUUUAAUUAACUGUGCCUUAUCAAGCUUGUCAGCAGUGCUAUUGCUACCGCGAAUCAAAUUCGCUGUGCUUCCCGCCUUCUCCAAAUAAGCCACAAGCCCAAUUAUAUCCGCCCUCCUCCCAUCUCCAAGGGAUCAAAAAAUAAAAUGACUUCAAUCAAUUUUCAAGUUUUCCAUCUUGAUCAGUAGACCACCCGGCAUGAAUGUUACCCUCAGUUUAGGAAUAGGAAUUCCUUUUACUAAUCAUUUGGCACUAAAAACUAUGACCCCUAGCAAUUCAUUCCCUCCAUUAGAUAUCUGGGGGCAUCUUGGCUCAGCCAAAAAUGAUAAGUCAUUGCAUUUCACAUUGCAUUCAUUUGUAUUAAUGAGCUAAUUUUUUUUCACAGAAUGUGAUGUGAAUCGAAUUACUUCCAACCAUGUGUCUCUAUAAGGGUUUAACAAAUGUAAUUUGCAUUGUCUGUACACUUUUUUUUCGGUUUCUUUUCUUUUUUAUGCAUGAUUCAUUAGUCCACGGAUCUUCUAUGCAAAGUGUGCAGGCCAAACACCUCCUUCAAUGCAUUAUUCUAGAAGUUAAGACUCAGUUUACUCCUUAAUUGAUCUGUUCCAUUUACUUCAAAUCAUUUGAUUACAUUAAAUGAAUCUUGAAAUUCAAAAAUGCAUCAAAGUUAAAAGACCUUCCAAUGCAUUAAGAAAUCAUCUGAUACAAAUAUAUGUGAACCUGCAACAACAAUAAUGUCAAAAUGGAAAACUUAGGUAGAAAAUAUUAGAACGGAAACUUACGACGAACUCAAUUUUUGGCGCCUUUCUUCUUCUCAUCUUCUGAUCCAAGAAGCUCUUCCAACACCGUGUCAUCCAAACACUCGAACUCAAUGACUUGCUUUUCUUGCCCAGAAGAGGAACCUCCCAUCUCUAAACUCCUACAAGGCCCAGAAGAUGACGAGGAAGACGAUGAGGAUGGUGAUGGUGGGGGGCGAUGGGAGCCCAUGAUUUCAGAAUAGUACUCAUUAGGAAAGUUAAGAAUGGCAAGAUGACCCCUUAAGUUAAAGGCCGCUCGAUCAUAGGCGCGAGCUGCAUCCUCCGCCCUGUCAAAUGUGCCUAGCCAUAGACGAGCACCUUGCCUAGACGGAUCCCUAAUCUCGGCUGCAAACUUCCCCCAUGGCCUCCUCCUCACCCCUCGGUAUCGAACUUCUUCCUUUUCCUUCCCUUCCUGCUCCUGCUUCUCAUUCCCUUUCGAAUGAUCUUCCAUGCUAAACGUGUCGAUUUGCUAGGCGCAAUUUUUUUGGUUUCAAAUGUGCUGGUUUACGAGAGGCAUGGAUGCUUAUGUAUAUAUAUGGUUGCCACAGUCAGGUCUGACGUCACCGCUCAAUGUAUGUUCCACAGCGUGGGUUGACGAGCUUUCUGAGGGGGUUUCCUCGAAUUCAAAGCAAGUAUAAAAAUUCGAUUCUCCGACCUUUCCAAUGAGGAUCGAACAGGCCUUUUAUUAGAACCGUAUGAUAACUCCACACUGUUUUCAAAUAGUCAAUGUGAUCUAGAUUCUUCGUUAAUUUUUUCCACCUGACUGAUUGUUUACAAUUUUAUUUUUCACCGUCCCAAAUUUAAACCAUUUACGCGAUUCCCUGGAUUGCAUUUUUCUUUAAUGUUGACUUUACGAGGCAAUAGGACCCCCCAGCAACCCCACUAGGGCGACUUCAUGGGAACCAGAUUACUUUUGGAUCCAGAUAUGGUCCAGAAGAAAUAAGACAAAUCAAUUAAUGUCCACUAAAGUUUUGAUGGAACCCUUAGUCCGUGUUUCCUGUGGAUGUAUGUAUUGUAUGCACCUCAAUUUUCACCAAUCCCUGCUACGAGUCCCUUUAAUUUUGACGUUAUAAAUGUUUUUCCUGACAUUAGCAGAGUGUUUUUCUGCCGUCUUUGAGGACCUUCCACGGCCCAUAAACUAAUAAGGAUCGUCCAGUGAAUUUAGUCUUCCCCAGUUAAUUAUCCUGCGAGGGAAACUUGGGCAGUAAGUUGCCUACAUGAGUGGCUCCCGCCUACAUGAGUCAAGGGACCAUACGUCAGGACGACAACCAGUGUGGUCACACCAAAGUGGGUUGCCUGGACUCCAGGGUGGUCGCUUCAAAGUUGUCAAAUGAAGGCUAGCUUGGCAAGUUUUGGAAAACAAUUAUUGAAAAACAUUUUUCAUGAAUAACAGUUUCUAUGAACAGAUUUUAAGAAAGUUUAUUUUGUGAUUUUUAGGAAUAUUUUUAAUUUAAAUUUUUAUAUUUUUAAUUUUUUAUUAAUUUAUUGAUUAUUUAAUAUUAGCUUAAUUAAUGGAUUUUUCUUGGUCCCAAAUUAUUAAUUUAUCAAGAUUUAAUCGCAUCCAUAAUUAGUCUAAUUUCUUUUGGAGUGAGUGUGACAAAGUGCAAAUUUCUAGAGUUUUAUUAAUGUUAUUCAAUGUCAUAAUUUAACUAAUUAUAUUAAUUAUUUAUUAAUCAAAAUAAAUCAUUCACUUGAAAUAUGAUAAUUUAAAUUAAAAGUUUCAAUUAUUUAUUAAUUAGCAAAGUAUGAACUUUUCUUCUUGUUUUAUUAUUGUUAUUCCAUGUAUAUAAUUUAAUUAACUGUUUCCAAUAUUAAUCAAUAAAAAUAGAAUAUAAGCAUGAGAAGAAUUAGUAAAAUUCAUUGAUUUGGAAUUAGAUAGCUAGAGGAAGAACUUCAUCAUCUUCCCAUUACUUAAAUUUGUAUAAAUUCUAAAUAUUUAAACCCCCCCCCCCCCCCCCCCCCCCAAAAAAAAAAAAAAUGGUAAAGAAAGACUCCCCAAGCUUUCUUGGUUGGUGUUACCCUAAAAUUUGUACAAUAAGAUGAACCAUUUGGCUUAAAGCUUGGUGCGAAACCCCUUAUCAAUUGAAAAUAUCAAUGAAGUUGUUGAAUGGUUUUAGAGGACUAUUCUUAUGCAGAGUGGCAUAAGAAGCGAGGAGAUGAAGAGCGGAGAGACGUUAACAUCGGAUGCUGCUACGAAGGUGGGAAUACGGUUAAUUAAUUAGAUUUUGUGAUGGCUUUGAGUUUGAAGGAGUUAGUUUAAUGGGUAUUAUUAGUGAACUGAUAAUUGGAUUUGAUGUAAAGAAGGUUGGUCCAUUGGAUUAGCAAUUGGUUUGGCCUUUUGGGGGCCCCAUUUCCAAAUGCAUUGCCUUUUACAAGCAUUCAACAUCGCUGGACGUAACCAGGCUUGGUUCACCUAAAAGUAUCGCAUGGAUUGAAUUGACUAAGUUUUCAUUGUAGACUAGCCUUGAUUUUCCCUUGACCUGCCCACCAAAUCCUGAUGCCCACGCGAGGGAAUACCUCAAUUUUCUAAUAAUUUAUGCAGUUUCUCUUCAAAGCUCGUGUGAUCACUUGGGUCGGUAAAAUAAUGCAUUCCUCUACUUUUUCUCCCUUCCUAGAUGCAUGUUAUACCAUUAAUUCAAAUGUGAACAUGGGCUUGGCUUUGAAACUUGGUUCAAGGCCCAACAUGUUGACCCACAAUUGAGGUGUAAUUGAAUUUGUACACUUUUCGACUUUGAUACCAUUUGUCAUUACCAUUGACAUUGGGUCAUUGUUGAUUUUGAGUCCACAACUUUUAAGGUUGUUAUUACAAUUUUAAAUUGCGCCCACCCAAUUUAUAUGCAUUAUCCCUUAUAAAUACCGAUAACCUCUCUUUCUUCGAUAAUAUAAAAUGUCACAUAUAUUAUAUAUCUCAAUGUUUUCUUUUACUUUUUUUUUUUUUAUCGAUCGACAUUCUCUCUCAGAUGAUAUGAGAUGUCACAUAUAUUAUAUGUUUCAAUGUUUCUUUUACUUUUUCUCUUUUUCCUCAUGAUUGACAUUGUCUUUCUCAAAUGAUAUGAGUUGUCACAUAUAUUUUAUGUCUCAAUGUUUUCUUUAACUUUUUUUCUCUCUUCUUUAAUGAUCGACGUUCCUUUUCUCAGAUGAUAUGAAAUGUCAUAUAUAUUAUAUGGCUUAAUGUUUUCUUUUACUUAUUCUUUCUUUAUUAAUAAUCGACAUUUUAAGCAAUAUGUGAAUAUAAAGCAUUAAAAUUAUCUCCAUCGUUUUUGGAUGUGGUAUAAAUACACAAUUCUUAUUUUUGUUUUAAAUAUUUCUAUUGCUAUCUAUUGAAAUUUUAUGCAUGAAGCUACCAAGUUAAUUAUACAUAUAUCUUAAGAUUUUUUUUUUUUUUUUUUAUAGGAUAUAUUGUCCAUGAAUAUUUUCUGCAAUGGUAUCUUGUUUGAUUACUAUAAGAAAUAAUAUAUAUAUAUAUAUAUAUAUAUAUAUAUAUAUAUAUAUAUAUAUAUAUAUAUAUUAUAUUUCAAUGUUUCAUAUUUGCUUAAAAUAAAAAUUAUAUUUUAUCACAAUAUUUGGUAUUAAAAAAAAUGAAAUCUCUCUCAUUUAUUAUUACAAAAAAAUUAUAAUUUAUAAUUUUCUAAAUAAGUUUUAUUUAUUUGCUAACUAUAUUCAUGAUUAAAAGAUUUAAAAUUUAUAAAUAAAAAAUAUUAUGUCAUGUCAUUAAAUAAAUAAAAAUAUAUGUAUAUAUUAAAAUUAUGUUUUAUUGUAGCUUUUAAUAUUUUUUUUUUUAUUCUUUUCUUUUUUGAACUACAAUUUUAAUUUUUUUUAAUCAAAAUUUUUUAAUUUACAAAACGAGUAACAUAAAACUUGCCUUUGAACUUUAUUGGAAUGUUAUAUACUACCAUUUGGCUUUCAAGACAUUAGAAAAGGCAUAAGUGUCCCUUUUAUUUUUCCGAAAGGCAUAUUAGACUAUAGUAGGAAGUGUUGUAUAGAGGCAACUAAAAGUUGCCUUUAACUUUAUGAAGUCAUAUACUCCUCUUUGGCUUUGAUGACAUCAACUAGCAAAUUGGAUUUUGUUUCCUUUGCAACAUUUUUCCAUCCAUUAGCCAGUUUUUUUAUACUGUUUGGUGCUUGCCAACAUGGCACACACUAUGGUUCUUAAAAAGUAUUUUUUUUUUUAAGAUACUACGAAAUAAAAUACACGAUUGAAAGAUGAGUCACAAUAAUUUUCAAAACUAAAUUUUUUAAUAUUGUUAAGAAAAUUUGACCACCAAAUGAUUGAUUUUAAAUUACAAAUACUUUUGUUAGCUAAGAAAUUUGUUGUUCUAUUUGUUUCCCUAUAAAUAUGACAACAAUCAUAAAUAUUUUCAUUUUAAGAUAAUUUUCAAAUAUCUUCCAUUAAUAAUAUAAUAGAAUUAGGAAUUUUUUUUUUAGUUAUAACAAUCUAUAAUUAUUUAAGAGUCUUCCUCAAUCUCUAGGUUUAAGAACUUAUUGUUCUUAACAACUAACAUGUCAUCUCUUAAAAUAAUACAUUCUGCAAUAAUUAUUGAAAUAUGAUAUAAUAUAUAUAUCUACUUACAACCAUUUUUGUAGUACCAUUAGAAUUUUUAAUUACCCAUUCUAAAGUAUUUUUAUUCUCUAUUCUUAAACCAUCAAAAUUUAAUUUAAAUCUUUCAUUAAUUGGAUAAAUCCAAUGAAUCUAACAAGUUAAAGGAUUAUGAAUCCGACAAAACAGUUGAUAAUAAAUUAAUAAUGCCAUUAAUAUGAUUUUAAUGUGAAACACAAUUAUCACAUUUAAUACAGUUAGUCCUUGUAUGAUUAAUGUUUUGGAAGCUAAAAUCAAUCUUUUGACUAUAAUAAGAGUUUCUACUAUUUCUAUUUUUGGAUGAUUUUAUAUUUUUCUUAUUGUUUUAGUUUAAUACAAAAAAUAAAAAUAAAAUUACAUUAGUAGAAUUUUUUUAACUUACUCAAAAACCUAUUUUAGUUGAAUGAUUUUUUUAAAAAAAAUAUAAAUAUUUUGUUAAAAGGGAUAAAAUAACCUUACCUUGUGAAAAAGACCUCUUCACCCAAGAUUACUUGUUCAUAAUCCUUUUAAGACGAAAAUGCCCCCUUCCUAAAAAAUAUUUCAUCUUAAACUUAUUUUUCUUUUUAUUGCCCUUUGUUCCAUCCUUCCGGCUUGGGAGAGAAAUUCAUUCUUCUUUUGCGAAGAAAAAUUCCUAUUGCGAUUUUUCAUUUCAAGUGGAAAAAAAAAUUCUUAUUUCAUUUUAAAGAAAUUGUACAUUUUCAAUCUUUCUCUUUGUUCCUAGUUGAGGGUUUUUUUUGUAAUUUUAUCUUAACACUACAAAUUUAAAGGUGAGAUUAAAUCUUAAUGGUUAUUAGUUAAAUCACAUAUCUAACUUUGUUUUUGUCAGGACCUAUAAUAUGAUUGGAACCACCAUCCAAACUUCAUUAGGUGGGAUACUCCCCACCCUCCCCCUCCCCCCGCGAAAUCCUUGGAUUUUAGUUUUGACUUGGAUUUCAAUUGCCCGUAUCAAUUUUUCUUUAUUUAUUAAUUUAUUAAUUUUCAACUUUAACAAAAGCCUUGAAUCAUAUUUAAAUUCAAAUAACUUAAUCCUAAUUAAGUUCUUUUUAAAUAAAAAUUAAUCAUUGAAAAGUUCAUGUGACUAUUAUAAUUGAGAAUUUAUCCCAAGUUGGGUUUUUUGCAAAUAAAAUUUUAUUAUAGGACAUCAUGAUGCAACAUAACAUAAGGUUGUUACUUAAGUUUGUUUUGACCUUGUAAUAUGUUAAAAUGAAAAUGAAGCCAUUGUAACAGGAGAGAAUGAUGAAGCUGUGGAGAGAGCUUAACAAAGCUUGGGUUGGAGAGACUUCACAGGAAGAGAGAGAGAGAAAUAAAGGGUAAAAUUAUCAAAAGAGAAAAGAAAAAAAAAAAAAAAAAAGAAGGUUAUGUCUUCAAAUAAUCAAUAAGAGAUGUCAUUUUUCUAAUUUUCAAAGUUCUUUUGGUCCUUCUCUACAAAUAUCCCUAUAAAAAUAUUAUAAUAUCAAGUUAAUUUGUCAAUACCAAAAUUUAUAUUUUAUAUUAGGGCGACUAAAUAACAUAUAGAAAGAAUUUUAAAUGAGUAAAUCAAAUCAAUUUUGAAACCAAAACUUAAUAAUUACCAAACUUGUAAUCUUAGUCAUUAAAAGUGUACGAUGAAAUCUAAAUUAUUAAGCAAUGAAACAAAAAAUUAAGAUUAAAAUACAAAACGUUAAAAUCAAGAUACAAACUAUUAAAAUGUAAGUGGGAUAUGAGAUGAUAUUAUAAAAAAUAGUGUGAUCCAACAAAAAGUCUAGUACAUCAUUAUCUUCACUUCCAACCAUGUUUAAAAGGUCACAAGUUCUAGCGGUUUCCAAGGACAAUGUUAAAAAUAAUAAAAAUAAAUCCAAUUAAAUAUUAAUUAAUUUAUUUGAAUUUGAGUCCGACAAAAUAGUUGGUAAUAAGUUAAUAAUGCCAUUAAUAUGAUUUUAAUGUGAAACACAAUUAUCACAUUUAAUACCCGUUAGUCCUUGUAUGAUUAACUUUUUAGAAAUUAAUAUCAAUCUUUUGAUUAUAAUAAGAGUUUCUACUAUUUAUAUUUUUGGAUGAUUUUAUAUUUUUCUUAUUGUUUUAGUUUAAUACAAAAAAAUAAAAAUAAAAUUACAUUAGUAGAAUUUUUUUUAACUUAUUCAAAAAACCUAUUGUAAGGUGAAUGGUUUUUUUAUUUUUUUUUUAAAUAUAAAUAUUUUCUUAAAAGGGAUAAAAUAACCUUACCUUGUGAAAAAAGGCCUCUUCACCCAAAUUUACUUGUGCAUAAUCCUUUUCAGACGAAAAUGCCCCCUUCCUAAAAAAUAUUUCAUCUUAAACUUAUUUUUCAUUUUUAUAACCCUUUGUUCCAUCCUUAUGAUUUGGGAGAGGAAGUCAUUCUUCUCUUGUGAAGAAAAAAUUCCUACUGCCAUUUUUCAUUUCAAGUGAAGAAAAAUAUUUAUAUUUCAUUUUAAACAAAUUGUACAUUUUCAAUCUCUCUUUGUUCCUAGUUGAGGUUUUUUUUUUUUUUUUUUUUUUUUGUAAUUUUAUCUUAAUUGUACAAAUUCGAAGAUGAGAUUAAAUCUAUAAUGGUUAUUGGUUAAAUCACUUAUCUAACUUUGUUCUUGACAGAUCGUAUAAUAUGAUUGGAACCACCAUCCUAACUUUAUUAGGUGGGAUCCCUUUUUUUUUUUCCCCAAACCCUUGGAUUUUAGUUUUGACUUAUAUUUCAAUUGUCUGUAUCACUUUUUCUUUAUUUAUUAAUUUUCAACAAGUUCUUUAACAAAAGCCUUGAAUCAUAUUUAAAUUCAAAUAACUUAAUCCCCAUUAAGUUCUUUUUAAAUGAAACUUAAUCAUGUGAAAGUUCAUGUGACUAUUAUAAUUGAGAAUUUAUUCUUAGUUGGGUUUUUUGUAAAUAAAAUUUAGUUAUAGGACUGUGAUGAUCCGUUCUCAACCGUAUAAAUAUUGUUCGUUUUGAAUUCAAAAUAACUUUUACGGCUUUAAAACAUGUUUACAAGAUUAAGAGGAGUCCAUAUUUAUAUAGCUUCACGAACUUUCCCCCCUAUUCGAUGUGGGAUGUCACAAGGACAUCAUGAUGCAACGUAUAACAUAAGAUUGUUUCUUAAGUUUGUCUAACCUUGUAAUGUGUUAAAAUGAAGAUGAAGCCAUUAUAACAGAAGAGAAUGAUGAAGUUGUAGAGAGAGCUUAACAAAGCUUGGGUUGGAGAGACUUCAUAGGAAGAGAGAGAGAGAGAGAGAGAGAAAUAAAGGGUAAAAUUAUCAAAAAAGAAAAAAGAAAAAAAAGAGGGUGAUGUCUCCAAAUAAUCAAUAAGAGAUGUCAUUUUUCUAAUUUCAAAGUUCUUCUGGCCCUUCUCUACAAAUAUCCCUAUAAAAACAUUAUAAUAUCAAGUUAAUUUGUUGAUACCAAAAUUUAUAUAUUAUAUUAGGAUGACUAAAUAACAUAUAGAAAGAAUUUUAAAUGAGUAAAUCAAAUCAAUUUUGAAAUCAAAACUUAAUACCUACCAAACUUGUAAUCUUAGUCAUUUAAAGUGUUCCAUGAAAUCUAAAUUAUUAAGCAGUGAAACAAAAAAUAUAAGAUUAAAAUACAAAACGUUGAAAUCAAGAUUCAAACUAUUAAAACGUAAGUGGAGACGUAAGAUGAUGUCAUAAAAAAUAGUGGGAUCCAACAAAAAGUCUAUUAAUCAUUAUCUUCACUUCCAAUCAUGUUUAAAAGGUCACAAGUUCUAGCGGCUUUCAAGGACGAUGUUAAAAAUAAUAAAAAUAAAUCCAAUUAAAUAUUAAUUAAUUUAUUUGAACAAUAGAUAGGACCAAAAUAAUAUUCUAAAAGGAAUCAUAGGGAAGUCCUUGGACAACCUACGACAUUGAACAAAGGUACAGUGAGACAAUGCACUUAGCCCUUCCUUGUCAUUGCGAUGAAUAUAAAAAGACACCCUGAUUGAGGGUGCCCCACUAAGCCAAGAGUGAUUCUUUUGUAUUGUAUAACGUGAAUAUUUUUGAACUUUGAAUGACCCUUCCUAUAGUCAUCAUUGUCAAAACUAGAAAAUCAGAAAGAUGCGAUGUACGAAGGCACCAUUGAAUAAGAGGCUUAAUUCUCUUUGGCAAUUAGGAUAAAGUUUCAAAAUAGAAAAAUUAAACAAAUGUACAGUGUACGGACACUUGGGCAUUGCCUAUUUGUUUUGUUCUUCUAGAGUUGUAUAUGGUAAAGGUCAUAUUGGGUUGGUUCUAUUUGGUUAUUGAAGUCGGCUAGAAUAUUAGAUUUGGUUUCAAUCUAAUCCCAUAUGAUAUUAGAAUACCAGCCCAUACAGAAUUUUUGACCAAAUAUAAUAUUUCUUUUAAAUAUAAAUAUAGUAAUUAAUUUUAGUCUAAGAUUAAUUAUGUAGUUUCCUAAAGAGACCACUUCCUAAACGGUAGCUAUGUGGAAGUUGGGCCAGGUCCUGCCGAGAAGGUUUCCACGAGCUGAGCCCAAAACUGAGUAGCUGUGAUGGGAUCAUUCUAGCAUUCAGCCUGAAACUUGUAACAUAACGGAUCGAGAGGCCUGAACUCCAAGACCAUGGUUCGUCAGCCCAUUAACUUCAACAGCACGCAUUUUAGAGGACUGGGCUUGCAAGGGGUGAGGUUUCCGGGCCGCGACCCCAAAUAUGAACAGCCUCAGAAGUGAUAUUGCUUACUGGCACGUGAAGAGCGCAAGCGUAACUAGAAGAUUUGUAAUGCCGCUUUAAUUGUUUGAUUAUAGAAUCCCACGCAUUACGCAUGGAAAGUGUAAAAGAUAAAAGAUGUAGAAUUUUUUCUUAGAGAAAAGUUCGUUUGGAUAUAGUUAUUGUUUUUUUUUUAAAUAAUAAUUGUUUUUUUUAUAAAUUAUAGAUAAUCUUAGAAAUUUAUCUUUAAAAAAAUAGUUUUUAAAAAUAUUUAAGGAGAAUAAAAGUGAUAAAAAAAAACUUUACAAUUUCAAAUUUUUAAAAAAUGAAAAUUAUUUUUAAGAAUAUAAGUUAAUCUCCUGCAUUUAAAUCUUAGGUGGUUUUUGUUUUUUUUACUUUUCGCUGAAAACAAUUUGUUUUCAAAAUUUAGGUCAUUUGUUUUUUCUAUUUUUUCAUGAUUUAUUAUAAAUUUUUUACUAAAUAAAAAAAAUCAAAAUAUGUAACUUUUUCUAAAUAAAAAAAAUAACGUAUUGAUUUUUCUUUACUUUUUAAUACUUAAUAGAUAUAAAAUACUACAAAAACAAAAAAUCUAAUAUUUAACACUAUUAAGCAUUAAAGUUCUAUUUAGAAUUAAGUAAAAAAACAAACACCACCUUAUAUUUUAUAUAAAAGUUACUUAUAUUUUGGUUUUUGGAAAUAAAAAAUAUAAAGCAUAUCCAAACAUGAGCUUAGCUAUUUUAAAUCAUAUCAAAAUAAUAAUCCCAAUAAGGUAAAUGGACUUUUAUACGGAGAAUAAUCUUUAAGGUUUUCAUUUUUAUUGGAUUUUUUUUUUGUGGUGUUUUUUCAAUCCAUCUUCUCAAUUAAUUCCUUAAAAUUAUUUUACUGUUUUUUUUUUUUUCAGUUUCUAAAUAUUUGAUUUUUCCAAAAUGCUUAAAUGGAAGACACUAAUUUUUCAAGAUAUUUGGUAUUACAAUUUUCCCUGUUCUCCCUAUUAUCUAUCAGAUUCAUGGCCCUUUUGUUUUUUCAUUGGUUUUCAAUUUAAUUUUCCAAAUAUUACAUUGUUGUGUUUUGAAUUUGUGAAACCAAUUUUAUAUAUAUAUAUAGUAUGUAAGUCUACUUUGGGUAACAUGUACAGAGAGGUUUUCAUGUGUUUGAAACCUUUUACCUCAAAAAUUAAUUAUUUUUAAUUUUAUAAUAAAUCUUUUUUUAUUUUUUAUUUUAUUUAGGAAAGCCUAUAUUUAAACUACAUGUUUGCAACGCAACACCAUACAUACUCCUAGUGGAACUUACCUUAGUGCUUGAGGGGGAUGCAGAUCUUCUUCUAAACCUAACUAAUAAGCAUAAAAUUGUUCACUAAUUAGCAUAUCUAGUAAAUCAUACAAAUUGGCAAUAUUUCAUGUUUUUCAUGUUUUGUCAAUAAAAGGCGUCUUGACCAUUUUGUGAGUUUUGUAAUAAAUAAAAAAAAAAAAAAAAAAAGGGCAAAAGGUGACUAAAAUGAGGCACUUUGGAAAGGUUAAUAACCUAAAAGGAAGAUGAAUUAAUACCCCCUUAUUCCUCUUCAAAAACCAUUGAGAAAAUGCAAGAAAUGCUCUUAGUUGUAUGCUAGGCUAACAGCCUAGCAACCAUAAUACCCUUCUUUGCAAUUGUAAGCAUUUUUUUUUUUUUUUUGAAGGCCAAACAACGUUGCAAACUUCCCAAAUCCCUUCUUUAUUUUUUAUUUUUUUAUUUUUGUUUUUAGAAGGAGAAUGAAUUUGAUGACAAACUCCUUGUCAAUCUUAUCCAAACCACGAUCGAACAGAACUCCUUGUCAAUCUUAUCCAAACCGUGUUCCACCUCAAAAACAUGUGUAGGACUUAAGGCAGCAACUGGCAAGCAUGACUGAUAGGGCCAAGUGCCCUUGUCUCUACAAUCCAUUAAGUUAACCAAGGGCAGUGAACCAUCAUUCUUUUCAAAAGCUUCAUUCCGUGUUGAAAAUGUGAGACUGAAGCAUGGUGCCCCCAAAAAUAACGAUCUAUUUACUAGCAGCAUGCCUGGACCCAUUAAAAAUACUCUACUUUAGGAAUAGAAAAAAUUACAUCUUUAUCCAAUAAUUUUAUAACAAUUCAGACGUUUCAGUCUAUAAAUAAUUGUACAUAGUUGCCAACGUUUAGCUAGUUUCAAAUGAAUAGCCUAGGUUCAUGCACCAGUUUGGCUGGUGGAGGAAAGGGAUUCGAGACAUUGAACCCUCUUUUUAGUGUGCCAAAUAUUCCACAAAAAUCACUACCUUCUCUUUGUGUUUGUUCACUUUUAGUUUAUAUUUAAUAAAUCUAUGUUUUCGAGUAGAGGUUGGGUUCAGGUGCGACCCACGUCACCUCUCGGACGGUCUUGAAAAAGGAGACCGGACCACGUAAUUUCAAAUGUAGUGACCAUCUCACUUUUACCUCCAUCCUUGAAGAUGGUUUCCCAAAUCAAUAUUAAUCUUUUGUUUACGACAAUAUCGAUCACUUUAUGUCUAUAUCGUUGUUAAUUUACCUUUUUUUUUUAGCCACAUUAUUUGAAAAUUGAUGCAAACUUUACCAACAUCUUGGUACCAUUUUAAAAUAUUAGAGUUAUUUGAUUAAAAAAAUAAAAUAAUCUCGAUAACUUGUUUAUAAAAUAAAUAUCUUUUAACAUUUAGACUAUUCUCACGCAUGCUUUAAAAUUGUAAAGAUAUUCAUAAAGUGGAACUUUAGACUUAAUCAAUAUCGAUCACUUUAUGUCUCUAUUGUUGUUAUAUUUUUUUUUUACAACAUUAUUUGAAAAUUGAUGCAAACUUUACCAACAUCCUAAUACCAUUUUAAAAUAUUAGAGUUAUUUGAUUAAAAAAAUAAAAUAAUCCCGACAACUUGUUUAUAAAAUAAAUAUCUUUUAAUAUUUAGACUAUUUUCACCAUGCUUUAAAAUCAUAAAGAUAUUUAUAUUCAUAAAGUGGAACUUUAGACUUAAACAUGAUAAUAGUUUUUUUACAAUAUUAUAAUUAUUUUAUCGUUUUAAUUAAGCCCUUUAUCAUACAUAUAAAUGUAAAUUAAUGCUAAAUUUUUAAAGCAACGUAUAACCUUUUACAUCUUUUUUUAAGAUGGUGCGAAAAUCCUAUGAAAAAUAAUAAAAGUCGAUGCAUAAGAAGAUUGUUUUGAUAAUUCAAUAGAAAAAUUCUUUUAAAAUGAUAUUAAAAAAUACCCAUAGAGCCUUUAUUAAAAAAAUCAAUUAUUUUCAUAAUAAAAAUUAUAAUUUUUUAUUAUGUAUUAUUAUUUUUAAGUAUCUUUAUUACAAAUACUUUUUUUGAGUUUAUGAGAGGAAUCAACAGGUUGGUACAAGCUUAGGCGUCCUCGUACAUGUUCCCGCUGUGCAAGGUUUUUGUCUUGUUUCGAGCUAGUCGGAAUUUACGUGUUUGAUAACGUUUUGUCCUAUUUUUGUAACGCUUUAAAGGGCGGCCCACCGUUGGAACAGUUCAAGCCAUCCAAAUCAGCCCGGAGGGUUAUGGCGACGUGGCAUGACGCCUACCACCUUAGUUCACAUGAACCCUAUGAUCGUACUACCCUCACAUGACAUCUGUGAUUCUUCACCUCCAAACCCUCUUUAACUUGGUAAUGUAUUCAAAGCUUCAUCAAAUCAUAGCGAUUAGCGACCCUCUUCCACCCUAAUUUUAUAAUAAAAAAUAAAUCUUAGUGGACAUUAAAGUAGUAUUUUGUGGGGGGAAAGAAAAACUCUAUGGGCGUAUCCACUAAAUACGAGCCAAGUAUAAGAGUUAUCACCAUGGAAUCAAAUUAUGAAGCAUUGACAUUUUAAUUGUAUUCAGAUUUGAGGAGGGCACCGCGGCACCAGCUGGCCCAGUGUAGUCUGCUAGCCUACCCGCCAUAAUGACCAAAUUAAUAAAGUAAAAAGGAUUACAGGGAUAUUCCCAACUUUAUUCUGGGUCUGAGCUGGAACUUGGGAGUUAUCACGAUCAACGGGAAAGAUGGUGGGUAGGGGACGAGGAUUGAGGGCUCCAUAUUCACAUCAGUGAAAAACGAAAUGUAUUGAGACAAGUCUUCUAAGGAUUUUCUAGCGUAUUAUAUGGUUUAAAUGAUUAUAAAUCUGUAGUUACUGGUAAAGAGUAGAGAGUGAAGACGAAAGACGUUGAGUGAAAAGGAAGGAGGAGAGGGGAUGGGGCCAUCUUACCGUGUCGGGGAGGAUCCAUAAAAGGACUACGUUCCCUGAAUCUGUAGGCAUCAUGCCUCGCCUAACGGGUUAGUCAAAAUACAGUGAUGUGUGUGAGUUGGGGGCCUCACUCCUCAUUUCUUUCCUUCUUUUCACCCCCACCCCCACUUUUUUUUUUUUUUUUUCGAAUUUUUCUUUGUCCUUUUCUCUCACUUGCGCACGCGGGAGAAGGACCACAAACUAGACAAUUCCUCUGCUCACGUGACCCCGAGUUUUUAAAUAUUUGCCUAUUUGGAAAAUAGUCAUGAAUCAUGAUCGUUAACAAACAAUCUUCACUUUAUUUAUUUAAGAUCUAUUUUUUGGAGCUCUAGUUUAGUUUAUUAUUAUUAUUAUUAUUAUUAUUAUUAUUAUUAUUAUUAUUUAGUAACUCCUCUUAUAUUAAUGAAAAAGAGAGGAGGAAUCCAAACUUGUUUAUUCUUCCUCUUUUAAGGUGUUUGUUUUUUUUAUUUUAUUUUUAUGCUUCAUAUGUCUUCAAUUUCUUAGCAUUUGUCUUAUAUUUCUUCUUAUCCGAUUCAUUAUUGCAUCCUUGGUCAAUCUUUCACGAGGAGUGCCUACUUUUUUCCUUUUUAUUAUUUAAUUCACUUUAUCUUUAUAUUUUCCUUUUACACUUUAUUUCCAAUUCAAAACGUGUCAAAAAAAAAAAUUGGUAACAAAAAAAAAAAAAAAAAUCAAUUGUAAUGAUUCUUAUAUAAUUUUAUUUAAUUUUUAUUAAACAAUAAAGAAAUUAAAAAUAUAUAAAUUUUUAAAUAAUUAUUAUAGUCUUUCAUUUUUGUGUAUAAUUUCUUUUGCAAGAAAUAGUGUAGGCUUUCCACGGUCUAAAGGAAAUGGAAUAUCAAAUGAGAAGGUAAUAAUAAUAAAGUGAGUUAUAGAUACUAAUCAAACUAAUCCACUAAUGAAUUAUUUAUUUUUAUUUCACAUGGACAAAUCCUAAAAGUUGGAGUUCUAAUUUACUUUUAUGUUAAGCUUUUUUAAGUAAAAAUCUUUUAUUAUUAUAAUUUAUAGACAAAAAGAAACCCAUUAAUGUGAUGGAUAAAAAAUUUCAAUUUAAAAAAAAAAAAAUUAAAGUUGCUAAAUUUUUGUAUUUAUUAUUUCAAACUCAUUUAAAUAAUUUAAAAAUAUGUCUUCAAUUAAUUUUAAUGAAACAAAGCAUGAUUUUUUUUUAAUUUUUUUUUCUUUACCAAAUAAAGCAUUAUUAUAAUACGUUGAUUAAAUUUUCAUCAUGUCUCUCAAGAUUUGGAUUAAAUAUACUUAGUUGUCAUAAAUUUGAAAUUUUAUUUAAUGUAUUUUUUAUUUUAAAUUAAAAAGAUGAAUGCAAAUAAAAAAAAUAUGUAUAUUUUAUAAAAUUUUAAAUUAAACGAAGGAUACGUGUAUUUAACCAAGGUGAAUGAAAUUAAUCCAAAUACUUUUUGGUAACUUGCAAAAUAUCUUGACGAAAUCAUUAUGGCAGGCAUCGUACAAGCUCAACCCUUGUCGCCUUGCUAGAAAUAGAGAAACAAAAAGACCCCCAAAUUGGGUUGCAUCCUAAAUAUGAAGAAGUGGUAACAAAGGAAGAAAAAAUGCUGUGUUAUUGAAUAGUUAAUACAUUGAACAUGAUAUGUUACAUAGAGAGCCAGAUUAAUCCUAGUGGAAUUCCACUGUCACGAUGGUAACCUAGGGUUAUGUUUGGUUAUUGAAAAUACCAAGAAAAGAAAAAAAAAUAUAAAGGAAAAUAAUUUUUUCAUUUUUGAUUGUCUUAUAAAAGAUAUAAAAAAAAAACAAAUAUAAUUAAAACUAAUUAAAAAUUUAGGUAUUUUUAAAUUAUUUAAUUUUUAUAUUAAUGAGCGAAAAUAAAUAAAAUAAGUUUAAAAUAACAAAAAAAAUAAUUUACCGAUUUUUAAUCUAUAUUUUAUUUUACUUUUUCUUUGUAUUUUUUUUUUCUUAUAUUUUCCCUCAAAUUUUCUGAAUCAAACAUAGCAAAAAAGGAGCUACCCCUUUCGAAAGAAACUCCCAAGAAUUUCAAAGAAACCUGCUGAGAUAAUGAAUGAGGGAUCACUGUCGGUAAACAGUAUCCAUUCUUUUGGGAGGACUUUCAAACUGAGAAGUUGUUUUCAUGACUUGGAAACAAAAUUUUGAGCUCUAAGGGGGUCUGUAUUUGGGCCCUAAAAUUCAAUCCAUCAAUCUGAAAAAUGCUUAGGAUAAUGAUUUGAUUUAGCCACAAUCACUAAACAAAUUCCAGAGGAAAAUUUCGCUACUCAUAGGUGGCUGAUUCUCAUAAAAAGACAUCGUGGUAGGGUGUCUCAAGUGCAGGCUCACCAUCAACUUGCUGCCCUUUUUAGAUUAUUGUAAAAUGAUUUCACAUGAAGCCCAAUGCAAAACUUUGAAAGAAAAGGUUGGUGGAGACGUGAAGAAUAUGUAACCCAUAGGCCAUAACUAGUACCGAAGAUUAUUGAACAAACAUUCAAGGUUUUUGUAUAGACGAAACUGAAAAGAAUGUGUACCAGACUCAGGCGUUCAGAUCAGAUGAUGCCGUAAUGUGGAUUGUGGAGGAGCAUUGUGCAGACAGAUAAUGAGAUUCUGAAAGCGAGGCCACUGAUGGGCCCUUGGAAGGGGGGCGUGCCUUCAAAAUUAUAUAUAUAUAUAUAUAUAUGUCAUUGAAAAUUGGAAGCAACUUUUCUUCUUAAGUUAUUUUAAUCGAAGAAGAAACAAAAAGUUAAAAACAUACAUUAUUCUUCCUUCUUACGAGGUUUCCGGGUCUAAAUUACUAUGGUCUCUGCAACUGGCGUCGUUUUCUCUCCCCUCUCUCUAUUUUCCCUUUAUUUUUUCACUUUUAGAAAGAAGCAUCCCAUCAAGAAUCUACUACAACCCUACGCUUCCAUUUUGAUUUAGAAAGUUAAAAAUAAGUUUAAGUUAAAAAAAAAUAUUUUCUUAUAUAAUUAUUUAAACUUAUUUCUUUUCCUUUUUAUAUAAAGAAACAAAUAUUUUGCAAAUAAAUAAAUUUCUAAUUAUUUUCAUUAACAUAAUAAUAAUAUUUUUCAUAUGACUUUAAUCACAAUUUUUUUUACCACUUGUCCAAGGCGGUGAGAGGUGAUAAAAUGUAUUAAAAAAACGAUUAAAUUGCAUUAGGUAUAGAAGUUUUGUGCUUCAAUUAUCACUUAUAAAAAUAAAAUAAAAAUAGUCAAAUUUGAGUGUGCAAGUUGGUAUUCGUAUGUAGAAGGAAUUGGGGGAUUUGGGGGUCCUAACAAAUUUGAUAUGAUUGAUGGAAGGAAAUGAUUAUUAUAGGAUAAAGUCCGAAUGAAACGCUGACGAGGGGGGAAAAACAACAGUGGCAAUGCACUAUCCACAGAUCCAUGAUUGAUUUAUGUUAGCAAUAAUGAAUUAUUUUGACUUUGAUAACCUUGGUUAAGAGAAUUUGGUCUUGUUAUUAUCAUUUUUUCAAAAAAAAAAAGUGUAGGUAACUAGGUAGUUGAUUUAUUAGAAUUUAGAAAUGAGGAUCCCCUCCUCCUGCAAGAGCCGUGACAGACAUGCCUGCUUUCUUGCCAGAUUAUACCAAUGUGCCCAAAUAAUCCCCCAUCUAUCAUCUCUGCACCCUGGAACACGUCACUCCCUCCUUUGAGCAAUAAAAUAUCUCUUUUAUUUUCUUUUGAACCACUCUUCUAUUUCUUUGUACCAGACUGGACCCAUUUAAAUUCUUCGCUACGCUGUUCCCAAGGACUACGAGAAUCAAAAUAGCAAAAUUCUUGAAUCAUUUUAAUGGGUUCAGAAACCACAUGUUUCUCUAGAUCAUAAGAGGAAAAUCUUUUUGGAUGGUGUUUGUGUUGUGUUGUGUUCAAUAUUAAAUACUCAAUUAAAUAAGCUAAAUCAAAUAUCACAUGAAAAAUAAUCAAAUUAAAAAUAGGGAGAAUUAUGUUUUGAGGGUAGAUGGACCCCAAAUUAACAAAAGGUUCAUGUAACUCUUCAAAUUGAGCCCAGACCCAAUGAAAAUAUGGAAAUUGAGUUGAAGUAUAUCAUCAUUCAGUAUUUCCAAAAAUGUCCUUUGUUGAUUUUGAGAAAAAAAUUAAUAUUUUUGAAAAAUAUUUUUAUGUAAUUUAAUAUUUUUUUAAAUACUUUUAUUUAAUUUAAUAUUUUUAAAAAAUAAAUUUAUUUAAUUUAAUAUUUUAAAAAAUAUUUAAUUUAAUAUAUUUUUUAAAUACUUUAAUUUAAUUUAAUAUUUUUGAAAAAAAUUUUAAUUUAAUAUUUUUGAAAAAAAAAUUAUUUAAUUUAAUAUUUUUUAAAACUAUUUUUAUUUAAUUUAGUAUUUUUGAAAAAAAAUUAUUUAACUUAAUUUUAUAAAAUAUUUUAUAUGUGUUCUUAAAGGGUAUAUUUGUCCGUUACUAUUUCAUAUCCUUCAACUCAAUUUAAAGAGUUAUAUGGACCUUUUGUUAAUUUGGGGACCCAUCUACCCUCAAAAGAUAAUUCUCCCUUAAAAAUAUAAAUUUAAAUAUGACAUAAUUAUUAAAUAUGUUAGAUCUUGUAUGAGUUUAUAAGAUUUAUGUUUCAAAAUAACAUGUUUAUAAUUCAUCUAUUGAUUUAUAAUCAAAUUUUAAAUAAAUUAAAGUUAUUCAAGUUAAUAAAUAUGAUUUAUGUUAUAAAGACUAACUAAAAAAUAAUUUAUUAAUUAAACGGAUCCUGGUCAAUAAAAAUUUGAUUUAAAUACGAUCAUACUUAAUCAAAACUUAGGUCAAAUUGUAUUGAUAAAUUACAUCAAAACCUUGUUGUGUUCAAUAUUUUAUAUUAAACUAUUUUUUAAUAAAAUUAUUUUUAUAAAUAUAAUAUUACAUCAUUUGGAGAAACAAAAUAGUAUUAUAUUGAUUUUACAUAUAAAGCAACCAGUUAACCCCUCAUUAUUUUGAUCCAUUUCACAUCCAUAUCAUUCUCAUAAUUUUUUUAUAAUAUAUUAACAUGAUGGACGGUAAUUGAGGGUAGAAAAAAAAGAUGAGAAGAAUAAAAUAAUGUGAAUCCUCUCUAAAUGUUACAUCUUCUGACAAAUGAAGUCUAUAGAAAUGUGUAAAAAAAAAAAAAACACUUAAUUGUGAGGUUCACUUGAUUUAGCAAAAAAUUAAUAUUUUAUUUGUUGUGUGAUUUAAAAAUAAUAUUUUAUUUUUAAAAAUAAAAAAUUAUUUUUAAAGUUUUUUAACACUAUUUUACUAUUGUUCUUUGAAAUAAUUUUUAAAAUUAAAAUGAAAUAACUAAUAAUUUUUAGAUAAUAAAUUAAAGUUGUUUUUAUUAGAUUUUAAAAAUAAAAGAAAAAUAUAAAACCAUUUGAUCAAAUUUUUUUAAACUUAUUUUUAAAAGGUUUUUUUUUUUUUUUUUUUUUUUCUAUCCUAAGUUAAAAGAUAAAAAAUAAUUUUUAAAGAUAGGUUACGAGCAAAUGCCACAAACUUUUUUCUUCUCUUUCCCUUGUUCGGAUAGAAGUGAAAAAUAUCCUCCCAUGGAUCGACAUUACGUGAGCCAUCACCAUUCCCCAACUGCAAUUCAACCGCCAAAGCUGAGGUGUCAUUAUUAGUUUGAACAAAAGUCAGCAUUGUCCACGUGGUGACAAGCGGAACUGACCCAACUUGCAAGGCAAAAAAAUAAAUAAAAUAAAAUGAAAAAAUCAGAUCACCAUUAUGACGUCAGUCCAAUUGCUGACCUGGCCGCCGUCCCCCAUUUGACCCACGUGUUCAUUUAACCCAUUCGCCGUAUGCCGUGGCUCCCCACCCAUAUGGCCAUAUCUGCCAUUUAUUUUAUCCGUUGCCUCCAUUCGGUUUUUGGAUUUUACCCAUUCGCCCUCGUCUAUUCCCAUUUCCGUAUUUGCCCACCAAGGAAAUUCAAUUCCCAUGCUUUUGUUUUACAUUCAAAUCCUCCCCCCUCUAUAUAAAGGAGGGAGUAGGGCUUGAAAGUUUCUCAAGCCAACAUGGACUGUUGAGAGUGAAAGACAGAGGAGCCACAAACAAAUAUCACUCACUCAAACCAAAGCCAAAACCAAUACCGAAUUCAAUUCAAAUGACUUCUUUCUCUCUCAUCAAUUCCCUGAAUUCCGAUUCCGAUUUCAAUUUGUUAUCGGAUUCUUUUUCCUGGGAAAACUCCCUACCUUUCAAUGAAAACGACUCCCAGGAGAUGCUCCUCCUGGGCAUGCUGGCCAGCUCCACUCAGGAAACCUCAGAAACAGUUUCUUUGAAUCGAGUGAAGGAGGAAGAAGUGACUUCCCAGGAAAAUCCCGAGAAGGAGAAGUCAUACAGAGGCGUUAGGAGGCGGCCAUGGGGGAAAUUCGCAGCAGAAAUAAGGGACUCGACCAGGCAUGGCAUAAGGGUGUGGCUGGGAACAUUUGACAGUGCAGAGGCAGCUGCUCUGGCCUAUGAUCAAGCUGCUUUUGCGAUGCGGGGCCCUGCGGCAGUCCUCAAUUUCCCGGUGGAAAGAGUGAAGGAAUCGAUGCAGGAGAUCAAGUGCAUCUUGGAGGAGGGGGGCUCACCAGUGGUGGCCCUCAAGAAGAGGCACUCUAUGCGGAGAAAAAGUCCUUGCAAGAAACAUAAAAGUGAAGAGGUGAGGUUAGAAAAUGUGGUAGUGCUGGAGGAUUUGGGUACUGAAUACUUGGAACAGCUCCUCACUUUCUCUGAGACCUCUAGUCCUUGAUCAUCAUCAUCCAUCACCUGGAUAGCUUCUUCUCUUUGCUCUGUUUCUUACUUUUCUCUCUCUCUCUCUCUCUCUCUCUCUUUUUUUUUUAUGUAAUUUUUCUUAAUGUAUUUUUGGAGAUGGCGGGGGUGUAGUGGUGGCAAUUAUCCAUCUAGAAUUUUUCAAAAGAUAUGUUCUUUUGUUUCUUUGUAUAAAGUUGAAAAGUGGGGAUCAAUUGUGAUGGUGCUCUAUGUUCAUCCACCCAAUUUAUAUAAUCAAGGUGAUUAAUGUUUUUUGAUAUCAACAAUUUGUGAAUGACAUAGAGAGAGAGAGAGAGAGAGACCUUAUUUUCUACACUCAUUACGGUGGUUUCCAUUUGGGGAAGGAAAAGGAAAUGGCUAAGAAUGUUACCAAAAGAAGUGGGGUGGCUUUCAUAUGCGUGGUGGCAUACUUGCAUACAAACUUUUCAAUUGUGUUCUGCAUGCCACUCGGGUCAAUUUCAUUUCUUUUACUCCUAGUAGCCUAAUUGGAUUUCCUUUUUCUCAUGAGACAUCAAAUAAAUUUCAUUUUUUUAUAUUUAAAUAGUUAGGUAAGUUUGAUAGUGAGUUAUAUUUUAUACAUUAAUUCAUCUUUUAGAAUGUUGUCUACAAUAUAAACAGUGUAAUUAAUUUCAUCAUUACAGAACAGUCAUCUUAUAAAAUAACAUAAAAAUUAUUGGAUCACUUGUAUGGCACCACUGAUUUGGACUUGGUAUGGCUCUGUUUGGCUUCAUAGAAAAAAUUUGGACCCAAUUUGAAUGUCUUGCAUAAAAAGAGAUACGUCCCACUUUGAAUGAUAUUGAAGAAAAAAAUUUCUGAUGAAGAAUAUAUUGUUGGCAGGGUCAUGCAGGCCAAUAGGGAAACGAUAAAUUCAGAAGAAUGAGUCCAAACCAGUGGGCUUGAAAAUUAAGAAGAGAAUUGCUGUAUAAAACAAUCAUUUCUUAAUCGAGUUCACUUUCUGAAUAAUCGUCACUUUGAGAAUGCAUACUUAGGAAGAUGAUGAUCCUUAAUGGGAAUAAUCAAAGGCAUCAAAAAAUUGUUCUGGAACAAUUCUUGAUUGUCUCCAGUAAAAUUCAAAGUCAAAAGUCAAAAGUCCAGUCGGUCAACACCAAACCAGGCCAGUCCAAAAGACAUUAAUUUGCAAUCUAGAAUCUAUGAUGAGGUGGCGAAAUCAAACCUUGGCUUUUCACCAGGGAAUGGUACUCUGAAUUUGGUCAGUUCACUGUUUCGAGUGAAUAGGGUGUAGUAAUUAGUAAAUCAUAUUUUAGAUUUGUGUCACAAGUUACAAGGGAUAUGGGCUGACGUUCAAUUUUGGCGACAAUUUGUGGGCCCGUAUAUUUGUUGAGAUGUGGAAAUUGGGUGUGUGCUUUUUUCUGCUACCACAUAAAUAUAUUUCUUUGAAUUGAAGAGUGUUUCAGACCAUUUUUUUUCAAGUCACAAAUGGACAACUGAUUGAGAUUGUAUUGGUGAGAGUAGGAGUUUAUUUUGGGCUGGUUGAGCGAAGUUGAAAGUCGAGUUGGACCUAACCCUUGAAUUCAGCAGACUACAGUCCGAUCCUGUAUUUUGGAUUUAGGGAACCUUCUUUCCCAGAAGCUUCGUCUGGGUUUUAAAGUCUAAAUGUGGCUACUCUUAAACAUUGGAGAAAGGAUGAGCGUUCACAAGCAAAUGGGUAAUUGUGGAUGGUUCAAGGACCUGGCCAGCUGGUCUUCAAGUUUGGAUGCCGGUUUGGGCCUGAGAGAGUCUUUGCAAAGUGACUUCACUUCAGCCUAUGAGAUCAAGAUAUCAUGGUGAUGUCCGAUCACUUAGGUUUCAUUUUCACCUCGGAUUACCGUUACCAUGUUCAUGAAUAAAAAUAAAUAAAUAAAUGAAGCCUUAUAGAGAAAUUAAUGAAGUGAGCUAUACAAGCAACUGGGCCAGGAGCCUACAAGGCAGAAAUUCCCUGCCCUAGACUAGGCCGAAUAAAUUAGAUGAAUGAAUUGGGGAAACCUGGGCCAGCCACACAUCCUCCUGAAGGCUGAUGUCGAACUCGCUUACGAGGAAUGGACAUGGGAGAUUGGGCUGGGACCAAAUAACCAAUUGACAGCCCUAUCCUUGUGGCAAGACGUCAGUAAAAUGGUUCAUUCUGAUUUUACGCUGCCAUUCAAUUUAAUUUUAAUUUUUGUUUAAAGCGAUGUACAAAUUGAAUGGUGUCUAGUCACUUAAAGAGUGGUUCAUAAUACACUUAAUUUAAACAAAAAAGAAAUUAUUAGAUAGGGGAUUCUCCAAUAAAAACCACCCCAUCUUGUCAGCAAGUCCGGAAACUUCCUUCACUUAGGGCGUAUUUGUUUUUUUAACUUUAAUAUUAAAGAAAGUUGGUUAAACCUUAUGACACUUUUAUAUUAUUUUAUGAAUUUUUUUUAAUUUUUAUUUUAAUGGAAUUUUAACUUUAAUACAAGUUGGAGUAAUUCUUAUCUUAAAAACAAAUCAAAAUUACUUUAAUUUUAUAUAGAAAUAAACUUACAGUAAAUUUACCAUGAAAAUUUCUAAGUCAAAUACACCAUAAGUGCUAGUAUUUUAUAAUAUUUAGAAACAUGUUAAAUUAUUAUUAUUAUUUUUUAAAAUUAUUAGUUUUCAUAUUAGUUUUAGGGAAACUUGUGCUUUAGGUCUUUUAUUUGCAAAUAAUAUGGUUUUCAAAUCCUAAGAAUAGAAAAUAUGAGAAUCAACUGUUAAUGUGGAAAAUAAUAUCAAUUUUGUGCAAUCUCUAUUGACUCAUUUUUUUGUGCCUAGAUUGCCUUCACCCACUUCCAUGUCAACAACCACAUUAAUAGAUUGUUUUUUUUUUAUAAAACAAAUAAUUAUUAUGUUUAAAAUUUUGGGGAAACUCUCUAUCUCUCUUACUUCUUCACUACAUCCGAGACCCAUCUUCCUUAAACGUUUGCCUCUCAUUUUGCCCUAACCCCAAAUCUCAUAAAUUUCUCAUUUUCUUGCCUCAUUUGAAAUAUGAAGAUGACCGAUUCUCAAACAUCUCUGUCUCUCUCUUCACGUUUUGACCAGUCUAAUUGGAAACCCAUUUUCCAAAAACCUUCUUUCUUUCAUUUUGCCCUAACCCCACUAUCUCCCUCUUCAAGACCUAAUCACCCAAACUCGAUAUCUAUCUUCCCAAAACCUUCAAGCAAACUGAACUAGACCCAUAUCUUCUUUUUUCAUCAUCAAAGGUGAAAUUUUUUUAAGGCUUUUGGAAACCGAAUUGGAGCUUUCCCUUCUUCUGGGAUUAAUCAUUCGCAAGUGAGUUUUCCAUUUAAGGCUUUGUUUGGCUGUUGAAAUCUUGGGAUCAAAGGUCUUUUAUUUUCAGGUUUCUUGUAUUUUGCUUUAUUUUCUUGUAUAUAACAAUAAUCAUUGUAACAUAUGCUAGUAGUUACCCUUGGUGCAACUUUACAUUUCCAAAUACCCUAAAGUCCAAAGCUUUUAAUUCCCUUUUCAAAGCUUUCAACUUUGAAAGCAGACUAAACCAUAAGAACUAUGAAACUUAUAUCUCUAUCACCACUAAUUAAGCAUGUCUAUGAAUCCUUCCACUUUAAGUCACUUAUUCUCAAACCAAGAAGGGCUCCUCUCAUUCUCACCCCACCUCAUCUAAAUGAGGGAAAUGAUCAAUUGCAGCCAUGCUUUGCACCAAAUUAGAGAAGUGAUCCUCCCAAUCAUCCAUUACCAAAAAUUGAUCAUGCUGAUGAGAUCAUAAGAGUCUAUUCGGAACUCCCAGUUUACUUGCCUCUUAUCUCAGGAUCCUCCAUUACCCCCUGUCUUUCCAACAUCAAAUCAACUUGCAAACAAUUCCUUUGUAGAUAAAAUGUUUUUAAUAUUGCAAAAGGGGACUUAUCAUAAUGGUUGAAUCGAUUUAUUUGAUAUAAUCACUCAAAUUCAAGCUUAAAAUUGAUCAUAAUAAAAUGUUUUUAAUAUUGUUAAAAGGAGAUUAUAAUGGUUUUAUUUGAUAUCAUUACUAAAAUUCAAGCUUUCAAACAUGCUCUACAAAGAAGUUCUAAAAGACUACAAGAAAGAGUUUCCACUAAAGAAAAACAAUGAAACCAUUUCUACUAAAGACAAACAAUGAAACCACAGAUGCUUUGUGAAAUAUGUACCCGCACAAUCCAACAAACUUUAGAAAUUCACAAACACUACCUAGAAUUUUUGCUGACCAGCAAAAAAUUUAUGCAAUUUAAUUCUUAUUGUUAUUAUUAUUUUCAAUGUGAACAAAUAUGAUUGAAUUAUGAAGUAUUUGGCCAGAAGAGGAUCUUGCCUAAUUAUAGUCAUUAAACAACCAUUUAUACCAUAGCCUCUAGACUUUAAAAAGUUUAUAAAACUCAAGGGCUUCCACCCAAUUUCUAGAUAUCUCCAUAACAUUCUUCUGACUAUUAGAAAGCAAUUACCACUUUAAUUUUUCAUUUCAUGAGUGUUCAAUUCAGAAAAAGACCAGGAUCGAACUUGCGAUCAUGCAGUCGAAAAUCCACCUGUGCAUGAAACUAUUGCCUCACGAUUGCAAACUCAAGUUGGAGUCCAGUAACAACUCUAGGUUUGCUGAUGUGCUCCAUUUGAAAUAAAGGAACUAAAGAAUACUUUAUAAAGAUUAAUUACCUUCAUAUUUUAGGUUGGGGUUAAGGCAAAAUGUGAUAGAUUGAGAGGAAGAAAAUAUAUCUUGUUCAGGAAGCCAAUAUUUUGGAGUUCACCUUUCCAUUCGAGUCCACUCUGCUAUAGCAAAAUCAGAGUCACAACUAUGCCUCUUUAAGCUAUCCUUUAAUUGGAUGAAUUGCAGAUUUGGUUGCUGAGAAAGUGGAUAAGAAAGAAAAAUGCAUACUGUAGCUUGAGAUUAAGAGUUUGUUUUCUAAAAUGAGAGAAAGGGAAAGAGAAAAAAUGCAUAUUGUAGCUUGAGAUUAAGGGUUUGUUUUCUAAAAUGAGAGAAAGGGGAAGAGAAAUGUUCGACAACUUUGAGAUGACAAAUUUUUAGAUUUGGAAAAUUUGAGAUGAGUCUCAGGUUUUUUUUUUUUUUUUUUUGUCUUUGUCUUUGUUUUUUUUUUUUUUUUUUGUUUUUUUCCCAAAAACAACCUGUUAAUGUGGUUGUUGACAUAGAAGUGGGUGAGGGCAAAAUGGGCAUAGAAAAAAGAGUCAACACAAAGUGCACAAAACCCAUAUUAUUUUCCACAUUAAUGACUGAUUCUCAUAUUUCUUGUUCUUGGGAUUUGAAAACCAUAUUAUUUGCAAAUGGACCUCCCAAAGCACAGGUUUCCCUUAGUUUUAUGUCUCCAUCUACAUUUUACAUAUAAAUAGAUUAUUUUAUAAAAUUUGUUUUGUAGAUAUAUUAGUUAAUAAUUAUAUAAUUAAUGAUAUAGAAAACAUAUAAAAAUCAUAUUUAAAAAAGAUAAUUACAUAUUCCUCAACAAUCCAUCCCAAGAAUUCGAGGUUGAGUUGAAAACAUGUAGAGUCUUUGAUGUUAUUAUAAUCAUAUCCAACACAUAUGAUUAUUGUUUAUGAGAUAUUAUUAGAAAGUUUGUCUUAAAAUAAUUGAUUUAUUACCCACCUUUAGCAAAUGCCCAUUUUUGCGUCUUUCAAAAUUUUCAUUUUUUUUUUGUUUAAAAGAAGUAUUGUAAAGAAUGAUGAAAUAAGAAAUUUGUUGAGAAAGUGUGAGUAAAUAAUUUUACAUAAAAAGAGAUUUAAUACUUGAUAAAUAAAAUAAUAAAAUCAUGAUUUCUAGUUGUAUAGGGCCGGGUGGAUGGAGUGGCUAAGAUGUAAUUCUUGAAAUAGAGGAGACAACAUCAAUGUAUAAAAGUUUAACAGAGAAGGAAAGUGUGUUUGAAUGACUUUAUUUUCUUCAUUUAAAGUUUUGACGAUGAGUGUUUAUACAAGAUAAAUUUUCAAAUGAUAGGACUCCUAUUUACAUGGAGUUUGUGAUAUACUAUGAUUAUACAAAUUUAAAAUUCAAACAGAUUCAUGAGUUGAUAGGAGUCUGCUCAAUACGCCCCUUCAAAAUGGUGGGAGAUAGCACACCAAUCUUGACUCGAAGGGCCUAAACUCGUGCAGAAGAUGAGGGCUUUGUUAGAGCAUCGACAAGUUGAUCCGUGGUUGACAUAUGGGACACCUUGAGCUCACCUGAUUAAACCUUGUUUCAAACAAAAUGAAAAUCAAUCGCCGAUGUGUUUCAUGGAGAGUGAAACAUGGGAUUUGCACAAAGAUAUGUUGCACCCACGUUAUCACAAGAGAUAGGAGGUGGUGAUAAAUUUGAAACACUAAGUUUUGAGAGAAGAGAAUUAACCCAAAGAACCUUUGAGGCUGUAGAGGCCACGACGUGAUAUUUCGCUUCAGUGGAAGAGCGUGCUAUGAACUUUUGUUUCCUCGAUGACCAAUACACAAGAUUGUGACCAAGAAAAACAAUGGGAGCAUUGGUGGAGGAUCUGACAUAAGGAUUCCUUGCCCAUUCAACAUUCGAAUAUGCAUGUAGAUUGAUGGGCGAUUUCUUAUGCAAGAACAGACCAUGCACCAUUGUGCCGACUAAGUAUCUAAGCAAUCUUUUAACACAAGACCAAUGUGUUGAUGUUGGAUGGUGCAUAAAUUGAGAUAAUUUAUUCAUCAAGAAGGUGAUGUCAGGGCUAGUAAGAGAGAAGUAUUGAAGGCUUCCAACAAUUGACAUAUAUUUAGUGGGACCAGGAAAAGAGGUGUCAUCACACAGAUUUGGAACAUUGUUGAGGAACAUCAAUGAUUGAACUGGUUUGGUAGCCACCAUUUGUGUUUUCUUAAGAAGCUCUCGAAUGUACUUGAGAUAAAAAUAAUCCUUUGGAAGUAUGUAUCAUUUCAACACCAAGAAUAAAAGAUGAAGUCCUGAGAUCCUUAAUGGAGAAUUUGACUGCUAAUUGAGAGAUCACGCGAGCACGAAAAACAUUAUUGUUACUUGUUAAAAUAAGAUCAUCAAUAUAAAUAAGUAGGUAAACAAUGAGACCACUCUUUUUAAAAAUGAAGAGGGAUGUCUCGGUUUAGGAGUUGACGAAGGCUAUUGAGAGGAGAAAUUGGCAAAGUUCAUGAUACCAUGAUCGUGGAGCUUGUUUAAAGCCAUAAAAAGCCUUACAAAGUUGGCAAAUGUGAUGAUGUGUGUAUUCGUGAACCCAGGAGGUUGAAUCAUGUAAACAUCUUCAUGAAGUGUCCUAUGCUAGAAUGCAUUAUUAAUGUCCAAUUCAUGAGUUGAUAGGAGUCUGCUCAAUACAAUGUGGGAGUGUGAUUUCAAAAUUAGGGUAAUUUCGAAAUGGAUUUUGUAUUCACAAGUUGAAUUUCAAAAUUAUUUUGAAAUGGUCUUUUAACUUUAAGCAGUUGUGUUCAAAAGGUCAUAACUUCUUCGUUUCAAUUUUGAUUUACACAUUGUUUAAAACAUUGGACUCUUUACUUCCCGAGCUUCAAAACGAUAUAUAGUAUGCUCAAAAAUGACAUCAGGAUUGGUUCAAAUUUCAUCUUGAUAUUAGAGUACAUGUUGUGAUUAGAUUUUGAGUUCCAAAUUUCCAUGUAAACUUGAUUGCAUUUGCUUCAAACCUCCUUCAUUAUGGUUGCUUGCCCUCUAUCUCACUUUGCAACAUUUGUUACUAGUAUUUUAUGUCCAUGACUUACUCAUUUCAACCUUUCUUGGAUUCUUCAUGGUUCACAAAUUAUGGAUUCUUCAUGGUUCACAAAUUGAGUCUUUCAAUUAUGCAUGUUUAACUCCUAUUUCCUUGGUUGAUAAUGACUUUUACACUUAUCAUUUUCUUUUAUUCUUUAAACCUGAAUUUAGACUUACAAAAAAAAGUUAGAUCCAUAACUAGGGUCUUAGCAUCAAUUUGAGUUAAGUUGGAUGAUUUGAAAAUUUUAUAUUACAUAAAUCAUAUCAUACAUGUGCCAUUGGAGUGCACAUUUUGGCUCUAAUCAUGUUCCAACCCAUUGUUUUACUCUUGCAUGAAGUAUGUGGCCAUUGAUUUUAAUUUUAUUUGCGAUUAGGUUCAAAAUGGUGCUUUUGUGUUGCUCAUGUGUCAUCAGAAGAUCAACUAAUGGAUUCUCUAACAAAACUACUACAUCAUAGUCAUUUUUUUUUUUCUUAAGACCAAGAUUGAGAUCUCCAAUCGGAGCCAACUCCAUCUUGGGGGCAUGUUAGUGAAAGAUAAAAUUUAUCUUUAAUUUAAAUAUUAAUAUUUAUCAGUUAUUAGUUUUAAUUAGAGUAAAAGAUAGAGUUUAAAUUGGAGUAGGAGAUAAACUUGUGUUUGAACUAGAAUAGAAGAUAAAGUAUAAAGAUUUAUGUUUGAAUUAGAAUAAAAUAUAAAGUUUGAAUUAGAGUAGAAGAUAAACUUGUUCUUUAUUUGUAUAUAAAUAUUCAUCAAUUCUUGAGAAGAAGAUUAUUUCAUAGUUUUUCUAUCUUCUUUUUUCUUCAUACAUAUCUGCAAGAAAUUGAAGAUUUCAAGUAAAAUAUUUUCUGUUUUAAAUAGUGAAAAAAGCUAGAAAUUCACUUUGUUAUCUCUUGGGGUAAAUUGACAAGGUUUAACGUUAAGAAGGUGAAUUAUUUUUUCAGAAAAACUGAAGUAGCUAGGAUAUCUGGCCAGUUGUGAUCGAUAAAAAAGUUGUAAAAUCUCUCAUAUACUAAACAGGUUUUGGAUGUUGGUAUGGUAAAUCCAUCUGCAGUCAUUCGUCAUCUCAUCUAGUGAGAUGUUUGGGAGGUGGUGACCGCCGGAUUGGGUUUCAUUUGGUUAAAUCUGUCAGUGGGUUGGCUACUACCCGAGCCUCUUGCUUUGGGGGAGGUGGGUUCUAGAUAUAAUGUUCAAACCAUUUUAGUUAUCAUAUGCAUGACAUGUAAGCAUAAUCUCUUUAUCACUUCUUCAAUGGGAGUUCAUGGUUAGGAAUUGACUUCUUUUCUUCUGGGAUGCUUGGCAUGUAAUGGACAAAGUUACUUUUAUAUCGAUCGAAUUUCUAGUAUUAUAGUGAAGACUUACCCUUUUGACAUUUUAUAUCGAAUUAUAGAAGAUGAAAGGGACAUACAUGCAAUCGACUGACGCUUUAGUGAAUAUGCUGAAAAUAUGCUGAUGCUGUGGAGAUCGUAUGAGGACAGAGGAAAAAGAUAGAAAUGGAUAUAUAAUUAGACCUAGGUUUUUAUUAAAUGAGAUGGGGAACAUAGAGUGAGGGAAAAUCAAAAUUUUUGGCUGCAGUUCACAUUGGUGAUAUUUUGGAUUGACAAAGACUAACGACUUUUCUAUUUUUCUUUUCGGCCUGACUGGAUAGUUGGACAUGGACAAUACAGAAUCCACAGAAGGAUUGUUGGGACCGCUGAAAAUUAGCUAGAAGAAGCUGAGGAAGUAGUCUACGUAGUCAAAUACCAAACACAAAGAAAGAAAGAAAUGGAUAUCAUGGAUGCCUAGAGUUAUACUCCUAAUACCGUCACAGGUAUUUUUCUUUCCUCCUUUUUUUUUCUACGAUAAUUAGAGCAUUUCUCCUCCUCCUCCUCCUCCUCCCCCCACCCCACCACCAAAAAAUAAAAAAAUAAAUUAUUGCAAGUAACACUUCAAAUAUUAAUUUAUACAUUCUAAAGUAUAUAUUCAUGAAAUAACUUGAGUAUCAUACAUUAGUUCUCAAAAAAAAAAAAAAAAAAAAAAAAAAAUUACUGGAAGAGAAAAGUUUAAGAAAACAUAAAAAUAUUCAACUACUAUUUUAAAGAGAAAAUUUAAUUUUUACACUAUAAAUUUGAAGAGAACUUUUACAUGCAUCUUAUAUAAACUACCAUUUUUUGCUAAAAGGCUUAAAUUUGUCAAAAAUACCCCUUAGGUGCUUAACGUUCUGGUCAUAAUAUAAUUGGCAUCUUUUCUCAAACAUAAGGCCUGUGUGUGGGAACAAGAUUUAAUGUUAAUGAGCUUCGCCACCGACAUUUAGUUCCAGAAAUCAUUAUUUUAAUAGAGUGGGCUCAAUUUACAACUUUAAUUAAACUCUAACCAACUGCAUUGUGAAAUGAAUAUGUUUCUUUCGUGGUGAAUCCAAUGAGUUGGGAGUCAAACUUUGCUUCAUUGUGUAUAGAUGAAAUGUUAAGACUCCAUGUAACCUCAAACAUUUCCGCAAUNNNNNNNNNNNNNNNNNNNNNNNNNNNNNNNNNNNNNNNNNNNNNNNNNNNNNNNNNNNNNNNNNNNNNNNNNNNNNNNNNNNNNNNNNNNNNNNNNNNNUUCUUUCGUGGUGAAUCCAAUGAGUUGGAGUCAAACUUGCUUCAUUGUGUAUAGAUGAAAUGUUAAGACUCCAUGUAACUCAAACAUUUCCGCAAUGAGCGGGAGUUCUAAAUUUAAUAAUUGAAAUUGUCAGUGGAACCAGUGGACAAGAGUUGGUUUGUGGUUGACAAACUUAUCCGUUUGAUCUUUACUUGAACAGUUCCAGUGUGUGGAUGGGUACUGAUGAAGUGUGCGCAUUUAUUUUGAGAAGCCUGCUUGUUCGCAUAGAUUUUAACGACAUGAACAUUGUGGUAAGGUUAGAGAGUAAUGCGAAUGUAGGAGCUUAUAUUAGAAAUGACACAAACACGUAAAUAGAAGUAAUCUAUAUAUGAUAUUACUCAUGGACUACAAGCAAAGAAGUACAAUACAUGGAGUAAGUGAUGAAAUGAGCAUUCCUCACUACUACUGCUUGACUGAUGGAACAUGAUGCACGAGAUAGCAUAAGUAGUAGUAGGAAGCAGCUCUUAUUUGUGGCGUCGGUAUACAUCAUACUAGGUAGAUGGUUCAAUUGGCAUGGAUGGGUGGUGGAGCCUUGAAGUGCUUGUGAUGGGGAGCCCACGGCUUCUUCUCAGGAGUUGGUGGCUUCUUGUAUGGAGUUGAUGGAGGUGUUUCUACUGGAGGGUGGCCAGGGUAGUGACCCUGGGGUGGUGAAGGUUCUUUUGUCGGUGGUGGCCUCACUAUUAUUGGCGGUAGAGUUGGUGGCUUGGGCGUUGGCGGUGGUCUCACUACUCUUGGGGGUAGAGUUGGUGUCUUGUGUUUUGGUGGUGGAGGUGGCUUAACAGGAGUUGGUGGCUUGUAUUCUGGGGGUGGUUUCUCCACCGGAGGUGGCUUAUAAACUGGAGUUGGUGGCUUGUAUUCUGGGGGUGGCUUCUCCACUGGUGGUGGCCUGUAAACAGGGGUUGGUGGCUUAUAUUCUGGGGGAGGCUUCUCCACUGGAGGCGACUUAUAAACAGGGGUUGGUGGCUUGUAUUCCGGGGGUGGCUUCUCUACGGGAGGUGGCCUGUAAACAGGGGUUGGUGGCUUCUCCACCGGAGGUGGCUUAUAAACGGGGGUUGGUGGCUUGUAUUCUGGGGGUGGUUUCCCCAGUGGUGGAGACUUGUAAACAGGAAGAGGUGGUUUGUGCUCAUAUGGGGGUGGCUUGUGGUCAUUAGCAAGUGAGGGAGUGGUGAGGACCACCAAUCCAAGGAACAACACGAGUGAGCAAGCAGAAGACAUGUUUGGGCUCUGGUGAUGCACAAGUAGAAGAAAUGGGAACCAUUUAUAAUGCUUCGAGACCUUGGUUAGCACCAAAAUAUGUCAAAAUCUUGAUUACUUCAUUUCAUACAUAGAUUUAAAAUUAUUUCAAUCAACCAUGAUCCUUAAUUUUCUGGGUGGUCCAUAAAUGUAAUGGGGUCAAUUUGGGACCUAACAAGCUGAGAAGUUUGACAAUGCUGCAAGGCUUCAUCCGAAAGUCCGGGGAAGAAUAUUAGGAGUUACACUCCGUUUCCUUUUUUGGGUGCAUUUUUCUCCUUUAACAUUCUAUUCCCUUUUACAUUAGCAUUUGAUCUUAGCUCAUUUCAAGUACAAGUUUCUUGAACCCUAUACCAUUGUCAAAGUUGAGUAACCAUCUCUACUUUGCUCAAGAAACAUAAAAGACAAUGACAAUAAAGAAAAAGGAGAGAGACCAUACGUGACUUGGUUUAUAGGUGGCUUUGUGUUGACAUUUGAGUAUGGAAGCCGACAUGCAUCUUAGCUUCGAUUUUAAUUAAAUUUGUACAUUAGUGUCUGUGUCAUUCAUUUUGGUAUAAAAGGUCUCUUGAUUUCGUAAGUUUGGUAAGAACCGUUGAAAAUAGCAGUAGCAGCACAUGGUCCACUUUCUUUCACAAAAUAAUUUUAAAAGUUUAGAAGCAUAGGAGGUAACAUUAGUGGCCUUGUGGCUCAGCCACGAGUACUAUGUGGUGCUCGAGAAAUUGAGUUUAAUUUCCUUCCGAUAGUUCAUGAUAAGGUCCGUCACUGUCCUGAGACAGAUUGCGUUUUUUCUUUUUUCCUUUUUUAGUGUUUUAUUGACUAGCUAGGUGUGACUUUUCCUACUUUAAGGCACGAGGCAGAAAAGAAACUGGGAUUUAGUGCUUAAGAAGGCAAAUUUAAUUCGAUUUGGAUCUAAAAUUUGCCAGCAACAUGAGAUUUUCCAGCCUAUCGUUGCUCCACAUAUAGACAAGGCACUUGUAGAAGUGGCUUGUUUGUAGCCAUUCCCGAUAUUUGGACUCACUUGAUUCACCGGACACUUUGAUAAAAUUUAAUAUUUAUUAUUUAAUAAUUUAAAUUGAUUUAAAAUUAAAUUAUACCGAAGUUGUGAUUUAAAAAUUAUUAUUUAAUUCUUACUUUUAAAUAUGAAGAUUAUUUGAUAAAAAUAAUUUAAAAUUUAUUAUAAAUUAUCAAAUUAACAUAUUUAUCCUUAUAAAUUAUAAUUAAAACAGAAAAGGUCAAAUGAUUUGAGUAUCCAUAGAUGUGGUAAAAUAAUAAAAAAGAUUAUAAAAACAAUUAUGAUAAAUAAAGAUAAAAAGUAAAAUGAAUAUGUGAAUUUAAAGAAUAAAUUAAUUAUUUUUAUUUAUUACUUAAAAUUAUUUUUGACUUUAAAUUAUAUUAUUAAAUUAUUUUACCAAACAUACUUAAUUUAGUUAAUAAUUUAAAUUUAAUUUAAGUUAUUAAAUUGAUUCACCAAAUACCCACUUAAUCAAAGACUGAAGUAUACAUUAUUUGGCCAAAUGCAGCUAUUGAAAUUUAACUUUUUCCAAACUUAUUCAUUUUGUGGAAAUAUUUUUAGAAAUGAUUUUAAAAAUGCACUAUUCUGUGUGUUGAUUUUAUAUUUUGGCAUUAAUCCAACAUAGAAAACGGUUCUUAUUUUCGCUGUUAAAUAGGUACCAGAUCCUUAAUUAGUGCCGUGAAUCCGGCAGCUUCCAAUGAGUAAUUUGGACUUGGGUAUUGACAAUGUGUGGCCAUGCUUCUACUAUUUUAUUAUUCUUGAAACAUAUAUGAUAUAUUGGACUUUAUACAGGGAAAAAAAAAAAAAAAAGUCUUCACCAAAAAUGAUUCCUCCUAAAAAAUAGACUCCACAAACUAGGUUUAACAGGAAAAUGAUUCUAAUCUAGUAGUUUCCAGCCACAUGAGCAUUUACGUAACAAUAGUAUAGUUGAUAACGACUUUUAUUUUAUUUAUUUUUAAAUAGUUAAAGGGAUAAUUUUUGAGCUUAAAUUUUAUUUUUUUAUUUAGAAACAUUUUACUUUAUUUUUUAAUCAUAAUUCUAUUAUAUUAAUGUUUUAUUUUCUAUUUUUUAAUAUAUAAGGAGAUACUAAAUUUAUGUGAUUAUUUUUUAAAAAUUUAGUAUAUGAAAUUAAAUAAUUGGAUAUAUAUACAUAUAUCAUAUAAUGUUUUUUAAGUGUGAUUUUUGAACUUUUUAGUCAUUUUAUAAGUUUAAGCUUUUGAUUUUUUUUUUUAAACUUUGGUAUUUUUUAUUUUAUAUAAAACUAUUUUGAUUUAAUUUUAUUAAAAAAUAUUGGUAUUAUAAAUUAUUGUAUUAAUUAUUUUUUUAUAUUAUAAUGUAACUGGUAUAUACUAAAAAAUGUAUGCAAGUUCAAUUUAAGUUUCAAAUUAAAAAAUUUCAUUUAAAUAUUUAAUAACUUGUUCAUAAUAAAAAAUUAAACAACAUAAUACAAAUGAAAAGAAACAUAAAAGAAAAAGGAAAAAAUGGUCCUCUCUGUGUGUCACAUUACUAGGUCAUCCUCUUUUUCUAUGACCCUUACAAUAGAAUGGCAUAUUUGUCAAAUCUACUUAUGAAAGUUGGAAUGUUUCUACAUGUGUAGGGUCCAUUGGAACUAAUGGAGGAAAGGCUUAACGUCUAUGUAAAUCACAACGUUGCCUAGGUGGGCAUAGAUCUAGUUGUGUAACAUGAGAUGGUGUGAGAGUACAAUAUAUGCAUUGUAGUCUCUAUGGGAAGAGAGAUAGGUAAUGGUAGGGUGGUAGACGGUAGGGUGAUCUCUAAUAUAAUGACAUUUGAUGUGGUGGCUUCUAAGAGAGGAGAUAUAAGAGAUGGUAGAAUGACAUUUGGUGUAAUGGUCUCUAGUGCAAUGACAUGUGAUAUGGUGACCUAUAAAGAAGAGAUAUAGGUGAUGGUGAAGUGGUAUGUGGUGUAGUGACCUUUGAGAUAGAAAAUAGAGGUAAUGGUAGGUUGGCAGGUGGAGUGGUCUUUGGUGUAGUGACAUCAAUUAUAAAUGUCUCCAAGGGAGGAAAUAAAGGUGAUGGUAGGUAGUAAAUGUUGAGGUGGUCUUUGAUAUGUUAUGCUCUAAGAGAGAAGGUAUAGGUAAUGAUAAUAGGGAAUUUGACAUAGUGGUGUUGGAAAUAAAAAGUGAAAGUGACCGUAGAGGUGAAAGGGCAAGUGUAAAAGCCUCAAGUACGAAUGGAGUAAUUAAUGUGGAUGGUGCUAACAUAGUCUUAGGUGGAUACACAAAUAGUCAUAGUCAUCAACUAGCUUGCCCACCAUCUGUCUUUCUGCUAGUGAUAGGUUACAUCUUAAUAGUAAUGGCCAACAUAAGUGGUGUGGAUCCGAUUUUUUUACGUGUGUCCCCACUCAAUCGACAAGACUUAUUUUUUAUUAGUGAAAAAUUAAUUUUGGAAAAGUUGGAGUCACCACUUAUUUUAUUUUAUUUUAAAAAGGAAAGUAAAACAAGAAAGAGAACUCUAAAGAAGUGACUUCAUAGUUUUGGAAAAGUUAGUCUUAAAAAAUCCAAGUCUUGGUCCGGAGAUCAGGUUACUUAUUGGGAAGAUACCUCUAAGAGGUAAUACCCCUCUAAACCCUAAAGAAGUCUCUAAUGACUAAGUUGAGGAGAAUGUGGUAAUUAAUUAAUUGAUUGAGGGUACCUAGGUAGACUAAGGUGAUUUCAGAAUUAACAUACCAAGCUAGAAAGUCCAAUCAUGAUCAUAAAAGAGAGUCAAAGUAUGUACCUGAACUGCUUCUCAAACGCUAUCAUAAAACAUCAAAGUUAGUAUAGAAAUAUAACACAUAAUAUUUGUUUUAUCCAAGCAAAUAAAGCAUACAUCUAAGCACCCAAGAAUCACAUCAAGUAUGGAUAUAGUCAUCAAUAGCAUACGUGUCCAUAGAACUAUCGAAAGUAAAUGUGGAGGAGCGUAUCUGGACAACAUAGAUAACUUAUAAUGUGCUUCCACAAGACAUGGGGGUUAGAUAAAAGUUAUAAUAAUAAUUAGUAAAUGAAAGAAUUCUAGCAUGUUUGGUAUCUAAAUAACAUAGCAAAAAUGAACAAGAGUACACGAAAACAUCAAUUAUCACACGAGUCAUAUUGGCUAGUAUUUAAUCAAUAAACCAACAAUAAAUGACUAUAAACAUAUAAAAUGACAUAUUCAAAGAGACCCAAACAUAAAGAGCCUAGAACACAAGCUUACACUAAAUUUAGAAAACUAAAACAUGGAAUUUUAAAAGCAUAAAUUAGCAAACAAAUUGAUGGAAACUAAAUUUAGAUAACUUAAGAAUAUUUUUCUUAUCCUUCAAUUUAAAUCAGUAAGCCAACAAUAAAAAAUUAUAGAAACAUGGAAUAUCAAGAUCAAUGGGAUACCUAAACUAUAAUUUUUAAAAGAAAAUAAACUAAGCAUAAUAUCUACAAAGCAACUAAACUAACAUUUUUUUAAAAAUAAAUUAAACAUGACAUUAAUGGAGUAACCAAACUAAAUUAAAGUAAACUAAAAACAUUUAUGAAUUUUCAAACAUGGAAUCAGCUUUCUUAGUAAAUUAAAAUUAUUAAAAUAAAAUCUAAGCUUAAAAAUGAAUUAAAUACUAACUAAAGCAAAUCUAAAACCAAAUAUUUAACACAUAGGAUCAAUUAUAUUAACAAACUAAAAUUUUAUAAGAACACUUAAACCUAAAGUUGAAUUAAAAACUAACCAAUUUUUAAAACUAGAUCUUUAACCCAUAGGAUCAAUUAUAUUAACAAAUAAAUAAUAAAUAAUAAAUAAAUAAAACUCAAACCUAAAGAUGAACUAGAAAUGUACCAAAGUAAAUUCAAAACAAGAUCUUUAACACAUUAGAUCAAUUAUAUUGACUAACUAAAAAAAAAAAAAAAAAACACUCAAACCUGAAACGAUGUAUUAGAAACUAACCAAAGCAAAUUUAAAAUAGAGUCUUUAACACAUAGGAUCAAUUAUAAUCACUAACUUAAAUUACAAUUUUUGAAACAUGAACUAAUUAGUGUUGGAUUAAUUAAACUAAUUAACUAAAAAAAACUAUAAACUAGAAUACGGUGAAUCAAGAAUUCAAAUCAACAAACAUAAAAUAUGGGUACAAUGAAAUGAAAAUCUAUUAAACUAAUAAGACGGAAAUAUGACAAACUCAUGAACCCACAUUUUGAUCAACUAGGAAAUAGAAAUUAAUAGACCUGUAGCAUGGAUACAAUGAAAUGAGAUCAGUUAAAUUUAUUUGCCGAAAUUCUAAAAAACACAUACACUCAAAUAAGAUCUAAAUCUAAGACCAAGCAAAACUCAAACUUUCUCAAUCUAAUGCAAUGAAUCAAAACUAAAAUUAAAUAGAAAUCAAACCAUUUUUUUUUUAUCUAAUAUAAUAAAUCAAAGCUAAAACUAAACAAAAUCGAAUUUUCUUAAUUUAAUAUGAUGAGUCAAAGCUAAAAUUGAACAAAGUUCAAACCUUUAUAUAAUGGAUCAAAGUUAAAUCUAAAUGAAAUCCAUACUUCCACAAUUUGAUAUAACAAAUCAAAAAUAAAACUAGAUAAAAAAAAAGUCAAAGCCUUUCAACUUGACAUAGUGAAUCCAAACUGAAACGAAACAAAAUUUUAACUUUUCCAAUGAAACCCAAUAUAGAAAAAAUUAGCUUACCUUCUUUAGAAUAUAUGUAUGGGCCAUAAAGAAGUCACCUUGGUGCAUGUGUUCCUCACUUUGACGCCAAUGGACGACUUUCUAUGGUAGCAAAUGGAGAUCCUUUUUGGUGGUAACUUGCGUGUGGAAACCUAUGGUACAACCAAUGUCAUCUUUUAUUGUGCGUGUGGACCAAUUUCUUCUCGAGAACUCAUGUGUGUUGUGCUCAAAAUAUGUUGCCUGUGAGAAUCUAUUGGUAUACCCCACAUAUGGUUUCCUUGAGAGAAUCUGUGGUUGUGUGUGGGCGUUUUCUUCAUGACAGCAUGUGGAUGUUCCCAUCUAUGGUAGAUUGGUUGUGAUGCUUUAGUGCAUGGUCUCCAUAGGAAUAGUGUGUUAUGGAAAUUUGGUUUUUUUAUUGGUGCAUGUUGUCUAGACUUUCCCAUAUGCGUGGACUGUGUGUUCAUGCUUUUCUUUUCGGAUGGUCGCCUGUGUUAAUGUGUGGCGGUGUCUACAAUGAAAGAUACAACCCUUUCUCUCCUUCUGCGUGAUAGAAAAGUCAAUCCCCCAUGGUGCGACUAUGUUCCCUCGUCCUUUUUGAAAAAUUUUGGUGUUUUCCCCCCAAAAAAUCCCCUCCAAAAAUCUAAUUAUAAAUGUCUGCUUUGGCCUAAUGUGUGUGCUACUUUUUUUUUCCUUCUUUUUAUGGUUGUGCGUGCUUUUCUUGAUACGUGGCUUAUUUCUUAAGGAUAUGAUUCGCUCCCAAUUGGUGUCUCAGCUGAUUCAUGUCCUUUCAAUGGUCCCUGACAGUGGUGCCAUUUGAUUCGUGUCCAGCUGGUGUCCCUUGAUUGUGGUCCUCAGAAGGGAGUAAUCAAUAAAAUUUAUAACCUAUUACACCAUGUAUUAGGAUAGCCUUAGCUAGCAUAGCAUAGUGGCUCUAGGGUCGUUUAUUGGGAUGAGUUUUCACUUCACAAUUGAUAUUAAUUCAAGAGCUGAAUUGGUGCCUUUUCAUUUCAAGGUUAGCUUUAAAAGAAAACAUAAUCUUUGGUGGAAAAAGGUUUGGUUUUAAACUAACCAAAAAUAGUAACUGAUUUUACUUACAAAGAAAAGUGUUCUUUGGAGUUUAGAUCACUAGGCUCAGGUUCCUCAUACAAAAAGGAGAGUUCCGAUCAUUUGUUUCUUUUCCUCGCAUUAGAGAAUUAACAUAUAGUUAAUUCUCUAACCGGUGCGGUACAUAUGCUUCCCAUUAAUGGGUUCAAACACUAAAUACCUCUCACUGAUGCACCUUGCAAUGGCUCGUGCCUCUCACCUAGCAUUUAUCAUUCAAGGUGAUCUUUAACCUUGGAUUACCCAUCAAAAGCUCGCAAGAGAUAACUAAAGGAUGUCUCCUUAGAGUCCAAAAGCUUACCAAGUGUUGGUUAUUCUAGAAAAUCCUACCUUCAAACCACCUCCCAAAGGCUCGCAAGAGAUAAACAAGUGCAUCUCAAUGGAUGAAGAUCACUUGCCUUACCAAGUUUUGGCCCAGAUGAUUUAAUGACAUUUUAAGUUAACUAAAAAGAUAAAAACCAUUAACGGGUCACACUUUCUCUUCAUUAAAAACUAAAACAACAAAACUUCCAAUUUAUGCAUGAGGAAACUUACCUGGCUUUCUUCACUUCAAGAGAUGAAGAGCCUAGCCACUCAUCAUUUGAGGAAAAAUCCUCAGAGUUUGAUUUGCUAGAAAUAAAAAUAAUGAGAAAACAAAAAUAUAUAUAUGAAAAACAGAGCAAGUUCUCUGUAAUAUAUUUUUCUUCCUUAUACAAAAGGUUGUCUCUAAGAACAAGUUCCCGAGAUCUAUCUGAUUGUAAAUAAAAUUACAACUAUAUAUAAGAGGUUAUUCACCCCUUUGUUCUUUCUUAAAGACUAAGGAAUCCUAUGAUAGGUGGGUUACAAGGAGAGUUUGGGGAUUUAGACAUCAAAUAUCUAAAGCAAAAUAUCUCAAGAUGUUAGUCGGAAAUAUCAGGAAGCUUCAGGAGAACACCGCGACACUGUAUACUGAGAGAAAAACUCUCCGGGUAAGCUCUAUCAAAGGAUCCAGACAUGUCUGACUGGGAAAGUUGAAACGUCCUUCUCUCCCAUCCGGAUGUGAGAUAUCCGGAGAAAGUGAAAUGUCGGUCGGACAGAAUUCUUUCCCCGGGUGGAAUGAGUUGUGUUGCGCGUCGCAAGGGGGACCGUCUGCGUGUACAAGUUGUAGGGACCCCUCUCCCGGAUGACACCGAGCGCGUAAGGCUAUCCGGAUCAACUCCAUUCGGAUUCCCCAAGAGGACAUGUGGCGUGCUCCCCUAUCAGGACUCCCUUAGGGAGAAGCACACGACACUCGUGAACAUCAUACCCGGACGAUAGCAUGUCCUAUCCGGAUGUGUUGUCCGGAUCAUUGACUAAAGUGAGCAAGCCUUGCUACGUCAUUCGGACAGCUUGCCACAUACCAUGUUCCGUCGCCAUCUGAUGGUGUGUCCGAACGCCUUGUCCGGACAUCUUUUGCUCCUUGCAUUCCGGAUUUGCUUAUGACAAAGGACUUCAAAGCUUCGGUUCUUCAUGUUUCUGAGCUUUCCAUUGCUUUGCCAUGGAUUCCAAAGAACUCUCCUUAAUCACGGAUUGCUUUGGUGAUCAAAAAGUUAUCAAAACACAAAAACUUAACAUAGUUUGAUUAGAAUUGAUUGCAAGGGUUCUUAAUAUGUUAAUUGGGUUAAAAGGUGAUAACUACUACUCAAAAGUGUUUAUAAGAAUUAAUUACAAGCUAUGAAAUAACACUUUUUGAGUAGUAAUCAGGAUACAUCCUAGUUUUUCAUGGAAUUGAUAGUGGGUUGUUGUGCAUGAAUGCCACCAUUUCAACUAUGCUGUUGUUAUUUUUAAAAAAAAUAUGGAUUAUGCGCGAGUGGCAAUUCUCCACUAUGGAAAGUGGAUUGCUCCUUCAACCCAUGCAUGGCUACGUAUUCCUAUGUCUUUCUACUUGUGUUUGAUCCUCCAAAAAAAAUUUCGGUUUAGUGCUAGUAGAUUUUAAGUGGUGGAUCCCCAUUUUUUGAAAAUGAAGUGGCAGCCUCCCAUUUCAAGACAAAAUGGUAGCCUGCCUUUAAUCUUUGGAGAAAAAUCUGUGCAUGACCUUUUUUUUUCCCAAAAAAUCCGUGCAUGGUGUCCUUUAAUAUUUGGAGAAAAAUCUAUGUUGGAUCUUUUCUUUUCUAGAAACAUUUGUGUGGUCUUUUUUGUUAGCCCAAGGGUUCUUCUAAUCAAGUUUUGAUGAUAACAAACCAUGGUUAAGUGACUAAUUGGUUUAAUGAUUAAGAAUCUCAAACAUAAAAUCGAAAAUUCAUCAAAGGACCAAAUGGAUACAAGAUCGAGACGCUUGGAAGACUUGUAAUCAUAGGAAACUAAUGUAAGAUGAAUGCAUGAGUGCACUUAGGAUUUUCACACGUUUCAUGCAACUUAGAAAACCCAGUUUAUUCUUUAAAACUUCAUCCCAGUUUAUUCUUUUUAUGGUUGUGUGUGCUUUCCUUGAUACGUGGCUUAUUUAUUAAGGAUACAUCCCAGUUUUUCAUGGAAUUGACAGUGGGUUGUUGUGUGUGAAUGCCACCAUUUCAACUGUGCUGUUGUUAUUUAAAAAAAAAAAAAAUGGAUUGUGCGCGAGUGGCAAUUCUCCACUAUGGAAAGUGGAUUGCUCCUUCAACCCAUGCAUGGCUACGUAUUCCUAUGUCUUUCUGCUUGUGUGUGAUCCUCCAAAAAAAAUUUUGGUUUAGUGCUAGUAGAUUUUAAGUGGUGGAUCCCCUUUUUUUGAAAACUAAGUGGCAGCCUCCCAUUUCAAAACGAAGUGGUAGCCUGCCUUUAGUCUUUGGAGAAAAAUCUGUGCAUGACUUUUUUUUUCCCAAAAAAUCCAUGCAUGGUGUCCUUUAAUAUUUGGAGAAAAAUCUAUGUGGGAUCUUUUAUUUUCUAGAAAAAUUUGUGUGGUCUUUUUUGUUAGCCCAAGGGUUCUCCUAAUCAGGUUUUGAUGAUAACAAAUCAUGGUUAAGUGACUAAUUGGUUUAAUGAUUAAGAAUCUCAAACAUAAACUCGAAAAUUCAUCAAAUGACCAAAUGGAUACAAGAUCGAGACGCUUGGAAGACUUGUGAUCAUAGGAAACUAAUGUAAGAUGAAUGCAUGAGUGCACUUAGGAUUUUCACACGUUUCAUGCAAUUUAGAAAACCCAGUUUAUUCUUUAAAACUUCAAUUUCAUUAAAACCCGAGUUUUUAACUAAUGUACCUUAGGCAAAAUGUUUUAUAAUUGGCUUAAUAAUUCACCUAAAUACAUUUUCUAAGUGUUAGAAAAGAAAGGAAUUAAAAAAAGGUUUUCGGGGCAAAAAAGGCUCAACCGGUCGAGGCUAUGGUCAACCGGCUCAACCGGUUGAGGAACCAAUCGAUCGGUUGUGCUUGUCCGAUCGAAGACCAAUCGAGGGAUGCCAAAAAAUUUCUCUCUCUCCUAGUGGCCUUCUCUUCCCGGUCGAGGUUCGGUCUAGGCAACGGUAACAUGUCAAGCAUUAAAUGCUCCGACGACUAGUGAAUCGGUCGACCCCUAGCCCGAUCGGACGAGGUUGCCUUUUGCUGUUUUUGACUCCCGAGCUUAGAAACCUAUAAAUUGAGAGCUCCACUUCAUUUAUUGAUAAAAGAGAACACUUGCAUUCAAUAGUCUACCUACCUUUUCUUGAUCAAAAAGCUCUCAUUUCCUUCAUAGUGCAUUAAAUCAUCACUUGCAUAUCCUUUAGUGCACUAUUGUGUGUCAUCCUAGCUUUGUUUUGUAUUUGAGCUAUCCUUAAGCUAGGUUGAGGGAUUAUUUCUUAUAAAAAUCUGAGUGUUAAAGCCUUCAAGAGAUUUGAAUCUUGAAGAGAUUGUGUAAGAGCCCAUUGGAGCCGGAGUCCAAGUGUAAGAAGAUUGGAAGCUUGGUUGAAGCUUCAAGUUAGUGGAACCCUCACUCGGUUAGGAGGUUGAGGAGAGUGGACGUAGGUAAGGAAGUGUCGAACCAUUAUAAACCCGAGUUUGAAUUCUCUAACUCUAUCUCUUUAUUUUGCUUAUAUUGUGUUUGAAUUUGUUGUGAUUGAAAAGAUUUUAAAAACCUAAUUCACCCUCCCCCCUUUUGGGUUUUUUUUUCUUAAUUAAGCAUAACCUUUGUUUUCUAAUUUUCUUUUUAGGAAAAUCCAUGCGUGGUAUGUCCAAACUCUCCAAGUGGCAGUCUGCCUUCUUCUAAAAAAUUUGUUUCUAUUUCUUUAUUCGACUACCUUCCAUGUCUUCCUAAUGAGUGCUUGUGCUCAAUGGUCAAUCCCUGGUGGUUGCCUCCUUUUCCCAUAUAUACGUGUUGCAAAAUCAACAUCCCACUAUAUGUGGGUUGCCUCUAUGGCAAGUUCACAUUUCCCACAUGAAACCUAUGAGUUUCCACCAAAAAUUGCCAUGAAAAAGUCUUUAUAUGCAUCUCAUGCAAUAAAAAGUCAAGCCAAUACUCAUCUUAUCUCGAAAAAUAAGUAACCAAAAUCAAGAUCAUGCCUAAGUGAACUAUGCCAAAAGAAGUGUCCAAGUGACCUAUUAUGAAAAAAGUGCCUAAGUGACCUAAGGUGAAUGUGUGUAAGCUGGAAGGUGUCUAGGAUGUUUAGGACAAUGCCUAAGCCUAAAAUAGGGUUGCCAAGGGUCACAAUGGGGUUAGAUAAAUCUCUCAAUCAGAGUCUCCAAGGUGGCUCAUAAAAGAUAAGCUACACGAGUAAUGAUGGGCCACCAGGGAAUUAUUGUAAAGCACCAAACGAACACAUAAUAGGACAUGUGUUAGAAUGAAAAAAUGGAGGGUUUACAAGUGGUCUCAUGGAUGAGCUUGAUAAUUUAAAUGACUCACAUAAUGAACGUAUGUGAUGUUUCUCUCCAAUAACAAGCAAAACAUCACUAGCAAUAUGAUGAAUGUCUCCUAAAUCACUUGAAGUAGUCCUAGCAAAUCAAUUAGAAAAAUCACACAUAUUGCUCUAAUGUAAUAUUAUAUACAUCUGUCAAUGAAUGGGAGAACUAAUGACACAACCAUCAUGUUGAUAUCUCGAACCCUCUAAUCUCAUAUGUAGGUGGGAUCACACUUAGAAACUCAUAACACAGUAAUGACCAAUCUAAGUCAAAAUGUGUUGGUGAUCGGAGGCCCAUGAAUAUGAAGUUCUAGGAUGAUAAUGACAUCUUAUAAAGUAAUGAUCAUCUCCUUAAUAGAUAGGUGAAAUGUGUGUGUCUUAGGACACCAUCUCUCAACAAGACUUGUGAUCAAUCCCCAGUCUAGUGUAACAUGCCUAUUAUGACAUCCAUCGUAAAAUCUAGACUAGAUAAUAUAAGGACAAAUGUGAGGGUUCAUCUCCCUUUCCCACAUAAAUUUAAAAAAUUAUUAUUGACAAGUUAAGACCAAACUAAGUUGCAAAAUAUAAAUAAGUCCAUUAGAUAACAAAUUUAUGUUUUCUCAUUUUCUCAUUUUUAAAGAGAUAUUAUGUGCUUCCAUGUACAUACAUGCUAAAGUCAAUUAUACGAGACUUAUAUCCAUCUUGUAGAACCAAAUCGAACCUAUCUAAUAGAUCCAGAUUAGAAGUAUGUCCUCUAUACUCCAUAUUUAUAACACAUUUAUAAAGAUAAAUGCUAAAAAAAUGUUAAAGAUAUAAAUUUAAUGAACCAUACUUUAUGAUUUUAAUUCUCAAUUAUUGUUCAUAUUUAUAAGAGAAAAGUUAAAAAAAUUGAUAGAGUUUUCCCUCUAUCAUGGACAUUAUCCCAAAUAAAAAUAAAUUGAUUAUGCAAAUUACAUUAAUAUUUGUAACCAAAUGAUCAAUAACUAUCUUGUAUCAAUUUAGUAAAUAAAUUUAAGUAUAUCUUUUCAUUUAUGACUAACAAAUAACUCAUACUUGUCCAAUAAAAGCCACACCUAAUUUCUAAAAUUUUGUCUUCACCUCAAGUGAGUGUUACAUUGAGAAAGAAAAAAUAUGAAAGAAAAAAUGAACACCUUUUUCUUUUAAUAAAAAAAGGCCAUAACGAAACAUUAAAUCUCACUGUUACACCUAUCUUCAAUGGAAACAUGAGGAUGUGAAUGGUGGCGGUGAUAUUCUUUGCUUGAAGCUCAUAAACAAAUAUUCCUUACUAAGCCUAUGCCAUUUAGUAUUUCAAUAGUGGACCCCCCCCCCCCCCCCCCCCCCCUCCUUGCAUUUCAGAUUUAGCAAACUUAGAACCAAAUAACAAAGUGCAUUUGAACCCAUAAAGAAGUAAUGAGACUCUCCUAUAUUGGCAAUAGAAGAAAUUUUUGGAGGUAUAGGAGAUUCACGGAUGAAGAAGUUGGGCCCCAAUUGAGAUAAGACCCAAGAAAAGAUGGGGUAGAGAGGGAUGGUUGGAAAUUGUAAAGUAAGAUUUUCAAAAUGUAGUUGAUGACUAAGAUUUUGACAAUUUAAAAAAGGUUUAAAAAUGUAGUUAGCAAUCGGGGUUUUGUAACAUUUAAAAAAUAAAAUAAAAUCUCAGGCCACAUGGUAGCCCAUGUGAUUCAGAAGCUUGAGAAUUAUUUUAUAAGAAGACUUAAUUUGUGAUUUUUUUAUAACUAUAUUAUUUUUUUUCUUAACACACGAAAAAAAUUAUGAAAUAAGACAAUUUUCCUAAGAAAGCAUGUAAGUGACUCUUGGUUAUUUUAUUUAACUUCUUCUAGUUUGGAGAGGAUUAAUACCUUUGCUUUUACUCACUUGCUUGGAUAUGUACACGUUGUUCAUGUCACUUUUCAUUUAAUUUUCUGAUUAAGGGAAUUGGAACCGUACGUAACUGUCUUUAUUCCCUCUGAAACUUGGACUUGGAGUUGGACUUUCAAUCUCAUCAGUCGUGUUUCCAUAAAAAAGAAGAUGGAUUAACCAAUUUUCCUAUGCCUACUAAUCAUACACAAAACUCCACUUCCAAAUAAAAAGGAAUGGGAUAUCACUUGUUAAUAGUGGCUAAAGACUAUUAAUAACCAUGCAAAGAAAUGUCACAUUUUUUGUUCUACGCAAAUUUUAUUCAUCAACUACUAGAACCAUUUCAUACAAUAGUAGCUUUUCGAUCCUUUGAUAAAUGGACACUUGAUGUGAUAACACCAACUACACCUAUAUAUUCAAGCAAUCAUGCGUAUAUAAUAGUGGAUAUGGAUUACUUCUCUAAAUGGGCAAAAGUUUUGUCAUUCAAGGAAAGUGAACGAGGAAACACAAGUUUACUUUCAUCGGAACUAAUAUUAUAUAUUGAUAUGACUUCCCAUUAUUACUUACGAUGGAAUAUGCUUCCAUAAAAUGGCCUAGAUGAACAAACUAUCCAAGAAGUUUGGGAUCAAAUAAUAUAUAUAUAGUUCAUGUGUGAUUCUUUGGUUGACAACCUUGUUAAGGGGUGAGUGAAGCACUUUGGGCAUACCACAUACUACAUGCUAGACUUCCACCCAAGCUACCCUAUAUUCCUUAUGAACAAAGUAGAAGUUGUCAUCUCUCUUGAAUACCAAAUCCUUUCACCUAAUAAUGCUAUCUAAAAAGGUCUUAAAAAGGAUAAAAAUGCGCAUAUUUGAAUUUUUGAAUUAGGAGUGCUACUUAAAAAGAAGCUAGAUAUACAAUAAUAGAAUGUUAUCAAGCAUAUCUCUUCAAAGUUUUUGACCAAAAAAUAUAUGAUUUCUCAUUUUAGGUAGGAGACUUAGUACUCACUAUUCAAAAACCAAUUAUCAUUACUCAUAAAAACUAAUAGAAAGUUUGGGCCAAAGUAGGAUGGACCUUAUAUUAUGCAACAAUUAUGCCUAUAAAAUUGUUGCAAAAGAGGUUUUAGAAUCAAAUCAAUGAAUGAAAAAUUAUUAAAGCAUUACUAUGCUUGAAGGCUAGUCAUUUUCCCUUAAAGUGCAAUAUUAAGUUGCAUAGUACUAUGUGGAUCCGCAUUUUUCACAUGCGUUCCCACUCAUUGUCGAGACUCACUUUUUAGAAGUGAAAAAUUAGUUUUAUUAAAGUCGAAGUUGCCACUGGGGAUUUGAACCCUAACAAAAGGUUCAAUUUAAGGAUAAAAAUAUCGAUAAUCACAUAUAUAUAUAUUGGUACUUUGAUUUUAUGAAUAUAUUGAAGAAAUAUGGACAAAUAUUUUGACACAAAAUAUGUACAAAAUAAAAAUUAUAUAAAAAGUAAAAAUAAAUAUUUUAAAAUUAUUUUUUUAAAUAUAUAUAUAUAUAAUUUGACAUAUUUGAUAAUAAUAUAUAAGGGUCUCCAAAAAGCCCGUGGCCCGCUUUAGGCCCGGUCCGACCCGACAGGCUAAAGCCCGGCCCAAGCCCGCCGGGCCCAAGCUCGGCCCGAGCCCGUUUAUGGGUGGGCCGGGCCGCGAGCCCGUAGGCCUGCUCCUUUAAAAAAAAACUACAAAAAUAAAAAGUAUUAAAAAAAAUAUUCAUUUCAAAAUUUUAUUCAUUGAAUGUAUAAUUACAUUUGAAAAUGUGGGAAAAGUUUACAUCACUACAAAAUAAAUACAUCCCAACUAGGUUGGCACCUAUUUAUUUGUCAAUCAUCUGUAUUUUUCAACCACAAAAAAUAAAAAUAAAAAUAUAAUAUACAUUUAGUCAUUAUUUUCUGGCGGUGAUGGCGAACUAUCAUGCAUCCAUGAAGAUCUUGAUAAUUUUAAAGAUUCCAUAUCGGUAAGCAUCUUUGUUUCUCGAAUGGAAUCAUACAUCCUUUUAUCUGCUAUUUCCCAAUCUUUCACACAUAUCCCUGCUUUAAUAACAUCUGACGCUAAGUUGCAUCGUUUUUUACUAACUACUCUUCCACCUGCACUAAAAGCAGCUUCUGAUGCAACUGUACUCACAGGAACUGUUAGUACAUCACGAGCAAUUAUAGAAAGCACAGGAUAUUUGUGUUGAUGUGAUUUCCACCAUAUUAAAAUAUUAAAAUCUUCUUGAUCUUCAAAUGAAAUUAUAUCAGUAUUAAGAUAUUUAUCUAAAUCAGAUGUAUUAUUUGGAGAAUUAUUUGUUGUCUUUUUUCGACUUUUCAACAUUUCUAGAGCUCCUUUAUAAAAAGAUGAGGAGUUUGUAGAUGUAGGUGGUAAUUUAAUAGUAUUAAUAUCAUUACCAUAUUUUUCUUUAUAAUAGUUAUAUAAAUUAUAUAAUAAUGAAUUUAUUUCAUUUUUAAUUUCUUCAAUUUUUAUUUGGUCAUUAAAAUAAAUAAUUGUUAACCAUUCAUCCAAAGCUUCAAAUUUCAAUCUAGGGUCCACAAUUAAAGCAAUAUAAAAAAUUAAAGGUAUUUCUCCCCAAUAUUUUCUAAAUUUUUAUAUCAUUACAAAUAUUGUAUCAUUAAAUAUUUCAAAACUUAAAUAUUUUUGAAGUACAAUAAAAAUAUUAGUUAUUUGCGUAAUAACUCGAUUUGAAGUUGGAUAAUAUACACCACAAAAAAUGUUUGUUGAAGUAUCAAAAAUUUCAAAAAGAUCUCUUAAAACAUCCGCAAUAUGCCAAUCAUAAUCAUUUAAUGCAUAAAUAUCUGCUUCAUAAUCAUUGUUAAUUAAUUGUAUUUCAUAUAAUUCGACUACUUUUCUAUAUUUUGUAAUAUUUUCUAAAAGUUUAUAUGUGGAAUUCCAUCUAAUAGCCAUAUCCAAAUUUAUAUUUUUUCUUUUCAUAUUUAACAUUUUGCAACAAUCAAAAAAUAAUUCAUGUUUUGCUUGAAAACUAUUAAUACUAUAUGCAAUGCCUCUAAUUUUUUUCCAAUGUACUAUCAACAUUUUUUAAUCCAUCCUUUACAAUUAAAUUUAAAAUAUGUGCACAACAACGCACAUGAAAUAUUUUAGCAUGAUCUUCUUUUACUUGCCAAUAUCGUUUUAGUCUAUGUAUUGCUGCAUCAUUAUUAGCAGCAUUAUCUAAUGUUAUUGUCAAUAUUUUAUCACGAAUGCCUAAAUCUAUAAUUUCAUCAUUUAUUAAAGAUGCUAUAUUUUUACCACUAUGUGGAGUAUUUAUUAAUUUAAAUAAAAUUAUUCUUUUAUUUAAUUUCCAUUCAUUAUCAAUGUAGUGAACAAUUAUAUAUAAAAAACCAGUAUGAGUUAAAGAUGUCCAAAUGUCAGAUGUUAAACGAAUAUUUCCUUCAAAAUUUGCAAAAUUUUUUUUUAAAAUUUCUUUUUGUGUAUAAAUUUUUUUCAUAAUAUCUCUUUUAACUGUAUUUCCAGAUCAACCUUUAAAUUGAGGAUUAAUACCUCGUUGAAUUGUUCUUGCAAAAUCAUGAGUUUCCAUCAUGUUGAAAGGUUGUUCUGCUCUUAUUAUAUAAUCAAUCAUUUCUUCACAACAGUUAGAUUCAUCAUAAGAAAAUGUUUUUAAAUUUCCACUUUCAUUUUUACUUAAUUGCAUAUAAUUUCUAAUAUCUACAUUAUUUUUAGUUUUACAAUUUUCAUGAUGUCUUUUUAAAUGACUUGUAUCUGCAUUUGAGCCACCAGUAAGAAAUUUAUUACAAAUUUUACAUUUUGCUUUUAUUUUUUUUUUAUUAUUUUCUAAAAUUAUUUCUAUUCUAUCAAAAAAAUUCCAUAUAUUUAAAGUAAAUUUUUUGUUUGAUGAUAUUUCAUCACAUGGACUAGACGAAGAAGCACUUGUCAUAUUAUAAUUAUUGAUAAAAUAUUAUGCCAAAAAUAAUAAAGUAAUAAAUAUAAAAAAAAAUGUAACAAAAAAAAUAAAGUAGUAGGGGUGAAGUAUGUUACUCAAUUAGAGAACCUAUGCAGAAAUUCCUAGCAAAUUUGAACUCUUGGAGCCACCAAUGCUUGUUUUGCACCAUCAACAAUAUUGUAUAAUUUGAGGGAAAAAUAAAAGAAUUUAAAAUAUUGUAGAAUGUGAGAGAAAUAGAGAGAAUUUGAUGAAAAAAUGAAAAGGAAGAAAAUGUAUUUAUAGGAAGGUUAAAAAUAAUAAUAAUAAUAAUAAUAAUAAUAAUAAUAAUAAUAAUAAUAAUAAUAAUAAUAAUAAUUGGCCAUGUGACCGUUGGAGGCUUAGCUCCAACGGUCACAUGGGCUGGAGCUAGGCUCCAACAGUCACAUGACCGUUGGAGCCUUUAAUUUUUUUUUUUAAAAUAAUAUACUUUAUUUUUAUAUAUAUAUAACUAACUCAAUUAAUAAACAUAAAAAGAAUAUAGUUCAGUUGGUUAGAACCUUGAAGUUUAAACAUGAGGGGAGGGGUUUGAAUCCCUCCCUCUCCCUUAGGGGCUUUUUUAAAAGCCAUUUUGGCUUAUUUCAAAAAGCCUGUCGGCCCGACCCGCCCUGCAGCCCGCGGGCCUAGCAUUUUAGCAUGGCCUGGUCUGUUGACUAGUCAAAUGGCUCAUAGGCUCGGCCCGAACUGGGCCGCGGGCCUCUUAUUUACGGACCGGCCCGACCCGGCCCGCCCGUUGGAGACCCUUGAUAAUAUCUUCUAUAUUAAGUUACAUUAUAGUUUAUUUUACAAUAUUAUUAUGAUAAUAUGUCUAAUUUUAAAAUAUAUUUAAUAUUAAAAUUAUGAUCUAUUUUAAUUUAAAUGUAUUCAAUGAUAUCAAAUAAAUAAUAAUAUAUGUAUAAUUCUUUUAUUAUUUAUAUUUAUUAUUUUUAAUAAAUAUAUAGAUUAUAUAAAAAAGACCGGAUAUAUCUUUUCAAAUUUUGUAUCGCUCUCCAAGGAUAUUAGAUGUAUGGGAAUUUGUAUUGCUAUCUACGGAUACGUUGAUAUAUGGGUGAUUUAUCAGGAUAAUUAGAAAUUCUAAUUAUGUAAGCAGGUACGGAGUUCUGUGUCGGUGCGAUCUUGUCGACAACAGCUCCAAAUUGUGCAUCUUGCUCAUAGAGAGUAGCGGAAUGCACCAAUCGUAGGCUCAGAGUACCACUGAGUCGUCUGGCAGAGACCCAACUGAAGGUGCCUGUGUUGUUCCUGAUCUGAUCAGGCUUCAAACUACAAGGUGGAAUACUGGUUCCCCUAUAUCAGAAGCUGGAGAUACCCACCCCAUAUGCUCGUCUGGAUGUGCUCCUACCCUUUGAAGCCUUCUUCCGAGUCAAGUCCGAAUUGAUAAGGCUAGUGAGUUCCCAACCAACUGUACUCAGCAUGCUGCCAGGUGGAGACCCUCCAUAUUUGAUGGCUUCCUAAUAUUAAAAUGCUGACCACUGGUCUUCAUGUUCCACAGGCUUAAUUGUGUCCUUUGCUGAAAGAAUGGAUAGUGAUCCAUUUUAACACAUGAUUCACGCCGUCUUUGCCAUUCUUCAUGGUCUAGCCCUUUUAUAUAUAUGCUUCCUGAACUGUUGCUAUUAAUAAAAUGUGGUAUCUAUCCCGUACACCUUCCUGAUGGCCAGCGAAUGCAGAAGCUACAGAAACGGUUCCAUCUUUUGCUUCCGCCACUUUGGCAUCCUCCAUGAUGAGAUCGAAGGUGAAUAAUCAUAUUCUGGGGAUUUAUGUCCUGGAUAUUCUCAGUAAUGCCCAAUUUCCUGGUGCCGGCCUCAUUUCCAUGGGAACUGAUGGAUAACUUAAGGCUUCUACCAUCUGCGUGGUUCGCUUCUAACACAGGAAACUUCACGGCUAAAAGCAAGAUACCAAGAACAUCAAGGCUGUGACAAAAAUUAGUAUUUUUAACUUGUAGGAAUUUGAAAGGCAACCAACCAUCUAGCUCUGUUCUUAAAGCUCCCAUAGGAGGAUCAGAGGCUGGAUUGCUCAAGAUGAACUCAUCCAUUGUUGCACUUAAAAAGAAUUGGCAUGAAUUGUGGCCGCUCUAAUAGGUUCCCUAAACCAUCAUCCAAGUGGGCUUGCGGAAGGUAGCGAGUUUAAAACACCUAGGGCGAUGAACAGUGGACUGUGAUGCUCACAAAAGAGAAAAGGAAGAAUUCAAUAAUUCCUAAGAAUCCAUUUGCCUGUCAUCCAAAUUUUUAUAUUCUCUUCAGUCUGACGCGUUAUGCCAUAUAUUAAAAAUAGCGGCUUCUUCCAAGCCGAGACAGACUGUGCAAAGUUCGCAAGGCCAAUCAUCACCAUAAUCUGAAGUUGGCCUCCUCAAUCGCAGCUUGUAUCCGAAUGCUCACUUCACGGGAUGGAUUGUAAUGAAAACUAAUCUCAGUCCCAGCUAUGGCAGCAUCCUCACUUGACAGCAUUUUCUGCAUAUUCUAGAACAAAGCAAUAAACCCUCAAAGGCUCCUUCGGAUCAGAGUUAGAAGACUGUCCCUCAGGAACGUGAACACUAUGGUGGUUCUGAUAAGCAGUGAUAUUGCAUUAGAGCCUUUUGGAACAAGAGGAUCUUUUCAGGUGGAAACUGUAAACUGCUUCAUGUUGGGCUGCAACCUUUUCUUCAAGCAAUACUUUCUUUCUGUAUCACGACUUAUGUUGCUUCCGGAGCCAUCCCGUGUGGACUGCCCUUCAGUGAAAGAAUAUGUGUGUUGACAUGUUGGAUUGUAAUCUUUGUUCCACUCUAAUGGCUUUUGGUCCUCCUCUUUCUCUUUAUGACAGAGAACCAUUUAGUGAUCCAUCUCUAUAUUGUAGCAUUGCUGGUGCUUUGCAAUACUACACUCUCACCAAGCAUAACAUCUAUUUUUCCGUGACCAAAGUAUGUCGGUUUAUGCAUGCGCAAACUCUUAUUCAUUGGCAAGUUGUCAAGCGUAUCUCAUGAUUUCCCAAAGCCACAAGUUCUUAUGGUCUUUCUGUUCAAGCUUACAAUGAUCUAUCUUUUCUUGGUUAUACUGAUGUCGAUUGGGCUAGUUGCCCUGAUAACAAGCACAAUACUAGUGGGUACAACACUUUUCCUGGUCCUAAUCUCAUUUCAUGGGCAUUUUCAAAGCAGAAGGUUGUGUCUCACUCCAAUAACGAAUCUGAAUAUAGGGGACUCACUAAUUAAUGUUGUUGCCAAGGUCACUUGGAUUGAAUCUGUCUUACGUGAGUUGCGUGUUUCUCUACCCCAACCACCAAUUUUGUUGUGUGACAACAUUAGUGCUACACACUUGGACAAACCAUGUUGAAAUACACUAUCAUUUUAUCCAUGAAAGGCUUAUGCAUCACACACUCAAAAUUCAAUACACCUCUUCUAUAGACCAACUAGUCAAUGCUAUGACCAAAGCUCUUCCUUCAUCUCACUUGUACAAUCUUCAGUGCAAGCUGAUUGUUCUUCCCAAACCACUCAACUUGAGGGGAGAUGUUAAGCCAAUUUAAUAAAUUGAUUUCUUUUGGUUAAUUUGUUAGAAUCAUUUUUAUUAGAGGUUUGUUUGUACAAUUACAUCCAUUUAUCAGGAGAGUACACGUGUACAACUCCUCUUUUAAUCUCACCAUUGUAUAUAUAUGAUACACGACCUUACUCAGAAUUGCAUAACAUUUCCUCUGCUCAUUCCUUUUCUUCUUUGAAUUUUCCCUUACCUCACUGAUUUUGAUUUAUACCUGGUGUUUUCACCUUUGGUCUCUACCUUUCUAGCCAGUUUUCUAAUUAAUCCGUAUAUGGUAUACCUGUCAACUAAUGAGGAGAAAGAGAAAAGGGGAUUGCUGUUCCACCAGCUACAUAUAAUAAUUAAUUACAAUCAUGGUAAUGGAUCCUGAAAUCCAUCCUUUGUGGAUUUUGUACGGAAUAUUGUUGUUAUGUAUGUGGGCUCACUUAGAUGUAUAUUGCUAGCCUGUCUGGGAAAUGUGAUUGCAGGUCCAGAUUAUGAUGUUGAUAUUAGUGGGAUAAGCAAGAGAUGCAGUUAACACGUAUGUGAUGGACUUGAGUAACUUUUCCAUUUCAGUCCAUUUUUUAAGAUUAUGCUUAGUCUUAUUACAAGGAAAGACCAUAAGAAUCAUGAGUCAUUGGCAAGGUAAUAUCAUUCCCUCUUUACAGGCUUCUUCACCUUUUGGUUUUUUUAAUAUCCAUCAAGAUCUUUUAAUUGGAGGACAAUUACAAGUAUAUAUAUAUGUAUUAAAAGGGGAAAAUAUUAAAACAGGAAAUUUUAGGGAAAAUAUAAUAAUUAUUUCUUCCUUCUUUCCCAUAUAGAACUACACAAAAUAAAACUUUAAUAAUUUUUUCUUAUCUUUUUUAUUAUUAUUUUUUCUUAGAAACAUCCGUGGUCUCACAAGCUUGUAAUCCUAGAUUGUUAGGCUCCUUUAACAGUGCCCCAACAUCGUGGUCCAAUGACAAGCUUCCACGCCUUAAAAUCAGAAAAUGCCAUUAAACUUUAUCAGACAUUACAGUUCAAGACAAAGCUUUCAUUUGCUUAAUGUGAUAAUGAAAUUGUUAAUUUCAUUUCGUGGGCAUCUAAAUUUGGACGAGCAAGACCUCUGAAUUCCCUGUUUUUAUCACCAGCAGAGGAGAUAAAAUCUUAAUGGUGAGAAUCUCCACGUGAAAUUUAUGUGUACUGUCAACAUAUUUUUGUUUAUAUAGUCCAGUAGCUGCAGGAAGUCUAGAUUAUAUAGGUAGCAGUAGCACUAUUUAUAGCACUCGAUAUUCGCUGUAUGAAUACAUUAAACCUUGUUUUCAAUACGCAUCACAAGCAAGUACUAGAUACUACAAGGAGUGACAGUCGCAUCAACAUUUCUUGAUAAUAGCAGUGACUGAUUUAUACACAGAACAGUACUGUACACGUACCAGUCACCAGAGAUAGGAUCUUAUUCCUACAUACGACUCUUAUUGAUCGAAGUCACUCAGUUGGGGUAGCCUGGAGUUGGAGGUUUGUGUGGUGGCUUCUUCUUUGGAGGAGGCUUUAUCUUUGGAGGCAUCAUCUUUGGAGGCAUCUUGUGUGAGUCUUCUUCAGCAUUCUCUACAGGAGGAUGGCCAGGCUUAUGACCCUUAGGUGGUUUGCCAACUGGGAUUGGUGGCUUGUGUCCUGAGAGUGGCUCCUCUUCUUCGGGAGGUUUGCCAACUGACGUUGGUGGCCCGUGUCCUGGGGGUGGCUUGUGUUUUGGGGGUGGUUUCACUCCACCGGGAGGUUUACCAAUUGGUGUUGGUGGUUUGUGCUCAAUCGGUGGCCUCUCAACUGGGGGGCGCUUGGGGUAAUCAGCGAGUGAAGAAGUGGUGAGAACCACCACUCCAAGCAACAACACUAGCAAGUAUGUGGAAGACAUCUUUGAGUUUGGCUCAGAUGGUGUAGAACUAGAAUCCUGGGUGGCCUUUUAUAUUAGUUGGGCCCUAUGCCCGAACGACAAGUGUCAUGGUGACACAUAAAGUGAUGGGGUCGAUUUGGGCCUACCGGAUUUGAAAACUUGGACAAUUCGAGAAGCGUCUCCUGACUCCGGGUUGUAAAGUGAAAGAUUAGGUAUCGACCAUUGAAGUAUGAUCACAACUUUUGGCCUUUGGCUCUCUCUACUGCCGUAUAGCUUUUUUCCUUUGGAUAUUUUUCUUAGCUAGACACAAUUAUUGAGCAGUCUAAUCUCGAAAUGGGAUUAGUAUAGCUUUAAGCAAAUUUAUUAUAGUUAGUGGAGGACUUUUAAGAGUGCAGACGACAUUUAACACAUGCAUGCAGUAGUAUAGGGGACAUAACACUAUUCUUUUUCCAAAGAUUCACAUGAUUUUUAUAUUAUAGUAUUGGCACAUUGUAUGUAGCUGGUUUUGUGGUUAAAAUUCCAUAUGUAGACACUGGCGUUUCUCCAUUUCUCACAAUUGAUGUUUACCUCCACGAUUACUAGAUUAGAUAUACCAAACAAUAACACAUUGUAUAAUCUAUCCGCCCUUCAAAAUCUACUGUAUGAUGAAAUGUUUCAUGUGUGUGUGAAGUGUUAGAAAUGCACUAUAGGCAACAUCAUCUUCUUUUGUCUAGGCUUGGGCCUCAAAUUAUACUCCCAUGCCAUGAUAAAUUUUCAUGUGCAUUCUCUAAAGAAGAGUGUCUUGAAUGUGCCAAAUCAUUUUGAUUGAUUUUAUGAUGUUAAUUGCUCCGCAUAUGGAUGGGUAUGUGCUUUAUUUGCUUAUUCAAUCCACAAUUACCUUGAACUGAAGUCCUAUUGGAGCUCUAUUAUUUUAGCAACGUCCUGUCAAAUAGGCUGCUAACUUGGGGUGGUAUGGACCCAAUGAUCCAUCUUAAUCUUGGGUUGAUUUUGUCUGACUCUAUCUAUCUCAGAGAGAACCAGGAUCACCAGUGCUGGUCUGCUUAAAGAAGACUCAGUACUGGAUUAAUAUUGGUUUGGGUCAAUAGCUUAUAAUGCAUUGAAUGCAGAAUAAACAAGAUCAAUGAAACCCAAAACACACUGCCCACACAACUUCACUCUGGUGUCUGUUAUUCAUCAAUUCUAUUCCCACAUGAACUGGUUCAAGUUUAAGAAAAUGACAACGGAUCCACUGUAUUAACUUGGUUUUGCUUGGUUUUGAGCUAGUUGCCAAACCAGCCAUGAGUUUUACCUCUAAUGUCAAUGAACAAACCCCAAAUGAACAACUGCAACAGCUUAAAGAGAAGGAAUGGAGAUGAAAAUCCCUGUUUCUUCUCAUUCUGGGGACAAAUUAGAACAUAACUACAAAGGUUCUAUUAAUUGACUUACUCUACCAUGAAUUAUGGUUCUUUGGUUUUCCAAAUUUAAAUUGUACAUGAGAUUAUUUUUUUCCUUUAUAUAUAAACAUAUUAAGGUUUUCUUAUUUCGUGGGCAAAUGCGCUAAGGAUGAAAGUCAUUUCAUUUGGCUGCAACAGCAUCUUAUAAUCAACAUGCAUAAGCAGCAGUUUUAAUUGAUCGAUUGAACACCGACUCACAAGAAUAGAUAGAAUGGUACAAGACAGCUCUUAUUAAUUUAUACUCGUUACUCAUUUUAUGUAGCCCCAUUAAGAUGGCUGGCUGGACCACCGAGGUCUGGGGGUGGUGUUGCUUGUGUGAUGCAGCGGGCCGGGCAGACACUUCUCUAGUUGCUUCUAUUUGGAGUUAGAGGAUCAGUCUCUGCCAACCUUGAGGACUCUCUACCUCAGAGGGUCCAGGUGGUGGACUCUGGUGUCGGUAGCUUUGAACUCUCAGUAGACUAGUGUGUCUUAAUCAGUCACUGCCAGAGGCUGGCGUAGGCAGUGACGAUAAGGUGAGACAAAUUACCGAAUAGUCAAUAUCGACUGCACUUGACCAUUAUAGAUUUGUUCUGACAAAAGUGAGAAAAGGGAGAAAAUCGGAUGUUGACCUUUAUAGAAAAAGAUAAGAUUUACUGCAACACAGAGCACUGAUUUGUUACUUGGAAACCAAGUUAUGCUAUUAGCUAGCCUCCAUUAGCAGCAGGGUACCUUGCUGCCUGAUCCUAAUCUGAGUUCCCAAGGUUUCAAUCUUCGUUUGUUAACGCUUCAGGAUUUGGAUAUUUCAGCUUCGUUUCUCCAUUUAGCCAACGCUGCCUGGUUUGGAUUUCAAUCCUCAUCUGGAACAUUCUUUUUUCGGUCUGAUUCAGGAAGUGUUUGGUGAUAGUUGAUUAAAAUUAAACAGUACUAUCAUACAAAUAAAGCUGAUCUAAUUUUGGUGGGCAAUAUACCAACUCAUUUAUUCUUGAAAACACCAUGGGGAAUUGGAGGUCCAUCCGAAGUACUAUUUGAUGGGACUCACAAAAAGAACAGGUGCACAUUUAUGAGAUCCGUGGAAGAGAUAACUAUGACAGCUAUGCAUGUACAACAGAUUUAUGUCGAGUUCACCUCGUAGAUAUUUUGUUUUCAGUGUCGGUGGACCCCAAAAUGGAAAUCGGAAAUUAAGGUUAUAUUUAUUUUUUUAUUUAAUUUUAAAUAGAAUUUUAAUUUUUAAUAAUAUUAAGUAUUAAAUUAUUUUUUUAAGGGUAUUUUAUUUUUAUUAAGUAUUAAAAAGUAAAAAAAAUUAAUAUGUUGCUUUUUUAUUUUAAAAAAAUUAUAUAUUUUAAUUUUUUCUAUUUACUAAAAAGUUUAUAAUAAAUUAUAAAAAAAUAAAAAAAUAAAAAACUUAAAUUCUGAAAAUAAAUUAUUUUUAAUAAAAAAAUCCAAAAAAGCAAACACCACCUAAAUUUGAGAUGACUCAAAAUUUUAUAUUUUUUUUCACCUAAAUUAUAUUCAUAAAUUUAAAAUUAAAAAAUUAGGAAGUUGAAUUUUAUUUUGGAUAAUUGGAAACUACAAGAAAUCAAUAAAAAUAUUUGGAAAAAAAAGAAAAAGAAAAACUAUCUAUAUAUUCACCCCCUUCUAAGAAACAUAACUUUAGUUUUUAACUAUUUUUUAAAAUAAUUUUUGAAAAAUGUUAUAUAAUAUUUUAUAAAACAAAAAAUCUGUUUGACAAUUUGAUAUGUCUUUAACUUAUUUUUAAUAUUUAUAUAUAUAUAUUUUAAAAAUAAUUUUAUAUUUAGAACUUUAUCUUUAAUUAUUAUAUAUAUUUAUAUAAUUAUUUUUUUUAAAACAACUCUUAAAAAAUAAGUGAAAGUAAUUGAAAACAACUCAAAGAUAUUUGAUGAAAACACUCUAAUUUGUAUUUUUGAGAAUAAAAAAAUAAAUAAAUAAAUUUCUAGUUAUCAAAUGUAUUUUUUAAUUCUUUUAUUCUAAAAAAUAGAAAAUCGUUUUUGAAAAUAAUUAUUAAACAACAUUCUUAAAAAUUCACUCGUUACAAUCUAGAUUUAAUGCAAGAAUGAUUGAAGGAGUCCUCCAAUAGAACCCAAAGUUAUAAACAUGAACAAGAAGCCCUAGAAACACCAAAGAUCUCAUAUGGUAUAUAUAUGAGCUUGAUUGAGAACUGUUUUAAAUUCAGUUUUUUUUUUUUUUUUUUUUUUUUGUUUUCAAAGUCAAAACAAGUUUACUUUUAAUUUUUACUUCUUUUUUUUAAUUUUAUAAAUAACAGUUUUUUAAUAAUUUAUUUUGAAAACAUGAUUAUUUUUAAAACUUAUAAUGAAAAUAGGAAUUUUUUUUUUAAUAUCAUGGUUAUUUUCCCUUCUUUUAAGGAGGGCUAUUUUAAAAAUAAAUUUACAAAUAUGAAAAAUGAUUCAAACUAAAGCAGUACAAAUAAAAAACAUUUUUAAGAAAUAUUUAAAAAUAGAGAAAAUUAUUUGAGAACAUUUGAAGUCCUUAAAUAGACUUUUGUUUUAGAAAAGGCAAGAUAAUUAUUUUUGAAAAUUGUUUUCAUAAUGAUAUGCAAAAACCUACGUAAAAACCAUAAUUAUAAUCGGCCACAUAUCAAAUCUACUAAAUAUGAAAAGUAAGUACAUAAUUAUAUUUGACUUAGAUGCAAGGAGGAAAAUGUCGCGAUAUUAUCGCCGAAAUAUCGUGUGUCGAAGGGUAUCGACACGAUUUUUCUUGCAGAAAUAUCGGCCAGUCGAUUUUUCGGGAUAAAUCUCGAGAAAUCGGCAAUUUAUCGCGAUAUAUCGGCGAUUUUUCCUCGAUAUAUCUUCUGGUCAACGCGGGUCAACGGAGUCAACACGCUACAGUGAAAGUCAAAUGUGCUACAAUGUCCCCGCUACAAUCACCUCCCCAAACAAAUUGCCAAAUUGCUUCCGAGGGGAUUUGAACCAGCCUUCUUGCCAUUUGGGCUAACUCGCCCUUAUGAUAUAUAUUGCAUUAAACAUAUAUAUACUUAAAGUCCUUAUAUAAAGAAAAUGUUAAAAAAAUAUUUUAAAGAGCAAAUUAAUUAUAAUUAUUUUAUAAUUAAAAGCAAAAUUUUCUUUUAAUUAAUUACCAAAAAUAUAAAAAUUAUAUAAUUUUCUUCAUAAUGUUUUUAAUAUCAUUAAUAAUUAAUUAAAUAUUAAAAAAUUAUAUAUAUAUAUAUAUAUAUAUAUAUAUAUAUUAUAAUUUAUUUUAUAUUGUUUAAUACAAUUGAAUUAAAUGGAUCAUAUUUUAAUAUUAAUAUAUAUUUUAAAAUUAGACAUAUUGUAAUCAAAUAUCAUAAUAUUAUAUGUAAUUUAAUAAUAAAUGUACACUUAUAAAAUUCAUAUUUUUAUCGAUGCAUACAAUAUUAUUAUCAAAUAUGAUAAAUCAUGUUAUACAUAUAUCAAAAUUUUCAAUAAAAUAACUUUAAAAUGUCUAUUAUACUUCUAAUUAUAUUAUUAUGAGGUUUUCUUUACAUUUUCAUGAGUUUUAAACAAUUUUAAGCACCAAUAUUUUUUUCCAAAAUAUCCACCGAUAUAUCUCCGAUAUAUCCAAUAUAUCUCCGAUAUCUCCGAUAUAUCCGUAAAAUCGAAGUACCGAUAUAUCCGUGAUUACCGAUAUUUUCAUCAUUGCUUAGAUGCAACCUUCUUCCAAAUGACAUACUUUAGUCAAUACUUAUAUUUUUUCGUUUCACUUCUUUGAUACAACACCUCAUGGAUUUAUUGUUUAAUUUAUUUGUAAUUAUAAAACUAUUUUUCAUUUUUAAUAAGACUUGAAUUAAUUUAAUAAAUAUUAUAUAAUUUGAAUUUAUAAUUCUUUUUAUAAAAUCAAAGUAUAUUAAAAAAAAAACAAUUUAUCCGAAGAAAGUUUUUUAUUUUUUAUUUUUUAAAACCGAUUUUAAAAAUAACUAGCUAGACACCCUUAUUUUGAUAAAAUACGAAAUAAAAGUGUAAAAACAACAUGGCCAAAUAGGGGCUUAAAUUUUAUUUUUAAAACAUUUUUUUACACUAAAGUGCAUUUUAAAAACACCAUCAAAACCAACUACAAGUUAUGCUUCUUCCCGUAAUAGAAAUAUUUUAGGCCAAAAUAGAACCUCCCCAAAUAAAGACCCUAUACUAAACUCCUUUUCAUUUUAUUAAUACAAAAGUGGGGAAAAAAGGUCUAUGCUCACCUAAAAAACAUGAAUAUUGUGAAUUCACCAUUUCUAUAAGGAAGUUGAAAACUUCAAAAUUUUAUCAACAAAUUCUCUAAAAUCCUCAAAAUAUAUAGGGCCUGUUUCACAAAGUUUUUUAAAAUUUGUUUUUAUAAAUUGCUUUUAAAAUAUAGAAUAAAUAACAGUUUUUUAGAUUUUUUGAAAAAUAAGAGUGUUUGGUAAGAUGUUUUUUUUUUUUUUUUUUUUUUUAAGAAUUAAAUAAAAAAUAAAAAAAUUGUUUAGAUAAAAGAAUUUGUAUUGUUUUUAAAAACAAUGUCUUACUUUUAUGUUAUAAAAAUUUUAUUAAUUUAAUUUAUAAUAAUAUGAAAUGAAAUUCAAGUUAAGUCUUAUUAAAAAAUACAAAUUAAAUCUAUAAUUAUGCAUGAGUUAAAGAUAAAUAUAUAUUUUUUAAAACUAUAAAAUAAAUUUUCUAUUAUAGUGAAACAAAAAUUACUAUAAAAUAAAAAUAAUUUUAAUAUUCAUUUUUAAUACAAGUCAAAUAAGUACUUUAAUUAAUUUUUUUUAUCAUGAUUUCUUAUGUUUUUUUUUUUUUCUAGAAAUUAUUUUAAGUAAUAUAACUAAUUUUUUUUUUAAUGUUUUAUAAAAAUAAGGAUAUUUGGCAAGUUGUUUUUAUAAAAGGAUUUUAAAAAUAAAUGGAUUUUUUUUUUUUUUAAAAAAAGAACAAAAUGAUUUGUUUGAAUAAAUUGUUUUGAUUUUGUAAAAACAUUUUAAAUUCAAUUUAUAUAAUAUUAAUUAAUUAAAUUAAAUUGAAGUUUUAUUGAAAAUAAAAAUAAUUUUGUAAUUAAAAUUAGAUUAAAAAAUAUAUAGGUUUUAAUAAAUCGUAAAUAGUAAUAUUAUAAUAAAAUUAUAAAUUAUAUUUUUAACAUAAAAUAUACUAUUUAUUACAUAUUAAAAAAAAUAUUUUAUUAUAUUAAUAAUUUUAUGGUAUUAAUGAGUUUAUUAUUUAAGUUUUAAAUUAUUUUUAAAAAUUAAUAAAUUUGUUAACAAAUGCAAUGUACUAAAUGUGGUUUAAUUUGGAGUUAAUUUGUUUAGGGAAAAAAAUAAAAAAUAAAAAUCUUAUGUAAAAGAGAAAUAAUAGAGUGUGUGUGUUUUUUUUUAUUAUUUUUAAAAAUCAGUAAAAAGAACUUUUACUUAUUGCCUAAAAAUUAUUCUCUAUUUUAUUUUAUUUUUUAAAUCUAGAAAUAGAUAACAAUAAUAAAAAAAAUUAAAAAAGAAAAAUGUUUUUUAAAACUCAGACUUAUAAUUGCUUUUGUUUCUCAUUCGCACCCCUGGAUUCCUGGAUUCUAAACACAAAAUUAAGUUGAAUCGUCCAUCUAUCUUGUAAGCCAAGAAUUCACAUAGAAGAAAUAAUCGGAAUUUGAUUUGAUAUCAGAUUUAGAGUGGCUCACUACUCAUGCAUUGUCCCACAAUAGUAAUGCUUUGGGCCGAGAUAAACCCAUUUGUGGGCCCAAAUAAAACCCCUGGUUUGAAAACAUCGAUUUUACAGUGGCCCAAAAGAUUAUCUAUGAGGGGAAGAUAACUUGGAAGUCAAGCAAACACAUUUAUCGCUAACUUUUCUCUAAUUAUAAAAUUAUAACUUGGUCUUCUACACGUCUCACUUAAGAGGCGGAGCCACUUGGCACUACCUUUCCAUAUUGUAAAAGGAGAAGAAGCAGAAGGAGAAGAUUCUUAUGCCAUUCCACACACCAUGGCUAGUACUGCUAUGCUGCUUGGCCCGCCGGCUCUCCGCCAUCCUAAUUCUCCCGCCGGCACUGUCUUUGAAGAUGGGGUCAUUCUAACGGAUUCCCUGAUCGUCCGCACCAGUAAUCUGGAGCUUUCUGAAAAACCGCCACUGGAAUCCCUGGCGUAGUGCUCUGUCAGUGGGGAUAUUGCUAUGGAUUGUUUGGAUUCCCAAGCCCACAAUCUUCAUCUUCCCGGGAAACCGCCGAUGGGCUUAACGGAAAACAAGUCUCCGACCUUUUUGUCUUCCGGGAACCCGUGCUUGGACUUCUUCUUCCAUGUGGUUCCCGAUACGUCGUCUGAUGAUCUGAUCCGACGGUUUGAGUUGGCUUGGGAAUUCAAUCCGCUGACGACGUUAAAACUGAUAUGCAACUUGAGAGAGGUGAGAGGCACCGGAAAAUCUGACAAAGAGGGUUUCUACACGGCGGUUCUCUGGCUCCACGACCACCAUCCCAAAACCCUAGCCUGCAAUGCUAGGGUGUUGGCCAGCUUCGGUUAUUUCAAGGAUUUUCUCGAGAUUCUCUACCGGCUUCUGGAGGGCCCUAAAAUUCGAAGAAUCGAAAAGAAAGACUGGCUGGAUCGAAAAGGAAGGAAGAAAAAUUCCCGGAAAAGGAACUCAAUAUUCAAGCGAGAAAAUAGGCCUGGAGUUGAAUUUCCUGUAGAAGAGAAGGAUGUGGAGUAUAUGGUGGAAGAAUUUGUGGAUAAAGAAAAGGCUAGGGUACUGAGAAAGGAGAGAGAACUUGCUCUUGCCAAAAGAGCCCUGCACAAGUAUUCUACUGAUUCUAAUUAUCAGUUCUUACAUGAUCAGAUUUCAGAUUUAUUUGCUGAACUUCUGAAAUCUGAUAUUCAGUAUUUAAACUCCGGUGAGCUUUACAAGAUUAGUCUCGCAUCCAAAUGGUGUCCCACAAUUGAUUCUUCUUAUGAUAAAUCCACCUUGAUAUGUGAAAAUAUUGCUCGAAAGGUUUAUUCUCGCGAGGAAUAUAUAUCCAGAAUACCAAGGAAUUGAGGAGGCUCACUAUGUUAAUAGAGUCAGGGAUAGGUUGAGAAAACAAGUACUUGUUCCAUUACGUAAGGCCCUGGAGUUGCCAGAGGUUUUCAUGUGUUCGAACCAGUGGGGAUCACUUCCCUACAACCGUGUGGCUUCAGUGGCCAUGAAAUCAUACAAGAGCCUCUUCUCAAAACAUGAUACAGAGCGGUUUGGUGUGUAUCUUGAGAAAGUGCAAACUGGGAAGGCUAAGAUUGCAGCUGGUGCAUUACUUCCCCAUGAGAUUAUAGCUUCAUUGAAUGAGGAGGAUGGCGAGAAAGUUGCAGAGCUUCAGUGGGCGAGAAUGGUGGAAGAUUUAUCAAAGAAUGGGAGGCUCACAAAUUGCAGUGCGGUAUGUGACGUAUCAGGAAGUAUGAGUGGAACUCCAAUGAAGGUGUGUGUGGCUCUGGGGCUGUUAGUUUCAGAGCUCAGUGAAGAUCCAUGGAAAGGUAAUGUAAUUACUUUCAGUGCAAGUCCUGAGCUUCACAAGAUCCAAGGAGACAGCCUUGUAUCCAAGACUGAAUUUGUGAGGAUGAUGGAAUGGGGUGCGAACACUGAUUUUCAGAAAGUUUUUGACAGAAUCUUACAAGUAGCAGUGGAGGGAAAUCUGAGUGAAGAUCAAAUGAUAAAGAGGGUUUUCGUUUUCACUGAUAUGGAGUUUGAUGAAGCUUGUGGGAGGUAUAACUAUUGUGAAUAUGACUAUGAUAUGGAGGAAAUUGAUGAGAGUCAGAAGGCAUCUCAGAAGUGGGAGACAGAUUAUGAAGUGAUACAGCGGAAAUUCCAGGACAAAGGAUAUGGAAAAGUUCCGGAGAUAGUGUUUUGGAACCUUAGAAACUCAUCAGAGACUCCAGUGAUGGCCACAGAGAACGGGGUGGCCUUAGUAAGCGGGUUUUCGAAGAAUCUGUUAGACCUUGUUUUUGGAAGGAGGUGGAAUUCUGACCCCUCAGGAUGUGAUGGAAUUAGCCAUCUCUGGUGAAGAUUACAAGAAACUUGUUCUAUUUGAUUAAGAUAUCAAGAGAUUUAUCAAUAAUAAUAUGUUUUUUUUUUUCUAUGUGAAAUACAUGUAAUAUUAACUAUGGAGUUAUCAAAGUUCUGGAAAUUUAAUUAUUUCUUCUUUUCAAGUUUUGUUUGUCUUUGUUAGGAAUUCCCCUUGGGCGGACCCAGCUGGGGACUUGGAUUGAGGAAGUAAGGAGGCGAAAUUGUGUUCUUCUAUGGACAGAGAAAAAAGAUAAAAAUAAAAAAUAAAAAAGGAGGUUAUUUGCAUUUGGAUGUCAUGUGGUUUCAGGGUACAACUACAAGUUCGAAAUUGUACAUAAUGUGAAAAUUCCUGUGUGGAGAACAGCAUAAAUAUGUAUCUCAGUGUGUUUUGUUUGAGCUAAUUGGCAAAUUCGCUUUAAACAUGGUCACAUGGAUGCAUAUUUAUUUGUGAAAUGAUAGUAGUCGAUUACUUGGUCAGUAAGGUUUGUAUCUCUAACUCCAACAUCUUAUUGUAGUCUUUUAAAAUGUCAAAAGUUUAAUGCUAGCUUGAGAAAUUUUGGAAUGGAGACAUUCUAAACAAAGUUAAUAAUCCAUGAGACUUGGUAAAACCGAUCAGAUGAUGCUUACGUACAUGAAUGCCUUCUUUAAGCCGUAUCCUAUUUUCAUUGAAUGAGACGUGCCAUCUAGUUUUGUUCUUGUCUUGAUUGGAUCAUGAUCCCGGGAAUUGAUUACUGUUCUGAAUUUGCGAAUGUUCAAGGUAUUAGAGAAAGUUAAUAUUAUCGUUAAUUUACAUAUUAGUAUUUAUCUAGUUAUUAUAUAUUAGUUUGAAUUAUAAUAUAAUAUAGAAUUUGAAUCAAGUUUACUAUUAGUUUGAAUUACAAUAGGAAAUAAAGUUUGAAUUAUAGUAUAACUCAAAUAUAUUUGUAUAUAAAUAUCCAUCUUUAUCAAUGAGAAUAGUAAACCAUAUUUUUCUCUAUCUUCUUCUUUCUCUAUAUAUAUGGUAUCAAAGCCUCCAAAUCCUAAACCUAGUCUCAACUUAGAGCAAAUUUAGGGUGCAGGGUUUAGGCCCCGCCUCCCCCAACCCUUACCACAAAUGGUAGUGACCUUGUUAUGCCUAUGUAUUGUCAAUGCCUCAUUUUCUAUGGUCUUCAAUACAAUAUCUAGUUUCAAUGUCUCUUUCCUUACUAUCUCCAAUGCAAUAUAUUGAUUUCAAUAUCUCUUUACAACCAAGAGCUCCAAAUUUUCCUGGUUCAAAUCUACCAUAAUUUUUAUUCUCCUUUGCUUUUUACCAAUAUUAGUUCCCCUAAUUUAAUAUAUAUCUCUUUAUUACCUUCAACUCUACCUCUCUCUUUCUUUAAAAGCUUCCUCAAAGAUUUGAUUGCUUUCUUGCAUGUUUUGGGAAAACAAACAUGCUCAUAUUCUAUUACCUCUACUUGAGAUCUGCCUUAUACUCUACCUUCUUCUUUACCUCCUAUAUCAUCUACUACAUUAGCUUCAAAAACAUUAUUUAGUUUGAUGCUAAAUAAGGCUCCUAAUCCUACCCUUCCUUCAACUAACUUUCUUUUACAAGUCCCUCAAAGUUUUUUUUUUUUUUUUUUUGGAAAUUUGGCUUAGAAAGAUUUCAUUACUCUUACCUAAUCUUUCAACCAUCAAGUCGAAUCCACUUAUCUCUUGAAUCCAAGGAGACUACCCUCCACAAAAACAAGGAGAUUGACCCCCACAAUAACAAAGAGAUUGUCCUCCAUAGAAACAAAGAGAGCUUCCUUCAUGGAAGCCGAAUACAUCGCAAUCUAUUUUCUUUCUCUCAAGAUCAAAUCUCCAAUCGGAGCUCCAUCUUGUGGGGAUAUAUUAGAAAAAGUUAAUAUUAUCCUUAAUUUACAUAUUAGUAUUUAUCUAUAUUAUAUAUUGAAUUAGAAUAGAAUAUAGAAUUUGAAUUAAGUUUACUAUUAGUUUAAAUUACAAUAGGAAAUAGAGUUUGAAUUAUAGUAGAACUCAAAUAUAUUUAUAUAUAAAUAUCCAUCAUUAUCAAUGAGAAUAGUAUUCCAUAUUUUUCUCUUUCCCUGAGGCUUCAGAAUGUGAUCUUGAACAUUUGAUCUUUUGGAUUCUUCUUGUUUCGGUGGUUUAAUAUAAUGGAAUGUUUAAUUAUAGCCUACUUUAUCACCAUGGAUGUGCUCCUGCAGAUUUCUUGAGGGUGAUGGUUAUUUUGUCAUGUUUCUUGAAUGGUUUGCAUCAGCUGCCUGAGCUGUUGUUGCUGGUCACUUUUGCAACCAGGGAAAGAAUCAUGGCUUUGGAGAAGCCAGCUUCUGUUUUUGUUGCCCAGCUGUUAGUUCACUAAGAUUGGGGGUCCUAACAUGUAUGUAUAAUCAUAAGCAAGGAAAUUUUAUGUCUUACGCUAGAUAGGUACCAUGAUAUGAUGUUUGAUUGAUUUAUUAACUCUACCUGUUUCAAAAGGCAUCAACAUUAAUUUUACCCUUUUAACACAUUGGAUUGUUUGACCUUACGAGAUUUUCUAUUUCUGUACUAUUUGAACUGCAAUCGUUAUGGUCCUUAGGUCUCUAAACCUUCGUUUAAAAUAAAAGUAAGGAGCACACAUAGUAAAAGUUAAUUUUGGGUAACUUUUAAAACAAAGAGAAAAGUAAAAGUUGUUUUUGAGAAAAACAUAUAGAAAUUGAAAGAUUUUUUAUUUUGAGAAAAAAAAGUCAUAGAAAAGAAAUAAUAUCCCCAUAUAAGUAGAUAUGAUCUAUCCGAAGUGUAGCUACUCUCCUGGAUUUAUUCUAACAUUUUAAAAUUUUUCUCAAUGGGCAAAGGAAUAUCAAAUCAAGCUUGAGUAGGAUUAAUUUCUUAAUUUUUAAAAUAACUUAUAAUUAAAAUUUUUUGGUGUUUUCUUUUUUGGACAAUUUUUUAUGAAGACUCUGAAUCAUGCAAGAGAUAUGGUUAUUUUAAAAAAAAAAAUAAUUUAAAACUCAAAUACAUAAUCAAUGUCACAAAUUUAUAAACAAAAGGUUUUUAAAAAAUACUAUUAUUUCCCCUCUACACAUAAUUUUACUUUUCCGAUUUAUUUAUUUUUGUUGGAAAACAGUCUUCAAAUCAAGUAAAAUUAAUAUGUUAAAUUUGUUAAACAAAUAAAUUUUAAAAUACAAUUUGGAACUCAAAAAUCAAUUCAAGUAAUGCUAAAAUUCAAAAAAUCAAAUUUGGAAUAAAAUGACUUUGUAAAUUUUUUUACUAAACAAAUGAAUUUUAAAUCAAGUGAGAUUUAAUACAUUGGAUUUUUAUGAGAAUAGUAAUUUUAAAAAUUAAUUUGGAACUCAAAAAUAGACACAAUAAAUACCAAAAAUCAAUGAACCAAAAUUGGUUUGGAAUAACUCCAUAAUUUUUUAUUUAUUUAUAUAUUUAUUUUUUUGUGCACACGAAUUUCUUACUAAGCAUAUUGCUUCCAAAUUGAGAAAAAUUUACUAUUUAGAUUUUUUUAAUGAGUUUAAUGGUAUUUAAAAAUAAUUCAAAAAUUCGAAAAUUGACUAAUUUAAUAUUAUAAAUUCAUAAACCAAGACUAAUUCAAAAUGCAUUGGGGGCUAAGGGGGUUGAAAUUAAUGCUCCAUUUGGUUGUGGCCACCAAUUGGCAAUGGCCACCAAUCAACCAAUCAAGGUGGCUAAGGGGGUUGAAAAUAGGGACAAUGGGGUGGGUUUGGGACAGGACACUCAUAUCCCAUUCCCAUCCCAAUUACACAGUUAUUUCCCAUCCUUAUUCCAAACUUGUGUUGGGGCAAGUUGAUUUGUUCCCAUCUUUGUUAACGAAAUGACUAAUAACCUCAUCCUCUCCUUGUCUUAGAUGUACAUUUUCUCAAAUUUGGUCAGGUAUGAUUGAUUCAAGCCCUAACCUUAAUUGGUAAUGAGUGGAUACCACACCUAAUUGCAUUCUUCUUUCGUUGCAAAAUAAUGAGAUUAUAAUAAUCUAGCAAAUAAGAAAAAAUAGUAUGGAAGUUCAAAUUAACACCAUAACUAUCAAUAAUUUUAAGCUUAUAGAUGACUUAAAUGAUUGAAAACUAAUGCAAAAUACUAAAAAAAAAAAAAAUCAUCUAAAGAAUUCACAAGAGAAUAGAACGAACAAAACCAAAUAGGAACAUGGGUCAACAUUAGUUACAGAUUUUGAUCCCUUUCAAGGCCAAUCUUUGAACCAAGACUUCAUCAAAUCUACUACUUCAAAGGCUUUUGUGUUCUUCUUGAGUUGUACUCUGGAACAAAGACUUCGAGGUGAUGCUUUAGAUGAUUGCAUUACACAUAUUUAGGGUAGGGAGAUUGGAGAAGCUUGAAGAUGCCAACGAUGGGUACAAUUGAGUGGUCAAUAAGAACAAUGUGGCCUAUGACUAGUUUGAUGUCAUGGUAUAGGAGUUUUGGGCAUUGAGGUGAAAGCAAGAGCAACAUGGAAUUGAUUUCAAAGUCUUUCAAUUAGUGUAAAGGAGGAAGAAGAAGUGGUAUUGAUCCUAGAAAUAGUGUUUUAGGUGUUGCAUUAGAGGAAAAGAAAAAGAAAAAGAAGGAACCAUUGGAAUUAGUACGAGUGUGAAGAGAGAAGUGUAUACAUAAGGGGAAGUAAAAGCAAAGUUCUAAAAAUUUAUUUUUUUAUUGGUGGUGUAUGGUUGCAUGAUUAUCCCUAUAAAUAAUAGGAGUUUUUUGGUGUUCUACUAGUAGUUGAAGGAUAAUUUCAUAAGAUAAUAUUUAGAGCGGGGUGGGGUGAGUUGUGACAAAAUCCAUACCCGUCCCAAACAUUGGUUCAGGUUUUUAAAAUAUUUUCAAACUUAUCAUAUACCCAAUUUUAUAUUUCAUACUUGUCCUAAUAGAGACAGGUUAGUCAGGGUUACUUGAGUAGCCUACAAAACUAUCAUCCCUAGUUGAAAUGCUCUUUUUGGCAGUGGCAGCUAGAAGCUCGAUCGAUUGACCUACAAGACUAGUUGUCAUCAUUUUAAAAAGAGUUUUGGCUUUGGUUGUGAGUGCAAUUGAAUCUAAACUAACAUUUCCUUAAUGCAUCUACUUCAAUCCUAAACUUCUUACUUAAGCCUCAAUUGUUGUUAAGAUUUUGGAAAACCCAUUUCCUUAAAUUGUAAAUUUAAGAAAAAAAAAAUUAAAAGUGAGACAUUUCUUGAUUGAAUGUUGUUAAAGGUCCCUUGGAAUUAAGACUUGGUUGAAGCCUUGGAAGAUUAGCAGAACUCUCAACUUAUGUUUGAACCUUGAGGAGAGUGGACGUAGGCCAAAAUUUUGUCAAACCAUUAUACAAAUUGAGUUUGAAUUCUCAUUUCUUGAUUUCUUAUUUAUUUGCUUUUUCUUAUUAUUACUUGAAUUGUCAUUUGCAUUCAUUAAUGUUAAAAUUGGUUAUAAUUAGCCAACACUAAUUCUCUUUCCCCUUCCCUUAAUUUCUUGGGUGUAAACCUAGGUUGGAUUAACUAGAUUUUAUCAAAUCUAUUAAGAUGGUAAAAGAAUAAUUAUUCUUAACAUACAUAAGAUCAUCUUCAAUCAAAUGACUCAUUGGCUGAUAUGUUGAAUUUGCUUAUUACUUGCAACUCAAAAUUGUGUUCUAGUUGAUAUGUCAAGUCCUGAGUGUAUGGACAUUAAAUUUGUAGUACGUGAUGAGUAUUUAGAUGGUCCAAUUCCAAGAAAGUGAUUGAAAACUAGUUCAAGAAAGGUGCAAAAGGGAAUUGUUUUGGUAUUUUCGUUUUUAUUCUUGAAGGUGGCAGAGCUAAAAUUUGAGAAAUCAAGCAAAACAUACUGAAAUUACAUUGAAAGAAAGAAAAUGGGAGUUAAUGUCUUGCAGUACAUGAUAAGGACUUCAUGCAUGUAGUGUGACCCAUGUCUUGGACUGAUGCCACACUCACGGUUACACUUAUACCCUUAGUUCUCUCUUUACUACCUUAGCUAACCUAGAUCAGGUUAUGAGAUAGGCACCUCACCACACCAUUACUUGCCCAUUAAUUAGUGACAUUUUCAAGCAAUGAGGUAACAUGGUGACACCAAGAGGGUAUAUUCCUCACCCCCAACAAGCCUAGACCUGGUCUAAAAAAAAUGGAGAAAAAUGACGUGUUGUUAUGCAGAAAUAUAGCAACCAUGCCUUCCUCAUUACUUAGAUUCAGAAUGUGAAGGUGAAAUUGAGAAACAGAAACUCUUGAAACCAAAAUGAAAAUUGAUACUUUUACGAAGAAUUACAACAACAUUAGAGGAAGACUACAUUCUUCCUCUUUAUUCCUACAUUUCUACACUACUUCUACUCCACUCCAUAUUUCUACAUACAUCUUUAAUCAGUCUUCCCUCCUUUAUAUAGAGCCAUCUUCACACAAAUUCCGCAAGGUAGAAAAGAGGAAUGAAACUUGGAGCAAGGUUCGACUACUGGCUGUAGCUUGUCAAGGCUGAAAGUGAACUUUUUUUCUUGGCUUUUCUGGGCAUAGGUAGUAACUUGUAGGUUCCUUUUUGGAAUGAAAAUGGUACGGCUAGAACAUGUGGCACUCUCUUGUUGGAUGAUGUGUCAAGCAUGUGGCAGCCAUCUAGUGGAGAUUAUGUCAAUUUUGGGAUGGAGAGUUGGCAUCCAAUUGCAAAGAAAUAUGACAUCUACCAACAUGCAAUGUCAACCUAUGUAGAUCAUAUGAAGAUAGAGAGGAAAAAUAUAGAAAUGGAUAUAUAACUAGAACUAGCUUUUUAUUAAAUGAGACGGAGAGCCAACAAUGAAGGAAAAUCAAAAUUUUUGGCUCAUAUCAAAGAAUUCACAUUGUGUUACCCUAGGUUUUCUUAAAACUUACUUUUAUGAUAAUAAAAAAUCAUUAUUGUUUAAUCCUUUGUUUUAAACGCAUGUUUAGCAGGUUGUAAAAUGUAAAUAUCUUUCGAAAUUCAAAUAUGAAGAUAUGACAUCAUUUCAAGCAAUAUAGUCUCUAGGAAUUAAUGUAAAGCUAAAUUAAGGUGCAAUUAAGUUAGUUCAAUGCAUUAUUUUAAGAAACUUGACCUAUCAAAACCUUGUCUUACUUCAAAGCCUCUUUUUCUUUUCUUCCAACUAACAUUUUAAUAAGUGAUCGCAAAAGUACAAAAUUAGAUGAAAUCCAUUUCAAUGGUUAAAAUGAUCAAAUUCAAACUUUUUCUAAGUAUCUUUUAAAAGCAUCAAUAUUGAAAGACAAUUUUAUAUUUAGUCAAAGCUUGGACAGAGCCAAAAAGCACACAAAAAUUUAUAUUUUCUAGCUCUCUACCUUGGAUGGUCUCUUGAUCCUACUUGGAGAUGUGCAUAAAUAAAAGGAUUUGAAAAUGACAAUUGACUAAGUAUGUAGUCAAUCAAUUACUCAUUGAUUGACUAGUUGAUCAAUUAACUUUGCAACAUCAUAUGCAAUCCUAAUAGCUAGUCAUCUAAUCAACUAGGUAGUAAAUCAAUAGGCCAAAAAUAUGUUUAUAAUGACUAUUUUGUACAAAAACCACUUAUAUAGUUAAAUAUAAUGCAUUUCAUUUAUAAAUCUUCUAAUUCUUGAAUAACAAUCCUAUCAUCCUUUGAAAGUUUUUAUUACACCUUUUCUACAUUUGUUCUAAAACUUAUACAUCACCCUUAAUUGUACCAUGAGAACCUAGCAUUUUUUUUUUUUUUUUUGUAUUUCAUCAAAGUUAGCUCUUGUACUCAUUGUUGUAUUAUUUUUAUUGUAACUUAGAGAGCGAGUGUUUUCAAGUGAGUGAAAUUGACUUGUAAAUAUUGUAAAGAUUCAUUGAUAUGUAUCUCAAACUAGGUGUACAAGUUGAAACAUUUGCUAGUAGAUUUUCUCAAGAUUUAGAAUGAGCUUAAGGCUAUCGAAUUAGGUGGGGUUGCGCCAAACCAUAUCACAUCGUUGUUUGCACCUUUUUUUUCACUCUCUUUUACUUAGUUGCUCUAUAUAUAUUGUCUAGCAAUAUCCUAAAGGCUUGAUGGGCUAGGGAGCAUCCCUCUGAAUGAAAAAUUUUCAUUCAAUUCUUAGUUGUAUUACGCAUAUAUAAAAUGCCUCAUUGUUUUAAUGGUAUUCAGUCGUGGCACCACAGAUAUGGACAUCUAAAUUUUAAAAGUUUGAAACUUUUAGCUAAAGAAAAUAUGGUGCUUUGCCUUUUUGGAAAGCAUGUUGAUGAAAUCCAUGAGAAUUGUAUACUUGGAGAGCAACAUCGAGAUAACUUUUUUUUUUUCUUUUUUUAUAAUGCAUUGUUUGUCCAAAUUCCGUACAAAUUAGGCCACCACAUGUUCAUAAUUCUCCCUUCUUGAAUUUGAAAACUCGGACAAUUUGACAAUGCGACACCUAAGUCCGGUUUUUAAAUGCUAAAGUGAAAGGGCAGGUAUGGACCAUUGAAAUGUGAUAACAACUUUUGGCCUUUUCCUUUUCUCUGUAGCCAUGUUGUCUCUUUUUAAUUUCUUUUGCAUGAUUUUCUUACCUAAACAGAAUCAUAGACUUGUUUAAUCUCUAAGUGGGAUUUCAUCCACCUUAAGCUACUGUAUUAUAUCUCGGUGGAGGACAACCGACAUAGAGCACAUGCAAGUGGGUAUAUGGGACAUGAAAUAUCUUCUUAUAAAGCUUGUUUUGCAGUUAAAUUAAUUGGAUAAGUAGACACUGGCGUUUCUAAAUUUCCCACCUAAGAUAAUGACCUUAUCCUUGACUGCUAGAUACACAAACAAUUAUACCUUCAAAAUCUACUGUGAAGUGCUUCAUGUAUGUGUGAAGUAUUAGAAAUUUCUUUCUUGGCAACUUGUUUUUUUCUUUGCGGUCUACUGAUAGGUUUGACUAAAAUUAUAUUCCCUGUCCUGCUAAUUAAUUUUCACGUGCAUGCUCAAAAGAAGAGUAUGACCUUAGUGCACCAAAAUCACUUUCAAUAAUUUGUGAUAAGUUUUUUUGCAUGACAUUAACCUUAUUCAUUUAGAUAAUGUUUAGUUCUCAUAAAUAUUAAGAAAAUGAAAAUAAAUAUUAAGAAAAAUAUUCUUAUAUUUGAUUGUAUUAUGAAAAAUAUCAUAAAAAAUCAAAUAUAAUUAAAAUUAAUUAAUAAUUUAUAUAUUUUAAAAUUAUUUAAUUUUUAUAUUAAAGAUAUAAUAUAAAUGAAAUGAGUUUUAAGUAUUAUAUAAAAAUGAUUUAUUUAUUUAUUUAUAUAUAUAUAUAUAUAUAUAUUUAGUUUUUCUCUUUAUUUUAUUUUCCUUAUGUUUUCCUCACAUUUUCCGGAAUCAAAGAUAGGGAAAUCCACAAUUACCUUCAACUGAGUAGAUUCUAUUGUUUUAGCAAUGUUAGGCUGCUAACUUGUGGUGGUACGAACCAAAUGAUCCAUGUUAAUCUUGGCUUGAUUUAAUUUGGCUCUAUCUCAGAGAACUCAAGGAUCACGUCAACUCUGGUUUCUACUAUUCAGGUCCAUUCCCAGAUGAACUGGUUCAAAUUUGAGAAAAUGGUAACAGACCUUUAGUGAUAUUGGUUUGGAGCCAGUUGCCAAACCUGCCCUGAGCUUUACCACUAAUGUCAAGGGACAAAGCCAUUUGAACAAAAACAAUAGCUUCAAGAGACUGAAUCGUGGAUGAAAUCUGAUCCACAUUUCUUCUCAUUUUGGGAAAAAAUGAGGACUUAACCACAAAGAUUCUACUGCCUCAUAGUGCUUUUCCUGAUCUAAGGUUGGCUCGUUUCCCAAAUUGUGAGGUGCACGUGCCACUCUCACGCUCAGGAGUGUAUCCACGUGGUGGACAUAAGAUGGUGGCUUAAUAUCUGGUGUCGGUGGCUUUACUUUACUAGGAGAGUAGUGUGUCUUCAUCUCAUUCACUGCCAGAGGGUGGCGUAAGCAGUGACGCUAAGGUGGGGCACAGUCAAUAUCAUUUGCAUUUGACCAUUAUAAUUUUCUCCCGGCUUUAAAGUAACCUUAUCGUGAUAAUGGAUUACUAGCACUAGUUCAGAUGACAGUCAUGUUAAAUUCGGACCAUGUUUGUGUCACAUUAUCAGCAACCAUGUGCUUGUGGUUCAUGCUAUCUGCAACUAAACUUGAUAUAUAACCAGGUGAACUUCAAUCUAAAUUCUGGAAGUACUCAUGUGAUAGAUGGUGCCUGUCUGCAGUGAGUGUAUCUAUAAGAGGGAAGGCUUGGCAAAUGUUCAGUUUUCUGGGAAUUCAACAGGGAUCUAAAAUAGAUUGUUUUCUUUGCUGAUUUCAAUGGUUGAAAUUUGAGAAGAUUGUGUCCACAUAACACAACUAUUACUGGUCCUUCUGUUGCAAUUUAUCCUCUAAGGCUCUAACAUGUCUUCCAAUUCCCACUUCCCACUUCCCUGUUACUCCAGGAAAGCUGUUUCUGUCAUUGUGAAGAAGAAAAGAGACUGUACAUAUCGAUGCUUUUAAGUGGACUGGAGAAUUCAUAUCAGGUGGUCUGCAGCCAUACAUGCCACUUUGUGAAGGUUGGAACAGUCAAUCACUAGGCUAUAUUAGUGGGGCCCAGCCACUUCAAUCAAGGACAAGUCUUCAUACUUAAAGUCAAAUUCUGCCUUUAGUCUCAUUAUAAAUUGCUGUUUAAAUAUCAAGCAAACAUUUGUUUAAUGCGAUUAAGACAGCACUAACUCAAUACUUGUUCUAUUUUUGGAUGCAAAUGCUUGAUAGUUUCAUCAUUGGAGGGGAUAAAGGUGCAUUCAUGAUUAUGAAUACUUGUAGUUAUAUUUUCAUUCUCUUUUUUCUCAAUGGGACUUGUUGGCACAAUUUUGCUGUUCAGAAACCUACCUCUCCAUGGAAAAUCAGUUGUGAUUGAUAUUACUGGAUAUAUUCAAGAAAGCUAAAUGUAGAUAGCACAAAAUAUUAUCGACAUAAAUAGCAUUAACAGCGUACGUAUGUCUCAAUGCUCAUCAGCUAUAAGCAAGGGGCAAACACUUACUAUGAGCAACUUACGUCAAAAUUCCGGAAUAGGACAUAGAAGUGACAGGUCAGUAAAUAUAGAACACUGCAUAUGAGUCACAAGAAAGGAAAUUACGGGUACAUAGCAGCUCUUAUUUUACAUCCUACUCAUACUGAUCAAAGUCACUCAGUUGGGAUGGGUGGGAGUGGGAGGUUUGUGGGGUGGCUUGUGCGGAGGAGUUGGCAGCUUCUUUCCAGGACCUGGUUGCUUCUCUGCUGGAGUUGAAGGAGGCUUAAUCUUCCGAGGUGGCUUGUAUGAGUCUUCAGCAUUCUCAGCAGGAGGGUGACCAGGGUUGUGACCACAAUGUGGUGGCUUCUCUCCCUUAGGUGGUUUGCCAACUGGGGUUGGUGGCUUGUGUUCCGGAAGUGGCUUCUCUUUGUGUUCAGGAGGUGGCUUCUCCACUGGAGGCUUGUGUUCAGGAGGUGGCUUCUCCACCGGAGGCUUGUGUUCAGGAGGUGGCUUCUCCACCGGAGGCUUGUGUUCAGGAGGUGGCUUCUCCACCGGAGGCUUAUGCUCUGGUGGUGGCUUCUCCACCGGAGGCUUAUGCUCUGGUGGUGGCUUCUCCACCGGAGGCUUAUGCAAUGGUGGUGGCUUCUCCACCGGAGGCUUGUGUUCAGGAGGUGGCUUCUCUACCGGAGGCUUAUGCUCUGGUGGUGGCUUCUCCACCGGAGGCUUAUGCUCUGGUGGUGGCUUCUCCACCGGAGGCUUGUGUUCAGGAGGUGGCUUCUCCACCGGAGGCUUGUGUUCAGGAGGUGGCUUCUCCACCGGAGGCUUGUGCUCUGGUGGUGGCUUCUCCACCGGAGGCUUAUGCUCUGGUGGUGGCUUCUCCACCGGAGGCUUGUGUUCAGGAGGUGGCUUCUCCACCGGAGGCUUAUGCUCUGGUGGUGGCUUCUCCACCGGAGGCUUGUGUUCAGGAGGUGGCUUCUCCACCGGAGGCUUAUGCUCUGGUGGUGGCUUCUCCACAGGAGGCUUGUGUUCAGGAGGUGGCUUCUCCACCGGAGGCUUAUGCUCUGGUGGUGGCUUCUCGAAUGGGGGAUGCGUAGGGUAAUCAGCUAGUGAGGGGGCGGUGAGAACCACCAGGCCAAGCAACACUACUAGCAAGUAUGUAGGAGACAUCUUUGGGUUUGGGCUCAGAUGGUGCAAAACUAGGAGAAUUGGCUAGCCUUUUAUAGCGGAUCGUACCCAAUAAUGAAAUGACACGUGUCAUUAUGACCCAUGUGUCAUGUGGUCGAUUUGGGUCCUACAGUGUUGAAAACUUCGACAUCCACUUUUUUGGCCUUUUGCUUUCUCUACAGUCGCCUUGCUUUUUCCCUCUUUUCUUUUGUUUUCCUCCUGCCCCAUUCUAUCAACUAAUCACAAUUAUGUAGUUGUUUAAUUCUUAAAUGAGAUAUUAUCCGUCAAUCAUAUUAUCUUUUAUCAAGAGAGAACGGAGUGAAAAGUGGCAAUCCAAAGAAAGAAGAUCCAUAAUGCAGCUGUAAUUUUAUCGUUUACUUUUAUCUCUAGGACCACUGCAUUUUUGUUGAGAGGUGCAAUAAUACACGUCUUUAUCUGCCAUUCAAUGUUUACAGUAAAGAGAGGGCACAAAACUCUUCACUGCUCUGCAUGUGCCCCAAAAAUGCAAUUGGACAAAUUAUGAUUUGCAUGCUAAAAAGAGGCAAAUGAGGUUAAUUAGCACCAAAAUUAUUUUGUUUUCUGGACACCCCGGGGCCCUUUGGUUGGUUUGGGGGUCAGAAAAUGAACAUCAUAGGGGGUUUUUCCCUAAUGUGCAUUUGCAUUUGUAUCUGAUGGCUUUAACUCGCCUUGUUACUACAAAGAAAUUGUCACAGAUAGGAACUUAUUCCAGGCUGAGUAUCUCCGCAUGGACCCUAUAAAAGAAGACAAGUCAUAAUGAACAUCUAACCUUUGUUCAAUUUGAUUCAAUGCCCCUAUUGUGUCCAUCUCACAAAUCUGAAUUAUUAUAUCCAUUGAAUACAUAAAUUAAUGAAGAAAAUAUGAAACCCAAGAUACAUCUCUGCACAACCUCAACCCUGGUUGCUAUGUUUCACUUCUAUUCACAUGAGGAUAUUGAUUACGGAAUAAGGAAACCUAGCAAGGGUUUACUCGGCUCUGGUUUGAUGCUAAUUGCCAAACUUGCAACAAGCCCUGAGUUUGACACCUAAUCGAUGGGCGAAUUAAAAGUCUCCUCCAAACAUAUAUUCCACAGCUUGAAGCUCACAGAAGAUGCUAUACAGGCAGGGAAAAACCUUCAGAGUUAGCUACCAAAGAUAAUUAUCAAGGAGAUAUCACCAAGAGAAUUCCAUGGAGUCUGAAUCAAAGACAAAUUGCUCGCUCGUGGGGGUUCUUACUUAAUUUCUUUUGGGUAUAACUCACUGAGGGCACUGGCUUUGUUAUUUGCAUUUCGCAUUUAGAGUUCUGUUCUGGAAGGUUUGUUCUGGAAACAUAUAAAAGGAGCAUCAUUUUGUUCUAGGGUAACCCAUAGUUGUGAGUGGGUCCAUUUGCAUGCUACUUAGUUGAAAAGUUGGACAAUUUGCUCCGACGCCUACCUCCUGGAUUCCAUGCUCGGAUAAAGCAAGAAUAAUAAAAUAUUUAUAAUUUACAAAUGGGGGAAAGAAAAAAAUGUCAACAACAAACUAGGAAAAAAGAGUAGUAAAAUUUAUGCCACAUGCUAUUGAUAGAAGGGGCAUGUAUUAGAUCCAUCACCAUUUGGUAAGAUUUUAGUAUUAUAUUUUUCAAGGUUCAUUAUUUGAGGGUGUGUUCUUCAUCUCUGUUGCAUUGCUUCUUACUAGGCCCACUGAGGUGGGUUCUUCACCUUUUGUAUAUUCUCUGCACUAGAUCAAUGAGAAAGGGGGAAUUUUGGUGAAUUUGCAGCCGUUGGAUGAUUGAUUCUAGGCUCAGUCCACCAAUGAUGCUCUCUUCACUCUUUCUCAUCUAGUGUCAUUCACAACUAUGUUUUGAUUCAUAUUUGUACUAUCAAAGAUAUCUCAUUAUUCUAGCUCAUUAGGUAGAGUUCCUAAUCUUCCUCCUUUUUGGUCUAUGGACAGUAUUGGCUUCAUAUUAAGAUCAUGUUUCAAUAAUUGCACAUUAAUGAAUGGAUCAUGACCCACAUAAACAGAGUCAGGGUUGAGUCAGUGAACCCUAAAAUUUCACAAUUCUAAAUUUGGGUUCUUUAACAAUGCAGGGUCAAGGACGCGUGGUGAUGAAGGAAAGCUGGUAAGCUCAGUGUUACUUCAAUUCCUGCCAUGUAGGAUGGUGAGGAGAUAUUCACUAUGCAAUUAAUAAUAGACAAUAUUCACUAUGCAAUAAUAAAGCAUAAAUUAAGUUGAAUGAAAAGCAUUUUCUUUGCAAGGAGUUGAUUUUGGUUUCAUAGUUUGUUCAACUGCUAUUUUGGAUAGGAAAGUGUGAGGAGAAGAAAAUAAAAAAUAAAAAUAAAACAAAAAAUAAAAAAUAGAUUUUAUAAAUUCAUUUAAUUUAUUUUUUUUUUAUAAAAAUUAACUAAUUUAAAAUAUAUGUAAAUUUCUAAUUAAUUUAAUUACAUUUUUUUUUUCAGUUUUUCAUAAUAAACCAAAUAUUAGAAAAUUAUUUUUAUUAAGACACCCAAGAUGAGGUAAUAUGCAAUGAAAACAUGAAUUAUAUUAAAAUUCAAAACAAAUUAAGAGAAAUCGGAAAAUAUACAUAGAUAUCUAAACAAAGAAAUUUAAAGAGAAGGAACCACAAACUUUAUUUACAUAAUUUGAAAAUAAAAAACAUAAAACAUACUUAUAGUAAGGAGAAAUUGAAUAUCUUACAAUGGAAGAAGGGAGAAAAGCUUUGAAGAAAGCUUUUGCUUGGAAGCUUACAUGGUGAGAGGUAGAGAAAGGAGAGAGAGAGAAGAAAAUGAAAAAUGAGAAGUGGAGAAAAUUGGAAGUUUUGUGUGCUUACAACUGAGGAUAGAGCCUCCUUAAAUAGCAAAAAAUGGAAUAUUAAAUAGUACCAAUCAGGAGACAAAAUAUUGUUUGCUUUUGAAACCCGUGCAUGAAUAGUAAUCCCGUGAGUGAAUAGUGAAUAAUAAAAGUGAAUAGUAAAAGUCACUUUCUACUAUAGCACUUUAGACUUUUUCAUCGAGAAUCUUACUUUCGGCUGAGUGAUGAUAGCUGAUAGGUUGCUUUGGAUUGUGGAGUCAUAUGUUUGAUGUUUUCGGUGCUGAAACCGCUUAGUUGGAGAAUAAUCUCGUCAGUAGAGCAUCAUGAGAAGCUUGAAUGGAGAGAGCUUAAUGAUGCCAUAUGAUUGGAAGGAAUCCUAUUUUAAUUUCCUUAUUGGAGGGAGAAUACCCUCACAAUCAUCUUCAUUAUCUUGAAGGUAGUUUGAUAUAGAGUCAUCUGACUCAGCAUAAGAGUCCUCUUGGGAGAAGCUUGAACUGCUUUUGUCAAGGAUUUUCUGAAAUUCUUGAGGGGUUUUUGCUAUUGCUAACAUGGUUUGGAGUUGCUGUUUCUUAAGAAGAAACUGUGCAAUAUCAUAAGAUGAUGAAGCUUGUGUAGGAUGCUUUAGGAAAUAUUGCUUUAUUGCUUGUAGUGAGGUAUCAUUUUUCAAGGCAUCCCACCACUUAGACUUGAAAGUCCUUCCAAGGGUUGGAAAGGCUGCUGAUUCAUCUGCUAUAAUGAUAUAAUCCCACUGGACUAUCCAGGCAAGGCCAAAUUCACUAAAAAAGAAUAAUAAUUGGGGAAAACUGAAAGUUCUCUAGGGAUAACAAAAGAACUUUGGAAUAGCUCAAAGCCAUCCAAAAUGGGUUUUGGGAGAAUUUUAAUAGUUGGACCAAAAUAUGUCCACCAAUUGUGGAACCAAAAUGGAAAAGAGGGGAGUUGAUGCUUAGAUGGGAAAUAGAACAUCCCUGAAUGAUGGAAGUCCUUGUUCUGGAUCAGAAAAGCAUUGAACCAUACUCUUUGGUAGUCUCAAUAAUUGAAAAUUUUAGGUUUUGAAGGCUUAGAAAAUUCUCUUGAAAAAUUAGGAUUCCCACCCCACUGCUUAACUGUAAGGAUUUUAUAAAUAUGGUAAGUGGAGAAUGCCAAAUCCAAAUUGCUGAAUUUAUCAGCAUUGUGCUUGAUUUUAACAGAGCCGGUUUCCAUAAGGAUUGCUUCAUAAAAUUCUCUUGUUUUUAAAAGAUCACCAAAGGGAUAAUGAAAAUUUUCAUGAAAAGCUUUUGCUGCAAUAUCUCUAGGGUUUUUAGAGAAAAACUCUUUUUCAAUAACCAAAAGAGGUUGAUUUAAAUCUUUUUGCCAAUAUCUUGCUUUUGCUGAAAGAGGUGUGGGGUUGGCUACCACCACAAUUUGCUUAUUUGAAAAAGAAGAGCUUGAUGCUAAUUCAUUUUGAGAGGGAUUAGCUUUAGUAACCUGCUUAAAGGUCUGAGACACAGUAAUAGUUGGAUACUGAGUAGCCUUGACUGGUUUAGAAGGAUUCGAAGGAUCAUAGUACAAGGACAAAAUCUUAUUAGGCAUAUGGUCAGAAGAAUGAAGCCUUGCUUCUUCUUCUAGCUCAACUUGUUGGCUCCAAAGUAUUUUAUGGGGAGAAGGUUCUUUGCUGGUUUUAGAAGACUAGGAUUCUGGAAGUUUAGGAGCUUGGGUAUUCUUUUUAGGGGCCAUGGUUUCGUGAAUCCUGUAAAAUUCACAAGUUAAGAAAUCAGGGCUCGAAGAAUGUUCUCCUUUAAUAUACUCAAUUUGUAAAUUAAAAUUGCUUAAAAUAGCUUGAUAUAUAGCAAAAAUAUGCUUAGAAGUUAUAUUCUUAACAUCCUUUUGUAAAACUAAUUUUGCAAAUUUACAAUCAACUCUUAAUAAAAACUUUUGAUUCAAAAGAUCAUCUUGAAAUUUUGAAAUGCAUAAAACAACGCUUAAAGUCUCUUUUUUAAUGAUGUUAUGAAUGAGUUGGGUAGUAUUCCAGGUUCUUGAAGUAUACCUAACUAACAUCUCAAGGUUACCAACACUUUGCUUAAGAAUCCCACCAUAACCUAUGUCUGAGGUAUCGAUCCCAACAAACUCAAAGGUUUCUGGAUUGAUAGAGCCUAAACAUGGUAGGGUCUUGACUUUGGACUUAACAUCAAUAAUGAAAACAAUGGUGAAAACAGAAAACUGGUUAAAGUUUUCAUCCAUUAUAUUCUGGAAUUCUGAGGUGCAUUCUUAAGAUCAAAGGGCAUUAUGAACCAUUCAUAAUGUCCAAGAGAUACCACAAAGGUGGUCUUAUUUGGAAUAGGACACCUAAUCCAACUUAAUGUAUCAUUAAGAGGCAUGUAGUUGACGACUAGUCUAGGUGUUCCUUUUUCUGAUUCAACUUGUUCCUGAACAUAGAAGGUUGAACAACUCCAAAGGGACUUAGACUUCCUUAUCAACUUUUUAUCAAGAAGAUCCCAAAUCUCCUUAUCACAAUAGCUUAACAAACCCUUGUUCAUCUGGAUAGGUCUUGAUUUAGUGGGAAUAUUCUUGUCACUAAAGUCUAGUUCAUAAGGUAAUUCUACCUCAUGUUGUUUCCUAUGCCAAAAUGCAUUAGGAAUGUUAGAGCAAACUUCUUCAACAAUCAGAUUAAUUUCUUGCUCAUGACUUUCCUUAGCUUGAAUCACCUGAUCCCUUAAGGUGUUUAUAUUUUUCUUAUUAGGUGGUUGGCAAAUUCAAAAAUAAUUUCCUUAUCUAAGAGCUUUGUUCUUAUACUUUGGUCAUCUACCCACAUGGGAUAGAUGGAGCUUAAAAAGGGGAUUCCAAGGAGAGCUUUCUCCUUAAGAUCCUUAACUAGAAUGAAGGUUUGCUUGAUGCAAAUGCCUUGGUUAUUUAUGUGAGCAUCUGACAGCUUAUACUCAAUGUCAAGCCUUUUACCAUUAGCUCCAAAGAGAGAUUCUUUGGUUUUCUUACAAAACUUAAUAGGACCUAGACCUUCUUGUAGGCAAUUCAAAGCUGUUCCUGAAUCAAUCAAAGCAACAAUAUCAAUGACAAAUUUACUCUUAAUUACUAUAGUAAGGGAGACUUUCCACCUCUGGAAAAUAACCCUACUAACAGUAUUUAAGUAUCCAUCCGUCUUUUCAUCAUUAGCAUGUGAAGAUUCUAGAACCUCUUCAAGGUUUUCCUAGUUAUCAACAAGAUUUUCUAUAACAAUCCUAUUUAUUUGUUCUUGGAGAUCUGAAAAACCUAAGCUUGUGUAUUGUCUUAAAUCUUUAAUUUCCUUCUUAUACUGUCUUACUUCUUCUUGAAGAUCCUUAAUGGUUACGUCUUUGGUAGACUACUGGUUAAAUCUUCCUAAGAUUUCAUUUAAGUUAUAAGAAUUUACUGUCUUCUUAAUCUCUUGCUUAUCGACAAAUUUCUUAAAAACUUCAUAAAGAUCUUGUUUAGUUUUUUCAUCUUCAACUUUCCUUAAAACAUCUAGGACAAGUUCUUGAUCUUGGCUUAUGACAUUUAUAGUCUUAGGUUGGCAAUCACAAUUAUCCUUAAUGUAUUCUUCUUGGUCACUAGAAGUUUGGCUUGAGAUUUCCUCACCACUACUAUCUAGUUGGUUAAUACCAUUUUCAUUAUCUGAAUCAAUCCUUGAUUCAGACUCUGUGGAAUUUAACAUUACUUUACAAAGCAUAUCUUUUAAGUCUUCUGUGACAUUUAAGUUAUUAAUUUUCUGCUUAACCCUACAAUCUUUCUUAUAGUGGCCUAUCUUACCACACUUAAAACAAACUGGCUUAGAUUGUGAAGGAGCUUCUAGCUUUUUAUGGGCUUCUUUGUUCAUCAUUCUUUGGAUGUGCCUUUGUUUCUUAGUUUCAUUCAUCCUAUAGUUGCCAUGAGUUCCUCUCUUGUUGUGAUAGGACUUUUCCUUACUAGGCUUUGUACUUACUUGUUUCUUACGUUGCUUAGAGGGGGGCUUAGUUUCUUUUUGGUUGAAUCCAAACUAGCUACAAAAUGAACCAAACUCAUUCUUGUAGAUCCUUUGUUCAUUUUUCAUCUGUUGCUUAAGCUUAAAGUCAUUGCACAGUUUAAUUGCUUCUGAUGUGACAAUGCUUAUAAUUUCUCCAUAAGAAAGCUUAUCAUAAGGGAUUUGUCCAUUAAACUGUUCCCUUAUCUUAAUCCUAAUCCUCUCAGAGAAAAGUCUAGGUAGUCCUAAGAUGAAUUUUUCUUUCCAAAAAGACUGGUUAUAGUUUGAUCUUAGUAUGACUUUGGUUAGGAAAACUUCUCUAUACCAUCUAAAGUCAUGAAGCUUGGGACACUUAAGGUUGGUUAAGAGAUCUACAAUCUUAUCCUUAAUCUUUGCAGGAUCUCCAAUGAAGUGCUUUGAAAUUGAAUAGAUUAGAGUAGCCACUACAUCCUCUAUAUCUUGUCCAUCUUCAUCCUUAACCACUUCAUUUUCCUCAUUAAUCCUAUAGGCUUUUAGGAUACCAUUUCUAUCCUCAAAGGUGAGAUAAUUAUCCCACCAACCCUAAAGUUGACCUGUAAACCCAACAACAAUUGUUUGAGCUACAGCAUGGCCUGACAAUCUAUUGUUUAACUUAUAGGUUGUACUAACCAUGGUCAUUUCUUGAAGCUUAGUGAGUAUGUUGUACUCAAUCAUACCAUCUAUGUUCCAUUCAUAGAUAGUGUCACUAGUGUAGGAAGCUUGAGUAUGCUGGUUUCUUUCCUCAUACUACAUAUCAGGAAAAGUUGGUCUAGGGUAGUAAUUCCUAGUUCUUGGUUGUUGAUAAUCCUCAUAACUGUUUGGUUAGGAGGUUCCUUAAAAAUCUUAAUUAGUUCAUCAGCCUCUGCUUCAGAACUAAUUUCUCCUUUAACCAUAUUGAUUCUCUUGUGAGAUGGUUGAGGUGUCUCAGAGACAACAAGGCUAUCCUUAACCUUUUGGCUUAUCCUAUCAAUGAGGGCUUGAUCAAUAUGGAGAUUCUCUAGGAAUUUCUUAGAGAAUUCAAAAGGCUUAAAUAAAGACUUAUUAUCUUUCUUAACAAACGUAGUCUUAAUGUAGUCUUGUGUUUCAAUGAUAUCCUCAAACUUGUUGAGUUGAUCGCCUGUAGUCUUAAGAAACAUGUUAGUGUAGUUGUUUUGUUCCAUGAUUCUUCUAACGUCAACAACACUAUCAAUUCCUUUAUUCUUUGGCCUAGUCUUAAAAGGUGAAGCUUUGACUAUGGUUCAAUUAAUGUUCUUUUAUAUCUUAGCUUCUAGAGGGUGGAUGGAUUCUAUGAUAGUAUCGUCACUAGUUUUCCAUAUCUUAGUUUUUUUGGAUGUGUCAUUGACACGCUUACUAGGGUAAUCUAGAUAUUCCUCUUGUUUGAAGAGUUCAAACCAGAUCCAAUACUUAAUGUUCUUCUUUUCUUGUCUUAAGUAUGUGUAGAAUUCUUCUUGGUAGAGGGUUCUAAUGUCUUUAAGGACCUUGCUAAAGAACCAAACUCUCCUUUUCUUAUUGACUUCAGAAUAGAAGUCUUUCCUUAAGAGGUCCUUGUUGAUUCAAAGUCUUCGUUAAUUAGGCUUACAGUGUUAAUCAACUGAGAAUAAGUAGGAGACAUAUCAGGAGAUUCGUCCUGAUGUGAUUCUUGAGUAAACUCAUUUUCCUCCAUGUAAAAGGGUUUGGCCACGUUGGUGUGACUUCUAACACCUGUUAGCUUAAUAUUCUUAGGAUUUGCUGAACUAGAUCCUUCCUCUAUCCUAGUGGUUCUUAUUGGGAUAGAUGAACUUGAAGCUCUAGAGGGCUCAUAAUAUGAAAUUCUAAGGCUGCUAGAAUGAUGAAAAGAGUUGGAGAAAAUUAGAUCUCGUUCUCCAUCAGGAUAUUGAACAAUCUGUUCAAUUCUUUCAGAUCUUUGCUCUAUGGCUGGGACAACAUUAGCAAAAUGCCAAUUUUCUGGAAACUCAACCUCAUUCCACUUGAUUUUCAUGGGGACUAUGAAAUUAGACUUGUUUAUCAUAUCUAAGUGGAAGAUAGUGGUUUCACCCUUGGGACUGGUGCACAAUGCUCCAAAUCCAACGCUUAUGGUCAUGCUCUUAUAGGCAAAUCUGGUGAUGAUGGAAACAUGAUUGUUUCCUUGCUUGAACUUAAAGUCAUGGGUCUUAACAUGAAGGACAACUGAAUCUAAGAUGUUGACAUCUCUUAGUCUAACUGUGAAGUUAGGGAAACACUGGAAAUAAACAGGACCAUCAUUUAAUCCUGCUUGGGUAGCUCCAAUAAUAGAAUCUCGGUAAUCAAGAUGUCUAUUAUCUCUUAAACACAUGACAAUAAAGGUGUUUAGACCUAGUCUUGUCAAGGGCUUAGCUGCAACUUGAAUCAUGCCAAAGUGUAUGAAGUUGUAGUCUCGCUUAUGCUUAUCAAUGGACUUACUAUCCAAGAGUCUUAUGACUUGAUCGUCGUGUUCUAAACUUACUGACAUUUCAGGGGUUUUAAUGGUGUAAUCUGUAAAGAACUUAAAGGUUCCUUUCUUAUAAAUUUCUUGAUUAGGUACCUUGGGUAACUUCCAAUCAUCUAAAUCAUCUUGGAUCUUAGGAUAAUUGAUCUCUUCAUUGUUUACUCUUGAGAAUUUGUGGAUUUCCUAGACAUGGUUCUGAAAAUCAAACUCAUUUUAAGGUUUUAAUCUAGAGCCUAAUAGCAGAUUAACAGACCUAGUGAGUAAUCACCCCAACCCUUUUCCAACCUUAACAAACGCCUAUCUCCAGCUAACAAUGGGCUCAACUCGGCAAGGAUCGCACUCAGGCACACUACUAUCUUUCCUAGGAUAGAUCAAAACACCCAAAACAAACCCGACUUCCUUUUCCUAGGAUAUAUAUAGUAUUUUGGGUUUGAGUAGGAGUUCAUGUUUUGUAUGUAAUUGUAGUCUACGUUGGACUAGGUUGUUUGCUCCUAAUUGAAAUAGGAAUGGUUGGUGUCACAUCUCAUUCAUUUUCUCAUCUAUUUCCAUGUUUAGAUAACUCAAGUAAUCAUAGGAAUGAAAUUAAGAAUGAUUUGAGGGAAAUGAAAUCUCACUUGUAAGUGGGAUCUCAAUUCAUCAUUAAUAGAAGGUAUUUUGAUUACAUAGUGCAAGUUAUUUUUAAAAACACUUUUCAAAAAUUGAAAAACCAAAAACUCUCUUGGAUAAGUUGUUUUUAAAAAGAAUUUUUGUAUUUUUAUUUUGUAAAAAAAAAAAAUAGUAAUUCAAUUUAUAUAAUAUAAAUAGACUUUAAUUUUAUUAAAAAUAAAAAUAAUUUUUUAAUUACAAAUAAAUUAAAAAAUAAAUAUUUGUAAUAAAAUAUGAAUAGUAAUAUUAUAAUAAAAUCAUAAAUAAAUUAAAAAUAUUUUUAAAAACAAAUAAGUUUAAUUUUUUUGAGGUACAAAUGAGCCAAAUUUUUCAUUAGGUACACAACCAACAAUUUUUAUUGGAAACAUUCCUCAAAAAAGAAUUCGUUUCCCAUAUAGCAAAGAUAUUUAUUAUUUAGUAUCUAACCAUCCGUAGUAAUCAUAUCAAUUCUACUAAGUUAUUUAAUAAUUCAUUUAUAUAUAGUACUCAAUUAUGAAUUUUUUUAUUUGAUGUAUAAUUAAUUAAUCAAUGUUUUGAAUUUUGAAUUAUUCUUAAAAUUUAAAACAUUAAUUAUGUCUAUUACUUUUUAUAGUCAUUAUAUAUAUAUAUAUAUAUAUAUAUAGAGAGAGAGAGAGAGAGAGAGAGAGAGAGCUUAAAUUUAUCUUUAAAAAUUAUUAAAUUUAUUAAUAAAUUCAAUACAAAGACUCAUUUGAUUUGAAAUUCAUUUCUUUAGUGAAAAUUUUGAAACUAAAUAGUACUUUGUUUUACUUUGUUUUUAAAUCAUACUCACAAAUAAGUUUUUAUCAUUUAGCCAAAAAAUCUCAAAGAUGUUUCUAAUUUUAUUUAUUUAUUUAUUUGUAAAUGAAAAUAAAAAAUUAGUUUAAACUAAAUAUGCGGAUAUUAUUGUUAAUUUAUUUCAUUUUUUAUUUCCAUUGUUAUUUAACAUUGAAACGGAAACAAAUAAUCAUUCCAAUCUUACAUUCUUAUAUGCAUCUAAACACAAGAAUUGAAAUCACCAAAUUCAUAUUCAAGGCAAAAUAGAAAUGGAAAAAAAAUAUUCAUUUUCAUUCCUCAUUCUCAUGUGCUAAACAUGACAUUAGUUCUACUACCUAUUUCACCAUUCUUCUUGAUAAAUUUGGUAUAUGCAAUAUUGAUCUAAGUGUGAGGUGAAUAAGAAUGAUGAUGGGAUGGGCUUGGAAAUAAGGGCAAAGUUUCUAGGUGCUAUCUAGAGGGGCAACGCGACUUUUUCAAAUUUCGAAUAUUUGUUCUCAACAUAAAGCAAAACUUUACUCACACAAUAGAUAAGACUCUGUUUGUUUUCUUCAUCCACGACUAUAUAAUGUAUAGCUCUUACUCAAGGGAUGAGCUACUUACUAUUAAGGAUUGGGUAAGAUAUUGCCUAAUGGCCAAGAAGGCAUGUCAAAAAAUAAAUCUAAUCACCAUAAAAAAUAAUAGGGGAAAAUUAAUAUAUUAUGAAUGAUGACUUUACUAUUUCUCUAUAUACAUAAUUAUAUAUUUUGAAUUUUCUCACUAGGUAAUGAGAUUCUAAAUCAACUGAAACAUAAUUAAUAAUUUAUAUUUUUAAUGAAUCUUUUAAUUUUUAAAAAUAAUUUAAAAUUUUAAAAAACAAUUCAAUUAAUUACAUAUUAAAUCAAAACAUUUCAAAAUAUUGUGUUUGUAGAUGAGUACUAAAUGCUUGCAUAUAAUAAUAAUAAUAAAAAAAUUGACUCAUUUAGAUGUUAAAAAAGUUAAAUGUUUUUCAUUAUUCAUUUUAAGUAAAAUAUUAUUGACAUUAUUAUUAUAAAAUUAUUAUUAUUCAUUUUUAACAAAAAACAAAAUAAGUUAUUCUUUUACCAAGAUGUCAAUAUCUAUAUUUUUCUAACAUAUAUUAAAAUAGUAUACUUUUCUUUUAUUAAAAAUAAUAAUUAUUAUUAUAUUAUUAUUCAAGUUUUAUUAAAAAAAUUUAUCUUUUAAUUCAUUUGUAAUUACAAAAUAAUUUUAUUUUAUUAAGAAUUUAAUUUAAUUACGCUUUUUUUUUUUAUAAAAAAAACAGUUAUGCUUUUACCAAGAUGUUAAUAUUCAUAUUUUUCUAGCUAACAUAAAUAGAAUAGUACACUUUUUCAUAUAAAAAAAUAAUUUAUGAUUUUAUUAUAAUGUUACUAUUCACAUUUUACUAAAAAUAUUUAUUUAUUUUAUUUAUUUUUAAUUAUAAAAUAAUUUUAUUUUCAAGAAUUUAAUUUUAAAAAAAUAGAAAUCAUUUAUUCUUUUACCAAGAUGUUAAUAAACAUAUUUUUCUAACAUAUACUAAAAUAAAAAAGUUUACUUGUUCAUUAAAAAAUAUAAUUUAUGUUUUUAUUAUAAUACUACUAUCUAUGUUCUACUAAAAAUAUUUAUUUAUAAUUAAAAAAUAAUUUCAUUUUUAAUAAGACUUGAACUAAAUUAAAUUUAUAAUUUUUUUUUAAAAUAAAAUAGAAAAUUAUUUUUUAAAAACAACUUAUUGAAAGAAAUUUUUUAUUCUUUACUUUUAAGAACUGUUUUUAAAAGCAACCUAUAAACCCCUUUGGGUCUGUUUGGCUAUGUUUCAUGCAACUUGUUUUUAAAAAUUGUUUUUUAUUCUUUAAUUUAAUUUUUUUUAAGUUAAAGAAUAAAAAACAACUUUCUAGUGUUUUAUAAAAAUGAGAGCUUUUGACAAGUUGUUUUUAAAAACCAUUUUUAAAAAUAAAAAAUAAAAAACUUAUUUAGAUAAAUUGUUAUAUAUAUAUAUAUAUAUAUAUUUGUAAAAACAUUUUAAAUUCAAUUUAUAUAAUAUAAAUUUAAUUUAAUUUAAGUCUUAUUAAAAAAAAAUUGUUUGGAUAAGUUUUUUUUUUUAAAUAGUUUAUUAUUUUUGUUUUGUAAAAACAUUGCAAAUUCAAUUUAUAUAAUAUAAAUUAAUUUAAUUCAAGUCUUAUUAAAACCAAAAUAAUUUUAUAAUUACAAAUAAAUUUAAAAAUAAUUUUUUUAGUAAAACAUGAAUAAUAAAAUUAUAAAUUAUAUUAUUGUGGACCCUGCAUUUAUGCUCAUGCGCUUCCACUUGUUGGCGAACUCAUUUUUUAUUUGAAAAUGAUUUAUUUUUUUAGAAAAUGACUUAGAGUCGCCACUUAUUUUUGUUUUAUUUUUAAAGGGCAAGCAAAAUAAGAAAGAAAACCCUAAGUGUGACUCCUUAUUCGAAAAAGGUAGUCUGUGUAAAACCGGAUCAGGGUUCAGGGAUCAGGUUACUUAUUGGGAAGGUAUGACAAUGACCGUAGCACUCCUCUAAGUCCUUAAAAACGGGCCUCUACUAAAAAAAAUAAAGUAAUCAUGGCAAUCAGUAAGGAAAUCACUGGAUACCCAGAACAAUUAUGCACAUGUGAGAAUUAAAACAUGCAUAAGAAUGGACAAAGUGAGAGUGGGUGCGUACCUUGACAACGAACCACAAUGCGUUAUCAAGAAAUGGGGUUAGUGCACGAUCAAUGAACAUAAAACACGUCACACAUGUCACUAAGCAGAGUGAGAAAUCAUCAGAUAUUACAAUUCAAUCAAAUUUAUUUUUAGAAGAAACAUCUGUUGAUGUAGAGCCCCUACCAAAGCCUAAUUUAUUUUUGCAUGAAUCAAUUUCAUAAAUUCAAUCGCUUGGAAUUACAGAAUUAAAUUCAUGCUUAUUUUAAAACAUCUUUUUAAAAUCAUGGAAGAUGUGAAAAUGGUUUUCCAAAGAGAAAAUGACAACUGAUUUUAUUGAAAAUGGGAUUUUGGGGACCUAAACGUUAAAGAGGGAUUAGGAAUUGAAAAUUAAAUCAUUUGAAAAUUGAAUUUUUCAAAAAUCAGUUUUGAAAGCAUGCAUGCAAGUAUGGACUGUGAAAGUGGGCCUAGGGAGGGUGGCCAUGCAAAAUGAGGUCAUACACGUGGGCCUUGGGUACAAUUGGGACUACUUUGCUGGUGCCAGUGGUGCUUGCAGCUGUCAUCCAUGAUUUCUUCAUUGGGAUCAAUUUCCAUUCUUACUGCCAAACAUUCCAUAACAAUUGACCAAACUAGUAACCCUGACCUUGCAUGAAAAUGAACGUUACCUAGAAACUCACUGCCAGUGAGAUUCAUUGCUCUUUCAAAAGGUCUCAUUUUCUUUCUCAUCCAAUUGCUUUAAGGAGCAUUCUAGCGUCACGAUUGGUGACUGCGCAUCAUCUAGAGCCUUCUUUCUUCUCAGAAUCAGGUUUGCGUGCAGAGGCCUGUGCUUGUUCAAGGUUGACCUAAAUUCAUCUAGGUUUAGAACCGACCAGUUGAGCUUGGGGAGCAACGACAAGAAUAUCAGUCACUUGCGAAGAGAAAACUCGAGAUCUUUCAAGUAAUGCCUGACAUAGAUUCCUCCAACCUGUGGCCAAUAUCUCAUUCCUUGUUGGCCAGACGCCUAUUAGGGCGUAUCUCAAUCAAUAAUAUGAUUUUUCGUUUGUUCACAAUAAAGACCGGAAGCCAUGGUUGUGAUUUAUGCAGUACAGAAGAAGUUGCCAUGGCUGGUAUCCUUACAAAUUCUGGUGUUUCUGCUAUCUGUUCAAGUGCAAAACACAACAGCUUUAUCAAGUUUGUCCCUAACAACUGAUAUUGAGCCCUCUGGAGGAAACCUUGAUAAAUUCAUAAUCACUUUUGACUCAUGCAUGGGCUGCCCAUCAAAUUUUCCUAGCAACGAGACGACUGCUGUCAUCUACUGCAAAGAGAAUUUCUUCUCGCAAAGACAAGAGGAGUUUAAGAAUACACACUAUUCUGCCAUUUCAUUUCCUCUUUCUCCACAACCAACAUAAACCAUAGUGUCUACAUUAGAGUACUUAGAAAGAGCUUAACUGAUGACCGUUUUUCCACAACCAAAUGCCCCAGGUAUGGCACAAAUUUCACCGAAAACAGAAGGGAAAAGGGCAUCAAGAACACGCUGUCCUGUAAGUAGUGGGGUAUCAGGACUACUCUAGGGAAGUUAUUUCUGUCAUUUUGAAAAAGAAAAAUUAAAGAAUGUACACAUGCUUUCAAGUGGACUGGAGCAUUCUACAUAUCAGGUGGUCUGUAGCCACAUGUGCCACUUUGUGGAAGUUGGAACAGUCGAUCACUAGGCUAUUUAGUGUGGCCAAGCCACGUUAAUCAAGGACAAGUCUUCAUACUUAAAAGUCAAAUGGUGCCUUUAGUCUCAUUACACAUGGCUAUUUAAAGAUGAACUAAUCUUUAGUGUAAUGUGAUUAAGACAGUACUAACUGAUCAAUAUUUUUUCUAAUUUUGGAUGCAAAUGCUUGCUGGCUUCAUCAUUGGAUGGGAUAAAGGUGCAUUCAUGACUCUGAAUACUUGCAGUAAUACUUGCAGUAAUACUUCAUUCUCUUUUUUCUCGAUGAGACUUCUUGGCACAAUUUUGCUUCUCAGCAACCUACCUCUCCAUGGAAAAUGAGUUGCGAUUGAUGGUACUGGAUAUUUUCUAGGAAGCUAAAUAUAGAUAUAUAGCACUCAAUGUCAACGAUAUAUAUAGCAUUAACAGUAUAUGUCUCAAUGCUCAUCAGCUACAAGCAAGGGACAAACACUUACAAUGAAUAACUCACGUCAACAUUCCUAAACAGGACAUAGAAGUGACAGAUCUAUAUAUAGAACACUGCAUAUGAGUCACAAGAAAAGAUAAUACGGGUGCAUAGCAGCUCUUAUAUUACAUAUUACUCAUACCGUUCAAAUUCACUCAGUUGGGAUGGGUGGGAGAAGGAGGCCUCUGGGGUGGCUUGUGCGUGUGAGAAGUGGAAGAAAGUUGAAUGGAAUGAAACUGAAAAACAGGGUAGAAUAGAGGUUUCUUGAAUCUUCUGAAAUCUUUAUUUUUCUGAGAUUUAUUCUCUGUUUUUGUGAGUCGUGACUCUACAUAUAUACAUGUAUUUAAAGUUAGUUAUGCCUUAUAACUAAUUAUCUAACAGUACCAAAACUAAUCAUCUAGUUGCAUGUUUCUAAUUAAUGCUAUUUAGUUACAACUAUAUAUGGCUUAACAUCCUCUCUCAAACUCAAAAGUCUAGCUAGAACAGUGAGUUUGCUUCAUAGAUUGAGAAAUUGUUGAAUAGGUAAGGCUUUGGUAAGAGCAUUAGCAAUCUGGUCAUAAGAAGGAAUGUGUUGAACCACCAAAGUCUUAUUGAGCACCUUUUCCUGAACAAAAUGGCAAUCUAGUUCCACAUGCUUAACUCGAGAAUGAAAAUAGGAUUGGCAGCAAGAAAGGUGGCUGAAAGAUUGUCAUAGAACAAAACAAAAUAGGAGAAUAAGAAGAUGAGAUAGAAAACUCCUGAAGAAGAUGUUGAAUCCAUUGAAGUUCAAAAGCAACAUUUGCUAAGGCCCUAUACUCAGCUUCAUUGCUGGAACGAGACACAACUUUCUGCUUACUGGAGUUCCAGGAGACUAGAUUAGAGCUAAAAAAGAUGCAAUGACCACUUGUACUUCGACGAUCAUCAGGGCAACCAACCCAAUCAACAUCAGCAUAAGCAGUAAGUUGAAAAUCAGGAGAAGAAUAAAAGGAAAGACCAAAGGAAGUAGUGCCCUUAAGAUAAUGCAACAAUCGUUUAACAACUUGCCAAUGAAGAUCAGUUGGUUAUUGCAUGAAUUGGCAAAGUUUAUUGAUAGAGAAAGAGAUGUCAGGCCUUGUAAUGGUACAAUAUUGCAGGGCUUCAACAAUGUUGCGAUAUUGAGAAGGGUCAGCCAAGAGGGAACCUUUAGAGGCAGAUAAAGUGUGAGAGGUAGUCAUUGGUGUAUCAAUAGGUUUAAAAUAUGGAAGACCAGCACGAGUUAACAAGUCCUGAAUAUAUUUGGUUUGGGAAAGAUGAAGAGAAGAUCCUUGCCAACAUACUUCUACACCCAAGAAGUAAUUCAGAAUACCAAGGUCCUUGAGAGCAAACUGAAAGUGUAAAGACGAAACCAUUUGGUGGACUAGCACGGUAUUAAGACCACUAACAAUAAUGUCAUCAACAUAGAUGAGAAUAAUGAUCAUGUCAGUCCCUUUCCGAAGAGGAGCUUGCUUCAGACCCUACAAGGCUUUGCGAAGUUUACAGAAAAAACCGGGUUUAGAAUGAUCAACAAAGCCUGGAGGUUGAACCAUGUAAACCUCUUCUUCUAACUCACCAUUGAGAAAGGCAUUAUUAACAUCUAAUUGUUCCACUAACCAACCAUGAGAAAUAGCAAGAGAAAGAACAAUUCAUAUAGUAGUUGGUUUAACAACAAGGCAAAAGGUUUCAAAAUAAUCAAUACCAUAUGUUUGAUUAAAACCCUUUGCAACUAAGUAGGCUUUAAAACGAUCAAUUGAGCCAUUAGCUUUGAGUUUCAGCUUGUAUAUCCAUUUACAACUAAUAAUGCGUGUAUUAACAGGUUUAGGAACCAAUGUCCAUGUGGAAUUGGUGAGAAGAGCAUCAUACUCAGUCUUCAUAGCAGCUUGCCAAUUAGGAUGCAAUAUUGCUUCUUUGAAAGAGGAGGGUUCGACAACAGUAGUUUGGAUAGCAAGGCUAAAUAUUUUUUUGGGUUUAAAAAUACCAUUUUGGCUACGAGUAACAAUAGUUCGGUUUGGAAGUGAAAGAGGAUCAGUGGAGGAGGCUGGAACAAGGGAUUGUGGUAAAGUAGGAAAGGAAGGUGGAUGAGAUGGAACAAAAUCAGUAGGGACAAUAAUGGGAGAAGAAAAAUUAGGUGGAGAAUGAUGAGGAUUCCUUGAAGAUGGUGUAGGAAUAGAGAGAAUACCAGAAUCAAGAAGUGUUAAAGAAGAGUUGGAUGAUGAUACUGGUUGACAGGAUAAAGACUUUGUUAAAAAUGGAAAUCGAGUUUCAUCAAAUACAACAUGACGAGAAGCAUAUAUCCGAGAGGAAGCCAUAUCCAAACAGAGGAAUCCCUUGUGUUUAGCACUAUAACCCAAAAAACAGCAAACAACAAAUAUAUUUGCUAGCUUGUGAGAAGCAUAAGGGCGAAGAUAAGGAAAACACAAGCAUCCAAAACUUCAAAGAGAUGUAUAAUAAGGUAAACGAUUAUAAAGAACUCCAUAAGGAGAAUUUUGUGAAAGAACAGCAGAGGGAAGGCAAUUUAUGAGAAAAAUGGCAGUUUGAAAUGCAAAUGACCAAUAUUUGAGAGGGUAUACCAGCUUGUAUUAACAAAGAAAGACCAACUUCCACAACAUGACGAUUCUUUCUUUCAACUCUUCAAUUUUGCUAAGGAGUAUAAUGACAAGAGACUUGAUGAAGAAGACCAUUUGUAGCCAAAUAAUUCUGAAAAGCUGAAACUGAAACUCAUCAAAUUGAUUUUUAGUAUCAAAUUUUCUUCAGACUGAACACAUUGAUUUUUAGUAUCAAAUUUUCUUUCAACCAUGGCUUGAAAAUGUUGGAACAUAAGUAAAGCUUCAUCUUUAGUUUCCAAAAGGUACAACCAUGAGAAUAUGCUAAAAUCAUCAAUUAGCAAGAGGAAAUAUUGAGCAUUACCAUUGACAGAAACUAUAGGAGUUGCACCCCAAAGAUCAACAUGGAUGAGACCGAAUGGUUUUAUUGCUCUAGAAGUGGAUAUUUCAAAUGGAAAACGAUGGCUUUUAGCCAACUGACAAGACUCACAUACAGAGUUAUUAUUGUCAUGUUUCAAAGGUAUUUUAUAAAGAGAUAAGAUUUUGGAAACUACAUUAAUAGAGGGAUGACCAAGUCUAUUAUGCCAAAGCCUCAAAGAACCAACGGCUAAAGUACUACUAGUAGAGUAAAAUACUAGUGGAUGACCAACAACUCUUGGUGUAGCAAGAAGUUUAUAGAGACCCUUCUCAAUUUUUCCUUGAAGAAGAGCAAGUCUCGUUUCCUGAUCCUUUACCACAAAAUGAGAAGAACGAAAUUCAAUAAAGGUGCCAUUGUUUGAGUAAAAUCGUUGCACGCUAACUAAGUUGGUGGUAAUAGAAGGAACAUGUAAGACAUCAUUGAAAAACAAAGAACCACUUGAAGAGGCAAGAGAAAAUUUACCAAUAUUUGCAAUGGAUAAACCCUUACCAUCUCCAACAAUUACUUUGUCACCACUGGUAAAUGGAUUAUGGAUUGUUAAAUUGUUAAGAUCAGAUGUGAGAUGAUGGGUAGCCUUUGUAUCAAGAAACCAAUAAGUGUCUCCCAUUGUUGCAGAAGUUGUAGUCAUAGCCUCAGGAUUGUUAGAGGUGGAAUGUUUAGAAUCUUUUGGCUGAUAAUCAGAGUUAAACCGAUACCAGCAUUGUAAAGCGGUGUGUCCGAACUUACAACCGAGAGAAAUAAUCUUUACUUAUUCUCUAAAAACUGUUCUUUAUUCCACACAUUAUUUCUAAAAACUGUUUCUAGAUAACAAUGACAAAAUAGUAUUAGGAAUUUUUAAAAAUAAAAAUUGUUUUUAAAUUACAUGAUCUAUAUCAUUCACAUUUGACCAUUAUAGCUUUGUUCAGGAAAACACUUGAAAGUAACCUUAUCGUGAUAAGAGAUAUAAGUUGGCUGUAGUUUCAAACUGAAAACAGAGGAUGGCAAUAGAAAGCAAAGCAUUAGUUAUCUGCAAUCAGUGGUGAUCAUGCCCCAUGUCAAUUUCGGACCCAUAUCUUAAAACCGUAUAAUUUGCAUUUCAACAUUUCUGAUUUCUCAGAUGUUUCAUACUCCACAGAAGAACAUUGUUUGUGAAAGCAUGCAUUUAUGCUGGAUUUUGGAUGAUGUGGGAACUGGGGCAAGGAUCAUAUGGAAGAGUGGUCGAUUUUUUCUGUACUUUAACAUUUGAAAUAGGAGCAGCACGGGCAUUUGUGGGGCUUAAUUGAUUUUGAAGCCUGAAAUUGCGUUUCUGUCAUUUUGUAAAAAAUAUGGCAGAUUCCAUGCUCUCAUAUGUUUGGUCUGUGGCCAUGUAUAGAUGCCACUUAGUGACCAGUUUGUAACUGUCAAUCAUAGUGUUUUGACUCUGGCUCAACAACAUCAGCCAUUGACGGAUUUUCAUACAUGCAAAUCAAAUAGUCUUCUUCCUCCCUUAGGAAUUUCGGUUUAAAUGUUAUUAAGCAUACAUUUGGCUGACAAUUAUUAACCACUUCAUGAUAUGGUUUCUUACCCUUAAUCAAUGGUUUCUAAGUGAAUAUAUGCAGAAGGAAAUCUGAACUGUAGACAGCAGUAUUGAUAAUUAUCAAUAUUCUUUAUAUAAGAGAAUAAACAACGUCAUAGUGAUCGUCGCCUACAAGAAAGGUACAUUUCCCAACAAGAUGUAGUUGUGACUGGUACAUGGACGUAAUUAACUCGUAGAAAAGGAUAAGACCAGUGCACGGCAGCUCUUAUUUUACAUGCUAAUUAUGCUAACCAAAGUCACUCAGUUGGGAUGGGAGGGAGAUGGAGGUUUGUGCGGUGGCUUGUGGGGCGGAGUUGGUGGCUUCUUUUCAGGAGCUUGUGGCUUUUUCGGAGCUGAAGGAGGCUCAAUCUUAUGAGGCGGCUUGUACGAGUCUUCUUUACUCUCGACAGGAGGGUGGCCAGGGUUGUGACCAUAAUGUGGUGGCUUCUCUCCCUUAGGUGGCUUGCCAACUGGGGUUGGUGGCUUGUGUUCAGGAAGUGGUUUCUCUCCCUUGGGAGGUUUACCAAUUGGGGUUGGUGGCUUGUGUUCUGGGAGUGGUUUCUCUCCCUUGGGAGGUUUAGUGGGUGACUUGUGUUCUGGAGGUGGCUUCUCCACCGGAGGCUUGUGCUCCGGUGGUGGCUUCUUGGUUGGAGGGGGCUUGGGGUAAUCAGCAAGAGAUGGGGGGGUGAGAACCACCACUCCAAGGAACAACACUAGCAAGUAUGUGGGAGACAUUUCUGAGUUUGAGCUGAUCAGAUGAUGCAAAACUAGAAGAAUUACGUGACCUUUUAUAGCAAGUAGCUCCCAAUACCCACAUGACACGUGUUACUGUGACCAUAAAUAUUAUAGGGUCCAUUUGUGCCCUACCGGGUUGAAAACUUGGACGCUUGGCCGAGGACACACCGAACUAUGGAGGACUAUUGACGUGUGAUCACAGCUUUUGGAUUUUUCUUCCUGUGCAGCUGUCUAGCGGUUGGCAUUAUUUUUUUAAUCUUAAAUAAAGGCAUAGUUAUAGAGUACAUUUAUAUAUCUUCAGAUAGCCAUUAAUAUAUUUGAUGAAGAAAGACAAGUGCAUACAACAUGUAUACGGCUUGCUUCAAUCGAGUACAUUUAUGAUCAGUUUUCCAGUGCAAGUAAACCAGUUUUUUGUUCCACAACUAUUUUGGAAUCUUGUUUAUCAGUUUCUAUCAUUAUAAUGUCACAUAGGCUGCAAACUUGGGCACCCAAAGAUCUAGUUGGGCAAAUUUGUUUCAGAAUUUCAAUGGUGGAUUCAGUAAUUGUUAAAAGGUGUUUCUUCAUUAAGGAAAGAGUCCUGUAAAAAUAUUGUUAAAAGGUGUCAUAGAAACUAUAAUAAUUAAAUAACUUCUUUUCCCCGUGGGUGGUGUUUCUUCUGGGGAUACCCAAAAUGAGUUCAGAUUAAAAUUGGUUCGAGUCAAAGCUGUCUCUUUUGUCCAGAAAUCAACUAUUUUGCGCAUUGCAUGAAUCGAUAAAGAAAAAAUGAAAGCCAAAUCACACCUCCCCUGCAAAACCUAAACCCCGGUUGCUAACUUUCUAUGUUUCAGUCCUAUUCAUACAGGAAUAUUGGUUCAAGUUUGAGAAAAAUGGCAACUUACCUAGGGAUUACUUGGUUGUGGUUUGCGACGACUAUUUACGCAACCAACCAUGAGUUUGACUUUAACGUCAUGGGUUGAAGCCUCCUACAAUCGUGUAUGAUAGUUCAAAGCUCGUAGUAGAAAUUAUACAGGAAGGAAGAAACCUCCAAAGCUAGCUCCAAAAGAGAAUUAUCACAUCGAUAGCUCCAGAGAUUCCCAAGGGGACUGAAUCAAAGACAAGUUCCUCACUUUUUCUUCUUUUGAGGCCAAAUAUGAACCAAGGAUCACACGACCUCAUUCAACUUCAUAAGUUUGAUUUCAUGCAGUUGAACACUGGGUGAAGGCCAUGACAAGAAUUGAUUAAAAAAUUCUACCACUGUUUUAAGUAAUGGAAGAUUAUUAUCUCUGAUUGGCACCACAACAGCACAUGCUGCUAGAUCUUUCUAGACACUCCAUGCAAUGAAAGUACAAUGGAUCUUGUAACGAUAGAAACUAAGCCAUGCUACAGUACUAGAUGACGAGGUAAAACUAUUAGACAUGGGUGGCAGCCUAUAUGGGAGGGACACAAGUCUAAUUGAUUUGCAUUUCAGCGUUCUAGAUGGGUAUGUUUUGGAAGAUUUGUUCUGGAAAUACCGCACCAAGUAGGAUUCUUUUUUCUCUUGAGUGGGUCCACUUGCAUGCCAAUUAUCGAGUUGAAAAGUAGAGCACCUACCUCGUGCUCGUGGAACCGAAGGUCAGUGAAGUGGGGCUCCUUUUGGCCUCUUGUGUUUCUGUUCCAACCAAGGCGGCGGAGGGAAAAACAGCAAUAUGUCUCCGCUAAAUAUCAACGCAUGAUAGCGAAUGAGGGAGAAAAAAAGUAAUUGGCAUCUCAAUCUCACAAACUUGGUACAGUAGUGACAUUAAUAGUCUUCCACAUGGUUUUUAUUUUAUUUUAUUUUAUAUUUUAUAUUUUCCAUUUUUUUAUUUUUUUGUAUGUCAAGGCUAAUGAAUAAAAUGCGUUAGCUUGUUUUGUGAUUGGAACUGCAAAUGUCCAAAUUGGAGUUUCUCCAUUUCUCAGUUCGGAUGGUUAACUUUAUAAACAAGAUAUAGGAAACAUGUGAACGUCUUGAGGAACAAUUCGAAUUAUUGAUUAGAACUCCUAGGUUGAGUUCCAAGAUUUAAAUCAGACCCCUCUAGCAGCUUCAGGGGUACCUAGCAAUUAGAACAUAUUAAUGAAGAUUUAGGAUUUAGACUCCGGAAUACAAAUUAAUAUGUAUCUUAUGCUCUGACUAGCUUCCCUGCAUAUGCACAAAAUGGAGAUGACCCAAAAAAUAGCAGAAUCGCCUUAGUUUAUGUGGUUAAGGUGAUUCUCCGGUUAAUAUCCACAUUGGCUCAUUAUGCAAAUCAACUGAGCUAUUUUUUUUUUAAUGUCAAAUAGGAACUCCUAAUUAACCUAACCAUUGGCCUGUGUAAAUUGAUUUCACAUGCACAAUGUUGUAGUAGAAGUCCACAUUUUGAAUUUUAUUUUUGGAAAGGUAAGGAAAAUGAAGCAUUGUGUAAUUAUAAAAAUAACUUCAUUGGAAUUCACAAGGUUCACCCAAAAUGGAGCUACAUCCGUAUUCUAUCUUACAGUAGACUAUAUAGAUUGUACAAUAGUAAAUUGCAAAUACAAUUAAUAAGUCUUGUGUUUCCUUACUAAUAAUCCUUUGACAUAAACAUUGCAGCACUAAGGUCCUCUUGGGCAGACACCUUGCACCCAUGAGAGCACUAAGAGGAAGCAAGGCGGAGUCAUGGGUGCAAUGUCAUGACUUGUUGCACUAAGAGAGGCUUGGUGAUGGCAUAGUGCUGCAGUAGCAAGAAUGUUGCCUUGGCAGGGACACGAUCUAGGGACAGAUGCCAAGAAAGGCUUAGCACUCACAUGAGUUGCACAAAGAUGAAUGAAAUAGAACAUCAAAGAGACAUCUUGGCAAGCUCAAGAAAGACAUGUGGGUUGGUAAAUGAAUGGAUGCAAGAGGCAACAACAUGAGGAGUUUCAAAUGGAUAGGGAAUGAGUCAAAGACAUUUGAAAGCUACAAGUUGGAUUCUAAUUACGAUUGCAAUUUGAGUUUGAGUAGGAGUUUAUAUUAUGAUUGUAAUUGUAGUAUGAGUUGGACUAGGAUUGCUUAUCCCUAGUCAAAAUAGGAGUUGUUCAUGCCACACCCUAUGAAAAGAGUUUGAGUAGGGACUAGGAUUGCUUGCUCCUAGUCAAAUAUGGAGUAGGUGGUGCCACACCUAUAAAAAAAAAAGGGACAACAUGAGAGAGAGAGAGAAUGAAUUCACCAAAGAUAUUGUGGGAGUUUUGCUUUGUUACAUCUUGUAUUAUUAUUUAGAAUAGUAAUAAAAUACAAGUUGGGGCUAGAGCCCCAUAAUCUCGUGUGCCUUUGUGGGUUAUUCUUUAUUUGCCAUCUCGUGUGGAUUGGAUUAGAUUGAUGAGGCGAAAUAUUAUGUGGGAAAUUUAUGUUGGGACACUUACCAUAACCAGGUAAAAUCUACCAAGUCUUUUGUAAUAUCUUCUACAAAUAUUUUAGACCAGUUCUUCACAAAACAUCAUAAUAUGUUUUGUGUUUCUCUUGGAUUUUGAGUUGAAUUGUCUUAGAUCAAUUGAAUGCAUCUCAAUAUUAUUAUCUUGUUUGAAGGCUUGAUGAUUUUCCAUUUAACUUUACUUUCUUUAGGUUAUGCUUGAUUCCUUAAAAGUACUAAGGAAAACAAAAAAUAAAAAAAAAUAAAAAAUGCAGAGGGUUAGGACAUGUGUUAUCUAAUUGUCCUAUCCAAAGAUAUUAAGAAAGUCAUGUAGGAAAGUAAUUGAAAACUAGGUCAAGAAAGGAGCAAAAGGGAAUUGUUUUGGUAUUUUCUUUUUUAUUCUUGAAGGUGGCAGAGCUAAAAUUUGAGAAAUCAAGCAAAACAUACUGAAAUUACAUUGAAAGAAAGAAAAUGGUAGUUAAUGUCUUGCAGUACAUGAUAAGGACUUCAUGCAUGUAGUGUGACGACCCAUGUCUUGGACUGAUGCCACACUCACGGUUACACUUAUACCCUUGGUUCUCUCUUUACUACCUUGGCUAACCUAGAUCAGGCUAUGAGAUAGGCUCCUCACCACACCAUCACUUGCCCAGUAAUUAGUGACAUUUUCAAGCAAUGAGGUAACAUGGUGACACCAAGAGGGUUUAUCCCUCGCCCCAACAAGUCUAGACUCGGUCUCAAAAAAAUGGAGAAAAAUGAGGUGUCGUUAUGCAGAAAUACAACAACCAUGCCUUCCUUAUUACUUAGAUUCAGAAUGUGAAGGUGAAAUUGAGAAACAGAAACUCUUGAAACCAGAAUGAAAAUUGAUACUUUUACGAAGAAUUACAACAUUAGAGGAAGACUACAUUCUUCCUCUAUAUUCCUACGUUUCUACACUACUUCUACUCCACUCCAUAUUUCUACAUACAUCUUUAAUCAGUUUUCCCUCCUUUAUAUAGAGCCAUCUUCACACAAAUUCCGCAAGGUAGAAAAGAGGAAUGAAACUUGGAGCAAGGUUCGACUACUGGUUGUCGCUUGUCAAGGCUGGAAUUGAACUUUUUUUCUUGGCUUUUCUGGGCAUAGGUAGUAACUUGUGGUUCCUUUUUGGAAUGAAAAUGGUACAGCUAGAACAUGUGGCACUCUCUUGUUGGAUUAUGUGUCAAACAUGUGGCAGCCAUCUAGUGGAGAUUAUUUCAAUUUUGGGAUGGAGAGUUGGCAUCCAAUUGCAAAGAAAUAUGACAUCUACCAACAUGCAAUGUAAACCUAUAUAGAUCAUAUGGAGAUAGAGAGGAAACAUAUAGAAAUGGAUAUAUACCUAGAACUAGCUUUUUAUUAAAUGAGACGGAGAGCCAACAAUGAAGGAAAAUCAAAAUUUUUGGCUCAUAUCAAAGAAUUCACAUUGUGUUACCCUAGGUUUUCUUAAAGCUUGCACAAAGCCAAAAAGCACACAAAAAAUUAUAUUUUCUAGCUCUCUACCUUGGAUGGUCUCUUGAUCCUACUUGGAGAUGUGCAUAAAUAAAAGGAUUUGAAAAUGACAAUUGACUAAGUAUGUAGUCAAUCAAUUACUCAUUAAUUGACUAGUUGAUCAAUUAACUUUGCAACAUCAUAUGCAAUCCUAAUAGCUAGUCAUCUAAUCAACUAGGUAGUAAAUCAAUAGGCCAAAAAUAUGUUUAUAAUGACUAUUUUGUACAAAAACCACCUAUAUGGUUAAAUAUAAUGCAUUUCAUUUAUAAAUCUUCUAAUUCUUGAAUAACGAUCCUAUCAUCCUUUGAAAGUUUUUAUUACACCUUUUAUACUUUUGUUCUAAAACUUACACAUGUACAUCACCCUUAAUUGUACCAUGAGAACCUAGCUUUUUUUUUUUUUUUUUUUGUAAUUCAUCAAAGUUAGCUUUUGUAUUCAUUACUGUACUAUUUUUAUUGUAACUUAGAAAGCGAGUGUUUUCAAGUGAGUGAAAUUGACUUAUAAAUAUUGUAAAGAUUCAUUGAUGUGUAUCUUAAACUAAGUGUACAAGUUGAAACAUUUGCUAGUAGAUUUUCUCAAGAUUUAGAAUAGAGCUUGAGGCUAUUGAAAUAGGUGGGGUUGCACCAAACCACAUCACAUUGUUGUUUGCACCUUUUUUUCACUCUCUUUUACUUAGUUGCUCUAUAUUUGUUGUCUAGUAAUAUCCUAUAGGCUUGAUGGGUUAGGGAGCAUCCCUUUGUGAAAAAUUUUCAUUCAAUCCUUAGUUGUAUCACGCAUAUAUAAAAUGCCUCAUUGUUUUAAUGGUAUUCAGUCGUGGCAUCACAGAUAUGGGCAUCUAAAUUUUAAAAGUUUGAAACUUUUAUCUAAAGAAAAUAUGGUGCUUUGCCUUUUUGUAAAGCAUGUUGAUGAAAUCCAUGAGAAUUGUGUACUUGGGAAGCAACAUCGAGAUGACUUUUUUUUUUUUCAUUUUUUAUAAUGCGACACCUAAGUCCGGUUUCUAAAUGCUGAAGUGAAAGGGUAGGUAUGGACCAUUGAAAUCUGAUCACAACUUUUGGCCUUUUCCUUUCUCUGCAGCCAUGUUGUCUCUUUUUUCUUUUGCAUGAUUUUCUUACCUAAACAGAAUCAUAGACUUGUUUAAUCUCUAAAUGGUAUUUCAUCCAGCUUUAAGCUACUGUAUUAUAUCUUGGUGGAGGACUUUUAAGAGUGAAACCGACAUAGAGCACAUGCAAGUGGGUAUAUGGGACAUGAAAUUUCUUCUUAUAAAGACUGCAUGGUUUUUAUAUUAGAGUUGUUGAGGCGCAAUGUAUUUAGCUUGUUUUGCAGUUAAAUUAAUUGGAUAAGUAGACAUUGUCGUUUCUAAAUUUCCCACCUAAGAUAGUGACCUUAUCCUUGACUGCUUGAUGAGAUACACAAACAAUUAUACCUUCAAAAUCUACUGUGAAGUGCUUCAUGUAUGUGUGAAGUAUUAGAAAUUUCUUUCUUGGCAACUUGUUUUUUCUUUGCCCUCUACUGAUAGGUUUGACUCAAAUUAAAUUCCCUGUCAUGCUAAUUAAUUUUCACGUGCAUGCUCAAAAGGAUCACGUCAACUCUGGUUUCUACUAUUCAGGUCCAUUCCCAGAUAAACUGGUUCAAAUUUGAGAAAAUGGCAACAGCCCUUUAGUGAUGUUGGUUUGGAGCCAGUAGCCAAACCCGCCCUGAGCUUUACCACUAAUGUCAAGGGACAAAGCCAUUUGAACAAAAACAAUAGCUUCAAGAGACUGAAUCGUGGAUGAAAUCUGAUCCACAUUUCUUCUCAUUUUGGGAACAAAUGAGAACUUAACUACAAAGAUUCUACUGCCUCAUAGUGCUUUUCCUGAUCUAAGGUUGGUUCGUUUCCCAAAUUGUGAGGUACGUGCCAUUCUCACGCUCAGGAGUGUAUCCACGUGGUGGACAUAAGAUGGUGGCUUAAUAUCUGGUGUCGGUGGCUUUACUUUACUAGGAGAGUAGUGUGUCUUCAUCUCAUUCACUGCCGGAGGGUGGCGUAAGCAGUGACGCUAAGGUGGGGCACAGUCAAUAUCAUUUGCAUUUGACCAUUAUAGUUUUCUCCCGGCUUGAAAGUAACCUUAUCGUGAUAAAGGAUUACUAGCACUAGUUCAGAUGACAGUCAUGUUAAAUUCGGACCAUGUUUGUGUCACAUUAUCAGCAACCAUGUGUUUAUGGUUCAUGCUAUCUGCAACUAAACUUGAUAUAUAACCACGUGAACUUCAAUCUAAAUUCUGGAAGUACUCUUGUGAUAGAUGGUGCCUGUCUGCAGAGUCCAUCAAUUGAAAAAUGGAGUGAGUGUAUCUAUAAGAGGGAAGGCUUGGCAAAUGUUCAGUUUUCUGGGAACUCAACAAGGAUCUAAAAUAGAUUGUUUUCUUUGCUGAUUUCAAUGGUUGAAAUUUGAGAAGAUUGUGUCCACAUAACACAACUAUUACUGGUCCUUCUGUUGCAAUUUAUCCUCUAAGGCUCUAACAUGUCUUCCAAUUCCCACUUCCCUGUUACUCCAGGAAAGCUAUUUCUGUCAUUGUGAAGAAGAAAAGAGAAUGUACAUAUCGAUGGUUUUAAGUGACUGGGGCAUUCAUAUCAGGUGGUCUGCAGCCAUAUAUGCCACUUUGUGAAGGUUGGAACAGUCAAUCACCAGGCUAUAUUAGUGUGGCCCAGCCACUUCAAUCAAGGACAAGUCUUCAUACUUAAAGUCAAAUUCUGCCUUUAGUCUCAUUAUAAAUUGCUGUUUAAAUAUUAAGCAAACAUUUGUUUAAUGCGAUUAAGACAGUACUAACUCAAUACUUGUUCUAUUUUUGGAUGCAAAUGCUUGAUGGUUUCAUCAUUGGAUGGGAUAAAGGUGCAUUCAUGAUUAUGAAUACUUGUAGUUAUAUUUUCAUUCUCUUUUUUCUCAAUGAGACUUGUUGGCACAAUUUUGCUGUUCAGAAACCUACCUCUCCAUCGAAAAUCAGUUGUGAUUGAUAGUACUGGAUAUAUUCAAGAAAGCUAAAUAUAGAUAGCACCAAAUAUUAUCGAUAUAAAUAGCAUUAACAGCGUACGUAUGUCUCAAUGCUCAUCAGCUAUAAGCAACGGGCAAACACUUACUAUGAGCAACUUGCGUCAAAAUUCCAGAAUAGGACAUAGAAGUGACAGAUCUAUAUAUAUAUAGAACACUGCAUAUGAGUCACAAGAAAGGAAAUUACGGGUGCAUAGCAGCUCUUAUUUUACAUCCUACUCAUACUGAUCAAAGUCACUCAGUUGGGAUGGGUGGGAGUAGGAGGUUUGUGGGGUGGCUUGUGCGGAGGAGUUGGCAGCUUCUUUCCAGGACCUGGUUGCUUCUCUGCUGGAGUUGAAGGAGGCUUAAUCUUCCGAGGUGGCUUGUAUGAGUCUUCAGCAUUCUCAGCAGGAGGGUGACCAGGGUUGUGACCAUAAUGUGGUGGCUUCUCUCCCUUAGGUGGUUUGCCAACUGGGGUUGGUGGCUUGUAUGAGUCUUCAGCAUUCUCAGCAGGAGGGUGACCAGGGUUGCGACCAUAAUGUGGUGGCUUCUCUCCCUUAGGUGGUUUGCCAACUGGGGUUGGUGGCUUGUGUUCUGGGAGUGGCUUCUCCCCCUUGGGAGGUUUUUCCAAUGGGGUUGGUUUGUGUUCAGGAGGUGGCUUCUCCACUGGAGGCUUGUGUUCAGGAGGUGGCUUCUCCACCGGAGGCUUGUGUUCAGGAGGUGGCUUCUCCACCGGAGGCUUGUGUUCAGGAGGUGGCUUCUCGAAUGGGGGAUGCUCAGGGUAAUCAGCAAGUGAGGGGUUGGUGAGAACCACCAUGCCAAGCAACAGGACUAGCAAGUAUGUAGGAGACAUCUUUGGGUUUGGACUUAAGACAGUGGAAAACUGCGAGAAUUCUCUAGCCUUUUAUAGCGGGUCGACCCAGUACUCACAUGACACGUGUCAUUAUGACACAUGUGCCAUGGGGUCGAUUUGGGUCCUACAGUGUUGAAAAGUUGGGCAUUUGAGGUGUGAGCACAACUUUUGGCCUUUGCUUUCUCUACAGCCGCCAUGCUUUUCCCUUUUUUCCUUUUCCUUUUGUUUUCCUCCUGCCUCGUGUUCUCAACUAAACACAAUUAGGUUGUUUAAUUGUUAAAUGAGAUUUUUGUCUGUCAAUCAUAUUAUAUCCUAUCAAGAGAGAACAGAGUGUAAUGUAGUACACAUAACACGAGGCAGUAGUAAUUUUAUCAUUUAUUUUUAUAGCUUGGACCACCGCAUUUUUUCUUCUAAAAUAUUCUGUCUUGUUAAGAGACGCAAUAAUACACAAUUUUAUCUGCCAUUCAACAUUUACUGUAAAGUUCUUUUAUCUCUUUGUAGUUCUAGAAAAGUACAAAAUGGAACAUCAUGUAUAUGGUGCCUUCUGUCCUAAAAAAGAAACUGGACAAAUUAUGAACUGCAUGCUAAAAAGAGGCAAAGGAGCUUAAUUCGCAGCAUAAUUAUUUUGGUUUCUAGAGAGCCCGGGGCCUUUUGGUUGGUUUGGGGUCAGAAAAUGAACAUCAUAGGGAUUGUGCCCUUAACUGGCCUUGUUACUACAAAGAAAUUGCCAUAGAAAUUUAUUCCAGGCUGAGUAUCUCCGGAUAGACCCCAGAAAAGAAGAGUCAUAAUGAGAAUCAACCUUUGUUGAGUUUGAUUCCAUGCCUCCAUUGUGUUCAUUUCAUGAAUCUGAUUUGCAUUUAACAUUACAGUUUUGUUCUGGAAACAAUCAAAGGAGCAUCGUUUGCUUCUUGGGUGACCCAUAGUGGUGGGUGGGUCGAUUUGCUUAGUUGAAAAUUGGACAAUUGGCUCCAUCGCCUACCUCUUGGAUUCCAUGCUCGGAUAAAACGACAACAAAUAAAUAUUUAUAACUUACAACUGGGGAAAGGAAAAAAUAGUACUAAAUUCAUGGUACAUGAUAGUGAGAGAAGGGGGUGUUACACUCAGCUAAAGUUCUUUUCUAAAUAUUGCAUGGUGUUUAAUUUUAUGUGUCGGCGCGCGUGUGAAUGGAACCUGCAAAAGUCCAAAUUGGCGUUUCUCCAUUUUCCACAUAGGAUGGUGACGUUAAUAGACAAAGAUACAAUAUCUGUAGACAUUGCUUAAAAAUCGAUGUGAAGUAUUAGAAAUUACAGGCCACUGUACUGGGGGAGCGGCUGCCCCGCCAAAGGAAGAAUGUAGCAAUUUCUUCUGUUAGCCAGGCCUUAGGAUUUAUGCAUGGGAUGCCUAAUAACAAACAGAGAAAAUAUGCUUUUGGGGAAGGUAUCCAACAACAGACACCAUCAUUCAGAUGGUGGGAAGGUAUCCAACAGAUGCCAUCAUUCAGAUGGUAACAUAUAUAUACAUUUAUUAGUGAGUUUUUUUAAUACCUAUAAAAAAAAUAUACACUUUGAUAUUGUGGCUGAAUCCAUUACAUACUCAACUAACCUUGCUCAUUAGGGAUUUGACGUAACAAGGGCAACGUUGCAGUAAAAGCUCGAAACUUUAUGCAGGUGACAUUACAUUUGGUAAAGAAGAGGAAAAUAAGGAAAGCCAUCCAUAAAAGCAAAAUUCCUCAUGGGAUGAAAUUCACAAACUUCAUUUACGUUAGAGUCGCAUCCAGGCAAUUAAUUCCACAUUAGACCGCCUUUUGACAUGUGUACGGAUCUUUUUUCAAAAAUUAUUUAUAAAUAAUUGAUACUUACAAAAAUAAUUUAAGAUUUAUAAAGGAUAAAAAAAUAUUUUCAAAUCUAUGACAAUUUAUAAAAUAUUAAUAAAAAAUUAUCUCUUAAACUUAGUAUAGUUUUAUCGUAUUAAACUUUUAUUUUGAACAAAUAAUUUUAAUCUAAGUUUUAAAUUCUAAAAUUAUUUCCUUAAAAUAAAAUUUUAAAAUUCAACACUUCAAUUGAAAUUGUCUUUUAAAAAAAAUAUCUUCUUAUUUUAAUCCUUAUAAACUAUAGUUGAUUGAAAAUACUAUUGAAGUUCUCUCUUCAAAAAAAGUCUUAUUUUAAUCUUCAUAAAUUGCCCUUGAUUUGAAAAUAAACUUUGGGUUAUCAUAUUUUAAAUAAUAUAUAUAUAUAUAUAUAUAUAUAUAUAUAUAUAUAACAAAUACUCUAUUUUUUUUUUAAAUGAACUAAUUUUAAUUAUAUUUUAUUUUAUUUUUUUAUAUAUUUUUAAUGAUAAACCAAACAUAGAAAAUCAUUUUUCUAAAUAUUUUAAAAUUUCUAAGCAACCAAACAUAAUCUUCAAAAUAAAAGGAGAAUAAGGAGGGACAAGUGAGAAAUGGCGAUUAAAAAAAAGUGUACAAAAGCUCAAUUAAUUUUCUUCUAGUCUUUUAUAUAAAAAAGUAUUGGUAUGUAAAUUAAUAUUUGGAUUUUAAUAGUAUUUUAUUUGUCUUUCUCUAUCUCAUGUAAAAGAGAAUUUAAGAUAUUUCCUAAAGCAAAGCAUUAGUUAUCUGCAAUCAGUGGUGAUCAUGGUCCAUGUCAAUUUCGGACCCAUAUCUUAAAACCGUAUAAUUUGCGUUUCAACAUUACUGAUUUCUCAGAUGUUUCAUACUCCACAGAAGAGUAUUGUUAGUGAAAGCAUUUUGUAACUGUUACUCAUAGUGUUUUGACUCUGGCUCAACAACAUCAGCCAUUGACGGAUUUUCAUACAUGCAAAUCAAAUAGUCUUCUUCCUCCCUUAGGAAUUUCGGUUUAAAUGUUAUUAAGCAUACAUUUGGCUGACAAUUAUUAACCACUUCAUGAUAUGGUUUCUUACCCUUAAUCAAUGGUUUCUAAGUGAAUAUAUGCAGAAGGAAAUCUGAACUGUAGACAGCAGUAUUGAUAACUCUCAAUAUUCUUUAUAUAAGAGAAUAAACAACGUCAUAGUGAUCGUCGCCUACAAGAAAGGUACAUUUCCCAACAAGAUGUAGUGGUGACUGCUACAUGGACGCAAUUAACUCGUAGAAAAGGAUAAGACCAGUGCACGGCAGCUCUUAUUUUACAUGCUAAUUAUGCUAACCAAAGUCACUCAGUUGGGAUGGGAGGGAGAUGGAGGUUUGUGCGGUGGCUUGUGGGGCGGAGUUGGUGGCUUCUUUUCAGGAGCUUGUGGCUUUUUCGGAGCUGAAGGAGGCUCAAUCUUAUGAGGCGGCUUGUACGAGUCUUCUUUACUCUCGACAGGAGGGUGACCAGGGUUGUGACCAUAAUGUGGUGGCUUCUCUCCCUUAGGUGGCUUGCCAACUGGGGUUGGUGGCUUGUGUUCAGGAAGUUGUUUCUCUCCCUUGGGAGGUUUACCAAUUGGGGUUGGUGGCUUGUGUUCUAGGAGUGGUUUCUCUCCCUUGGGAGGUUUAGUGGGUGACUUGUGUUCUGGAGGUGGCUUCUCCACCGGAGACUUGUGUUCUGGAAUUGAUUAAAAAAAUUCUACCACUCUUUUAAGUAAUGGAAGAUUAUUAUCUCUGAUUGGCACCACAACAGCACAUGCUGCUAGAUCUUUCUAGACACUCCAUGCAAUGAAAGCACAAUGGAUCUUGUAACGAUAGAAACUAAGCCAUGCUACAGUACUAGAUGACGAGGUAAAACUAGUAGACAUGGGUGGUAGUUGAUUACUACUCAAAAAGUACUCUUUUAUAGUUUGAAACUAACUGUUUUAAACACUUUUGAGUAGUAGUUAAUAAAUUUUAACUCAAUUGGCACAUUAAGGAACCUAGCAAGGGUUACUAAUAAACUUUUGGCAAGUUUUGGUGUUUUUGGUAGUUAUUCGAUCAUUGAAACAAGCCAAGAAUGAGGGAGAAUUUUGUGAAGUCCAUGGCAAUGCAAGUUAAAGCUCAAAUACACGAAGAAUCCAAGCUUUGGAGCACUACAUAGCCCUUUGCCAAGCCAAUUAGAGAUGCAAGGAACAAAACCAAAGGAAGAAAUCCAACAACCAACAUUUUCGCAUGGUUGUGUGAAAUUUCGCACACCAUGCGAAACCACAAGAGGUAGCCAAAGAAUUUCACAUGGUAUGCGAAAUCUUCUCAUGCACCGACUCCGUUAGAUUUUUAUCUUCAGAUAUUUUGUGUAAUUUCCUAGUUUCUCCUUGUAACCAACCUAGAUAUUUUCUUUUAUAUCUUUUUUUAUAUUUUUUAGGUAACAUCAUAUAUAAGGGGAGAGACAUAAGGAGGAUAUGGAUGUUUUUCAUAGAACACUUGUAAAUUUUCAGUAGUAAGAAAUAUACAAAGCUUUUUGCUAUGCCUUACCUUCUCAUUUUGUUUUCACCUGUCUUUCUAGCCAAACAACCUCUAAGGAUGAUUUCUCAGGGGAUGAGUGGCUAGGUUUUACGUUUCUUGGAGUGAGGGAAGCUAGGUGAAGGACCUGAAUGCAAAGAUGAGAGUUUUCCUUGCUUUAAAUGAAAGUAGUUGUUAAACAUUAAUGGUUUUUAUUUUAAGGUUUAGCUUUAAAUCCCUUAAAAACACCUUGAAUGACCAAUACUUGGUAAGCUUUUCGGAUUCUAUGGAUGCUUAUUGCUAGAUCCAUGGAUGUCUAUUAGUUAUCAUUUACGAGCCUUUGGAAGGUGAUUCAAGGUGAGGGUCUUUAGUGUUUGAAGCCAUUAAUGGGAAGCAAUUACCAUUUUUUCAUGAAUCCUUUGGAUCAAAUCUUAAUUGCUAAAUAUAAAACCGAUUUGGGAAAUAACCAUCCUUUAUGUUAUUAUCCCCAACGCAAGGAGAAGAUCCGGAAUCUUCCCUUUUGUCUAAGGAACCCGAUCCUAGUGACCUAAAGCUCCAAGAGACCUUUUCUUUGUAGUUAACUUCAUUUAUUGUUUUUGCUUAACUUAAAAUCAAUCUUUGCAACCACAAUUCCAUUUUCUUUAAAAGCUAAUUUUUAUAAGGAAAAACACCAUUUUAUUUCCUUCACUAAGUCAACUGUACGAUGAAAACCCAUCCCUGUGGACGAUCCUAGAGCCAUUAUACUAUGUUAGCUAUGCUACCCUAGUGUGAGGUGAUUUAGGUUUUAUAAAUUUUGUUGAUAACACCCAUCUGAGCCAGAAUCAAAUGGCACAACUGAACCAGGGACGAAUCAAAUGGCGCCGCUAUCGAGGAUGGUGCCAAAGUACAUUGACAUGACUUUUGGUGAACACUUGUGAUCUUCAUCACAAGUUUGGUGAUUUUUCUAUUACUAAUUUUUUUCUUUGUUUUUAUUUUAGCUUAUCUUUUAUUUAGUUUUUAGCUAACCUUAACUUUUUCUUAGAAUUGUAUUUCUUCUAUUUUCUUUGUUUUUGUUUCAGUGAUCUUUAGUUGUGCAUGCCCUAUUGGAUAAGAAAUAUUGAGGGAAUACUUGUGAAGAUUGAAAAUCCUCGAGAAACUGAGUUGGAAGUGUGAUUGAACAUCAUGGAUGUUCCACCUGAAGACCAGAAUAGCCAACAUGGUUAAGAGGAUAAUUUCAAAGCAUACCGAUCCAUGAGGGACUGCAUGCAUCCACCUCGUAUGAGUGCACCGUCAUGCAUAGUGCCUCCCACUGAGCAACUAGUAAUCUGACCUCACAUUGUGCCACUCCUACCUACUUUCCAUGGGAUGGAGAGUGAGAAUCUCUACUCGCAUAUUAAGAAAUUCGAGGAGGUUUGUAAUACAUUCCAAGAAGGAGGAGCUUCAAUUGACUUGAUGAGGCUCAAGCUAUUUCCUUUCACUUUGAAGGAUAAGGCUAAGAUUUGGCUUAAUUCUUUAAGGCCAAGGAGUAUCCGAACUUGGACUAAUUUGCAAGCCGAUUUUCUUAAGAAGUUCUUCCUUACCCAUAGGACCAAUGGUUUGAAAAGGCAAAUUUCGAACUUCUCAGCUAAAGAGAAUGAGAAAUUCUAUGAGUGAUGGGAGAGGUACAUGGAAGCUAUUAAUGCUUGUCCUCACCAUGGCUUUGACACAUGGCUCUUAGUGAGUUAUUUUUACGAUGGUAUGUCUUCUUCAAUGAAGCAACUCCUAGAAACUAUGUGUGGAGGAUACUUCAUGAGUAAGAAUCCGAAGGAAGCCAUGGACUUUUUGAGUUAUGUGGCUGAAGUUUUAAGAGGAUGGGAUGAACCAAAUGCUAGAGAGGUGGAAAGAAUGAAGUCUCAACCUAAUGCUAAGGGUGGGAUGUAUGUUUUGAAUGAAGACAUUGACAUGAAAGCAAAGGUUGUAGCUAUGGCAAGGAGAUUGGAAGAGCUAGAAAUGAAGAAGGCACAAAAAGUGGAAGCCAUUUCUGAGACAUCAGUGCAAGCUAUGCCUUGUUCCAUUUGUCAACCUAAUGCUAAGGGUGGGAUGUAUGUUUUGAAUGAAGACAUUGACAUGAAAGCAAAGGUUGUAGCUAUGGCAAGGAGAUUGGAAGAGCUAGAAAUGAAGAAGGCACAAAAAGUGGAAGCCAUUUCUGAGACAUCAGUGCAAGCUAUGCCUUGUUCCAUUUGUCAAUCUUAUGAGUACCUAGUGGAGGAGUGUCCUACAAUUCCAGUAGUGAGAGAGAUGUCUGGUGAUCAAGCAAAUGUUAUUGAUCAAUUCAAGCCUAAUAAAAAUGCUUCAUAUGGCAACACCUACAAUUCAAAUUGGAUGAACCAUCCAAAUUUCUCUUGGAAACCAAAGCUACCUCAAUACACACAACCUGCUCAAGCACCUUAGCAAUCCUCGAAUCUUGAACAAGCUAUUGUGAACCUUAGUAAGGUUGUGGGAGAUUAAAAGUCCAUCAAUGCUCAACUGAAUCAGAGAAUUGACAGUGUAGAGAGUACAUUGAACAAAAGGAUGGAUGAGAUGCAAAAUGAUCUGUCUCAAAAGAUAGACAAUGUCCAAUAUGCAAUCUCAAGGCUUACCAACCUCAACACAGUGCAAGAGAAAGGAAAGUUUAUUUCUCAACCUCAUCAAAAUCCCAAGGGUAUCCAUGAAGUGGAGGCUCAAGAGAGAGAAUCUUCAAAGGUGAGGGAAGUCAAAGCAGUUAUCACCUUGAGGAGUGGUAAAGAGGUUGAUCAACCCACAUCCAAGCCAAAGCAUAAUGAAGAGAGUUUUGUAGAAAAAGAAAAGAGAGGAAAAUAAAGGAAAGAGAAUAGAGAAAAGUACAAAGAAAGAUGACCAUGAGUCUAGUGUGGAUGAAGAGCCCAAGAGGAUAGUGAUCAAGGAAAAUAUGAUGAAGAAACACAUGCCUCCACCUUUCCCCUAAGCUUUGCAUGACAAAAAAGGAACCAAUAAUACAUCGGAAAUUUUUGAAGUAUUGAGGCAAGUGAAGGUCAAUAUCCCUUUGCUAGAGAUGAUCAAACAAGUGCCGACAUAUGCAAAAUUCUUGAAGGACUUGUGCACUGUAAAGAGAGGGUUGAAUGUGAACAAGAAAGCUUUCUUGACCGAGCAAGUGAGUUCCAUCAUACAGUGCAAGUCUCCAGUGAAGUACAAAUAUCCGGGCUACCCUACCAUCUCAGUGAGUAUUGGAGGUACUUGUGUGGAAAAAGCUUUGUUGGACUUGGGAGCAAGUGUGAAUUUGCUACCCUACUCUGUCUAUAAGUAGUUGGGACUUGGAGAGUUGAAGUCAACAUCCAUCACCCUAUCUCUGGCAGAUAGAUCAGUGAAGAUUCCAAGAGAGAUGAUAGAAGAUGUCUUGGUUCAAGUUGACAAAUUCUACUAUCCAGUGGAUUUUGUUGUUCUUGAUACGGAUCCGAUUGUCAAAGGAACUAAUUAUGUUCCUAUCAUACGAAGACCCUUCCUAGCUACAUCAAAUGCAAUCAUCAAUUGUAGGAAUGGAGUCAUGAAACUCACGUUUGUCAACAUGACAUUAGAGCUCAACAUCUUCCAUUUGUACAAGAAGCAUAUCCAUUCAGAAGAAAAAGAAGGUCUAGAGGAAGUGUGCAUGAUUGACACUUUAGUGGAGGAGCAUUGUGAUCGACAAUGCAAGAAGAUUUAGUUGAGAGUUUUGGGGAUCUUGAUGAAGGGUUACUUGAACCCUCAGAUUUGCUUGCUACCCUACUCCAUUGGAGGAAGAGAGAAGAAAUUCUACCCUUAUUCAAUGAGGAGGAGACACAAAGAGCUGCUAAAGAUAAGCCCCCAAAGCUUAUUCUUAAGCCACUACCCACAGAGUUGAAGUAUGCAUACUUGGAAGAAGACAAGAAGUGCACUGUUGUUAUAUCUUUAGCUCUUACCAUUCAUCAGGAGGAUUGUCUACUUGAAGUCCUUAGAAGAAGUAAGAAGGUAAUAGGGUGGCAAAUUUCUGAUUUGAAAGGGAUCAGCCCUUUUGUCUGCACCCAUCAUAUUUACAUGGAGGAUGAAGCUAAGCCAAUUCAUCAACCUCAGAGAAGGUUGAACCCUCACAUGCAAGAAGUGGUGAGAGUUGAAGUUCUUAAGCUACUUUAGGCUGGUAUUAUUUACCCCAUAUCAGAUAGCCCAUGGGUGAGUCCUACUCAAGUUGUGCCAAAGAAGUCGGGGAUCACGGUGGUGCAAAAUGAUAAGGGAAAAGAUGUCUCUACAUGUCUCACUAUAGGUUGGAGGGUGCGUAUCAAUUACAGGAGGUUGAAUGUAGUGACAAGGAAUGACCAUUUCUCGUUGCCCUUUAUUGAUCAAGUGCUUGAGAGGGUCUCUGGGCAUCCUUUUUAUUGUUUCUUGGAUGGCUACUCGAGGUAAUUUAAGAUAGAAAUUGAUGUUGAAGACCAGGAGAAGACCAUUUUCACAUGCCCAUUUAGAACCUAUGCAUAUAGGAGAAUGUCUUUCGGCUUAUGCAAUGCACCCACAACUUUCCAAAGAUGCAUGUUAAGCAUUUUCAAUGAUAUGGUGGAGCAUAUUAUGGAAGUCUUUAUGGAUGAUAUCACCAUAUAUGGAAGUGCAUUUGAUGAAUGCUUGGUCAACUUAGAAGUUGUUCUGAACCGAUGCAUUGAGAAAGACUUAGUGCUUAAUUGGGAGAAGUGCCAUUUCAUGGUACACCAAGGGAUUGUCCUUGGGCACAUCAUCUCCAAGCAAAGCAUUGAAGUUGACAAAGCAAAGGUUGAACUCAUUGUUAAGUUGCCAUUCCCAACAAAUGUCAAAGGAGUAAGGCAAUUCCUUGGCCAUGCCGGGUUCUAUAGGAGGUUUAUCAAGGAUUUCUCUAAGCUUGCAAGGCCUCUUUGUGAAAUAUUGGUGAAGGAUGUUAAAUUCAUAUGGGAUGAUAGAUGCCAAAGGAGUUUUGAAGAAUUGAAGCUAUUUUUGACAACCUCACCAAUAGUGAGGGCUCCCAACUAGCAACUGCCCUUUGAGGUAAAGUGUGAUGUCAAUGACUUUGCUAUAGGAGCUGUUCUUGGGCAAAGAGAAGAUGGAAAACCUUAUGUGAUCUACUAUGCGAGCAAGACAUUGAAUGAGGUGCAAAGAAACUACAUAACCACCGAGAAAGAAUUGUUAGCUGUAGUUUUUGCCUUGGAUAAGUUUCGUGCUUACUUGGUGGGAUCCUUCAUCGUGGUUUUUAUUGAUCACUUUGCUUUGAAGUAUCUAUUGACUAAGCAAGAUGCUAAAGCAAAACUGAUUAGAUGGAUUUUCUUGCUUCAAGAGUUCAAUCUCCAGAUCAAAGACAAGAAAAAAAUGGAGAAUGUGGUAGUAGACCACAUUUCAAGGCUAGCUAUCGCACAUAAUUCCCAUGCUUUGCCCAUUAAUGACGAUUUUCUAGAGGGGUCUCUCAUGUUGGUGGAAGUUGUCCCUUGGUACGCUCACAUUGCUAACUACCUGGUCACAAGAGAAGUUCCAAGUGAGUGGAAAGCACAAGAUAAGAAGCACUUCUUUGCAAAAAUUCAUGCCUACUAUUGGGAAAAGCCAUUUCUAUUCAAGUAUUGUGCGGAUCAGAUAAUAAGGAAGUGAGUUCCUGAAGAAGAGCAACAGGGGAUCCUCAGUCAUUGCCAUAAAAAUGCAUGUGGAUGCCACUUUGCUUAUCAGAAGACAACCAUGAGGGUGCUGCAAUCGGGUUUCUGUUGGCCAUCACUUUUCAAAGAUGCCCACACCAUGUGCAAGAGUUGUGAUCGAUGCCAGAGGCUUGGGAAGUUAUCAUGUAGGAACAUGAUGCCUUUGAACCCCAUUUUAAUAGUUGAUCUUUUUUAUGUUUGGGGCAUUGACUUCAUGGGACUUUUCCCUAUAUCUUUUGGCUACUCUUACAUCUUGGUGGGAAUAGAUUAUGUUUCUAAGUGGGUUGAGGCAGUCCCAUGCAAACACAAUGACCAUAGAGUGGUUCUCAAGUUUCUUAAGGAGAACAUCUUCUCAAGAUUUGGGGUGCCCAAAGCCAUAAUUAGUGAUGGGGGUACUCAUUUUUGCAACAAGCCUUUUGAAACUCUCCUAGCCAAGUAUGGGGUGAAGCAUAAGGUAGCUACACCUUACCACCCUCAAACUAAUGGGCAAGUUGAGUUAGCAAACAAGGAGAUUAAAAACAUAUUGAUGAAGGUGGUGAACACAAACAGAAAAGAUUGGUCAGUCAAGCUCUUCGAUUCACUAUGGUCAUGUAGAACAGCUUACAAGACCAUUAUCGGGAUGUCUCUUUAUCACCUAGUCUAUGGAAAAAAUGCCAUCUCCUUGUGAAAUUGGAAUACAAAGCUUGGUGGUCAAUCAAGAAGCUCAACAUGGAUUUGAGCAGAGCUGGGUUGAAGAGGUUCUUAGACCACAAUGAGAUGGAGGAAUUGAGAAAUGAUGCCUACAUCAAUUCAAAAAUUGUAAAAGAAAAAUUGAAGAGGUGGCAUGAUCAGUUGAUUUCCCGCAAGAAUUUUCAAAAUGGAUAAAGAGUCUUGCUCUAUGACUCUAAACUCCACAUCUUUCCGAGCAAGCUGAAAUCAAGGUGGAUAGGUCCUUUUACCAUUCACCAAGUGCAUUCAAAUAGAGUAGUGGAACUACUCAACUCCAACAACAUCGGGAGCUUCAAAGUGAAUGACCAUUGUCUCAAGCCCUUUGUAGAGUCUUUUUUCUCGCGACAAGGAGGAAUUCAUCCUCCUUGAUCCACAUCAAGCUUGACAAGACCAGUUUUUUUUUAUGGACUUAGUCUUUCUAAAGACUAUCGAGUCCAUAACUUUUUAUUUUAUUUUUUAUUUGAGAGUUUUUCGGUAUUAUUACUUGUUUUGUUUUUUAUUUUUCGUUUUACUUUUAUUUGGUUUGAUUUAACUUAGAUUUUUUAUGAUCAAUUGCAGGGGGGAUUUCAAAUAGAGGAAAAACCAAGAUAAUUCGCACACCCUGCGAAAAUUUCGCAAGGCAUGCGAAAUUUAUGGCUCAUUUCGCAUGGGAUGCGAAAUUUCGCACACCCUACGAACCAAUUUCGCACACUUUGUGAAAAUAAACCAACCCUACGAAAUCAUUUCAAAUACUCUACGAAAUUUUCGCAGAGCAUGUAAAAAAUUUCGCAGACCAAACACCAUUUCGCAUACUAUGCGAAAAUGUAAGGGGUCUACAAAACCAUUUCGCACCUCCAAAGCCAUUUCGCACAUUGUGCAAAAAUGAAAAGUCGCCCUAUCAUCCAUUUUUAAACCCCUUGAGCCCUGAAAUCCCCAUUUCGCAAGCACCCCUGUCCUUGCGAAUCCCUCAUUUUCCUCUGCCACCUUGCGACCUUGUCCCUCUCCAUUUGAUAUCGUGCCCUGCGCACAUCUCAUUUCAAAGACUCGCACUCUGCGCCCUCUCAAAGCACGAACCCAAGGCUCACAUUCCAUUUCCGACAUGGCACAGACCCGAGGAGCCCUUCCCGCCCCUUCAUCGAGACGCACACCAAGGUAGAGAGCCUCUUUUGCUCAGAUGCCAAGUGAUUCUCCAUUUCAGGCCACGGAGGCCCUGCGGAUUCCACAUUCCAAGGGUAGAACAGCCACUGGUCCUUCCUCUUCUAUUCCUCAGCGUAGAUAUGAGACGAGGAGACCACCUACUACACAAAGGGCGACUACUUCGCGCCAUGAGAAUUCGGUACGACACCCUCCUGCCAAGAGGGCCAGGACUUCAGGCCCAGGCGAGUCAUCCAAAGCUUCACAGCCUGAGCCUCCUGCAGAUUCCGAGGUUCCUACUGACAUAUCAUCGGAGUCUAUUAUCAAACGCCCGAUGCUCACAGCACCGCCCAUUGAGGGCAACUCUGAUUGUAGAGCGAGACCUUUCCACUUGGAGCUAUAUUUUAAUUAAGAGGCCAUGCCACAGCAGCCUGAGCUCCAAGACUCUUAUGGCUUACUACAGAGGUACCAUCUUGAGGACCUUAUGACUCCUCGUGAGUUCUUUUAUCCCAGAGUAGCACUAGACUUUUACCAGUCCAUGACUACUCGUGGCGUCCCGAGUCCUACCGCGAUGCACUUCACCAUUAAUGGACGUCAUGGUAUCCUCGAGGCCAGACAUAUUGGAGAGGCUCUACAGAUUCCUUUCGAGCUAGAGGACCCAUCUGUUUUCUGCCAAUGGUCCCCAAUAUCUCAGAGGGACAUGGUCCAUAUUUUAUCCAGGGGGACAUCUACAUAUUCGAUCCUUCUACGGAAGGAGCUUCGACCUGGGAUACUCCUCGUAGAUGUGGUGCUACUUUCCAACCUCUUUCCCUUUUAGCAUUCGAUACAUAGGCGAGGAGCUAUUUUGGACGCUUUAUUCUGUAUAUCAGAGGGCUUCUACUUUGGCCCGCACCACUUGAUCAUGGUUUCCCUCAUCCAUUUUGAGGAGAAGGUCCAUAGAAAGAAGCUUCAGAGGGCGAACACCAUUCCAUUACUAUUCCCGAGGUUGCUCUACUAGAUCUUGGAGUACAUGGGCUUUCCUACUGAGCCUCGGCUUGUGUGCCGCCGCCUUUGUCAAGAGCGAUCCACUCUCGACAAAUGGAAUCAGUUGGCGGGCUAUUCUACACCUCCAGGAGCCCCUCCCAUGGUAGCACCUCUAGUGUCCCCACAGGCAGAGUAGGGCAAGCUCCCGGUAGAGACUGCACCCCUAGUGCCCACACCUGAGGCUACUUCUGCUGUUCCGCCUACGACUCCUACUGUUCCACCAGUUGGUCCUUUUACAUCUGAGUCUUCCAUCAACAUCUCGACUUCGGAGUUUCGCGCCCUUGUGCAUACCUUUCAGACACUCACCACCACACAUACUGCUCUCUUCUAGAAAAUGGCUGAGAUGCGUGCCCAUCAGGACCAGCAGACUACUAUACUCCGCCAAAUUCAACAGCACCUGGGACUUCUGCCUCUGCCUCAGCUUGACCUUCCCACAUCAUCAGAGCCUCUAGCUCCAGUUGAGGAUACUAUUCCACCUGAGGACACUACCACAGUAGAGGUUCAGAUUCCACCACCUCAGGAGGCCACCACAGCUACAUUAGAGGAUGCAUCAUCUCCACCUGAGGCUCCCACUACUUGAUCAUAGGACAUCUCUUUAUCUUAUUGUAUUUACAUAUUAUAUUACUGGAGAUUUGUCUUUGUUUUGAUACUUUAUAUUCUGGCAUUGAAUGUAUUGCCUAAUGAUAUCUCAAUUGUACUUUCUCAUAUUAAUAUAUAGACAUCAAUUUUUUUUAGUAUACUUAGGAUUUUUCUAUUUACUCUACUCAUUACUCUUUUGUUUUUUUUUUUUUACUCAUGUGGUUUCUCCUAUACGACUCAGACUCCAUUUCACUCAGGAGGUACCACUUCUUCCCUUUAUUUUCAAUUGCUCUUGAAACAUUGAGGGCAAUGUUGAUCUUGGUUGGAGGGAGAGUUGAGGAAGGAAGUGAUUACUACUCAAAAAGUGCUAUUUCAUAGCUUGUAAUUAACUCUUUUAAAACACUUUUGAGUAGUAGUUAUCACCUUUUAACCCAAUUAACAUAUUAAGGACCCUUGCAAUCAAUUCUAAUCAAAUUGUGUUAAGUUUUGGUAUUUUGAUAGCUUUUUUAUCACCAAAGCAAUCCGAGAUUGAGGAUAUUUAUUUGGAAUCCAUGGCAAAAGAUGUUUGGACAGGACGUCCGGACACACCAUCGGAGGGCGGCGGAACGUGGGCUGUGGCAGGCUGUCGGAAUGACGUAGCAAGGCUUGUGCACUUUAGCCAAUGAUCGGGAUAACAUAUCCGAAAUUCUGCUCCGCCGACAUUCCACCCGGAUGUCUCACAUCCGGAAUUCUGCUCCGCCGACAUUACACCCAGAUGUCUCACAUCCAAAAUUCUUCUCCGUCGACAUUCCAUCCGAAUAUUUCACAUCCGACGCUUGACGCCGGAUGGGAGAGGAGGGCGUUUCAACUUCCCCGGUCAGACAUAUCCGAAUCCUUUGAUAACGCUUACCCGGAGAGUUUCGCAGCCAUUUUGCACAGUGCCGCGGUGUUCUCUUGAAGCUUCCCGAUAUGUGCGACCGACAUUUUGAGAUAUUUUGCUUUAGAUAUUUGAUGUCUAAAUCCCCAAACUCUCCUUGUAACCCACCAAUUAUAGGAUUCCUUAGUUAUUAAGUUUGGAAAAAUGGUGAAUAACCCCUUAUAUAUAGUUUGCAAUUUUCAUAAAAAAGAUAUGUAGAAUCUCGGGAGCUUGUUCCCAGAGAGACGCAUCCUUUGUACAGUUUUGGAAGGAAGUAAAAUACAGAGCACUUGCUCUGCUUUUCAUAUAUAUUUUUGUUUUCUCGUUCUUUUUAUUUCUAGCCAAUCAAAGUCUGAGGAUUUUUCCUCAGAGGAUGAGAGGCUAGGCUCUUCGUCUCUUGGAGUGAAGAAAACUAGGUAAGUUUCCACAUGCAUAAAUUGAAAGUUUUGUUGUUUUAGUUUUUAAUGAAGAGAAAGUGUGACCCGUUAAUGGUUUUUAUCUUUUUAGUUAACUUAAAACGCCUUUAAAUCACCCGGGCCAACACUUGAUAAGGCAAGUGGUCUCCAUCCAUUGAGAUGCACUAGUUUAUCUCUUGCGAGCCUUUGGGAGGUGGUUUGAAGGUAGGAUUUUCUAGAAUAACCAACACUUGAUAAGCUUUUGGACUCUAAGGAGACAUCCAUUAGUUAUCUCUUGCGAGCUUUUGACGGGUAAUCCAAGGUUAAAGAUCACCUUGAAUGGCAAGUACUAGGUGAGAGGUAUGAGCCAUUGCAAGAUGCAUUAGUGAGAGGGAUUUAGUGUUUGAACCCAUUAAAGGGAAGCAUCUGUACCACACCGGUUCGGGAAAUAACUAUAUGUUAAAUCCCCAAUGAGAGGAAAAGAAACAAGUGACCGGAACUCCCUUUUUGUAUAAGGAACCUGAGCCUAGUGAUCUAAACUCCAAGAAACACUUUUCUUUGUAAGUAAAAUCAGUUACUAUUUUUGGUUAGUUUAAAACCAAACCUUUUUCAUUCAAACAUCUUUAUGUUUUCUUUUAAAGCUAACCUUGAAAUGAAAAGGCACCAAUUCAUAUUUGAAUUAAUAUCAAUUGUGAAGUGAAAACCCAUCCCAGUGAACGAUCCUAGAGCCACUAUGCUAUAGUAGCUUUGUCUUUGCUACCCUAGUUCAUGGUUUAAUAGGUUAUAAAUUUUGUUGAUUACUCCCACAAUCAAAGGAGCACCAGUUGGACAUGAAUCAACUGAGACACUAAUUGGGCACAAAUCAGGAAGUUUUGUUAAUAAUGCUAGGUUAAUUUGUUAAUUUAGUUACUUUCUGCUUAAUUUUAAAAGUUUUCACUUUACUUUCCAUAGUUAUUAAGGAAAAAUUCUCAAAAUGAAAUGGGAGAAAUUGAAUUCUUACAUUUUUACUUGAAUUUUAGAAUUUGUAUUAUGCUUAUUGAAGCUGAUGAAUUAUUGAAACUCCUAUUGAAUUCAACCUUAUUUCUUCCACUUUAAUCUUACCACACACGGUGCACAUUAGGUUCCGAUUAUAAGAGGUGCGUUCUUAGCCUAUUGGAGGUUGGUCAAUUUGUUAAAGUUUGAGAAAGAUCUAGGUUAGGGGAGAGAGAAUAGUCUGACAUACUAUAAUCGAAAACUAAUAAACUUAACACUUAGAUCUUUGUGGAAGAGUAAGGAUUGGACCUUUGGGAGUGGAAAUUCGUUUGAUGCUUAAAUUUGCAUAAUGCUUACACUUUAUAAAUUGUGAUUAGGCAAGAGAUUUGAUGACUCUUGUUCAAGGUUGGGUUUUGCCUCUUUGAUGUUCCAUGAGAGAGUAUAAUCCUCAUCAUGCCACUUGAAAUUUUUUUUGGAGUGAUUAACAUGAUUUUGUAAAUUACUUUACUGUCUAUUUUUUUUUUAUCUCUCCUUCAUUGCUAAUGGACUAGCAAUAUGUCAGUUGAGGGGAGUGAUUACUACUCAAAAAGUACUCUUUUAUAGCUUGAAACUAACUGUUUUGAACACUUUUGAGUAGUAGUUAAUACCUUUUAACUCAAUUGGCACAUUAAAGAACCUAGCAAGGGUUACUAAUUAGUUUUUGGCAAGUUUUGGUGUUUUUGGUAGCUAUUUGAUCAUUGAAACAAGCCAAGAAUGAGGGAGAAUUUUGUGAAGUCCAUGGCAAUGCAAGUUAAAGCUCAAAUACAUGAAGAAUCCAAGCUUUGGAGCACUUCAUAGCCCUUUCCAAAGCCAAUCAGAGAUGCAAGGAAGAAAACCAGAGGAAGAAAUCCAACAAUUAGCAUUUUCGCAUGGCUGUGCGAAAUUUCGCACACCAUGCGAAACCACAAGAGGCAGCCAAAGAAUUUUGCACACUAUGCGAAAUUUCGCAUGGUAUGCAAAAUCUUCUUGUGCACCAACUCCGUUAUAUUUUUAUCUCAAAUAUUUUGUGUAAUUUCCUAGUUUCUCCUUGUAACCAACCUAGAUAUUUUCUUUUAUAUAUUUUUUAGGUAACAUCAUCUAUAGGGGGAGAGACAUAAGGAGGAUAUGGAUGUUUUUCAUAGAACACUUGUAAAUUUCCGGUAGUAAGAAAUAUACAGAGCUUUUUGCUCUACCUUACCUUCUCAUUUUGUUUUCACUUGUCUUUCUAGCCAAACAACCUCUGAGGAUGAUUUCUUAGGGAAUGAGUGGCUAGGUUUUACGUUUCUUGGAGUGAGGGAAGCUAGGUGAAAGACCCGAAUGCUAAGGUGGGAGUUGUCCUUGCUUUAAAUGAAAGUAGUUGUUAAACAUUAAUGGUUUUUAUUUUAAGGUUUAGCUUUAAAUCCCUUAAAAACAUCUUGAAUGGUCAAUACUUGGUAGGCUUUUUGGAUUCUAUGGAUGCUUAUUGCUAGAUCCCUGGAUGUCUAUUAGUUAUCAUUUAUGAGCCAUUGGAAGGUGGUUCAAGAUGAGGGUCUUUAAUGUUUGAAGCCAUUAAUAGGAAACAAUUACCAUUCUUUCAUGAAUCCUUUGGAUCAAAUCUUAAUUGCUAAAUAUAAAACUAGUUCGGGAGAUAACCAUCCUUUAUGUUAUUAUGCCCAACGCGAGGAGAAGAUUCGGAAUCUUCCCCUUUGUCUAAGGAACCCGAUCCUAGUGACCUAAAGCUCUAAGAGACCUUUUCUUUAUAGUUAACUUCACUUAUUGUUUUUUCUUAACUUAAAAUCAAUCUUUGCAACCACAAUUCCAUUUUCUUUGAAAGCUAAUUUUCAUAAGGAAAAUCACCAUUUUAUUUUCUUCCCUAAGUCAACUGUACGAUGAAAACCCAUUCCCAUGGACGAUCCUAGAGCCACUAUACUAUGUUAGCUAUGCUACCCUAAUGUGAGGUGAUUUAGGUUUUAUAAAUUUUGUUGAUAACACCUGUUUGAGCCAGAAUCAAAUGGCGCAACUGAACCAGGGACGAAUCAACAACUUAUAUGGGAGGGACACAAGUUUAAUUGAUUUGCAUUUCAACGUUAUAUAUAGGUAUGUUUUGGAAGAUUUGUUCUGGAAAUACUGCACCAAGUACGAUUCUUUUUGUCUUGAGUGGGUCUACUUGCAUGCCAAUUAACGAGUGGAAAAGUAGGAGCACCUACCUCAUGCUCGCGGAACCGAAGGUCAGUGAAGUGGGGCUCCUUUUGGCCUCUUGUGUUUCUAUUCCAACCAAGGCGGCGUAAGGAAAAACAACAAUAUGUUUGUGCUAAAUAUCAACGCAUGAUAGAUGUUUUUGUUUUUUGGUAUGUCAAGGCUAAUGAAUGAAAUGCUUUAGCUUGUUUUGUGACUGGAACUGCAAAUGUCCAAAUUGGAGUAUCUCCAUUUCUCACUUCGGAUGGUUAACUUAUAAACAAGAUAUAGGAAACAUGUGAACAUCUUGAGGAACAAUUUGAAUUAUUCAUUAGAAGUCCUGGGUUGAGUUCCAAGAUUUAAAUUAGACCCCUCUAGCAGCUUCAGGGGUACCUAGCAACCUAUAGCAUAUUAAUGAAGAUUUAGGAUUUAGACUCUAGAAUACAAAUUAAUAUGUAUCUCAUGCUUUGACUAGCUUCCCUACAUAUGCACAAAAUGGAGAUGACCUAAAAAAAUAGCAGAAUCUAGCUUCCCUACAUAUGCACAAAAUGGAGAUGACCCAAAAAAUAGCAGAAUUUCCUUAGUUUCUGUGGUUAAGGUGAUUCUCCGCUUAAUAUCACAUUGACUCAUUAUGCAAAAUCAACUGAGCUAAUUUUGUUUAUUUAUUUAAUGUCAAAUAGGAACUCCUAAUUAACCUAACCCUUGGCCUGUGUAAAUUGAUUUCACAUGCCCAAUGUUGAAGUAGAAGUCCAUAUUUUGAAUUUUAUUUUUGUAAAGGUAAGGAAAAUGAAGCAUUGUGUAAUUAUAAAAAUAACUUCAUUGGAAUUCACAAGGUUCACCCAAAAUGGAGCUACAUCCGUAUUCUAUCCUGCAGUAGACUAUAUAGAUUGUACAAUAGUAAAUUGCAAAUACAAUUAAUAAGUCUUGUGCUUCCUUACUAAUAAUCCUUUGACAUGAACAUUGCAGCACUAAGGUCCUCUUGGGAAGACACCUUGCACCCAUGAGAGCACGAAGAGGAAGCAAGGCAGAGUCAUGGGUGCAAUGUCAUGACUUGUUGUUGCACCAAGAGAGGCUUGGUGAUGGCAUGGUGUUGCAGUAGCAAGAAUGUUGCCUUGGUAGGGACAUAAUCUAGGGAUAGAUGCCAAGAAAGGCUUAGCACUCACAUGAGUUGCACAAAGAUGAAUGUAAUAGAGCAUCAGAGAGACGUCUUGGCAAGUAAAUGAAUGGAUCCAAGAGGCAACAACAUGAGGAGUUUCAAAUGGAUAAGGAAUGAGUCAAAGACAUUUGAAAGCUACAAGUUGGAUUCUAAUUACGAUUGCAAUUUGAGUUUGAGUAGGAGUUUAGAUUCUGAUUGUAAUUGUAGUAUGAGUUGGACUAGGAUUGCUUAUCCCUAGUCAAAAUAGGAGUGGUUCGUGUCACACCCUAUGAAAAGAGUUUGAGUAGGGACUAGGAUUGCUUACUCCUAGUCAAAUAUGGAGUAGGUGGUGCCACACCUAUAAAAAAAAAGGGACAACAUGAGAGAGAGAGAGAGAGAGAGAGAGAGAGAGAGAGAGAGAGAGAGAGAGAGAAAGAGAUAAUGAAUUCACUAAAGAUAUUGUGGGAGUUUUUCUUUGUUACGUCUUGUAUUAUUACUUAGAAUAGGAAUAAAAUACAAGUUUGGGCUAGAGCCCCAUAAUUAAUCUCGUGUGCCUUUGUGGUUAUUCUUUAUUUGUCAUCUCGUGUGGAUUGGAUUACAUUGACUUAGAGGGCUUCUAAGCACCACCUUUGUGGGUUAUUAUUUAUUUUCCAUUUCUUGUGGAUUAGAUUAGGUUGACUUUGAGGGCUUUUAAGCACCACCUUUGUGGGUUAUUCUUUAUUUUCCAUAUCGUGGGGAUUGGAUUAGGUUGACGAUGAGAAAAAUUAUGUGGGAAAUUUGUGUUGGGACACUUAUCAUAACCAGGUAAAAUCUGCCAAGUCCUUUGUAAUAUCUUCAACAAAUAUUUCAGACUAGUUCUUCACCAUAAACAUCAUAUUGUGUUUUGUUUUUCUCCUGGAUUCUGAGUUGAAUUGUUUCAAGUCAAUUGAAUGCAUCUGAAUAUUAUUAGCUUGUUUGAAGGCCUGGUGAUUUUCCAUUUAACUUUACUUUCUUUAGGUUAUGCUCACUAUAAGAAAAAUGAGAAAUAAUGACGCUUUUUACGCGUUAAGAAAGGCAACAGAUGAUGCUUCUCUAAAGCGUCCUCUUCGGCUCUGUCAUUAUAUGUGUUAGCCAAUAAUGACGCUUCUAGGAAGUGCCAUCUUUGAAUAAUGUUAAUAACGACACUCGUAAAAAGUGUCAUCUUUAAACAUAUUCUGGUCAAAUAAUUUUUACAAAAUUAGUAAUCUUCAAGCCGUUUCUGAAUCAUAUCUGAGCCUAUUUCUGGGGACCAGAAAACCAUCUUUUUUCCAUUCGCCUGAGAGGUCUGAUUAGCAUUUCUGGAAUCAAUCUCUAAACCCAAGCUUCCCUCAUCUACCCAUUUAACCCUCAUGCCCUCCUGUUUGAACAACUUUCCCACUAUAUACACAAAUUUUUUACCUUCUGUUGUUGGUAUUCGACCUCUUCCCAUUCCCAGCACAGAAUCCACCAUUAGUGCCACUUUGUGAAUAAAAUCAUCGAACCAGAUCUUUCGGGCGGAAGAUGAGCUCCAGAGAAAUAAAAUUUUUGGGGUCUUCCCAGCAUGAAAGUCAUAGGUAGCAUUAAUGACAUCAAGAAAUGGGGCACUGUUGAGAAAAAACAUGUUCCCAUCAACCACCCAAGAAUUGUACCAGACUCCAAACACUUCUGGAUUACAUAUGCCUUUACUAAGAUAUAUUUCUUGAUCUCCAUAUCAGAAUCUUGGAGACUCUUCAUUUUAUGAGCUCUGACACUACUGUGAAAUUGGUCCACAUCAAUCACAGGAUGACCCCUUCUAGCAAGAUCAAGCAGGAAGUCUGAAUUCGGGCCCAUAAAAAUGUAGUUCUGAAUAUUGAAACUCUCAAAGUGGCACAACAAAUUCCUUAUGACUCUUUCAGAUGCUCCAAACAGGCUCACAAGUAUAAUGGUAUCCUGUUUUUGCACAGAGUAAAGAAAAUAUCCGAGUUCUUCAAAACUCCUUACAACUAUUCCAGGAUGUACUUCUUUGAAACAGAAAUCGUACCACUUUAGCUUAGUCAGAGGUUGAAUCUAAAAUAACAAAACCCAAACUGAAAUCAAAAUCGAAAUCAACCCUAAUAGAUUUCAGAAACAACAAAUUAAAAGAGUAAAGCACAAAAGGGGGAAAACACAUAUGAAGCAAUCUCCAUACAAGCCCUAACCUUAGAUAAACCCAAAAAAAAAAAUCAAAGCAGAGAGUUACCAUAGAGCAUCUCUGUUUCAAGCUUAGAAAAUGUUUAAUGCCAUUGAUAACUAGUUGGCUAGUGGUGGACUUCAAGCUUCUCUAUUUCGGUGUUAGUAGCUCUCAAUGGCUAUGGUGAGAACAAAGAAAUGAGAGGCUUAGGGUUUGGGAUGUGAGGUUAUUGAUGAUGAUGAGGAUAAAGUUAUGGGCUCUUGGAGGGGUUAGGGAAAUUGAAGAUGGCUGAGAGUAAAGGCUAGGGUUUUUGAGAUAGUUAAUAGCUUUUUAGGGUGUGACUGUCCAUAGAUAGAAGAUAAAUGAGGGUGUGAGAAUUUAUAGAUCUCUAGGUGAUAUGGCGGGUGUGAGAAUGAAAUUUUAGAGGGAAUUGUGUGUUUGGUAGAAAUUUCACACAUGCAUAUAUAAUGUUUCAGAACAUGGCACUUUAAAAAUACGACAAGGAAGAAAUUAUUUAUUGACGCUUAAAUAAAGCGCCAAGGUCUCCAACAUUUUUGCAAUCAAUGACGUUUGUAAAAGGUGCCAUUGAAUAGGAGUGCCAUUGCUUUCCCACAAAGCAUCAUUGUUAAUCAAGCCUUUAAAAAACGCCAAGAUAUGUUGCCACUUAGGUUAAAUAUUGACGCUUUUAAAAAACGCCAAGGAAAAAAACGUCAUUAUUCAUGUUUUUUGUAGUAGUGGCUUGAUUCCUAAAAAGUAAAGGAAAGCAAAAAGUAAAAAAAUAAAAAUGUGGAGAGUUAGGACAUGCGUUAUCUAAUUGUCCUAGUCCCAAAUAUAUUAAGAAAGUCAUGUAGGUUACUUGGAGUAACGAGUCAAGUAAAGCAAGCCUUCUAGUGUUUAAGACAUUAGAUAUUACCGAACUGAUUAUGUCAUUAAUGUAUUGCAUUUGUUGUUUCUAAUAUAUAGAAGAAGAUGAAAUUAUUGGAAUAAGUGGGAAAUAGGAAUAAAUCCAAGGUACCAAAAAGUCACUUUAUCUUAGAUGUUGUUGGAAACAUAAGUGAUUUCACAAUAACGACUAUGAGACAAUCAAGGAUUAAUAAGAUAGACUUUAUAUGAUAUACCUCCCAAUUAGAGCCUAAAAAUAUGGAUGAAGCACUUAGAGAUGAAUCUUCAAUUUUUGUACUAUAGGAAGAAUUAAAUCAAUUUGUUAGCUAUUCUUUGGAUAUUUGAUUCAUCACAAGCUACAAAUCACUUUUGAUGACCAAACACGAAACUAAGAGGAUUGGGCCCAAUUCGAUGCCUAUCAACAAUGAUUUGUAUUCCACCUCAUUAAUUAUUCAAAGUUGGGAAGCUAGGUCUAACCACUUUCUCUACCUGUUCACCCUUAGAGGAGCAGAAGAAAAUUCUAACUUUGGUGCCUAAUGCCUUUGACAAUCUUUCGACAAAGAGAGUUCACUAAUUACUUUGAUUAUUUCUCUGUUGGUCACUGGGGGACAAGACUUUUGUAAUGAAGUCAACUAGAACUUGCCCUUUGAGGGCCAUUCAUGGACGAUAUUACACCAUGAAUUCCCUUAGGUCAUGUUUGGUAUGUGAGAAUGAGGAGUGGAAUGGACAUCUUAUUCAUUUUUUCAUCUAUUCAAAUGUUGGGAUAACUCAAGUGACCAUGAGAAUGAAAUCAAGAAUGAUUCAAGGGAAAUGAAAUCUUACUUAUAAGUGUGAUUUCAAUUAAUCUCUAAUAGAAAUUAUUUUGAAUCAAUAGUGCAAGUUAUUUUUAAAAACAUUUUUCCAAAAUUAAAAAAAUCAAUUUUUUUUUUUUCGAUAAGUUGUUUUUAAAAGGAUUUUUUUUAUUUUGUAAAAAGAAAAUUGUAAUUCAAUUUAUAUAAUAUAAACUAAAUUUUAUUUUAUUCAAAAAGAAAUAAUUUUUUAAUUAUAAAUAAAUUAAAAAUAAAUACUUUUAAUAAAAUAUAAAUAGUAUUAUUAUAAUAAAAUCAUAAAUAAAUUUAAUUUUUUUUAUAAAUAUUAUAAAAAUAUGGAUAUUAACAUUGGAUAAUUGAUUUAUUUUGUUAAAAUAAAAAAUAAUAAUUUUUAAUAUUAUUUUAUGUUAAAUGAAUUUUAAAAUAAAGAAAGUUUAAUUAUUUUAAGGUAUAGAAGAGCCAAAUUUUGCAUUACAUACAUAACAAACAAUAUUUAUUAGAAACAUUUCUCAAGGAGAAUCUUAUUCCAUCUCACAAAGAUACUCGUUUAUUCGAUGUUUGACCAUCCGUAACAAUCAUGUCAAUUCUACUGAUUUAAUAAUUCCUUUACAUUUAUUACUCACUUAUGAACAUGGUAUUGUGAUUUAUUUAUUUAUUUGAUGUAUAAUUAAUUAAUCAAUUUUUUAAAUUUCAAAUUAUUUUUAAAAACUAUUCAUUAAGGAAUUUAAAGCAUUAAUUAUGUCUAUUAUUUUUUAUAGUCAUUAUAUAUAUAUUGAGUUUUAAUUUAUUUUUAAAAAUUAUUAAACUUAUUAAUAAAUUCAAUAUAAAGUCUCGUUUCAUUUGAAAUUCAUUUCUUUAGUGAAAAUUUUGAAAAAAAAAUUGUUAUUUAUUUUACUUUGUUUUAAAAAAAUUGUUUCUAGAGAACAAUAAUCAAAUAAUGGUAUGAAUUUUUAAAAACAAUUUUGUUUUUAAAUCAUAUGCCCAAAUAAUUUUUUUUUAUUUAGCAAAAAACUUUGUUGUAGUAUGUGGCUCAUAUUGAGGGAAAGACAUAUAUGGAGAAAAAUGUGCAAAUGUUGGAGUGGAGCGGAGUGGAAUGACGACAUUUGUCAUUCAAACUUGUAUUUUUAUUGUUAAGGGUGACCGAUAGGUUGGUACGGUUUAGGGGUAUUUUUGGAAUUUCAUUACCUGAGGGUUAGUAUAAAUACCAUUUUAUGUAACCCUAAUUUUACAUAUAAUGUAAGUUUUCUUCCUUGUUCUUGUGGACAUAGGCAAUCCGUCGAACCACGUUAAAUCUGUGUGUUUUUUUUUCUUUUUUCUUUUUCUCUAAUUUCUUCACCAGGAAUCGUUACACUAAGAUCAACAAACUCUCAAAGAUGAUUUUUAAAAUGAAAAAAAUAAUGUAUAGUGUGAGAAUUUUUUAUUUUUUAUUUUUUUAAAAUGAAAAUAAAAAAUUGCUUUAAGGUAAAAGUGUGGAUAUUAUUGUUAAUUUAUUUCAUUUUUCAUUUUCAUUUCCAUUGUUACCUACAAUUGAAAUGGAAACAACUAAUCAUUACAACCUUACAUUCUUAUAUGCAUCCAAAUACAAAAAUUGAAAUCACCAAAUUCAUAUUCAAGGCAAAAUAGGAAUGAAAACAAAUAUUCAUUCUCAUUCUUUAUUCCCACGUGUCAAACAUGACCUCAAAGUUAUAAACAUGAACAAGAAGUCCUUGAAACACCAAUGAUCUCUUCUGGUAUAUAUAUGAGCUUGAUUGACAACUGUUUUAAAUACAGUUUUUUUUUUUUUUGUUUUCAAAAUCAAAACAAAUUUAUUUUUAUUUUUUAUAAAUAGUAGUUUUUUAAUAUUUUUUUUAAACCUUAUUAUGAAAAUAGGAUGUUUUCUAAUAUCAUAUUUUAAUUAUUUUCAAUUAUUUUCCCUUCUUUUAAGGAGGGCUAUUUUAAAAAUAUGAAAAAUGAUACAAAAUAAAGCAUUACAAAUAAAAAUCAUUUUUAAGAAAUAUAUGAAAAUAAUUUGAGAACAUUUGAAGUUCCUUAAUUAAACUUUUGUUCUAGAAAAUGCAAGAAAACUGUUUUUGAAAAUUGUUUUCAUAAUGAUAUGCAUUGAUCGUUUAAAAUUUAAUUACAUGAUAAAAAGACCUAUGUAAAAACCAGAGUUAUAUAAUCAGUCAUAGAUCAAAUCUACUAAAUAUGAAAAGUAAGUACAUAGUUGUAUAUGACUUAGAUGGAGCCUUCUCCGAAUGACAUUCUUUAGUCGGUACUCAUAUUUUUUUGUUUCGUGUCUUCAACAUAACACCUCAUGAUCCUUAAUAAAUCACCUGAAAACUAUAUUAGCACCUUAUUGUUUAAUAUUUCUCUAAAUUUUUUUAUUAAGCAAAUAAAUUCCAAAUUUAAAAUGACAAAUAAAAUUUAUUAAUUUUUAAAAAUAAUUUAAAACUCAAAAACCAAUUUAAUUGAUAUUAAAAGUCAUGAAACUUAAUAAUAUUAGAAAGUCAUGUAUCCAAAUUUAUUUUAAAUGACUUGUUUAAUUUCUUGUUUAUAUAUAUUAUAUUUUUAUAAUUUUUUUUACUAUACAAAUAAAUUUUAAAUUAAACAAAACUUAAUGCGUUGAAUUCAUUAACGAGUCUAAUAAUUUUUAAAAGUUACUUAAAAUUUAAAUACUAAAUCAAUUAGUACCACAAAUUCAUGGAAAAAAAUUGAUUUAUUACUACUAUAUUGUUUCUCUAUUGCAUAGAACCAUUAUUUUUCAAUUUUUUCAUUUGGCAAAUGAACAUCAAAUUAAACAAGACUAAGUGUAUUAAAUUCAUUAAUGGGUCUAGUAAUUUUUUAAAAUAAUUUAAAAUUCAAAUAUUGAUACUCCAAAUUAAACAAGACUUAGGUGGUGUUUGUUUUUUGGUUGAAUAGAAAAAGGUAAAAUAUUUGACUUUUUCUAUUUAGUUAAAAGUAACUUGUUGACAUCGUCCAAUAUAAUUAAAGUAAACCUAUUGAGGGCAAGUUCACUUUAAUUAUGUUGGACGAUGUCAACAGGUUACUUUUAACUCAAUAGAAAAAAUCAAAUAUUUUGACUUUUUUUUUAACUCAAAUAAUAAAUCCAUUAAUACAAAAAAAUUAUGGAUAAUUUGAAACUUUCUUUCUUUUUUUUUUUUUUUUUGCUACACAUAGCUAUAUUUUUAUAAAUUUUAUCAUUAGAGAAAUGGAUUUCAAAUCAAGUGAAACUUUGUAUUGAAUUAAUGGAUUUAACAUUUUUUAAAAAUAAUUUGGAACUAAAAAAAAAAGAUUUAAUUACUAAGAAAAUCAUAGAUCAAAACUAAUAUAUUCUGAUCCAUGAUUUUAUUAUUUUUCCUAUACAUACAAUUAUAUUUUUAUAAUUUUCUCACUAGGUAAAGAUAUUAUAAAUUAAGUGACACAUAAUUAAUAAUUUAAAUUUUUGAAUGAAUCUUUUAAUUUUAGGAAUAAUUUGAAAUUUAAAAAGUUGAUCCAAUUAAUUGUAAAUUAACUUAAAAUAUUAUAAAAUAUUAUGUUCAUAAUUAAGUACUAAAUGUAUAUAUGUAAUGAAAACUUAACUAGUUACAUGUUACAAAAGCCAAAAUUUAUUCAUUCUUUAUUUUAAAUAAAAUAUUAUUAAUAAUUAUUUUUUUUAAAAUAAUAUUUAGUAAUUAUUGUUUUUAAAUUAUUAUUAUUAAUUUUUAAUAAAAAAAUUGCAAAGUUAUUAAUAUCAUUAUAUUUCUAACAUAAAUUUAAAUAGUAUAUUUUUUAAUAUAUAUAUAUAUAUAUAUAUAUAUAUAUAUAUAUAUAUAUAUAUAUAUAUAUAAUUUAUGAUUUCAUUAUAAUAUUUUUAUUCAUGAUUGACGAAAAAUUAUUUAUUGUUUAAUUUAUUUGAAUUGCAAAACUAUUUUUCAAAAUUCAAGCGAGAAAAUAGGCCUGGAUUUGAAUUUCCUGUAGAAGAGAAGGAUGUGGAGAAUAUGUUGGGAGUAUUUGUGGAUAAAGAAAAGGCCAGGGUACUGAGAAAGGAGAGAGAACUUGCUCUUGCCAAAAGAGCCCUGCACAGGUAUUCUACUGAUUCUAAUUAUCGGUUCUUACAUGAUCAGAUUUCAGAUUUAUUUGCUGAGCUUCUGAAAUCUGAUACAGUAUUUAAACUCCGGUGAGCUUUACAAGAUUAGUCUCGCAUCCAAUUCCAAAUGGUGUCCCACAAUUGAUUCUUCUUAUGAUAAAUCCACCUUGAUAUGUGAAAAUAUUGCUCGAAAGGUUUAUCCUCGCGAGGAAUAUCCAGAAUACUAAGGAAUUGAGGAGGCUCACUAUGUUUAUAGAGUCAGGGAUAGGUUGAGAAAACAAGUAGUUGUUCCAUUACAUAAGGCCCUGGAGUUGCCAGAGGUUUUCAUGUGUUCGAACAAGUGGGGAUCACUUCCCUACAACCCUGUGGCUUCAGUGGCCAUGAAAUCAUACAAGAGCCUCUUCUCAAACCAUGAUACAGAGCGGUUUGGUGAGUAUCUUGAGAAAGUGCAAACUGGGAAGGCUAAGAUUGCAGCUGGUGCAUUACUUCCCCAUGAGAUUAUAGCUUCAUUGAAUGAGGAGGAUGCCGAGAGAGUUGCCGAGCUUCAGUGGGCAAGAAUGCUGGAAGAUUGAUCAAAGAAAGGGAGGCUCACAAAUUGCAUUGCAGUAUGUGACGUAUCAGGAAGUAUGAGUGGAACUCCAAUUGAGGUGUGUGUGGCUCUGGGGCAGUUAGUUUCAGAGCUCAGUGAAGAUCCAUGGAAAUUAAGGUAAUGUAAUUACUUUCAGUGCAAAUCCUGAGCUUCACAAGAUCCAAGGAGACAGCCUUGUAUCCAAGACUGAAUUUGUGAGGAUGAUGGAAUGGGGUGCCAACACUGACUUUCAGAAAGUUUUGACAGAAUCUUACAAGUAGCAGUGGAGGGAAAUAUGAGUGAAGAUCAAAUGAUAAAGAGGGUUUUCGUUUUCAGUGAUAUGGAGUUCGAUGAAGCUUGUGGGAGGUAUAACUAUUGUGACUAUGACUAUGAUAUGGAGGAAAUUGACGAGAGUCAGAAGGCAUCUCAGAAGUGGGAGACAGAUUAUGAAGUGAUACAGAGGAAAUUCCAGGAGAAAGGAUACAGAAAAGUUCCAGAGAUAGUGUUUUGGAACCUUAGAAACUCAUCAGCGACUCCAGUGACGGCCACAGAGAACGGGGUGGCCUUAGUAAGCGGGUUUUCAAAGAAUCUGUUGACCUUGUUUUUGGAAGGAGGUGGAAUUCUGAUCCCUCAGGAUGUGAUGGAAUUCGCCAUCUCUGAUGAAGAUUACAAGAAACUUGUUCUAUUUGAUUAAGAUAUCAAGAGAUUUAUCAAUAAUAAUAUAUUUUUUUUCUAUGUGAAAUACAUAUAAUAUUAACUGUGGAGUUAUCAAAGUUCUGGAGGUUUAAUUAUUUCUUCUUUUCAAGUUUUGUUUAUUUAAGGUUUUCUUUGUCUUUGUUAGGAAUUCCCCUUGGGUGGACCCAGCUGGGGAGUUGGAUUGAGGAAGUAAGCAGGCGAACUUGUGUUCUUCUAUGGACAGAGAAAAAAAAUAAAAUAAAAAAAUAAAAAAGGAGGUUAUUUGCAUUUGGAUGUCGUGGUUUGAGGGUACAACUACAAGCUCGAAAUUGUACAUAAUGUGAAAACUCCUGUGUCCAUUGCUGAGAACAGCAUAAAUGAUGGUGAUUUUCAAGUUGUGCCUGGUAUUCUACAGGAUGAAACAAGAAAGGAUCCAGGUGGUAUAUUGAACAAUAUCCCAAUCAUGUUGGUGGCAUCUUUAUUUAGUUAAUGGUAUUCAUUUGGUGGAAGCUGGUUGUUUAUGAUGUUUUUAAUUUUUUUUAACAUGAAGUUCGAUCAAAUACGUAUCUUAGUAUGUUUUGUUUGAGCUAAUUGGCAAAUGCGCUUUAAACAUGGUCACAUGGAUGCAGUUUUAUUUGUGAAAUGAUAAUAGUCGAUUACUUGGUCAGUAAGGUUUAUAUCUCUAACUUCAACAUCUUAUUGUAGUCUUUUAAAAUGUCAAAAGUUUAAUGCUUGAGAAAUUUUGGAAUGGAGACAUUCUAAACAAAGUUAAUAAUCCACAAGACUUGGUAAAACCGAUCAGAUGAUGCUUACGUACAUCAAUGCCUUCUUUAAGCCAUAUCCUAUUUUCAUUGAACGGGAUGUGCCAUCUAGUUUGGUUCUUUAAGCCUCCAAAUCCUAAACCUAGUCUCAAUUUAGAGCAAAUUUAGGGUGCAGGGCCUGCAUGCCUCCCCCUCCCCCUUCCACAAAUAGUAGUGACCUUGCUAUGCCUAUGCAUUGUCAAUGCCUCAUUUUCUAUGGUCUCCAAUGUAAUAUCUUAGUUUCAAUGUCUCUUUCCUUACUAUCUCCAAUGCAAUAGAUUGAUUUCAAUACCUCUUUACAACUAAGACCUCCAAAUUUUCUUGGUUCAAACCUACCAGAAUUUUUCUUCUCCUUUGCUUUCUAUCAAUAUUAGUUCCCCUAAUUUAAUAUAUACUUCUUUAUUACCUUCAACUCUACCUCUCUUUCUUUCUCUAAAAGCUUCCUCAAAGAUUUAAUUGCUUUCUUGCAUGUUUUAAGAAAACAAACAUGCUCAUAUUACAUUACCUCUACUUGAGAUCUACCUUAUACUCUACCUUCUUUCUUUACCUCCUAUAUCAUCUACUACAUUAGCUUCAAAAAUAUUAUUUAGUUUGAUACUAAAUAAGGCUCCUAAUCCUACUCUUCCUUCAACAAACUUUCUUUUUACAAGUUCCUUAAACUUUAUUUUUUAUUUUUUAUUUUUUGGAAAUUCGGGUUAGAAAGAUUCCAUUACUCUUACCUAAUAUUUCAACCAUCAAGUUGAAUCCACUUAUUGCCUAAAUCCAAGGAGUCUGCCCUCCACAAAAACAAGGAAAUUGAUCCCACAAUAACAAGGAGAUUGCCUUCCACAGAAACAAAGAGAUCUCCCUUCACAGAAGCCGAAUACAUUGCAAUCUAUUUUCUUUCUUGUAAGAUCAAAUCUUCAAUCGAGCUCCAUCUUAUGGGGGCAUAUUAGAGAAAUUUAAUAUUAUCCUUAAUUUACAUAUUAAUAUUUAUCUAUUUAUUAUAUAUUGAAUUAAAAUAGAAUAUAGAAUUUGAAUCAUAGUAGAAGUUUACUAUAAGAUUGAAUUACAAUAGUUAAUAGAGUUUAAAUUAUAAUAACUCAAAUACAUUUAUAUAUAUUUGACCUUACGAGAUUUUCUAUUUAUGUAUUUGAACUACAAUCCUUAUGAUCCUUAGGUCUCUAUACCUUCGUGAUGGGCUCCUUGACAUUUCAUAGGUUGUGCUACACAUGCAUUUGAAAUUUAGAGUGCAUUUGACAGUGAUUCUGGGAAGUGUUUUUGGCAUUUCUAACACUUAAAAUUUUUUAUUUUUCAAGUAUUAGAAAUGCUACAAACACUUUUGAAAAUUACUGUCAAACACACUCUUAGGAGCGCAUAUAGUAGAAAACUAGAAAUUGUGGUUUUUUUAGGAUUUACUGUAAUGUCAUUAGGAGGGUAGUAAGUUGAAACUGAGUAUGAAUAAAUAUUUCUUUCUUUGGGAUGUUCUUCUGGUAGGUGCUGAUGAAACUGUUCUUUUUACUGCCAAUGUCACAUAUCAGCCAGAAAUUGAAAAUUUCAGUCAAGGUGUCCUCGGUUUUAGUGGUGAGGAAAGCUAGAAAUUUUAAGGUGAAGUUCUGUUAAAAACCUUAAGUAGCUGGGAUAUCAGGCCUGUUUUGCUUGAAAAAAAAAGUUGCAAGAUAACUCAUAUGCCAAACAGGUUCUGAUAUUGUGAAUCUAUCGGCAGACAUCAGUAAUCUCAUCUUCUGAGAUGGAUGUUGGGGGUGCAUGUGGUGGUGGAGGGGCAAGGUUUCAUUUGGUUUAUUUUGUUGAUGGAUAUUGUCUAGCCCCCUGCGCCAAGUUUGAGGGGUGGUGGGUUGUGAUGGCCCUACAAUUACUAUUAAUUUCUUCCUCUUUUACCGAUUAAAGUGUCCGAACAGUCGAAGUUACCCUUAUGCAUGUCAACUUGAUCACUUACCUCUUCAAUGGAGUUUAUGCUGGUUCAUUUAGGAACUGAUUUUUAUUGUUAUGCAUUCUAUGCUGAUGUUUAGGCCUCUCCAUCAUCACUAUAUACAAAAAUUCUAGGUUGAUACUAUAGGUUGAGAUUUAUUUUUUAAAUAAAAAAUAAUAAAAAUAAAAAUUAUGGUGAUGUUUAGUUGUUUUAUGGAAAAUUUUAACAAGUUAUUUUUGGGCAAGUUUUCAAACAAAAAGAAAAGUAAAAGUUGUUUUGACAAAAACAUAUAGAAAAAAAAAAUCAUAGAAAAGAAAUAAUUUCCCCAUAUUCUAACUUUUUUUAAUUUUUCUCAAUGGGCAAAGGAAUAUCAAAUCAAGUUUGAGUAGGAUUUCUUAAUUUUUAAAAUAACUUACAAUUAAAAAAUUUUGGUGUUUUCAUUUUUGGACAAUUUUUUAUUAAGCAAAUGGACUCUGAGUCAUGCAAGAGAUAUGGUUGAUUAAUGGGUCAAACAAUUUUUUUAAAAUAAUUUAAAACUCAAAUACAUAAUCAAUGUCACAAAAUUUAUAAACAAAAAUAGGUUUAGAGAAGAUCUACACAUAAUUUUACUUUUCUAAUUUUAUUUUAUUUUAUUUUUUUGUUGGAAAAUAGUCUUCAAAUCAUGUAAGAUUUAAUAGGUUAAAUUUGUUAACAAUAAAUUUUAAAUUAUAAAAUAUAAUCUGGAACUUAAAAAUCAAUUCAAGUAAUGCUAAAAAAAAUCAAAUUUGGUAUAGAAUGACUACGUAAAAUUUUUUACAAAACAAAUGAAUUUUAAAUCAAGUGAGAUUUAAUGCAUUAGAUUUUUAUCAAAUAUAGUAAUUUUAAAAUUUAAUUUGGAACUCAACAAUAGACACAAUAAAUACCAAAAAAUAAUGAACCAAAAUUGGUUUGGAAUAACUCCACAACCUCUUUUUUUUUUUUUUGGUGCACACGAAUUUUCUUACUAGGUAUAUUGCUUUCAAAUUGAGAAAGAUUUACUAUUUAGAUUUUUUUUUUUAAUGAGUUUAAUGGUAUUUUAAAAUAAUUCAAAAUUUCAAAAAUUGACUAAUUACUAUUAUAAAUUCAUAAACCAAGACUAAUUCAAAAUGCAUUGGGGGCUAAGGGGGUUGAAAAUAGGGACAAUGGGAUGGGUUUGGGACAUGACACUCAUAUCUCAUUUCCAUUCCAAUUACAUAGUUAUCUCCCAUCCUUAUCCCAAACUUGUGUUGGAGCAAGUUGAUUUGUUCCCAUCUUUGUUGAUGAAAUGACUAAUAACCUCAUCCCCUCCUUAUCUUAGAUGUACAUUUUGUCAAAUUUGAUCAGGUAUGAUUGAUCCAAGCCCUAACCCUAAUUGGUAAUGACUGGAUACUACACCUAAUUGCAUUCUUCUUUCGUCGCAAAAUAAUGAGAUUAUAAUAAUCUAGCAAAUAAGAAAAAAUAGUAUGGAAGUUCAAUUUAACACCAUAACUAUCAAUAAUUUUAAGCUUAUAGAUGACUUAAAUGAUUAAAAACUAAUGCAAAAUACCAAAAAAAAAAGUUCAUAUAAAGAAUUCACAAGAGAACAAAAUGAACAAAAACCAAAUAUGAACAUGGGUCAACAUUAGUUAUGGAUUUGGAUUCCUUUCAAGGCCAAUCUUUGAACCAAGACUUCAUCAAAUCUACUACUUCAAAGGCUUUUGUGUUCUUCUUGGGUUGUGCUCUCAAACAAAGACUUCAAGGUGAUGCUCUAGAUGAUUGCAUUACACAUAUUUAGGGUGGAGAGAUUGGAGAAGCUUGAAGAUGCCAACGAUGGGUACAAUUGAGUGGUCAAUAAGAACAAUGUAGCCUAUGACUAGUUUGAUGUCGUGGUACAAGAGUUUUAGGCAUUGAGGUUAAAGCAAGAGCAACAUGGAAUUGAUUUUGGAGUCUUUCAAUUAGUGUAAAGGAGGAAGAAGUGGUAUUGAUUCUAGAAAUAGGGUUUUAGGUGGUGCGUUAGAGGAUGAAGAAGAAGAAAAAGAAGGAUCUGUUGGAAUUAGUGUGAGUGUGAAGAGAGAAGUAUAUAAAUAAGGGGAAGUAAAAGCAAAGUUCUAAAAGCUAUAUUUUUUUUUAUUGUUGGUGUAUGGUUGCAUGAUUAUCCCUAUAAAUAAUAGGAGUUUUUUUGGUAUUCUACUAGUAGUUGAAGGAUAAUUUCAUAAAUUUAUAUUUAGAGUGGGGUGGGGUGAGUUGUGACAAAAUUCAUACCCGUCCUAAACCUUGGUUCAGAUUUUUAAAAUAUCCUCAAACUUAUCAUAUACCCAACUUUUAUAUUUCAUACUUGUCUUGAUAGAGGCAGGUUAGGCCGGGUUACUUGAGUAACCUACAUAAUUGUCAUCCCUAGUUGAAAUACACUUUUUUGGCAGUGGCCACCAACUGAGCUAGAAGCUUGAUCGAUUGACCUACAAGAUUAGUUCUCAUCAUUUUAAAAAAAGUUUUGGCCUUGGUUGUGAGUGCAAUUGAAUCUAAACUGGCAUUUCCUUAAUGCAUCUACUUCAAUCCUAAAUUUCUUACUUCCUAAGCCUCAAUUGUUGUUAGGAUUUUGGAAAGCCCAUUUCCUUAAAUUGUAAAUUUAAGAAAAAAUAAAAUAAAAGUGAGACAUUUCUUGAUUGAAUAUUGUUAAAGGUCCCUUGGCAUUAAGACUUGGUUGAAGCCUUGGAAGAUUAGUGGAACUCUCAACUUGUGUUUGAAUCUUGAGGAGAGUGGACGUAAGCCAAAAUUUUGUCAAACCAUUAAACAAAUUGAGUUUGAAUCCUCAUUUCUUGAUUUCUUAUUUAUUUGCUUUUUCUUAUUAUUACUUGAAUUGUCAUUUGCAUUCAUUAAUGUUAAAAUUGGUUAUAAUUAACCAACACUAAUUCUCUUUCCCCUUCCCUUUCUUGGGUGUAAACCUAGGUUGGAUUAACUAGAUUAAUUUAUAAAAUCUAUUAAGAUGGUAAAAGAAUAAUUAUUCUUAACACACAUAAGAUCAUCUUCAAUCAAAUGACUCAUUGGCUAAUAUGUUGAAUUUGCUUAUUACUUGCAACUCAAAAUUGUGUUCUAGUUGAUAUGUCAAGUCCCCAGUGUAUGGACAUUAAAUUUGUAGUACGUGAUGGUAAUUAGAUGGUCCAACUCCAAGAAAGUGAUUGAAAACUAGUUCAAGAAAGGUGCAAAAGGGAAUUGUUUUGGUAUUUUCGUUUUUAUUCUUGAAGGUGGCAGAGCUAAAAUUUGUGAAAUCAAGCAAAACAUACUGAAAUUACAUUGAAAGAAAGAAAAUGGGAGUUAAUGUCUUGCAGUAGAUGAUAAGGACUUCAUGCAUGUAGUAUGACCCAUGUCUUGGACUGAUGCCAACUCACGGUUACACUUAUACCCUUGGUUCUCUCUUUACUACCUUGGCUAACCUAGAUCAGGCUAUGAGAUAGGCUCCUCACCACACCAUUACUUGCCCAUUAAUUAGAGACAUUUUCAAGCACUGAGGUAACAUGGUGACACCAAGAGGGUUUAUUCCUCGCCCUCCUCGCCCUCAACAAGUCUAGACUUGGUCUCAAAAAAAUGGAGAAAAAUGAGGUGUCGUUAUGUAGAAAUACAACAACCAUGCCUUCCUCAUUACUUUGAUUCAGAAUGUGAAGGUGAAAUUGAGAAACAGAAACUCUUGAAACCAAAAUGAAAAUUGAUACUUUUACGAAGAAUUACAACAACAUUGGAGGAAGACUACAUUCUUCCUCUUUAUUCCUACAUUUCUACACUACUUCUACUCCACUCCAUAUUUCUACAUACAUCUUUAAUCAGUCUUCCCUCCUUUAUAUAGAGCCAUCUUCACACAAAUUCCGCAAGGUAGAAAAGAGGAAUGAAACUUGGAGCAAGGUUCGACUACUGGCUGUAGCUUGUCAAGGCUGGAAGUGAACCUUUUUUCUUGGCUUUUCUGGGCAUGGGUAGUAACUUGUGGGUUCCUUUUUGGGAUACAAAUGGCUAGAACAUGUGGCACUAUCUUGUUGGAUGAUGUGUCAAGCAUGUGGCAGCCAUCUAGUGGCGAUUAUGUCAAUUUUGGGAUGGAGAGUUGGCAUCCAAUUGCAAAGAAAUAUGACGUCUACCAACAGGCAAUGUAAACCUAUGUAGAUCAUAUGAAGAUAGAGAGGAAAAAUAUAGAAAUGGAUAUAUACCUAGAACUAGCUUUUUAUUAAAUGAAACGGAGAGCCAACAAUGAAGGAAAAUAAAUUUUUUUGGCUUAUAUCAAAGAGUUCACAUUGUGCUACCCUAGGUUUUCUUAAAACUUACUUUUAUGAUAACAAAAAAAAAAAAAAACAUUAUUGUUUAAUCCUUUGUUUUAAACGCAUGUUUAGCAAGUUAUAAAAUGUAAAAAUCUUUCUAAGUUCAAAUAUGAAGAUAUGACAUCAUUUCAAGCAAGAUAGUCUCUAGGAAUUAAUGUAAAGCUAAAUUAAGGUGAAAUUAAAUUAGUUCAAUGCAUUAAUUUAAGAAACUUGACCUAUCAAAAGUACAAAAUUAGAUGAAAUCCAUUUCAAUGGUUAAAAUGAUCAAAAUCAAACUUUUUCUAAGUAUUUUUUAAAAGUAUCAAUAUUGAAAGACAAUUUUAUAUUUAGUCAGAGUUUGGACAAAACCAAAAAGCACACAAAAUCCAAGCGACCAUCUCUAGCUUGGAUGGUCGCUUGAUCUCUAGCUUGUGUACUUGGAAAGCAACAUCGAGAUGAUAUAUAUAUAUAUAUAUAUUUUAUAUAAUAUUGUUUGUCCAAAUUCCCUAAAAAUUAGGCCACCACAUGUUCAUAAUUCUCCCUUCUUGAAUUUGAAAACUCGGACAAUUGGACAAUGCGACACCUAAGUCCGGUUUCUAAAUGCUAAAGUGAAAGGGUAGGUAUGGACCAUUGAAAUGUGAUCACAACUUUUCUCUGUAGCCAUGUUGUCUCUUUUUUCUUUUGCAUGAUUUUCUCACCUUAACAGAAUCAUAGACUUGUUUAAUCUCUAAAUGGGAUUAAUUUCAUCCAGCUUUAAGCUACUAUAUUAUAUCUAGGUGGAGGACUUUUAAGAGUGCAACCGACAUAGAGCACAUGCAAGUGGGUAUAUGGGACAUGAAAUUUCUUCUUAUAAAGAUUGCAUGAUUUUUAUAUUAGAGUUGUUGGGGCGCAAUGUAUGUAGCUUGUUUUGCAGUUAAAUUAAUUGGAUAAGUAGACAUUGGCGUUUCUAAAUCUACUGUGAAGUGCUUCAUGUACGUGUGAAGUAUUAGAAAUUUCUUUCUUGGCAACUUGUUUUUUCUUUGCGGUCUACUGAUAGGUUUGACUAAAAUUAUAUUCCCUGUCAUGCUAAUUAAUUUUCACGUGCAUGCUCAAAAGAAGAGUAUGACCUUAGUGCACCAAAAUCACUUUGAUUAAUUUGUGAUAGGUUUUUGUGCAUCAUGACAUUAGCCUUAUUCAUUUAGAUAAUGUUUAGUUUUUAGAAAGUAUUAAGAAAAGGAAAAUAAAUAUUAAGAAAAAUAUUCUUAUAUUUGAUUGUAUUAUGAAAAAUGUCAUAAAAAAAUCAAAUAUAAUUUAAAUUAAUUAAUAAUUUAUACAUUUUCAAAUUAUUUAAUCUUUAUAUUGAAGAUAUAAUAUAAAUGAAAUGAGUUUUAAGUAUUAUAUAAAAGUGAUUUAUUGAUCUUGCAUAUAUGUAUUUCUUUUUUUUUUCUUCUAUUUUUUUUCUUUAUUUUAUUUUCCUUAUGUUUUCCUCAACAUUUUCCGGAACCAAACAUAGCCUUAGGAAAUCCACAAUUACCUUCAACUGAGUAUAUUCGGUUGUUUUAGCAAUGUUAGGCUGCUAACUUGUGUUGGUACGAACCUGUUAAGCCUAAAGAUGUAAUUAGUUAGGAUAUUCUUUUCCCUCUAGUCUUGUAGCUCCACGUGUAUAGUUGGUUAGGACCUCAUUGUAUAUAAUGCCUGCCCUGUUAUUGUUGAAGACAACAGAGAUAAAUAAUAUUAACAUUUUUCCUCUCAUCUCUCUUUGUUUCCCUCUGUUUUCAUCUCCUCUCUCAUCUUGGUAUCAGAGCCUCCAUGGAUUCUUUCAAAGAAACCUCCGAAUCACCUUCUGCUAGCAUUGUUAAUGUGCAAAACCCAUUAUCUCAGUCAAACAACCUUCCUUCACCAGCAGCCACACCCUCUUUUUCUUUCUUGUCUAUGAAUCAACCUCUCACAGUGAAGCUGGAUAAUGGAAACUACCUCAUCUGGAAGAAUUAGCUUCUGAAUGUCAUCAUUGCGAACAGACUCGAUGAUUUCAUUUAUGGAACUCGACCCUGCCCUCCUUGAUUUCUCAAUCUGCAACAACAAACCCUCACUCCAGAGUACUCGGUCUAGCAGAGAUACAAUCGACUUCUAAUGAGUUGGCUGUACGCAUCCUUGUCCGAAGAUAUAAUGACUCAGAUUGUUGGGUAUUCAACAACUGUGGAGAUUUGGAACGUCCUUAAUCAGAUUUACUCUGCCUCUUCAAUGGCGUGGGUUACCGAGCUUCACACCAAGCUUCAAACGCUCAAGAAAGAUGGACUCUCAGUUGGUGAAUAUAUUCAAAGGCUCAAAUCCAUUUGCAAUAGUCUUGCAGCAAUAGGAGAACUAGUUUCUGAGAAAGACCAGCUUAUCUAUUUGUUCAAUGGAUUAUAUUGUGAGUAUAAUUCUUUUGUUACCUCCAUUCAAAAUCGAUCUGACCAACCAACUAUUGAGCAAAUCCAUAGCCUAUUGCUUAGCUAUGACUUUCGGCUUGAACAACAAAACUCUGUUUCUCUCCAUUAUGCCCAAGUCCGUAUGGCUCAUCUGAACAAGAAACCUUAUAAAUCAACUCCUCAACCUACAUUCAAUCAUAUUCACAUUCAACCUAGAUACUCUUCUCCACCUUUUAAGCCAACCACUAGUCAAUAUCAACCCAGGAUUUUGGGCAAACCACAACCACAACCAUGACAGCCUCAACCUCAAUGGAAACCACAUUUUUCAAUCCAGAAUCAAAAGCCUCAGUGCCAAAUUUGUGGUAAAUUUGGACACACUGCUCUUAUUUGCUUCCAUUGCACAAAUUUGAACUAUUCACCCCAACCUUCUCCUAAAUCUUUCAAUACUGUUCUCACCACAAAUUCCCAGCUCCCUAAUCCUCCAAAAUUUUCUUACCCUACAAUGGCUCAUCCUGCUGCUACGCAUAACACGAUUCCUGAUACAAAUUGGUACAUGGACUCAGGUGCUACACAUCACUUUACUCCGGACAUCAACAUGCUUGACACUGUGACACCAUUUAGUGGUUUAGAACAGGUGACAGUUGGGAAUGGUAAGCAACUCUGUAUCUCACAUCUUGGUACUGCAAAACUACCAUCCUCGUAUUCUCCUCUUGUUCUACAUCAGGUAUAUCACACUCCAAAAAUUUCAAAUAAUCUUAUUAGUGUUAGAAAAUUGUGUUCUGAUAAUAAAGUUUUUGUUGAAUUUUAUGCCACUCAUUUUCUUAUCAAAGAUCAAGUUUCGAAGAGAGUUCUCUUUCAAGGUCAACUUGAUAAUGGCUUAUACAAAGUUCAGUCGUCAUGCUCUCCUUCUACUAUUUCCUUUCAUCCUCAAGUUUUCAUAGCCAACAUCAAGGAUCAAAAUUUGUGGCACAAGAGACUAGGCCACCCAGCUUUAUCUGUUAUUAAUCAAAUCUUGGAUUCUUGUAACAUUGCUCGAACACAGAAAAUUGGUUUUAAUUUUUGUAGUUCUUGUCAAUUAGCAAAAAGCCACAGGCUUCCUUUUUCUCUGUCUCCAUCCAUUGCAGAAAAACCUUUUGAGUUAAUUCAUACAGACCUAUGGGGUCUUUCUCCUGUUCGCUCUAUUUCUGGUGCUCGUUAUUUUUUACUUUUCAUUGAUGAUCAUACUCGUUUUACUUGGUUUUAUUUGCUCAAAACAAAAGAUGAAGCAUAUCCUACUUUUCUCAAGUUUCAAGCUCUCAUUGAAAAUCAAUUUAAUACCAAGAUUAAGGUUGUCCAAUCUGAUUGGGGAGGUGAGUUUCGAUCUCUCUCCAUACUGUUUUCAAAUAUGGGCAUUGUCUAUCGUUUAUCAUGUCCAUACACCUCACAACAGAAUGAGUGGGUUGAGCGAAAAAAUCACCAUGCGGUUGAAAUGGGAUUGUCCUUUCUUGCUCGCUCGGGUAUGCCCUUAUCUUAUUGGCCUUAUGCCUUUCAAACUGCCACUUACCUUAUUAAUCGUCUCUCUACCCCUGUGCUGCACCAUCAAUCCCCUUACUUCGCACUCUAUCACAAAUUCCCAGCUUAUACUCAUCUUAAGGUCUUUGUUCCUCUUGUUUUCCAUAUUUACGCCCUUAUAAUACCCAUAAACUCCAAUACAGGUCACUGGAGUGUGCUUUUCUUGGUUGCAGUUCACACCACAAAGGUUAUCUAUGUCUUGACAUUCAUUCUAGCAGGGUGUAUAUUUCUCGCCAUGUGAUUUUUAAUGAAGAUUCUUUUACAUUCAAGAAUUUGAAAUCUUCUCUCUCUUAGUCUAUUUCUUCUUCCUCUUCUUUAUUAGUUCCUCUGUUCAUUUCCUUGCCUCCCCUCUCCCCAUAUCCUCCUAUUUCUCCAUCUAUAUCUCAUUCUUUUCUCUCUUCUUCUUCUACCUCUAGUACUUGUUCCCCUCUCGUUGCUCCUACCUCUCUUCCUCCCUCUUCACACUUUGUGUCCCAUCUAUUCCACCUCCUUCUCCACCUUCUUCGAGUGUGGACCUGCUUGUACCUUGUGUGAAUACAAAUUUACUUACUUUUUCUCGCACUCACAAUAUUCAUCCUAUGGUGACCAGAUCUAAGGGUUUGUAUCUAUAAACCUAAGUUGCUAUUGAGUGUCUCCAUAGGUUCUCUCACUAAGCCUACUUCCUUUCUUCAAGCUAUUAAAGAUCCUUCAUGGAAGCAAGCCAUGGAAUUGGAGUUUGCUGCCCUUCAACACAACAAGACCUGGCAUCUAGUUCAUUCACCUUCCUCAGGCAAAGUAAUUGGUUGUAAAUGGGUCUAUAAGAUAAAGCUUUAGCCUGAUGGCUAAUUGAGAGAUACAAGGCCCGCUUAGUAGCUUAGGGUUAUCAUCAAACUGAAGGUAUUGACUACUUCGAAACAUUCAGCCUGGUUGUCAAGCCUUCUACUACCGUAUUGUGCUCAGUCUUACUUUUUCCCAGAAUUGGUGUAUUAGACAGCUGGAUGUUCAUAAUGCCUUCUUACAUGGUGACUUAGCUGAAGACGUUUUCAUGGAACAACCACCUGGAUUUGUUGAUCCUCUCUAUCCUACUCAUGUCUGCAAGUUGGAUAAGUCUCUCUACGGUCUUAAUAGUCACCUCGGGCUUGGUAUACUAAGCUGAGUACUUCUCUACUACACUUGGGAUUUGUUACUUCUAAGAAUGACUCUUCCUUAUUUAUUUGUCAUUCGUCUCAUGGGUUACUUCUUGUUCUUGUCUAUGUGGAUGAUAUAAUCGUCACUGGGAGCCACUCUCCUCAAGUUACUCACCUUAUCCAAUAGUUGCAUCAUCAGUUUUCUUUAAAGGAUCUUGGUCAUUUACACUAUUUUCUGGGCUUGGAGGUUCAUCACACCCCUACUGGUAUUCACCUCAGCCAAGCAAAGUAUAUCACUGAUCUCCUUACCCGGGCGGCUAUGUUGGAUGCCAAGCCAUGUCCCACUCCUAUGUCCUCCAACACAUAUCUUUCUCUUCAUGAUGGAGUGGCUCUUGAAAAUGGUUCAGAUUAUUGAAGUUUUGUUGGUGCCCUUUAGUAUUGUACCAUGACACGCCCAGAUAUAGCUUUUGCAGUAAAUAAAGUGUGUCAAUUCAUGCACCAUCCCUCUGAUGUUCACUGGCAGGCUAUAAAACGUAUUCUCCAGUACUUAAAGGGCACAUCUCAUUUUGGUCUCUUCCUACAGCCUUCCUAUGACUUCAACAUCACUUGCUAUACAGAUGCCGACUGGGCUUCCUGCCUUGAUGACAAGUGUAGCACCAGUGGCUACUGCCUCUUUCUUGCCUCUAAUCUGGUUUCUUGGUCAUCUUCCAAACAAAAAGUGGUCUCCCGCUCCAGCGCCAAAUCAGAGUACCGAGGGGUAGCAAAUGGGGCUGCUGAAAUUGCUUGGACUGAAUCUCUUCUUUGUGAACUUUCCACCCACUCGACCUCCCCUCAUUGUCUGUGACAAUAUCAGUGCCACAUACUUAGCUGUCAAUCCUAUUUUGCAUGCCCGCACCAAAACAUGUGGAAAUCGACUAUCACUUUGUCUCGGAACGUGUUCUUCAACGCUCUCUCUCUCUCCAGUUUACACCUUCGGAUGAUCAACUUGCUGAUUGCAUGACCAAGCCUCUCUCCACCCAACGUUUCAUCACUCUACGCUCCAAGCUCACUGUUCUCACUAGACCAAUGAGCUUGAGGGGGGAUGUUAAGCCUAAAGAUGUAAUUAGUUAGGAUAUUCUUUUCCCUCUAGUCUUGUAGCUCCACGUGUACAGUUGGUUAGGACCUCAUUGUAUAUAAUGCCUGCCCUGUUAUUGUAGAAGACAACAGAGAUAAAUAAUAUUAACAUUUUUCCUCUCAUCUCUCUCUCUGUUUCCCUCUGUUUUCAUCUCCUCUCUCAUCUGAACCAAAUGAUCCAUGUUAACCUUGGCUUGGUUUGAUUUGGCUCUAUCUUAGAGAGCUCAAGGAUCACGUCAACUCUGGUUUCUACUAUUCAGGUCCAUUCCCAUAUGAACUGGUUCAAAUUUGAGAAAAUGGUAACAGACCUUUAGUGAUGUUGGUUUGGAGCCAGUUGCCAAACCCGCCCUGAGCUUUACCACUAAUGUCAAGGGAGAAAGCCUUUUGAACAAAAACAAUAGCUUCAAGAGACUGAAUCGUGGAUGAAAUCUGAUCCACAUUUCUUCUCAUUUUGGAAACAAAUGAGAACUUAACUAAGAAGAUUCUACGGCCUCAUAGUGCUUUUCCUGAUCUAAGGUUGGUUCGUUUCCCAAAUUGUGAGAUGCACGGGCCAGACUUCAGAACUCUCACGCUCAGGAGUGUAUCCACGUGGUGGACAUAAGAUGGUGGCUUAAGAUCUGGUGUCGGUGGCUUUACUUUACUAGGAGAGUAGUGUGUCUUCAUCUCAUUCACUGCCGGAGGGUGGCGUAAGCAGUGACGCUAAGGUGGGGCAUAGUCAAUAUCAUUUGCAUUUGACCAUUAUAGUUUUCUCCCGGCUUGAAAGUAACCUUAUCGUGAUAAAGGAUUACUAGCACUAGUUCAGAUGACAGUCAUGUUAAAUUCGGACCAUGUUUGUGUCACAUUAUCAGCAACCAUGUGUUUAUGGUUCAUGCUUUCUGCAACUGAAAUUGAAAUUGAUAUAUAACCAGGUGAACUUCAAUCUAAAUUCUGGAAGUACUCAUGUGAGCGAUGGUGCCCAUCUGCAGAGUCCAUCAAUUGAAAAAUGGAGUGAGUGUAUCUAUAAGAGGGAAGGCUUGGCAAAUGUCCAGUUUUCUGGGAAUUCAACAAGGAUCUAAAAUAGAUUGUUUUCUUUGCUGAUUUCAAUGGUUGAAAUUUGAGAAGAUUGUGUCCCACAUAACACAACUAUUACUGGUCCUUCUGUUGCAAUUUAUCCUCUAAGGCUCUAGCAUGUCUUCCAAUUCCCACUUCCCUGUUACUCCAGGAAAGCUAUUUCUGUCAUUGUGAAGAAGAAAAGAGAAUGUAGAUAUCGAUGCUUUUAAGUGACUGGAGCAUUCAUAUCAGGUGGUCUGCAGCCAUAUAUGCCACUUUGUGAAGAUUGGAACAGUCAAUCACUAGGCUAUAUAUUAGUGUGGCCCAGCCACUUUAAUCAAGGACAAUUCUUCAUACUUAAAAGUCAAAUUCUGCCUUUAGUCUCAUUAUAAAUUGCUGUUUAAAUAUUAAGCAAACAUUUGUUUAAUGCGAUUAAGACAGUACUAACUCAAUACUUGUUCUAUUUUUGGAUGGAAAUGCUUGAUGGUUUCAUCAUUGGAUGGGAUAAAGGUGCAUUCAUGAUUAUGAAUACUUGUAGUUAUAUUUUCAUUCUCUUUUUUCUCAAUGAGACUUGUUGGCACAAUUUUUCUGUUCAGAAACCUACCUCUCCAUGGAAAAUAAGUUGUGAUUGAUAGUACUGGAUAUAUUCAAGAAAGCUAAAUAUAGAUAGCACAAAAUAUUAUCGACAUAAAUAGCAUUAACAGCGUACGUAUGUCUCAGUGCUCAUCAGCCAUAAGCAUGGGGCAAACACUUACGAUGAGCAACUUACGUCAAAAUUCCAGAAUAGGACAUAGAAGUGACAGAUCUAUAUAUAUAGAACACUGCAUAAGAGUCACAAGAAAGGAAAUUACGGGUGCAUAGCAGCUCUUAUUUCACAUACUACUCAUACUGAUCAAAGUCACUCAGUUGGGAUGGGUGGGAGUAGGAGGUUUGUGGGGUGGCUUGUGCGGAGGAGUUGGCAGCUUCUUUCCAGGACCUGGUGGCUUCUCUCCCUUAGGUGGUUUGCCAACUGGGGUUGGUGGCUUGUAUGAGUCUUCAGCAUUCUCUGCAGGAGGGUGACCAGGGUUGUGACCAUAAUGUGGUGGCUUCUCUCCCUUAGGUGGUUUGCCAACUGGGGUUGGUGGCUUGUGUUCUGGGAGUGGCUUCUCCCCCUUGGGAGGUUUUUCCAAUGGGGUUGGUUUGUGUUCAGGAGGUGGCUUCUCCACUGGAGGCUUGUGUUCAGGAGGUGGCUUCUCCACCGGAGGCUUGUGUUCAGGAGGUGGCUUCUCCACCGGAGGCUUAUGCUCUGGUGGUGGCUUCUCCACCGGAGGCUUAUGCUCUGGUGGUGGCUUCUCGAAUGGGGGAUGCUUAGGGUAAUCAGCAAGUGAGGGGGCGGUGAGAACCACCAGGCCAAGCAAGACCACUAGCAAGUAUGUAGGAGACAUCUUUGGGUUUAGACUCAGAUGGUGCAAAACUAGGAGAAUUGUCUUUUAUAGCGGAUCGCACCCAAUAAUGAAAUGACACGUGUCUUUAUGACCCAUGUGUAAUGGGGUCGAUUUGGGUCCUACAGUGUUGAAAACUUCGACAUCCACUUUUGGCCUUUUGCUUUCUCUACAGCCGCCUUGCUUUUUCCCUCUUUCCUUUUGUUUUCCUCCUGCCCCAUUCUAUCAACUAAACACAAUUAUGUAGUUGUUUAAUUCUUAAAUGAGAUAUUAUCCGUCAAUCGUAUCAUAUUUUAUCAACAGAGAACGGAGUGCAAUGUGGCAAUCCAAAGAAAGAAGAUCCAUAAUGCAGCUGUAAUUUUAUCGUUUACUUUUAUCUCUUGGACCACUGCAUUUUUGUUAAGAGGUGCAAUAAUACACGUCUUUAUCUGCCAUUCAAUGUUUACAGUAAAGAGAGGGCACAAAACUCUUCACUGCUCUGCAUGUGUCCCAAAAAUGCAAUUGGACAAAUUAUGAUUUGCAUGCUAAAAAGAGGCAAAUGAGGUUAAUUCGCACCAUAAUUAUUUUGUUUUCUGGACCCCGGGGCCCUUUGGUUGGUUUGGGGGUCAGAAAAUGAACAUCAUAGGGGGUUUUUCCCUUAUGUGCAUUUGUAUCUGAUGGCUUUAACUCGCCUUGUUACUACAAAGAAAUUGUCACAUAUAGGAACUUAUUCCAGGCUGAGUAUCUCCGCAUAGACCCUAUAAAAGAAGACAAGUCAUAAUGAACAUCUAACCUUUGUUCAAUUUGAUUCAAUGCCCCAUUGUGUCCACCUCACAAAUCUGAAUUAUUAUAUCCAUUGAAUACAUAAAUUAAUGAAGAAAAUAUGAAACCCAAGAUACAUCUCUGCACAACCUCAACCCUGGUUGCUAUGUUUCCCUUCUAUUCACAUGAGGAUAUUGAUUACGGAAUAGGGAAACCUAGCAAGGGUUUACUCGGCUCUGGUUUGAUGCUAAUUGCCAAACUUGCAACAAGCCCUGAGUUUGAAGCUCACAGAAGAUGUUAUACAGGCAGGGAAAAACCUUCAGAGUUCGCUGCCAAAGAUAAUUAUUAAGGAGAUAUCACCAAGAGAAUUCCAAGGAGUCUGAAUCAAAGACAAAUUGGUCGUUCGUGGAGGUUCUUACUUUCUUUUGGGUAUAACUCACUGAGGGCACUGUCUUUUUUAUUUUCAUUUCACAUUUAGAGUUCUGUUCUGGAAACAUAUAAAAGGAGCAUCAGUUUGUUCUUGGGUAACCCAUAGUCGUGAGUGGGUCCAUUUGCAUGCUACUUAGUUGAAAAGUUGGACCAUUUGCUCCGACGCCUACCUCCUGGAUUCCAUGCUCGGAUAAAACAAGAAUAAAAAAAUAUUUAUAAUUUACAAAUGGGGGAAAGAAAAAAAUGUCAACAACAAACUAGGAAAAAAGAGUAGUAAAAUUCAUGUCACAUGCUAGUGAGAGAAGGGGUUGUUACACUCACUCGAAGUUCUUUUCAAAAUAUCGCAUGGUAUUUUAUUUUAUGUGUGAGCGCAGUUGUGAAUGGAACGUGCAAAAGUCCAAAUUGGUGACCUUUAAUAAAUAUUUAAAACAAAAAACGAAAAAAAGGAGGGAAAAGGGAUCAGAAAAGAUAAAACAAUGUGUACAAAAGCUCAAUUAGUUUGCAAAUUACUGUUUGGAUUUUGAUAGUAUUUUAUUUGAUGUAAAAGAGAAUUUAAGAUAUUUCCGAAACAAAAGCAUUAGUUUGCUCCAUGUCAAUUUCGGCAUUUCUCAUAUGUUUCACACAUACACAGAAGAGCAUCGUUUUUUAAAGCAUGCAUUUAUGUUGGAUUAAUUUGGAUUUUGUGGGAACUGGGGCAAGGAUCACAUGGAAGAGAGGUUGACUUUUUUCAGUACUUCAAUGGUUGAGACAGGUGAAGGCCUGAUUGAUACUGAAGCCUGAAAUUGCGACUCCGUCAUUUGUCAAAACAUAUGACAGCUUCCAUGCUCUCGUUUGGUUGCAUUGUUCUGUGGUCAUGCAUACAUGCCACUUAGUGAUCAGUCUGUAACUGUCAAUCAUUGGGCUUUGACUGAACAACAUCAGCCAUGUAUAAAUACUUGCAAAUCAAACGGUCUUCUUCCUCCCAUAAGGAAUUUCGGUUUAAUUAUGAAGCAUGCAUUUGGCUGACCAUCAUAAACCACUUCUUUAAAUUGAUGAAUGAUAGUUUUUCAUUCAUUCUUUCAUUCGUUCAUAUACAGAGUAUAUAUAGAGGGUAAUCAUCAUUCUAAGAAUGGGAAAGAAUGAUACAAGGAAAUAAUGAUAUAAAGAAAUAACAACUAAUAUUCUAAUAUCUCAACUUUCCUAAUAUCUAAACAUUCCUAAUAUCUCAACACUAAAUGAUAUAAAGAAAGAAUGAUAUAAGGAAAGCAUUCCUAAUAUCUCAACACUCCUCCUCAAGUUGGUGCAUAGAUGUCAAACAUGUCCAACUUGUCUAAAAAUUUUGAGAACAGUUGACUUGAGACAUCUUUGGUGAGGAUAUCGGUCAAUUGAUCUUCUGAUCGAAUCUUAGGCAAUUCCACAAUCUUAUCAUCCAACUUUUCCUUAAUGAAAAAUCUAUCCAUCUCGACAUGCUUUGUACGAUCAUGUUGUACUAGAUUAUGAGCAAUGUCACAUGCUGCUUUAUUGUCACAAAACAAUCGGAUUGGUUGCCUAGAUAGGUAACCUAAAUCCUAUAAGAGGAGUCUUAGCCAUAAUGCCUCACAAAGUCCUAAAGUCAUACCUCUAAAUUCCGCUUCUGCACUUGAACGAGCGACGACAUUUUGCUUCUUACUUUUCCAUGUCACAAGAUUACCACCUACAAAGGUAAAGUAACCAGAUGUAGAUCGCCUAUCAUCCACUGCACCGACCCAAACAGCAUUAUACUUCUAUACUCUGAUGAUCAACAUUUUUAGCGAACAAAAUUCCCUUCCUAGGAGCAUUCUUCAAAUACCUCAAAAUACGCAUGACUACAUUCAUAUGUUGCUCUCCAGGAUUAUGCAUGUAUUGACUCACUACACUCAAUGUAUAAGCAAGAUCUAGUCUUGUAUGAGCUAAGUACAUUAAUCUCCCCACAAGUCUCUGGUAUCUUCCCUUAUCGAUUGAUACUUGAUUAGGCUCAACACACAAUUUCAGACCUUCUUCUAUUGGUGUAUUAAUAGGUUGACAUCCCGACAUUCCAGUUUCCUGUAGAAGAUCUAAGGCAUACUUUCUUUGAGACAGAAAAAUUCCUUCACUUGAUCGAGAAACUUCAAUCCCAAGAAAGUAUUUCAGACGACCAAGAUCUUUCAUUUCAAAUUCUCUAGAUAGAUACUUUUGCAAAGCUUUUCUUUCUUCAGGAUCAUUUCCUGUAACUACAUGUCAUCCACAUAUAUCAUAAGUGUCGUAAUCUUACCAUGUUGCUUUUUCAAGAACAAAGUGUGAUUUGAAUUACUUUGAUGAUAGCCAAAAGCUCUCAUUGAUUUUGUGAACCUUCCAAACCAUGCUCUCGGGGAUUGCUUCAACCCAUACAAUGACUUCUUCAAUUCGCACACCUUCUGACAUUGCUUUUCUGACACCAUGCAUCCUGGUGGAAGAUCCAUAUAUACUUCUUCAGAUAAAUCGCCAUGCAGAAAGACAUUUUUUACAUCGAACUAUUGUAAUGGCCAAUCUAGGUUUGCAGCUAAAGACAAUAAUACUCGAACUGUGUUGAUCUUAGCUACAGGUGCAAAUGUCUCUGUGUAGUCAAUUCCAUAAGUUUGAAUGUACCCACUAGUCUUGCUUUAAAUCGUUCAAUACUACCAUCUGCCUUGUACUUCACAGUAUAGAUCCAACGACACCCAACUAGCUUCUUUCCUGGUGGACAUUCUACGAGUUCCCAUGUUUCAUUUUUCUGCAAUGAUUUCAUCUCUUCAUUCAUGGUUGCUUUCCACUUUGGAUCAGCUAAAGCUUCCUGCACACUAUUAGGAAUAGCUACAGUAGAUAAUUGAUUUACAAAUGACUUAUUUGAUUCAGACAAACCAUGGUGUGGACCCGCAUUUUUCACGUGCGCCUCUACUCGAUCGGCGAGACUCGCUUUCUAUUUGUGAAAAAUUAAUUUUAGAAAAGUUGGAGUCGCCACCUAUUUUAUUUUUAUUUUGAAGGGAAAAUAAAACAAGAAAGAAAAACCCUAAAAAGUGACUCCAUAGUUUUGGAAAAAGCAUGUCUUUGGGAAACCUGAGUCUAGGUCCGGGGAUCAUGUUACUUAUUGGGAAGGUACCUCUAGGAGGUAGCACCCCUCUAAGCCUUAUGAAGGUCUCUACUAACUAAAUUAAGGGAAGUGUGGCAAUAAAUCGAUUGAUCAUAGAUACCUAAGUAGACUAGGUGAUUUUAAAGUGUGGCAUGUCAAACACAAUCAAAUUGCAAUAAAGGAGAGUUAGGGCGCGUACCUGAACCGCUUCUCAAGCGCUAUCAUAAAACAUCAAUGGUUAAUUUAAAUAAUAUAUCAUCCAGCAUGUAUUUUAUUAGAAAUAAUCAAACAAUGAAACAUGUAUAUCAGAACACUCAAGCAUUAUUAGACAUAAGCAUUAUUUCACUAUUCACAGAAUUCAGAAAGUAGGUGAUAGAGGACAUACCUGGAUAGCAUAGAUAAUUUGUAAUGUGCUUCCUCAAGUUGUAAGGGGUUAGAUAACAAAUAAUAAAAUAUAGAAAUCCUAGCAUGCUCGUUAUCUAAUUAGCAUAGCAAAAGUGAUCACAGUAUACAGAAUCAUCAAUUAUCACAUACAUCUUGUAUAUAAUUCCUAAAAAAAAUAGAUAGACAUGAUUUCAACAAGUGUCAAAUGUGGCAACAAAAAUAAAUUUUGAAAAGAUUUUCUUAUGUAGGGGUUUCACCAAUUCCCCAAAUUAAUAUACACGAAUUUAGCUUAGAAUUAUCCCAUUUAUUUGGGACUACAAGCUUUGAUUCGUGUUUUUGUUCAAAACCAAAAAUUUUUGUUGAAAAUCAAGAAGGAUGCGAACCGAACAAGAUAUGGUUGCAUAUUAUUUUUAAAUAAAUAAAUAAAUAAAUAAAGGAGAUUUUGAUCCUGAGGACUUUAAUGAGUUUUUUUUUUUAAAAUAGAUUUUUAAAAUGAUUUUUUUGAGAAAAGUAUUUUAUUUUAAAAUAAAAGGGAUUAAUUUGGGAAAAAAAUAAAAUAUAAGAAAUAAAAUACCAAACAAAACAAAAAUGAAACCUCAAAGUAAAAUUUUUUUAGUAAUUAACAAAAAUGAUAAUGGUGAUGGUAGAGGGCAAUCUUCAUGAUUUUCCAAUGGCCUCAGAAAGAAAAUCAAAUUAAAUGAAGGAUCACUAACAGGCAAGACAUUCUAAAUUAGACAAACUAACAAAGUAUCAAUUCAUGAACUAACCGCUAGGAUUUUGAAAGCAUAUAAGCUAAGAUAAGGGUGAUCAGGAACUAAUAUUAAUGAUUUUGAAAUAAAAACUAAAAAAAAGGAUCAAUUCGGGUAAGGAACUAAAAUUAUAAAAGUACCUAAACUAAUUAUGACGAGUUUGACUAAAUUAAACUAAAAACAUGAACUUUCAAACAUAGAAUUAAUUUUACUAAUGAACCAAAGCAAACUAAAAAUAUGUACUUUCAAGCAUAGAAUUAAUUUUAUUGAUGAACUAAACUAUAACAAAUAUCUAAACUAAAUAUAAUGAAUCAAAUUAAAUUAAAGCAACUUAAAAACGCAAACUUUCAAACAUAGAAUCAAUUUUAUCAAUGAAUUAAAACUAUAAAUGUAUUUGAACUAAAUAGAUGAAUCAAACUAAAUCAGAGCAAAAUUAAAAAAAAAAAAGAACUUUCUAACAUGAAAUCAAUUUUAUCAACAAAUAAAUGAAUGAAUAACAAGUAAUUAAAAGAAUAGCUACUACAUGAAUAACUGAAUGAAUAAAAUUCAAAUGUUUUCAAUCUGAAGCAAUCAAUCAAAAUUAAAUAGGGAUCAAAUCAAAAUAAUCGAAAUCGGAAAAACAAUAUGCAAUCUUUCUAAAGGUUUAACCAGACAAUUGAAUUAAAAUUAUGAAUAGAAUAAAUUAAUAAACCAAAUCGAAACCUAAAUUGUACCUAAAAAGAUUAAUUAAUUAAACUAAGAAAUCAAAAUCAAUAACAAAACUAAACUAAGGAGUAAAUUAAGACAAGACUAAUUAAAUUAAACUCACAAACACGUUUUAACUAUCAUAUGGAUUAAAACAAAAUUAGCAUGGACUUAUGAAUUACGAACAAAAAUAAUCAAAACUAUUUUAAAAAACUCACCUCUAUUAUAAGAAAAAAUCUGCCUUUGAUGCGUUGAGGUGGCUCCCCUCUCUGUGUGGAUCUCUCUGCUCCCCAGAAAAAAAAUGUCUCUUCCUCCGUUCUCUUUUGUUUCAGCAAAAUAAUAUAUCCCCUGCUGUGGAUCUCUCUACUCCCAGAAAAUAAUAUAUUCUCUCCGUGUCCUAAAGUGGACCUAGGGUGCCUAAGUGGACCUAGGGUGCCUAAAUGGGCCUAGGGUGCCUAAAUGGGCCAAGUGUAUCUAAAUAGGCUUAGGGUGCCUAAGUGGGCCUAAGUCUAAGUGAGCCUAAGUCUAAAUCAAGACUACCAAGGAUCAUAAUAAGGGGUUAGGCAAUCCCUUAACCAAAGUCUCCAAGGUGGCUAAAAAAAAGUAAGUAGUAUGAGUAGCUAUGGGUCACCAAGGAACUACUGUGGAGCAUUGAAAACGAAUUUAAAGACAUGUGCCAAAGGGACAAAAUUGAGGGUCUACAGAUGGUUAGACACAUAGUUGCUCAUGGGAUAUUUGACUUUGGUAAACAAUUCAGAUUCAUAUGUGGGUUUAGGAAUACCUUUAUUAUGACGGUGUGGUAAUCGUUUCAUGAAUGGAUCAGGUUGCAAAUUAAGAACACCCUCAGCAAACAACGAUUGGUUUGGUAUUUCAGUGAAGACAUCUUCGAACCCAAAUUGUUGACCACUCAUAUCCAACUCACCCGCUUCCUGGUUCACUAGUUCAGAUUGUCCAAAUUCAUCAUUCUCAUAGAUAUGAUAAUCAUAAUCGAGAGUCUGAAUUUCCUUAUGGUACUCCCCCUGAAGUUCAGACUUAGAUGAAAAAUACAUCGAAUAUUCAUGAAACAGCNNNNNNNNNNNNNNNNNNNNNNNNNNNNNNNNNNNNNNNNNNNNNNNNNNNNNNNNNNNNNNNNNNNNNNNNNNNNNNNNNNNNNNNNNNNNNNNNNNNNNNNNNNNNNNNNNNNNNNNNNNNNNNNNNNNNNNNNNNNNNNNNNNNNNNNNNNNNNNNNNNNNNNNNNNNNNNNNNNNNNNNNNNNNNNNNNNNNNNNNNNNNNNNNNNNNNNNNNNNNNNNNNNNNNNNNNNNNNNNNNNNNNNNNNNNNNNNNNNNNNNNNNNNNNNNNNNNNNNNNNNNNNNNNNNNNNNNNNNNNNNNNNNNNNNNNNNNNNNNNNNNNNNNNNNNNNNNNNNNNNNNNNNNNNNNNNNNNNNNNNNNNNNNNNNNNNNNNNNNNNNNNNNNNNNNNNNNNNNNNNNNNNNNNNNNNNNNNNNNNNNNNNNNNNNNNNNNNNNNNNNNNNNNNNNNNNNNNNNNNNNNNNNNNNNNNNNNNNNNNNNNNNNNNNNNNNNNNNNNNNNNNNNNNNNNNNNNNNNNNNNNNNNNNNNNNNNNNNNNNNNNNNNNNNNNNNNNNNNNNNNNNNNNNNNNNNNNNNNNNNNNNNNNNNNNNNNNNNNNNNNNNNNNNNNNNNNNNNNNNNNNNNNNNNNNNNNNNNNNNNNNNNNNNNNNNNNNNNNNNNNNNNNNNNNNNNNNNNNNNNNNNNNNNNNNNNNNNNNNNNNNNNNNNNNNNNNNNNNNNNNNNNNNNNNNNNNNNNNNNNNNNNNNNNNNNNNNNNNNNNNNNNNNNNNNNNNNNNNNNNNNNNNNNNNNNNNNNNNNNNNNNNNNNNNNNNNNNNNNNNNNNNNNNNNNNNNNNNNNNNNNNNNNNNNNNNNNNNNNNNNNNNNNNNNNNNNNNNNNNNNNNNNNNNNNNNNNNNNNNNNNNNNNNNNNNNNNNNNNNNNNNNNNNNNNNNNNNNNNNNNNNNNNNNNNNNNNNNNNNNNNNNNNNNNNNNNNNNNNNNNNNNNNNNNNNNNNNNNNNNNNNNNNNNNNNNNNNNNNNNNNNNNNNNNNNNNNNNNNNNNNNNNNNNNNNNNNNNNNNNNNNNNNNNNNNNNNNNNNNNNNNNNNNNNNNNNNNNNNNNNNNNNNNNNNNNNNNNNNNNNNNNNNNNNNNNNNNNNNNNNNNNNNNNNNNNNNNNNNNNNNNNNNNNNNNNNNNNNNNNNNNNNNNNNNNNNNNNNNNNNNNNNNNNNNNNNNNNNNNNNNNNNNNNNNNNNNNNNNNNNNNNNNNNNNNNNNNNNNNNNNNNNNNNNNNNNNNNNNNNNNNNNNNNNNNNNNNNNNNNNNNNNNNNNNNNNNNNNNNNNNNNNNNNNNNNNNNNNNNNNNNNNNNNNNNNNNNNNNNNNNNNNNNNNNNNNNNNNNNNNNNNNNNNNNNNNNNNNNNNNNNNNNNNNNNNNNNNNNNNNNNNNNNNNNNNNNNNNNNNNNNNNNNNNNNNNNNNNNNNNNNNNNNNNNNNNNNNNNNNNNNNNNNNNNNNNNNNNNNNNNNNNNNNNNNNNNNNAACCAAAGGAAGCAUGUUCCAGACGUCGAUGCCACAACCAAAUUUCAGACUUUUUCUUCUCCUCCUUAGAUCCAUCUGCCAUCAAGGCUUGUUGCAACUUAUUUGAAUCCUUUGAUUGCAAGUCCAAGUAUAGAGUUUCCCCCGCUUAAUACGACAACCAAUCGUCUGUCUUGUUUGAAUGUCCUUAAUCACACAAAAUUCAGGCCAAAAAAUGACAAUACAAGAUAAGGCUGCAGUGAUUUGAGAAACUAACAAAAGAUUGUAAUCUAAAGAUGGAACAACUAAAACAGAAUCCAAAUUCAAAGUAUCAGUAAGAGUUAAGGAUCCUUCCCCAAUGACUGGGGUUGUGUUACCAUUGGCUGUGGAAACAAUUUUUUGUGAGGAAGGUCUAAGGGGUGAAACCUGUCUAGAAUCAAAAGUCAUAUGAUCUGUAGCACCAGAAUCAAUUAUCCAUGCACUAUUAAUAACAGGUGUAAAAGUAUUUAAAAACUUACCACAAUGAUCUGUAGCGGCUACUAAUGCAGAGACUUUCUCAACAACAUUAGUCUUUGUUUUUAUUUCGGUAACAGUUGCAAUCAAGGUUUUCUUGGAAUUCUUCUUCCGUUGAUCACGAUUAUUAUCAUUAAUAACAAAGUGUUGAUAGCCUAAACAUGAUCUAAAGGUCCAUGGUGCAAACCCUCGGUUCCUCAUUGUUUUCCUGGUCAUACCAAGAGUUGUUGCUUUGAAAUUGUGGGAUAUCCAGACUGGUGGGAUCAGUUUUAUUGCAGUGAGUGCAUUUGAAUGUUGACUUAUCAAUAUUAGGGCUUGUCUUCGGAUGGUUGAUUGCUGUUGGACUACCAUAGCGACAAAAUAUCCAGGAUUUCAAUUCCAGGGCUCUGAUACCAUCUUCAAAUUGAUGAAUGAUAGUUUUUCAUUCAUUCUUUCAUGUACAGAGUAUAUAUAGAGGGUAAUCACCAUUCUAAGAAUGGGAAAGAAUGAUACGAGGAAAUAAUGAUAUAAGGAAAUAAUAACUAAUAUCCUAAUAUCUCAACUUUCCUAAUAUCUCAAUAUUCCUAAUAUCUCAACUUUCCUAAUAUCUAAACAUUCAUAAUAUCUCAACACUAAAUGAUACAAGGAAAGAAUGAUAUAAGGAAAACAUUCCUAAUAUCUCAACACCACUUCAUGAUAUAUAUAGUUUCUUACCCUUAAUCAAUGGUUUCUAAGUGAAUUUAUAUAGAAAGAAAUCCAAACUGUAGACAGCAGUAUUGGUAACACUCAAUAUUCUGUAUAUAAUAGAAUAAAUAGCGUCACAGUGAUCGUCGCCUACAAGCAAGGUACAAAUACCACAAAGAGUGACCCACAUAGACAUUCCCCAACAAGAUGUAGUAGUGACUGACACAUAGCCACAAUUAACACGUAGAAAAGGAUAAGACCGGUGCACAGUAGCUCUUAUUUUACAUACUACUUAUGCCAACCAAAGUCACUCAGUUGGGAUGGGAGGGAGAUGGAGGUUUGUGCGGUGGCUUGUGGGGCGGAGUUGAUGGCUUCUUUCCAGGAGCUUCUGGCUUUUUCAUCGGAGCUGAAGGAGGCUCAAUCUUAUGAGGCGGCUUGUACGAGUCUUCUUUGCUCUCGAAAGGAGGGUGGCCAGGGUUGUGACCAUAAUGUGGUGGUUUCUCUCCCUUGGGAGGUUUACCAAUUGGGGUUGGUGGCUUGUGUUCUGGGAGUGGUUUCUCUCCCUUGGGAGGUUUAGUGGGUGACUUGUGUUCUGGAGGUGGCUUCUCCACCGAAGGCUUGUGCUCCGGUGGUGGCUUUUUGGUUGGAGGGGGCUUGGGGUAAUCAGCAAGAGAUGGGGUGGUGAGAACCACCAGUCCAAGGAACAACACUAGCAAGUAUGUGGGAGACAUUUUUGAGUUUGGGCUGAUCAGAUGAUGCAAAACUAAAGCAUUACGUGACCUUUUAUAGCAAGUAGCUCCCAAUACCUACUUGACACGUGUUACUGUGACCCAUAAAUAUUAUGGGGUCUAUUUGUGCCCUACCGGGUUGAAAACUUGGACAAUUGGGCAAGGACCCGCCUGACUAUGGAGGACUACUGAGGUGUGAUCACAGCUUUAGGAUUUUUCUUCCUCUGCAGCCGUCUUGCCGUUGGCAUGAUUUUCUUAAUCUCAAAUAAAGGCAUAGUUAUAGAGUUGUUUAAUCUCUAAAUGGGAUUUUAUAUAUCUUCAGAUAGCCAUUAAUACAUUUGAUGAAGAAAGAAAGACAAGUGCAUACAACAUGUAUACGACUAGCUUUCAUGGAGUUCAUUUAUGAUCAGUUUUCCUGUACAUGUAAACCAAGAUCAUAUAUGUUUUUGUUCCACAACAAUUUUGGAAUCUUGUUUAUCCGUUUUUAUCAUUAUAAUGUCACAUAGGCUGCCAACUUGGGCGCUAAAUUAAAGAUCCAGUUGGGCAAGUUCGUUUCAGAAUUUCAAUGGUGGAUUCAGGAAUUGUUUUAUAAGAUAUGCAAAAUAGUAGAGGGAUGAAUAGUGUUUCAUUAAGAAAAGAGCCCUGUAAAAAUAUUGUUUAAAGGUGCCAUAGAAACUAUAAUCAAUAAAUAACUUUUUUUCCCCAUGGGUGGUGUUUCUUGUGGGGAUCAGUGACUGGUUUGAGUCAACGCCGUGUCUCUUUAGUCCAGAAAUCAACUAUUUUAUGCAUUGAAUACAUCAACAAAGAAAAUAUGAAAGCCAAAUGACACCUCCCCCGCAAAAACUAAACCCUGGUUGCUAACUUUCUAUGUUUCAGUUCCAUUCACACAAGAAUAUUAGUUCAAGUUUGAGAAAAAUGGCGACUUACCUAGUGAUAACUCGGUCUUGGUUUGCGAUUUGACUUUAACGUCAUGGGUUGAAGCCUCCUACAAUCAUCGUGUAUGCUAGUUCAAAGCUCGUGGAAGAAGUUAUACAGGGAGGGAGAAACCUCCACAGCAAGCUCCAAAAGAGAAUUAUCACAUUGAAAGCUCCAGUUGAACACUGGGUGAAAGCCAUAACAAGAUUGGUUUUCUAUCGCUCUUUUAAGUAAUGGAAGAUUAUUAUCUCUGCUUGUCACUACAACCGUGCAUGCUGCUAGAUCUUUCUAGACACUUCAAACAGUGAAACCAAGUAUGAUUCUUUUUCUCUUGAGUGGGUCCACUUGCAUGCCAAUGAACGAGUUGAAAAGUUGGACAAUUGGCCACAGCGCGCACUUACCUUCUGGAACCGAAGGUCAGUGAAGUGGGGUUCCUUUUGGCCCCUUGUGUUUCUGUUCCAACCUACUCCAGGAACCGAAGUUCAGUGAAGUGGGGCUACUUUUGGCCUCUUGUGUUUCUGUUCCAACCAAACAAAAAUGGGAGGGAAAAAUAGCAUUAUGCUUGUGCUAAAGAUCAACGCAUGAUAGCUGAAUAAGGGAGAAAAAGGCAUUGCUAUCUCAAUUUCAUAAACUUGAUAAGUAGUGACAUUAAUAGUCUUCCUCAUAGAUGGAUACAUGGUUUUAUUUUAUUUAUUUAUUUUUAUUUUUUUGUUUUAUGUCAAUGCUAAUGAAUGAAGUGCAUUAGCUUGUUUUGUGACUAGAACUACAAAUGUCCAAAUUGGAGCUUCUCCAAUAUAUUUCUCAGUGAGUUAUUGAUUAGAACUCUUGGAUUGAGUUCCAAGAUUUGAAUCAGACCCCUCUAGCAGCUUCAGGGGUACGUAGCAACCUAUAGCAUAUUAAUGAAGACUUAGGAUUUAGACUUAGGAAUACAAAUUAAUAUGUACCUCAUGCUCUGACUAGCUUCCCUGCGUAUGCACAAAAUGGAGAUGACUCCCAAAAAAAUAGCAGAAUCGCCUUAGUAUGUUUUUGUGGUUAAGAUGAUUCUCCACUUUAUAUAUCCACAUUGGUUCAUUAUGCAAAUUAAUCAACUAAGCUAUUUUUAUUUUUUCUUAAAUGUGAAAUAGGAGCUCCAAAUUAACCUAACCAUUGGCCUGAUUGAAUUGAUUUCACUUGCAUAAUGUUAUAGUAGAAGUCCGUAAUUUGAAUUUUAUUUUUGCAAAAGGUAACGUAAAUGAAGCAUUGUAAUUAAAUUUAUUUGUAAUUACAAACUAAUUUUAUUUUAUUAAGAAUUAAUUUAAUUACUCAUUUAAAAUAAAAAUCAGUUAUACUUUUACCAAGAUGAUAAUAUUCAUAUUUUUCUAGUUAACAUAUAUAAAAUAGUACACUUUUUCAUAUAAAAAAAUAAUUUAUGAUUUAUUAUAAUGUUACUAUUCACAUUUUACUAAAUUGAUGGUACAUGAUAGUGAGAGAAGGGGGUGUCACACUCAGCUAAAGUUCUUUUCAAAAUAUUGCAUGGUGUUUAAUUUUAUGUGUCGGCGCGCGUGUGAAUGGAACCUGCAAAAGUCCAAAUUGGCGUUUCUCCAUUUUCCACAUAGGAUGGUGACGUUAAUAGACAAAGAUACAAUAUCUGUAGACAUUGCUUAAAAAUCGAUGUGAAGUAUUAGAAAUUACAGGGCACUGUACUGGGGGAGCGGCUGCCCCGCCAAAGGAGGAAGAAUGUAGCAAUUUCUUCUGUUAGCCAGGCCUUAGGAUUUAUGCAUGGGAUGCCUAAUAACAAACAGAGAAAAUAUACUUUUGGGGAAGGUAUCCAACAACAGACACCAUCAUUCAGAUGGUGGGAAGGUAUCCAACAGAUGCCAUCAUUCAGAUGGUAACAUAUAUAUACAUUUAUUAGUGAGUUUUUUUAAUACCUAUAAAAAAAAAUAUACACUUUGAUAUUGUGGCUGAAUCCAUUACAUACUCAACUAACCUUGCUCAUUAGGGAUUUGACUUAACAAGGGCAACGUUGCAGUACAAGCUCAAAACUUUAUGCAGGUGACAUUACAUUUGGUAAAGAAGAGGAAAAUAACGAAAGCCAUCCAUAAAAGCAAAAUUCCACAUGGGAUGAAAUUCACAAGCUUCAUUUACGAUAGAGUCGCAUCCAGGCAAUUAAUUCCACAUUAGACCGCCUGUUGACAUGUGUACCAAUCUUUUUUCAAAAAAUAUUUAUAAAUAAUUGAUACUCACAAAAAUAAUUUAAUAUUUAUAAAGGAUAAAAAAAUAUUUUCAAAUCUAUAACAAUUUAUAAAAUAUUAAUAAAAAAUUAUCUCUUAAACUUAGUAUAGUUUUAUCAGAUUAAACUUUUAUUUUGAACAAAUAAUUUUAAUCUAAGUUUUAAAUUCUAAAAUUAUUUCCUUAAAAUAAAAUUUUAAAAUUCAACACUUCAAUUGAAAUUGUCUUUUUAAAAAAUAUCUUCUUAUUUUAAUCCUUAUAAACUAUAGUUGAUUGAAAAUACUAUUGAAGUUCUCUCUUAAAAAAAAGUCUUAUUUUAAUCUUCAUAAAUUGCCCUUGAUUUGAAAAUAAAUUUUCAGUUAUCAUAUUUUAAAUAAUAUCUAUAUUUAAAAUACUCUAUUUAAAAAAAAAUGAACUAAUUUUAAUUAUAUUAUAUUUUAUUUUUUUAUAUAUUUUUAAUGAUAAACCAAACAUAGAAAAUCAUUUUUCUAAAUAUUUUAAAAUUUCUAAGCAACCAAACAUAAUCUUCAAAAUAAAAGGAAAAUAAGGAGGGACAUUUGAGAAAUGGCGAUUAAAAAAAAGUGUACAAAAGCUCAAUUAAUUUUCUUCUAGUCUUUUAUAUAAAAAAGUAAAGGAAUUGAAAAGUAUUGAUAUGUAAAUUAAUAUUUGGAUUUUAAUAGUAUUUUAUUUGUCUUUCUCUAUCUCAUGUAAAAGAGAAUUUAAGAUAUUUCCUAAAGCAAAGCAUUAGUUAUCUGCAAUCAGUGGUGAUCAUGCCCCAUGUCAAUUUCGGACCCAUAUCUUAAAACUGUAUAAUUUGCAUUCAAACAUUACUGAUUUCUCAGAUGUUUCAUACUCCACAGAAGAGCAUUGUUUGUGAAAGCAUGCAUUUAUGUUGGAUUUUGGAUGAUGUGGGAACUGGGGCAAGGAUCAUAUGGAAGAGUGGUCGAUUUUGUUCUGUACUUUAACAUUUGAAAUAGGAGAAGCUCGGGCAUUUGUGGGGCUUAAUUGAUUUUGAAGCCUGAAAUUGCGUUUCUGUCAUUUUGUAAAAAAUAUGGCAGAUUCCAUGCUCUCAUAUGUUUGGUCUGUGGCCAUGUAUAGAUGCCCCUUAGUGACCAGUUUGUAACUGUCAAUCAUAGUGUUUUGACUCUGGCUCAACAACAUCAGCCAUUGACGGAUUUUCAUACUUGCAAAUCAAAUAGUCUUCUUCCUCCCUUAGGAAUUUCGGUUUAAAUGUUAUUAAGCAUACAUUUGGCUGACAAUUAUUAACCACUUCAUGAUAUGGUUUCUUACCCUUAAUCAAUGGUUUCUAAGUGAAUAUAUGCAGAAGGAAAUCUGAACUGUAGACAGCAGUAUUGAUAACUCUCAAUAUUCUUUAUAUAAGAGAAUAAACAACGUCAUAGUGAUCGUCGCCUACAAGAAAGGUACAUUUCCCAACAAGAUGUAGUUGUGACUGGUACAUGGACGCAAUUAACUCGUACAAAAGAAUAAGACCAGUGCACGGCAGCUCUUAUUUUACAUGCUAAUUAUGCUAACCAAAGUCACUCAGUUGGGAUGGGAGGGAGAUGGAGGUUUGUGCGGUGGCUUGUGGGGCGGAGUUGGUGGCUUCUUUUCAGGAGCUUGUGGCUUUUUCGGAGCUGAAGGAGGCUCAAUCUUAUGAGGCGGCUUGUACGAGUCUUCUUUACUCUCGACAGGAGGGUGGCCAGGGUUGUGACCAUAAUGUGGUGGCUUCUCUCCCUUAGGUGGCUUGCCAACUGGGGUUGGUGGCUUGUGUUCAGGAAGUGGUUUCUCUCCCUUGGGAGGUUUACCAAUUGGGGUUGGUGGCUUGUGUUCUGGGAGUGGUUUCUCUCCCUUGGGAGGUUUAGUGGGUGACUUGUGUUCUGGAGGUGGCUUCUCCACCGGAGGCUUGUGCUCCGGUGGUGGCUUCUCCACCGGAGGCUUGUGCUCCGGUGGUGGCUUCUUGAUUGGAGGGGGCUUGGGGUAAUCAGCAAGAGAUGGGAUGGUGAGAACCACCACUCCAAGGAACAACACUAGCAAGUAUGUGGGAGACAUUUCUGAGUUUGAGCUGAUCAGAUGAUGCAAAACUAGAAGAAUUACGGGACCUUUUAUAGCAAGUAUCUCCCAAUACCCACAUGACACGUGUUACUAUGACCAUAAAUAUUAUAGGGUCCAUUUGUGCCCUACCGGGUUGAAAACUUGGACGCUUGGCCGAGGACACACCUGACUAUGGAGGACUAUUGACGUGUGAUCACAGCUUUUGGAUUUUUCUUCCUGUGCAGCUGUCUAGCGGUUGGCAUUAUUUUCUUAAUCUUAAAUAAAGGCAUAGUUAUAGAGUUGUUUAAUCUCUAAAUGGGAUUUUAUAUAUCUUCAGAUAGCCAUUAAUAUAUUUGAUGAAGAAAGACAAGUGCAUACAACAUGUAUACGGCUUGCUUCAAUCGAGUACAUUUAUGAUCAGUUUUCCUGUGCAAGUAAACCAGUUUUUUGUUCCACAACUAUUUUGGAAUCUUGUUUAUCAGUUUCUAUCAUUAUAAUGUCACAUAGGCUGCAAACUUGGGCACCCAAAGAUCUAGGUGGGCAAAUUUGUUUCAGACUUUCAAUGGUGGAUUCAGUAAUUGUUAAAAGGUGUUUCUUCAUUAAGGAAAGAGUCCGGUAAAAAUAUUGUUAAAAGGUGUCAUAGAAACUAUAAUAAAUAAAUAACUUCUUUUCCCCAUGGGUGGUGUUUCUUCUGGGGAUCAGUGACUGGUUAGGGUCACCCAAAAUGAGUCCAGAUUAAAAUUGGUUCGAGUCAAAGCAGUCUCUUUUGUCCAGAAAUCAACUAUUUUGCGCAUUGAAUGAAUCGAUAAAGAAAAAAUGAAAGCCAAAUCACACCUCCCCUGCAAAACCUAAACCCCGGUUGCUAACUUUCUAUGUUUCAGUCCUAUUCAUAUAGGAAUAUUGGUUCAAGUUUGAGAAAAAUGGCAACUUACCUAGGGUUUACUUGGUUUUGGUUUGCGACUAUUUACGCAACCAACCAUGAGUUUGACUUUAACGUCAUGGGUUGAAGCCUCCUACAAUCAUGUAUGAUAGUUCAAAGCUCGUGGAAGAAAUUAUACAGGAAGGAAGAAACCUCCAAAGCUAGCUCCAAAAGAGAAUUAUCACAUCGAUAGCUCCAGAGAUUCCCAAGGGAACUGAAUCAAAGACAAGUUCCUCACUUUUUCUUCUUUUGAGGCCAAAUAUGAACCAAGGAUCACACGACCUCAUUCAACUUCAUAAGUUUGAUUUCAUGCAGUUGAACACUGGGUGAAGGCCAUGACAAGAAUUGAUUAAAAAAUUCUACCACUCUUUUAAGUAAUGGAAGAUUAUUAUCUCUGAUUGGCACCACAACAGCACAUGCUGCUAGAUCUUUCUAGACACUCCAUGCAAUGAAAGCACAAUGGAUCUUGUAAUGAUAGAAACUAAGCCAUGCUACAGUACUAGAUGAGGGGGUAAAACUAGUAGACAUCUUUCUAGACACUCCAUGCAAUGAAAGCACAAUGGAUCUUGUAAUGAUAGAAACUAAGCCAUGCUACAGUACUAGAUGAGGUGGUAAAACUAGUAGACAUGGCUGGCAGUUGAUUACUACUCAAAAAGUACUCUUUUAUAGCUUGAAACUAACUGUUUUAAACACUUUUGAGUAGUAGUUAAUACCUUUUAACUUAAUUGGCACAUUAAGGAACCUAGCAAGGGUUACUAAUCAACAUUUGGCAAGUUUUGAUGUUUUUGGUAGCUAUUUGAUCAUUGAAACAAGCCAAGAAUGAGGGGGAAUUUUGUGAAGUCCAUGGCAAUGCAAGUUAAAGCUCAAAUACAUGAAGAAUCCAAGCUUUGGAGCACUUCAUAGCCCUUUGCCAAGCCAAUCAAAGAUGCAAGGAAGAAAACCAAAGGAAGAAAUCCAACAAUCAGCAUUUUGGCAUGGCUAUGUGAAAUUUCGCACACCAUGCGAAACCACAAGAGGCAGCCAAAGAAUUUCGCAUGGUAUGCGAAAUCUUCUUGUGCACUGACUCUGUUAGAUUUUUAUCUUCAGAUAUUUUGUGUAAUUUCCUAGUUUCUCCUUGUAACCAACUUAGAUAUUUUCUUUUAUAUCUUUUUUUAUAUUUUUUAGGUAACAUCAUAUAUAAGAGGAGAGACAUAAGGAGGAUAUGGAUGUUUUUCAUAGAACACUUGUAAAUUUUUGGUAGUAAGAAAUAUACAAAGCUUUUUGCUCUGCCUUACCUUCUCAAGGGAUGAGUGGCUAGGUUUUCUUGGAGUGAGGGAAGCUAGGUGAAGGACCUGAAUGCAAAGGUGGGAGUUUUCCUUACUUUAAAUGAAAGUAGUUGUUAAACAUUAAUGGUUUUUAUUUUAAGGUUUAGCUUUAAAUCCCUGAAAAACACCUUGAAUGGCCAAUACUUGGUAAGCUUUUUAGAUUCUAUGGAUGCUUAUUGCUAGAUCCAUGGAUGUCUAUUAGUUAUCAUUUACGAGCCAUUGGAAGGUGAUUCAAGGUGAGGGUCUUUAGUGUUUGAAGCCAUUAAUGGGAAGCAAUUACCAUUUUUUCAUGAAUCCUUUGGAUCAAAUCUUAAUUGCUAAAUAUAAAACCGGUUUCGAGAGAUAACCACCAUCCUUUAUGUUAUUAUCCCCAACGCGAGGAGAAGAUCCGAAAUCUUCCUUUUUAUCUAAGGAACCCGAUCCUAGUGACCUAAAGCUCCAAGAUACCUUUUCUUUGUAGUUAACUUCAUUUAUUGUUUUUGCUUAACUUAAAAUCAAUCUUUGCAACCACAAUUCCAUUUUCUUUAAAAGCUAAUUUUUAUAAGGAAAAACACCAUUUUAUUUCCUUCACUAAGUCAACUGUACGAUGAAAACCCAUCCCUGUGGACGAUCCUAGAGCCACUAUACUAUGUUAGCUAUGCUACCCUAGUGUGAGGUGAUUUAGGUUUUAUAAAUUUUUUUGAUAACACCCAUCUGAGCCAGAAUCAAAUGGCACGACUGAACCAGGGACGAAUCAAAUGACGCCGCUACCAAGGAUGGUGCCAAAGUACAUUGACAUGACUUUUGGUGAACACUUGUGAUCUUCACCACAAGUUUGGUGAUUUUUCUUUUACUAAUUUUUUUUAUUUUAGCUUAUCUUUUAUUUAGUUUUUAGUUAACCUUAAAUUUUUCCUAGAAUUGUAUUUCUUUUGUUUUCUUUGUUUUUGUUUCAGUGAUCUUUAGUUGUGCAUGCCCUAUUGGAUAAGAGAUAUUGAGGGAAUACUUGUGAAGAUUGAAACUCCUCGAGAAACUGAGUUAGAAGUGUGCUUGAACAUCAUGGAUGUUCCACCUGAAGACCAGAAUAGCCAACAUGGUUAAGAGGAUAAUUUCAACACAUACCGAUCCAUGAGGAACCGCAUACAUCCACCUUGUAUGAGUGCACCGUCAGGCAUAAUGCCUCCCACUGAGCAGCUAGUAAUCUGACCUCACAUUGUGCCACUCCUACCUACUUUCCAUGGGAUGGAGAGUGAGAAUCCCUACUCGCAUAUUAAGGAAUUCGAGGAGGUUUGUAAUACAUUCCAAGAAGGAGGAGCUUCAAUUGACUUGAUGAGGCUCAAGCUAUUUCCUUUCACUUUGAAGGAUAAGGCCAAGAUUUGGCUUAAUUCUUUAAGGCCAAGAAGUAUCCAAACUUGGAUUGAUUUGUAAGCCGAGUUUCUUAAGAAGUUCUUCCCUACCCAUAGGACCAAUGGUUUGAAAAGGCAAAAUUUGAACUUCUCAGUUAAAGAGAAUGAGAAAUUCUAUGAGUGUUGGGAGAGCUACAUGGAAGCUAUUAACGUUUGUCCUCACCAUGGCUUUGACACAUGGCUCUUAGUGAGCUAUUUUUACAAUGGUAUGUCUUCUUCAAUGAAGCAACUCCUAGAAACUAUGUGUGGAGGAGACUUCAUGAGUAAGAAUCCGGAGGAAGCCAUGGACUUUUUGAGUUAUGUGGCUGAAGUUUCAAGAGGAUGGGAUGAACCAAAUGCUAGAGAGGUGGGAAGAAUGAAGUCUCAACCUAAUGCUAAGGGUGAGAUGUAUGUUUUGAAUGAAGACAUUGACAUGAAAGCAAAGGUUGCAGCUAUGGCAAGGAGAUUGGAAGAGCUAGAAAUGAAGAACAUACAAAAAGUGCAAGCCAUUUCUGAGACAUCAAUGAAAGCUAUGCCUUGUUCCAUUUGUCAAUCUUAUAAGCACCUAGUGGAGGAGUGUCCUACAAUUCCAGCAGUGAGAGAGAUGUUUGGUGAUCAAGCAAAUGUUAUUGAUCAAUUCAAGCCUAAUAACAAUGCUUCAUAUGGCAACACCUACAAUUCAAAUUGGAGGAACCAUUCAAAUUUCUCUUGGAAACGAAAGCCACCUCAAUACACACAACCUACUCAAGCACCUUAGCAAUCCUCGAAUCUUGAACAAGCUAUUGUGAACCUUAGCAAGGUUGUGGGAGACUUUGUGGGAGAUCAGAAGUCCAUCAAUGCUCAACUGAAUCGGAGAAUUGACAGUGUGGAGAGUACAUUGAACAAAAGGAUGGAUGAGAUGUAAAAUGAUCUGUCUCAAAAGAUAGACAAUGUCCAAUACGUAAUCUCAAGGCUUACCAACCUCAACACAGUGUAAGAGAAAGGAAAGUUUCCUUCUCAACCUCAUCAAAAUCCUAAGGGUAUCCAUGAAGUAGAGGCUCAAGAGGGAGAAUCUUCAAAGGUGAGGGAAGUCAAAGUAGUUAUCACCUUGAAGAGUGGUAAAGAGGUUGAUCAACCCACAUCCAAGCCAAAGCAUAAUGAAGAGAGUGUAGCAGAAAAAGAAAAGAGAGGAAAAUAAAGGAAUUAGAAUAGAGAAAAAUACAAAGAAAGAUGACCAUGAGUCUAGUGUGGAUGAAGAGCCCGAGAGGAUGGUGAUCAAGGAAGAUAUGAUGAAGAAACACAUGCCUCCACCUUUCCCCUAAGCUUUGCAUGACAAAAAAAGAACCAAUAAUACAUCAGAAAAUUUUGAAGUAUUGAGGCAAGUGAAGGUCAAUAUCCCUUUGCUAGACAUGAUCAAACAAGUGUCGACAUAUGAAAAAUUCUUGAAGGACUUGUGCACUGUAAAGAGAGGGUUGAAUGUGAACAAGAAAGCUUUAUUGACCGAGCAAGUGAGUUCCAUCAUACAGUGCAAGUCCUAGUGAAGUACAAAGAUCCGGGUUGCCGUACCAUCUCAGUGAGUAUUGGAAGGACUUGUGUGGAGAAAGCUUUGUUGGACUUGGGAGCAAGUGUGAAUUUGCUAUCCUACUCUGUCUAUAAGCAGUUGGGAUUUGGAGAGUUGAAGCCAAUAUCCAUCACUCUAUCUCUAGCGGAUAGAUCAAUGAAGAUUCCAAGAGGGAUGAUCGAAGAUGUCCUGGUUCAAGUUAACAAAUUCUACUAUCCAGUAGAUUUUGUUGUUCUUGAUAUGGAUCCGGUUGUCAAAUGAACUAAUUAUGUUCCUAUCAUACUUGGAAGACCCUUCCUAGCUACAUCAAAUGCAAUCAUCAAUUGUAGGAAUGGAGUCAUGCAACUCACAUUUGUCAACAUGACAUUAGAGCUCAACAUCUUCCAUUUGUACAAGAAGCAUAUCCAUCAGGAGGAAAAAGAAGGUCUAGAGGAAGUGUGAAUGAUUGACACUUUAGUGGAAGAGCAUUGUGAUCGAGAAUGCAAAAAGAUUUAGUUGAGAAUUUUGGGGAUCUUGAUGAAAGGUUACUUGAACCCUCAGAUUUGCUUGCUACCCUACUCCAUUGGAAGAGAAGAGAAGAAAUUCUACCCUUAUUCAAUGAGGAGGAGACGCAAAGAGCUGCAAAGGAGAAACCCCCAAAACUUAUUCUUAAGCCACUACCCACAGAGUUGAAGUAUGUAUACUUGGAAGAAGACAAGAAGUGCCCUAUUGUUAUAUCUUCAACUCUUACCAUUCAUCAGGAGGAUUGUCUACUUGAAGUCCUUAGAAGAUGUAAGAAGACAAUAAGGUGGCUAAUUUCUUAUUUGAAAGGGAUCAGCCCUUUAGUCUGCACCCAUCAUAUUUACAUGGAGGAUGAAGCUAAGCUAAUUCAUCAACCUCAGAGAAGGUUGAACCCUCACAUGCAAGAGGUGGUUCGAGCUGAAGUUCUGAAGCUACUUCAGACCAGUAUUAUUUACCCCAUAUCAAAUAGCCCAUGGGUGAGUCCUACUCAAGUUGCGCCAAAGAAGUCUGGGAUCAUGGUGGUGCAAAAUGAUAAGGGAGAAGAUGUCUCUACACGCCUCACUACAGGUUGGAGGGUGUGUAUCAAUUACAGGAGGUUGAAUGCAGUGAUAAGAAAGGACCAUUUCUCAUUGCCCUUUAUUGAUCAGGUGCUUGAGAGGGUCUCUGGGCUUUUUUUUUUAUUGUUUCUUGGAUGGCUACUCCGGGUACUUUCAGAUAGAAAUUGAUGUUGAAAACCAAGAUAAGACCAUUUUCACAUGCCCAUUUGGAACCUAUGCAUAAAGGAGAAUGCCUUUCGGCUUAUGCAAUGCACCCGCAACUUUCCAAAGAUGCAUGUUAAGCAUUUUCAGUGAUAUGGUGGAGCGUAUUAUGGAAGUCUUUAUGGAUGAUAUCACCAUUUAUGGAAGUGCAUUUGAUGAAUGCUUGGUCAACUUAGAAGCUGUUCUGAACCGAUACAUUGAGAAAGACUUAGUGCUUAACUGGGAGAAGUGCCAUUUCAUGGUACACCAAGGGAUUGUCCUUGGGCACAUUAUCUCCAAGCAAGGCAUUGAAGUUGACAAAGCAAAGGUUGAACUCAUUGUUAAGUUGCCAUCCUCAACAAAUGUCAAAGGAGUAAGGCAAUUCUUUGGCCAUGUCGGGUUCUAUAGGAGGUUUAUCAAGGAUUUCUCUAAGCUUGCAAGGCCUCUUUGUGAAAUAUUGGUGAAUGAUGUUAAAUUCAUAUGGGAUGAUGGAUUUGAAAGGAGUUUUGAAGAAUUGAAGCUAUUUUUGACAACCGUACCAAUAGUGAGGGCUCCCAACUGGCAACUGCCCUUUGAAGUAAUGUGUGAUGUCAAUGAUUUUGCUAUAGGAUUUUUUCUUGGGCAAAGAGAAAAUGGAAAACCUUAUGUGAUCUACUAUGCGAGGAAGGCAUUGAAUGAGGCACAAAGAAACUACACAACCACCGAGAAAGAAUUGUUAGCUGUAGUUUUUGCCUUGGAUAAGUUUCGCGCUUACUUGGUGGGGUCCUUCAUCAUGGUUUUUACUGAUCACUUUGCUUUGAAGUAUCUGUUGACUAAGCAAGAUGCUAAAGCAAGGCUGAUUAGAUGGAUUCUCUUACUUCAAGAGUUCAAUCUCCAUAUCAAAGAUAAGAAAGGAGUGGAGAAUGUGGUAGCAGACCACAUUUCAAGGCUAGCUAUCGCACAUAAUUCCCAUGCUUUGCCCAUUAAUGACGAUUUUCUAGAGGGGUCUCUCAUGUUGGUGGAAGUUGUCCCUUGGUACGCUCACAUUGCUAACUACCUGGUCACGGGAAAAGUUCCAAGUGAGUGGAAAGCACAAGAUAAGAAGCACUUCUUUGCAAAAAUUCAUGCCUACUAUUGGGAAGAGCCAUUUCUAUUCAAGUAUUGUAUGGAUCAGAUAAUAAGGAAGUGCGUUCCUGAAGAAGAGCAACAGGGGAUCCUUAGUCAUUACCAUGAAAAUGCAUGUGGAGGCCACUUUGCUUAUCAAAAGACAGCCAUGAGGGUGUUGCAAUCGGGUUUCUGUUGGCCAUCACUUUUCAAAGAUGCCCACACCAUGUGCAAGAGUUGUGAUCGAUGCCAGAGGCUUGGGAAGUUGACACGCAGGAACAUGAUGCCUUUGAACCCCACUUUAAUAGUUGAUAUUUUUUAUGUUUGGGGCACUAACUUCAUGGGACCUUUCCCUAUGUCUUUUGGCUACUCUUACAUCUUGGUAGGAGUAGAUUAUGUUUCUAAGUGGGUUGAGGCAGUCCCAUGCAAACACAAUGACCAUAGAGUGGUUCUCAAGUUUCUUAAAGAGAAUAUCUUCUCAAGAUUUGGGGUGCCCAAAGCCAUAAUUAGUGAUGGGGGUACUCAUUUUUGCAACAAGCCUUUUGAAACUCUCCUAGCCAAGUAUGGGGUGAAGCAUAAGGUAGCUACACCUUACCACCCUCAAACUCAUGGACAAGUUGAGUUAGCAAACAGGGAGAUUAAAAACAUAUUGAUGAAGGUGGUGAACACAAACAGAAAAGAUUGGUCAGUCAAGCUUCUUAAUUCACUAUGGGCAUAUAGAACAACUUACAAGACCAUUCUCGGGAUGUCUCCUUAUCGCCUAGUUUAUGGCAAAGCAUGCCAUCUCCCUGUGGAAUUGGAAUACAAAGCUUGGUGGGCAAUCAAGAAGCUCAACAUGGAUUUGAGCAGAGCUGGGUUGAAGAGGUUCUUAGACCUUAAUGAGAUGGAGAAAUUGAGAAAUGAUGCCUACAUCAAUUCAAAAAUUGCAAAAGAAAAAUUGAAGAGGUGGCAUGAUCAGUUGAUUUCCCGCAAGGAUUUUCAAAAUGGACAAAGAGUCUUACUUUAUGACUCUAAACUCCACAUCUUUCCGGGCAAGCUGAAAUCAAGGUGGAUAGGUCAUUUUACCAUUCACCAAGUGCAUUCAAAUGGAGUAGUGGAACUACUCAACUCCAACAAUAUCGAGAACUUCAAAGUGAAUGGCCACCGUCUCAAGCCCUUUGUGGAGUCUUUUUCUCACAACAAGGAGAAAUUCAUCCUCCUUGAUCCACAUCAAGCUUAACAAGACCAAUUUUCUUGAUGGACUUAGUCUUUCUAAAGACUAUCGAGUCCAUAACUUUUUGUUUUAUUUUUUAUUUGAGAUUUUUUCGGUAUUGUUACUUGUUUUGUUUUUUAUUUUUCGUUUUAAUUUUAUUUGGUUUGAUUUAACUUAGGUUUUUGAUGAUCAAUUACAGGGGGGAUUUCAAAUAGAGGAAAAACCAAGAUAAUUCGCACACCCUACGAAAAUUUCGCAAGGCAUGCGAAAUUUAUGGCUUAUUUUGCAUGGGGUGAAAAUUUUCGUACAUCUUACGAACCAAUUUCGAACACUUUGCGAAAAUAAACCAACCCUGCGAAAUCAUUUCGAUUACUCUACGAAAUUUUCGUAGAGCAUGCGAAAAAUUUAGCACACCAAACACCAUUUCGCAUACUAUGCAAAAACCUAAGGGGUCUGCGAAACCAUUUCGCACCUCCAAAUCCAUUUCGCACAUUGUGCGAAAACCAAGAGGCGCUGUGCGAAAAUGAAAAGUCGCCCUGUCAUCCCUUUUUAAACCCCUCGAGCCCUAAAAUCUCCAUUUCGCAAGCACCCCUGUCCUUGCGAAUCCCUCAUUUUCCUCUACUACCUUGCAACCUCGUCCCUUUCCAUUUGAUAUUGUGCCCCGCGCACAUCUCAUUUCAGAGACUCGCACUCCGCGCCCCCUCAAAGCAUGGACUCGAGACCCACCUUCCAUUUCCGACGUGGCACGGACCCAAGGAGCCCUUUCUGCCCCUUCACUAAGACACACACCAAGGCAGAAAGCCUCCUUUGCUCAAGUGCCUAGUGAUUCUCCAUCUUAGGCCUCAGAGGCCUCGGAGGCCCCGUGGAUUCCACCUUCCGAGGGUAGAGCAGCCAUUGGUCCUUCCUCUUCUACUCCUUAGCGUAGAUACGAGACGAGGAGACCACCUACUACACAAGGGGCGACUACUUCGAGCCUUGAGAAUUCAGUACGAUGCCUUCCUGCCAAGAGGGUCAAGACUUCAGGUCCAAGUGAGUCAUCCAGAGCUUCAUAGCCUAAGCCUCCUGUAGAUUCCAAGGUUCCUACUGACAUAUCACCGGAGUCUAUUAUCAGAAGCCCGAUGCUCAUAGCACCGCCCAUUGAGGGCAACUCAGAUUAUAGAGCGAGAUCUUUCCACUUGGAGCUAUAUUUUGAUCAGGAGGCCAUACGACAGCAGCCUGAGCUCCGAGACUCUUAUGGCUUACUGCAGAGGUACCAUCUUGAGGAACUUAUGACUCCUCGUGAGUUUUUUUAUCCCAGAGUAGCACUAAACUUUUACCAGUCCAUGACUACUCGUGGCGUCCCGAGUCCUACCACGAUUCACUUCACCAUUGAUAGACGUCAUGGUAUCCUCAAGGCCAGACAUAUUACAGAGGCUCUACAAAUUCCUUUCGAGCUAGAGGAUCCAUCUGUUUUUCGCUAAUGGUCCCCAGUAUCUCAGAGGGACAUGGUCCGUAUUUUAUCUAGGGGAACAUCUACAGAUUCGAUCUUUCUACGGAAGGAGCUUCGACCUGGGAUGCUCCUCUUAGAUGUGGUGCUAUGCUCCAACCUCUUUCCCUUACAACAUUCGGUACAUAGGUGAUGAGCUAUUUUGGACGCUUUAUUCCGUAUAUCAGAGGGCUUCUACUUUGGCCCGCACCACUUGAUCAUGGUCUCCCUCAUCCACUUUGAGGAGAAGGUUCAUAGGAAGAAGCUUCAGAGGGUGGACACCAUUCCAUUACUAUUCCUGAGGUUACUUUGCCAGGUCUUGGAGUACAUGGGCUUUCCUACUGAGCCUCGGCUCGAGCUUUGCCGCCUUUGUCGAGAGUGAUCCACUCUCGACAAAUGGAAUUAGUUGGCGGGCUAUUCUGCACCUCCAGGAGCCCCUCCCAUGGUAGCACCUCCAAUGUCCCCACAGGCAAAGUAGGGCGAGCUCCCGGCAAAGACUGUACCACCAAUGCCCACACUUGAGGCUAUUUCUGCUGCUCUGCCUAUGACUCCUACUGUUCCACCAGUUGGUCCUUUUACAUCCGAGCCUUCCAUCACCAUCUCGGCUUCGGAGUUUCGCGCCCUUGUGCAUACCUUUCAGACACUCACCACCACACAUACUCCUCUCUUCUAGCAAAUGGUUGAGAUGUGUGCCCAUCAGGACCGGAAGACUACUAUACUCUGCCAAAUUCAGCAGCACCUAAGACUUUUGCCUCAACCUCAACCUAACCAUCCCAUAUCAUCAGAGCCUCUAGCUCCAACUGAGGAUACUAUUCCACCUGAGAACACUACCACAGUAGAGGUCCGGUUUCCACCACCUUAAGAGGCCACCACAGCUACAUCAGAGGAUGUGUCAUCUCCACUUGAGGCUCCCACUACUUGAUCAUAGGACAUAUCUUUAUCUUAUUGUAUUUACAUAUUAUAUUACUAGAGAUUUGUCCUUGUUUUGAUACUUUAUAUUCUGGGAUUGGAUGUAUUGCCUGAUGAUAUCUCAAUUGUACUUUCUCAUAUUAAUAUAUAGACAUCAAUUUUUUUUAGUAUACUUAGCAUUUUUCUAUUUCCUCUACUCAUUACUCUUUUGUUUUUUUUUACUCAUGUGGUUUCUCUUAUACAACUCAGACUCCAUUUCACUCAGGAGGUACCACUUCCUCCCUUUAUUUUCAAUUGCUCUUGAAAUAUUGAGUGCAAUGUUGAUCUUGGUUGGGGGGAGAGUUGAGGAAGGAAGUUUUGUUAAUAAUGCUAGGUUAAUUUGUUAAUUUAGUUACUUUCUGCUUAAUUUUAAAAGUUUUCACUCUACUUUCCAUGGUUAUUAAGGAAAAAUUCUCAAAAUGAAAUGGGAGAAAUCGAAUUCUUGCAUUUUUACUUGAAUCUUAGAAUUUGUAUCAUGCUUAUUAAAGUUGAUGAAUUAUUGAAACUCCUAUUGAAUUCAACCUUAUUUUUUCCACUUUAAUCUUACCACACACGGUGCACAUUAGGUUCCAGUUAUAAGAUAAAAAACUAUCUCACCCCCUAAACUUAGAAAAAUUUACACUUGGUACCUUUGACAUCGUUUUAAUAGUGUUGGGACACCUUAUAAAAGGCCAAUGAGCCUUUAAAAAAAAAAAAAAAAAAAAAAAGAGAAAGAACAAAGUAUUGCACUUGCCUUGAAACCUGAGCAAGAUCCGAGGGGUAUACAGUGAAAGUCUUUAAAACCUGGUGCCCUAAGCCUUGAUUGGUUGGGAGUCACCGACCUCAAUGCUCGUUAUAAGGGUGAAUAGGUGGAGUUUAACAUAUUGUAGGUGCUUGGGUAUUGAAUUUCAAUCUCAAAAGUCCGGGAAAAAAUCUAAGGAGUUAGUGGUCAAAAGAUCCUUAAAGCUUGAUGCCCUAAACCUUGAUUGGUUGAGAGUCAUUGAUGGAUCCCCGCUACAUGGACAUUUUAGAAAACAAUACCUUUAGCAUUGCACGCCUACAAUGAAAAAAAAAUGUGAAAUAAAAGAGGUGCGUUCUUAGCCUAUUGGAGGUUGGUCAGUUUGCUAAAGUUUGAGAAAUCUAGGUUGGGGGGAGAGAAUAGUCCGACAUACUAUAAUAAAAAACUAAUAACCUUAACACUUAGAUUUUUGUGGAAGAGUAAGGAUUGGACCUUUAGGGGUGGAAAUUCUUUUGAUGCUUAAAUUUGCAUAAUGCCUACUCUUUAUAAAUUAUGAUUAGGCAAGAGAUUUGAUGACUCUUGUUCAAAGUUGGGUUUUUCCUCUUUGAUGUUCCAUGAGAGAGUAUAAUCCUCAUCAUGCCACUUGAAAUCUUUUUGGAGUGAUUAACAUGAUUUUGUAAAUUAUUUUACUGUCUAUUUUUCUUUAUCUCUCUUUUAUUGCUAAUGGACUAGCAAUAUGUCAGUUGGGGGGAGUGAUUACUACUCAAAAAGUACUCUUUUAUAGCUUGAAACUAACUGUUUUAAACACUUUUGAGUAGGUGUUAAUACAUUUUAACUCAAUUGGCACAUUAAGGAACCUAACAAGGGUUACUAAUAAGUUUUUGGCAAGUUUUGGUGUUUUUGGUAGCUAUUUGAUCAUUGAAACAAGCCAAGAAUGAGGGAGAAUUUUGUGAAGUCCAUAGCAAUGCAAGUUAAAGCUCAAAUACAUGAAGAAUCCAAGCUUUGAAGCACUUCAUAGCCCUUUGCGAAGCCAAUCAGAGAUGCAAGGAAGAAAACCAGAGGAAAAAAUCCAACAACCAGCAUUUUCGCAUGGCUGUGCGAAAUUUUGCACACCAUGCGAAACCACAAGAAGUAGCCAAAGAAUUUUGCACACCAUGCGAAAUUUCGCAUGGUAUACGAAAUCUUCCUAUGCACCAACUCCGUUAUAUUUUUAUCUUCAGAUAUUUUGUGUAAUUUCCUAGUUUCUCCUUGUAACCAACCUAGAUAUUUUCUUUUAUAUCUUUUUUUUAUAUUUUUUAGGUAACAUCAUAUAUAGGGGGAGAGACAUAAGGAGGAUAUGGAUGUUUUUCAUAAAACACUUUUAAUUUUCUGGUAGUAAGAAAUAUACAAAGUUUUUUGCUCUGCCUUACCUUCUCAUUUUGUUUUCACCUAUCUUUCUAGCCAAACAACCUCUGAGAAUGAUUUCUCAGGGGAUGAGUAGUUAGGUUUUACGUUUCUUGGAGUGAGAGAAGCUAGGUGAAAGACCCAAAUGCUAAGGUGGGAGUUGUCCUUGCUUUAAAUGAAAGUAGUUGUUAAAUAUUAAUGGUUUUUAUUUUAAGGUUUAGCUUUAAAUCCCUUAAAAACACCUUGAAUGGCCAAUACUUGGUAAGCUUUUCGGAUUCUAUGGAUGCUUAUUGCUAGAUCCAUGGAUGUCAUUAGUUAUCAUUUAUGAGCCAUUGGAAGGUGGUUCAAGAUGAGAGUCUUUAGUGUUUGAAGCCAUUAAUGGGAAACAAUUACCAUUUUUUCAUGAAUCCUUUGGAUAAAAUCUUAAUUGCUAAAUAUAAAACUGGUUCGGGAGAUAACCAUCCUUUAUGUUAUUAUGCCCAAUGCAAGGAGAAGAUUUCGAAUCUUCUCAUUUGUCUAAGGAACCCGAUCCUAGUGACCUAAAGCUCCUAGAGACCUUUUCUUUGUAGUUAACUUCAUUUAUUGUUUUUGCUUAACUUAAAAUCAAUCUUUGCAACCACAAUUCCAUUUUCUUUAAAAGCUAAUUUUUAUAAGGAAAAGCACCAUUUUAUUUCCUUCACUAAGUCAACUGUAUGAUGAAAACCCAUCCCUGUGGACGAUCUUAGAGCCACUAUACUAUGUUAUCUAUGCUAUCCUAGUGUGAGGUGAUUUAGGUUUUAUAAAUUUUGUUGAUAACACCCGUCUGAGCCAGAAUCAAAUGGAACCACUGAACCAGGGACAAAUCAACAGCCUAUAUGGGAGGGACACAAGUUUAAUUGAUUUGCAUUUCAGCGUUAUAGAUAAGUAUGUUUUGGAAGAUUUGUUCUGGAAAUACUGCACCAAGUACGAUUCUUUUUCUCUUGAGUGAGUCCAUUUGCAUGCCAAUUAACGAGUUGAAAAGUAGGAGCACCUACCUCGUGCUCAUGGAACCGAAUGUCAGUGAAGUGGGGCUCCUUUUAGCCUCUUGUGUUUCUGUUCCAACCAAGGCGGCGUAGGGAAAAACAACAAUAUGUCUGUGCUAAAUAUCAACGCAUGAUAGAUGUUUUUUUUUUUUUUUUUGGUAUGUCAAGGCUAACGAAUGAAAUGCAUUAGCUUGUUUUGUGACUAUAACUGCAAAUGUCCAAAUUGGAGUAUCUCCAUUUCUCACUUCGGAUGGUUAACUUUAUAAACAAGAUAUAGGAAACAUGUGAACAUCUUGAGGAACAAUUCAAAUUAUUCAUUAGAAGUCCUGGGUUAAGUUCCAAGAUUUAAAUCAGACCCUUCUAGCAGCUUCAAGGGUACUUAGCAACCUAUAACAUAUUAAUGAAGAUUUAGGAUUUAGACUCCGGAAUACAAAUAAAUAUGUAUCUCAUGCUUUGACUAGCUUCCCUACAUAUGCAUAAAAUGGAGAUGACCCAAAAAAAAUAGCAGAAUCUAGCUUCCCUACAUAUGCACAAAAUGGAGAUGACCCAAAAAAUAGCAUAAUCGCCUUAGUUUCUGUGGUUAAGGUGAUUCUCCGCUUAAUAUCCACAUUGACUCAUUAUGCAAAAUCAACUGAGCUAAUUUUAUUUAUUUAUUUAAUGUCAAAUAGGAACUCCUAAUUAACUGAUUACUGUCGAAAAGUGCUAUUUUGUAGACCUAAUUAUAAGGGUUUUAAGCACCUUUGAGUAGUAAUCAUAUUCAUUUAACCUAAUUAAUUCAUUAAGCUCCUUAGUAAUUAGUUCUAACCAUUUUUAGUGGCAAGUUUACAUGUUUUUCAUCAGCUUAUGAACCAAUUCAAGCAUGCCAAUUGAUGGAGGAGCUACUUGGGCGAGUUAAGCAAGGAUUUUGGACGUUUACAGGCUUGAAUUUCAAGUGGAAACACGAGCACAAGCAAUGGGAACACCAUUUCGCAAGGGGAGGCAAUUCACCUUGCCAAAUGACCAAUUUCGCAAGGGGAUUUUCCUCAUGGUGCAAAAUUUGGUCAUUUCGCACCAUGAAGAAACCACCUUGCAAAAUUUCGCAAGGUGGAUUUAGGCACCUUGCGAAAUGCCAAAUUUCACAAGGUGGCUUUUCACCUUGCGAAAUUUGGACCUUUCAUCUUCCCCCCUUGCGAAAUGCCUUUGAAAUCCCCUGUUUUGAGACGCUGUUGAUGAUAUUCCACUGCCGGUUCUCCAAGAUAUUUUGCUUGACUUUUAGCUUUAUAAAUACCUAUUUUACCCUUGUAAUCAACCAAUGAAAAGGUUGCUUUUGUAAUAGCUCUUGUAAUUUAGCUUUUUAUUGUCUUUAAAUAGAGGUGAAGAGCCUCAGACACGAUCAUCUUGUAACCUGUAACUUUAUAAGUUAUAAGAGCACUUUUGUUCAUACGCUUCUUUUCUCUUUUCUUUCUCAUUUUCUUAGUAGCCAAACAUCCUUGGAGGAUGAAAUCCCCAAGGAUGAGAGGCUAAAACCUUUUAGUUUCUUGAAGUAAUGGAUGCCAUGUGAAGCUCCCGUGUCAGGAUGGAGAUUUCCAAGCCAUAAAUGUAAGUAGCUGAGCGUCAUAAAUGUUUUCAUUCAAAGUAAAGCUUUUAAUCCCUCUGACUUGCUUUGAAUGGCCAAUACUUGAUAACCUUUUGGUCUCAAUGGAUUCUUAUUGUUAGAUCCACUGACGUUCAUUAGUUAUCUCCUACGAGCCAUUGUAUUGCAAGUCGAGGAGAUGACCUAUACCAAUAAAAGAGCAUUUAUGAGGUUCAACUACCCUUUUUGUAAGUUUUCAAGGACUAAAACUCAGUUGUUAAACUCAUACCGGUUCGAGAAGUAAGCAUCACCUUAGUUGCUUCCCCAACUCGAGGUGAAAAGUCCCAAAAUCUCCAUUUUUACACAGUGAGUUAAGCAUGGCUAUCCAAAGCUUUAAGAAACUUCUUUUUCCAUCUUUUAACCUAUUUUCAUGUUAGUUUAGUUUACAACACCUUCAUCUUUUUAUGUUUUCAUCUUAACCUAAUUUUUAUUAAGAAAAGUUCACUCCAUCCUCCGAACUUCACCAGUUAAAGUAAAAACCCUUCCCAGUGUUCGAUCCUAGAGCCACUAUGCUAUAGUAGCUUUGCUACUUUAGUGUAAGGACCUUAGGUAUAAAUUUUGUUGAUACCCUUACAUGCCAAGCUACCAAGAGUCGGGUUAUCAUUAACCUAACCAUUGGCCUGUGUAAAUUGAUUUCACAUGCACAAUGUUGUAGUAGAAGUCCAUAUUUUGAAUUUUAUUUUUGUAAAGGUAAGGAAAAUGAAGCAUUGUGUAAUUAUAAAAAUAACUUCAUUGGAAUUCACAAGGUUCACCCAAAAUGGAGCUACAUCUGUAUUCUAUCCUACAGUAGACUAUAUAGAUUGUACAAUAGUAAAUUGCAAAUACAAUUAAUAAGUCUUGUGCUUCCUUACUAAUAAUCCUUUGACAUGAACAUUGCAGCACUAAGGUCCUCUUGGGAAGACACCUUGCACCCAUGAGAGCACUAAGAGGAAGCAAGGCAGAGUCAUGGGUGCAAUGUCAUGACUUGUUGUUGCACCAAGAGAGGCUUGGUGAUGCCAUGGUGUUGCAGUAGCAAGAAUGUUGCCUUGGCAGGGACACGAUCUAGGGAUAGAUGCCAAGAAAGGCUUAGCACUCACAUGAGUUGCACAAAGAUGAAUGUAAUAGAGCAUCAGAGAGACGUCUUGGCAAGUAAAUGAAUGGAUCCAAGAGACAACAACAUGAGGAGUUUCAAAUGGAUAAGGAAUGACUCAAAGACAUUUGAAAGCUACAAGUUGGAUUCUAAUUACGAUUGCAAUUUGAGUUUGAGUAGGAGUUUAGAUUUUGAUUGUAAUUGUAGUAUGAGUUGGACUAGGAUUGCUUAUCCUUAGUCAAUAUAGGAGCGGUUCGUGUCACCCUAUGAAAAGAGUUUGAGUAGGGACUAGGAUUGCUUACUCCUAGUCAAAUAUGGAGUAGGUGGUGCCACACCUAUAAAAAAAAGGGACAACAUGAGAGAGAGAGAGAGAGAGAAAGAGAGAGUGAAUUCACUAAAGAUAUUGUGGGAGUUUUGCUUUGUUACGUCUUGUAUUAUUACUUAGAAUAGGAAUAAAAUACAAGUUGGGGCUAGAGCCCCAUAAUUAAUCUCGUGUGCCUUUGUGGUUAUUCUUUAUUUGUCAUCUCGUGUGGAUUGGAUUAGGUUGACUUAGAGGGCUUCUAAGCACCACCUUUGUGGGUUAUUAUUUAUUUUCCAUCUCUUGUGGAUUAGAUUAGGUUGACUUAGAGGGCUUCUGAGCACCACCUUUGUGGGUUAUUAUUUAUUUUCCAUCUAUUGUGGAUUAGAUUAGGUUGACUUAGAGGGCUUUUAAGCACCACAUUUGUGGGUUAUUCUUUAUUUUCCAUAUCGUGUGGGUUGGAUUAGGUUGACAAGGAGAAAAAUUAUGUGGGAAAUUUGUGUUGGGACACUUACCAUAACCAAGUAAAAUCUACCAAGUCCUUUGUAAUAUCUUCAACAAAUAUUUUAGACUAGUUCUUUCAGUUAGUGUAAAGGAGGAAGAAGUGGUAUUGAUUCUAGAAAUAGGGUGUGUGUAUUUGAACUACAAUCCUUAUGAUCCUUAGGUCUCUAAACCUUCGUGAUGGGCUCCCUGACAUUUCAUAGGUUGUGCUACACAUGCGUUUGAAAUUUAGAGUGCGUUUGACAGUGAUUCCGGGAAGUGUUUUUGGCCUUUCUUACACUUGAAAAUUUUUAUUUUUCAAGUAUUAGAAAUGCUACAAACACUUUUGAAAAUUACUGUCAAACACACUCUUAGGAGCGCACAUAUAUAGUAGAAAACUAGAAAUUGUGGUUUUUUUAGGAUUUACUGUAAUGUCAUUAGGAGGGUAGUAAGUUGAAAUUGAGUAUGAACAAAUAUUUCUUUCUUUGGGAUGUUCUUCUAGUAGGUGCUGAUGAAACUGUUCUUUCUACUGCCAAUGUCACAUAUCAGCCAGAAAUUGAAAAUUUCAGUCAAGGUGUCCUCUGUUUUAGUGGUGAGGAAAGCUAGAAAUUUUAAGGUGAAGUUUUGUUAAAAACCUUAAGUAGCUGGGAUAUCAGGCCUGUUUUGCUUGAAAAAAAAAGUUGCAAGAUAACUCAUAUGCCAAACAGGUUCUGAUAUUGUGAAUCUAUCGGCAGACAUCAGUAAUCUCAUCUUCUGAGAUGGAUGUUGGGGGUGCAUGUGGUGGUGGAGGGGCAAGGUUUCAUUUGGUUUAUUUUGUUGAUGGAUAUUGUCUAGCCACCUGCGCCAAGUUUGAGGGGUGGUGGGUUGUGAUGACCCUACAAUUACUAUUAAUUUCUUCAUCUUUUACCGAUUAAAGUGUCCGAACAGUCGAAGUUACCCUUAUGCAUGUCAACUUGAUCACUUACCUCUUCAAUGGAGUUUAUGCUGGUUCAUUUAGGAACUGAUUUUUAUUGUUAUGUAUUAUAUGCUGAUGUUUAGGUCUCUCCAUCAUCACUAUAUACAAAAAUUCUAGGUUGAUACUAUAGGUUGAGAUUUAUUUUUUAAAUAAAAAAUAAUAAAAAUAAAAAUUAUGGUGAUGUUUAGUUGUUUUAUGGAAAAUUUUAACAAGUAAAAGUUAUUUUUGGGCAAGUUUUCAAACAAAAAGAAAAGUAAAAGUUGUUUUGACAAAAACAUAUAGAAAAAAAAAUCAUAGAAAAUAAAUAAUUUCCCCAUAUUCUAACUUUUUUGAAUUUUUCUCAAUGGGCAAAGGAAUAUCAAAUCAAGUUUGAGUAGGAUUUCUUAAUUUUUAAAAUAACUUACAAUUAAAAAAUUUUGGUGUUUUCAUUUUUGGACAAUUUUUUAUUAAGCAAAUGGACUCUGAGUCAUGCAAGAGAUAUGGUUCAUUAACCGGUCGAACAAUUUUUUUAAAUUAAUUUAAAAGUCAAAUACAUAAUCAAUUUCACAAAAUUUAUAAACAAAAAUAGGUUUAGAGAAGAUCUACACAUAAUUUUACUUUUCUAAUUUUAUUUUAUUUUAUUUUUUGUUGGAAAAUAGUCUUCAAAUCAUGUAAGAUUUAAUAGGUUAAAUUUGUUAACAAUAAAUUUUAAAUUAUAAAAUAUAAUCUGGAACUCAAAAAUCAAUUCAAGUAAUGCUAAAAAAAAAUCAAAUUUGGUAUAGAAUGACUUUGUAAAUUUUUUUACAAAACAAAUGAAUUUUAAAUCAAGUGAGAUUUAAUGCAUUAGAUUUUUAUCAAAUAUAGUAAUUUUAAAAAUAAAUUUGGAACUCAACAAUAGACACAAUAAAUACCAAAAAAUAAUGAACCAAAAUUGGUUUGGAAUAACUCCACAACCUUUUUUUUUUUUUUUUGGUGCACACGAAUUUUCUUACUAGGUAUAUUGCUUUCAAAUUGAGAAAGAUUUACCAUUUAGAUUUUUUUUUAAUGAGUUUAAUGGUAUUUUAAAAUAAUUCAAAAUUUAAAAAAUUGACUAAUUAAUAUUAUAAAUUGAUAAACCAAGACUAUUUCAAAAUGCAUUGGGGGCUAAGGGGGUUGAAAAUAGGGACAAUGGGAUGGGUUUGGGACAUGACACUCAUAUCUCAUUUCCAUUCCAAUUACACAGUUAUCUCCCAUCCUUAUCCCAAACUUGUGUUGGAGCAAGUUGAUUUGUUCCCAUCUUUGUUGACGAAAUGACUAAUAACCUCAUCCCCUCCUUAUCUUAGAUGUACAUUUUGUCAAAUUUGAUCAGGUAUGAUUGAUCCAAGCCCUAACCCUAAUUGGUAAUGAGUGAAUACUACACCUAAUUGCAUUCUUCUUUCAUUGCAAAAUAAUGAGAUUAUAAUAAUCUAGCAAAUAAGAAAAAAUAGUAUGGAAGUUCAAAUUAACACCAUAACUAUCAAUAAUUUUAAGCUUAUAGAUGACUUAAAUGAUUAAAAACUAAUGCAAAAUCCUAAAAAAAAUAAAAAUCAUAUAAAGAAUUCACAAGAGAACAGAAUGAACAAAAACCAAAUAUGAACAUGGGUCAACAUUAGUUAUGGAUUUGGAUUCCUUUCAAGGCCAAUCUUUGAACCAAGACUUCAUCAAAUCAACUACUUCAAAGGCUUUUGUGUUCUUCUUGGGUUGUGCUCUCAAACAAAGACUUCGAGGUGAUGUUCUAGAUGAUUGAAUUACACAUAUUUAGGGUGGAGAGAUUGGAGAAGCUUGAAGAUGCCAACGAUGGGUACAAUUGAGUGGUCAAUAAGAACAAUGUAGCCUAUGACUAGUUUGAUGUCAUGGUACAAGAGUUUUAGGCAUUGAGGUUAAAGCAAGAGCAACAUGGAAUUGAUUUCGGAGUCUUUCAGUUAGUGUAAAGGAGGAAGAAGUGGUGUUGAUUCUAGAAAUAGGGUUUUAAGUGGUGCGUGAUUACUACUCAAAAAGUGCUAUUUGAUAGCCUUUAAUUAAUCCUUUUUAACACUUUUGAGUAGUAGUUUAGGCCUUUUAACUCAAUUGGCAUGUUAAGGAUCCUUUAAAGCAAUUUUGAUCACUUUGUGCAAGUUUUGGUGUUUUUGUUAGUAUUUUGAUCACCAAAGCAAGUCAAGAAUGAGGAGAACUAUGAGGAAUCAUGGGCAAAGCUUAGAAUUCAAUUGCCAAGAGUGAAUCCGGAUUGCAAGGAGAAAAAGCAAAGAGAAUCUGUCAUGAAGCCUAUUCUUGAUGACAGUCGUAGCAGCCACUUUUGGAGCACUUUCUGAAGUCCAAAUGAUGCAAGCUAUAUACCAUUUCAAAGAUCAGGAAGUCAACAAUCCAAUGCUUCAAACGGUGCGCGAUUCGGAGUUGAAACGAAGAAGUUGCAGCCAUUACAAGCCAGUCACUCUAAAGUGUUGCGGAAUCAGCCUUUUGUUGCGAGAAUUUCGCAGCACUUUUGUACAGUAAGGUGUUUCUCCUUCUGACGAUGCACGAACCAUGCCGCGAGAGGGAAGCUAGGAACUUCAAGAUGGAAGCCAACUUUGCAGCCUGGUGAAGAUAGCUUGGUCUUGCGAAAUAAUUUCGCAGCCCUCUUGGGUGUCUGCGAAAUUUCGCAGGCACCACUUUUUUCCUGCGAAAUGGCUCCGGAAGCCUCCCGAAGCUUGCUACCGACAUUGGGAGAUAUUUUCCAUUAGAUUUUUGUUGUCUAAAUUCCAAAAUACUCCUUGUAAACCACCAAUUACAUGAUUCCUUAGUUUUUAAGUUAGUAAAAAGACCAAAUAUCUAUGUAAUAAUUAGUUUUAUAUUAGUUUGCUAUAAAUACCUCUCGGGAGCAUGUUCUCAGAGAGGAGUUCCUUCUGUAACCAUUUUGGUAAGCAAGUAAAGUCUUUUCUUUCUACUGCCUUACCUUCUCACUUUGUAUUUUCAUUUUAUUUCUAAGUUAUGAAUUCUCUGAGGAGCUUUCCCCAGAGAAUGAGUAACUAAACCUCCAAUUCCUUGGAGCUAAGGUUGCCGGGGAAGGUUCCAAGUGCAAGAAUGCAAAGCUCUGUGGUUUUAGCUAGUAAUGAAGAGGAAGUGAAAUCCUUUAGUGAUUUCAAUGUUUUUAGUUAACUUAAAACACCUUGGAGUCACCUGGGCCAACACUUGGUAAGGCAAGUGAUUUCCAACCGUGGAAAUGCACUAGUUUACCCCUUGCGAGCCUCUGGUAGGUGACUUCAAGGUAGGAUUUUCUGGAAUUACCAACACUUGGUAAGCUUUUGGACUCCUAGGAGACAUCCAUUAGUUAUCUCUUGCGAGUUUGUGAAGGGGAAUCCAAGGUUAAAGAUCACCUUGAAUGGUAAGUGCUCGUGAGAGGCAUGAACCAUUGCAAGUUGUAUCAGUGAGAGAAUUAAAGUGAAAUCUAAUUGAAGGAGUCUCUGUACAUCACCGGUUAGAGAAUUGACUAUAAGUUGAAUCUCUAAUGCGAGGAAAUGAACCAUCUGACCGGAGCUAUGUCUUUUGCAUGAGGAACCACCCCAGUGAACCUAAAUCUCCAAGGAAUGCUUUUCUUCCUAAAUUAUUCCAAACUUCUGUUAAGUUAGUUAGUUUAAGUCUAAACCUUUACCAAUCAAACUUUGUGUUUUAUUUCUUAAGCUAACCGUGAAAUGAAACAAAACCAAUUCACUUGGAAUUGGUAUCCUUGAUUGCUUGCAAAUCAUUCCCAGUGAACGAUCCUUAGAGCCACUAUACUAUAGUAGCUUUGUAUUUGCUACCCUAGUGUAUGGUGUUAUAGGUAUAAAUUUUGUUGAUCACUUCCUCAAUCAAGGAACACCAGCUGAACACAAAUCAGCUGAGACACCAAUUGGGCAUGAGUCAAAUGGCGCCGUUGCCGGGGAAUGAGUGUCAAGAUCAUUGUGAUACCAUUUUUGAGCACUUGUGAUUUUCAUCACAAGUUGGUAAAGUUUCUUUCACUUUACUAAUUUUCAUUCUCUCUUUGUUUAUUUACAAUCUAAGUUUAUCUUUUUAAAAUUUAGUCUAGUUUAAUUUUGCUAUUGUAGCCUUGUUUCUCUUGUUGUCCUCUGUUCUUGUUGUCCUCUGUUUUCAUUUUAGUUGCAGCUGAAUACUAGUUGUGUAUGCCAAAGUGGAUACGAGACAUUGGAGGUAGGCUUAUUAAGUGUGAUACACCUCAGAGAGGAGAAUUGGAAGUAAUCUUGAAUAUCAUGGAGGCUGCACCUGAAGAUCAGCAUAGUCACCAAGGUCGUCAAGACAAUCUCAAUGAAUUCAGAUCAAUGAGGGACCGUAUGCAUCCACCUCGUAUGAGUGCACCAUCAUGUAUAGUGCCCCCUACAGAGCAACUAGUGAUCAGACCAUAUCUUGUUCCACUUCUACCAACUUUCCAUGGGAUGGAAAGUGAGAAUCCGUAUGCACACAUCAAGGAAUUUGAAGAUGUUUGUAAUACAUUCCAAGAGGGAGGAGCUUCAAUUGAUUUGAUGAGGCUUAAGUUAUUUCCUUUUAAUUUAAAGGAUAAGGCCAAAAUUUGGCUUAAUUCUUUAAGGCCAAGGAGUAUCCGCUCUUGGACUGAUUUACAAGCUGAAUUCCUCAAGAAAUUUUUUCCUACUCAUAGAACAAAUGGCUUGAAAAGGCAAAUUUCAAACUUCUCAGCUAAAGAGAAUGAGAAAUUCUAUGAGUGUUGGGAAAGAUACAUGGAAGCUAUAAAUGCUUGUCCUCACCAUGGCUUUGAUACUUGGCUACUGGUGAGUUAUUUUUAUGAUGGUAUGUCCUCCUCAAUGAAGCAACUCCUCGAGAAAAUGUGUGGAGAAGAUUUCAUGAGCAAAAAUCCAGAGGAAGCUAUGGAUUUCUUGAGCUAUGUAGCUGAUGUUUCAAGGGGAUGGGAUGAACCAACUAAAGGAGAAGUGGGAAAGAUGAAGUCUCAGUUGAAUGCUUACAAUGCAAAGGCUGGGAUGUAUACUUUAAAAGAGGAUGAUGACAUGAAAGCAAAGUUGGCAGCUAUGACAAGAAGAUUGGAGGAGCUGGAGCUGAAAAGAAUGCAUGAAGUGCAAGCUGUUGCUGAAGCACCAGUGCAAGUGAAGUUGUGUCCCAAUUGUCAAUCGUUUGAACAUUUGGUAGAGGAAUGCCCUGCAAUUUCAGCUGAAAGGGAAAUGUAUAGAGAUCAAGCAAAUGUUGUUGGACAAUUCAGGCCCAAUAACAAUGCUCCUUAUGGAAAUACCUACAAUUCAAGUUGGAGGAAUCAUCCAAAUUUUUCAUGGAAGGCCAGAGCAACUCAAUACCAACAGCCGGAUCCACCAUCUCAACAAUCUUCAAGUAUUGAACAAAUAAUAGCUAAUCUCAGCAAGGUAGUGGGAGAUUUUGUGGGAAAGCAAGAAGCCACCAAUGCUCGAGUGGAUCAAAGAAUGGACAGAGUGGAUCAAAGAAUGGACAGAAUGGAGAGUAUGUUGAACAAAAGAAUGGAUGGAAUGCAAAAUGAUAUGAAUCAAAAAUUUGAUAACAUCCAAUAUUCAAUUUCAAGGCUUACAAAUUUGAAUACACUGCAAGAAAAGGGAAGAUUUCCUUCUCAACCUAACCAAAAUCCCAAAGGUGUCCAUGAAGUGGAAAGCCAUGAGGGAGAAUCAUCACAGGUGAAAGAUGUGAAAGCUUUGAUCACUCUAAGGAGUGGUAAGAAAAUUGAGCAGCCAACACCCAAGCCACAUGUUGAGAAAGAAGAAGAGAUGAAGAAAGGGAAGGAAAUGGAAGAUAAAGGCAGUGAGAUCAGUGAAGAAAAGAAGGACUCUGAUGCAACAAUGAAAGUAAUUCCAGAGAAGGAGCUUCUGAAGGAAGAAAUGCUGAAGAAAUCAACUUUUCCACCUUUUCCUCAAGCAUUACAGGGGAAAAAGGGGGUUAGAAAUGCAGCUGAAAUCCUAGAAGUAUUGAGGCAAGUGAAAGUUAAUAUUCCACUGCUGGAUAUGAUCAAACAAGUUCCAACGUAUGCAAAAUUCCUAAAGGACUUGUGUACUAUCAAAAGAGGGUUGACUGUAAACAAGAAAGCCUUCUUGACUGAGCAAGUAAGUGCAAUCUUACAGUGUAAGUCUCCUUUGAAGUACAAAGACCCUGGAAGUCCUACCAUUUCAGUCAUGAUUGGAGGAAAGGUAGUGGAGAAAGCCUUGCUAGACUUGGGAGCAAGUGUGAAUUUGCUUCCAUAUUCUGUCUACAAGCAACUGGGACUUGGAGAGUUGAAGCCAACAGCAAUCACUUUGUCUCUGGCAGAUAGAUCAGUGAAAAUUCCAAGAGGGGUAAUUGAGGAUGUAUUGGUUCAAGUAGAUAAUUUCUACUAUCCUGUAGAUUUUGUUGUUCUUGAUACAGAUCCUACUGUAAAGGAAGCUAAUUUAGUUCCUAUCAUCCUUGGAAGGCCAUUUCUUGCAACUUCAAAUGCAAUCAUCAACUGUAGAAAUGGGCUUAUGCAACUCACUUUUGGUAACAUGACACUGGAUCUAAAUAUUUUCUAUAUGUCUAAAAAGCAAAUCACUCCAGAAGAAGAAGAGGGUCCAGAAGAGCUAUGUAUUAUUGAUACUUUGGUGGAGGAGCACUGCAAUCAACAUAUGCAAGAUAAGUUGAAUGAAAGUUUUGUGGAUAUUGAGGAAGGUUUUUCUGAAUCUCCUAAUGGGCUUGCUACUCUACAAAGUUGGAGAAAGAUAGAAGGAAUUCUACCUUUGUUCAAUGAAGAAGAGGAGGCAGCUGUUGAAAAAGAAAUUCCAAAACUCAAUCUGAAGCCUUUACCUAUGGAGCUGAAAUAUACAUAUCUUGAAGAAAAUAAUCAAUGUCCUGUCGUAAUAUCUUCAUCUCAAACCAAGUCUCAAGUGAAGGAUGCAAGCUUCAAAUGGGAUCCGGGCAAACUGAAUCAGGAAGGGCAAAAAGUUUUGAUGUAUGACACAAGACUCCAUAUCUUUCCUGGGAAGCUCAAGUCAAGGUGGAUUGGUCCAUUUGUUAUUCACCGAGUAUAUUCCAAUGGAGUGGUGGACUUAUUGAAUUCCAAUGGCAAGGACAGCUUUAGAGUCAAUGGAUAUCGUCUUAAGCCGUUCAUGGAGUCAUUCAAAUCAGAAAAGGAGGCAAUCAACCUCCUUGAACCUCAAAAAGCCUAAGUGAAAUGGGUUUGCUGGACGUGGUUUUACCACAGUCCAAAAAUUUUUGUAAAUUUUGUAAAUUUUCAAGUUGUUUCCAUGCUUUUAAUCUUAGUUUUUGAUUUUAAAUCAUGUUUUUAGGUGUGUUUUAAUCGUUUUAUAUGAUCCCAGGCGGAAGAAAUUUCAAGGGGAUUGAAAAGAAAAAAAUCGGGUCGAAAUUGGAGCCGAAACAGAGCAAAAACAGGGGAAAAACAGAGCUCUGCGAAAUUUCGCAGGGUGAAGGAAACUUCUGCGAAAUUGGCAUUUUGCUGCCAAACCAUUCCGCAGCACUGUAGAAGCCUCUGCGAGUGUAUUUCGCAAUUGCGAAAGUGGAUUUGGCACACGAGUGCCACUUCGCAGCACAGUGACAUCAAUUUCGCAGCUGCGAAACUCACUGCGAAGUUGCUGCGAAAAUGGCAAGUUGCUGCGAAAUUGGCGUUUUGUUGCGAAACGUAAUCUGACCCCUGGGCUUCCGUUUUUCCUAUUUAUACCUGUCAAAAGUGCUGCGAAAAAGGUUUCAAAAAUUAGAGCACCAUUCUCGCAGCCCUUUCAUCUUCUUCGCCAAGCCACGCCGUCCGUUUCUCCGGUCGUCUUCUCCGUUUAGCAGCGCCGGCCAAAGAUCGAUAGCCCAAAAAUGGCACGAACGCGAGGGGCAAAGUCUUCAUCCCCUUCGAACCGCAAAAGGAGUCUGCGAAAGGAGCCAAGUUCAGGCUCUGUUCCAGAACCUGCUCCAAAGCCUUCGCCGUCGAGACCACAACCUUCUCCAGUGAAGCCGGCGCCACCAAAGCCGCCGGCAAGGCGAUAUUUAACCAGGUCAGGUGGUCAGCCAUUGAAGAAGAAAGCCAGAGUUGAGAGCUCUGAACCAAUCGAUUUGACUGAGCAAUCCCCUGAGAAAUCACCAAAUCCUUCACCGGUACAAAUUCCAGUGCCAUCACCGGUUCCCUCGCCAAUUCCCUCACCAGAAGCAACUCCAAUUCCAUCGCCGGUACCAUCUCCGGCACCCCAAGAAAAAGCUCAGGAGCCUCAAGCGCCAAUUCCAGAGCCCCAAAUUGCAGCUGAAGCACCUCUGGAAGAAGUGAUCCGAAGGCCAAUGCUGCCUCAGCCCCCAAUCGAAGGAAACCUGGAUUGCCGAACUCGGGCAUUCCAUUCUGAGCUUUGCUUCGAUUUAACAGCAUUCAGAGUGAGGCCAGAGCUUGCCCAAUCCUUCCAACUGCUGAGGAGAUAUCAUAUGGAGCAUCUGCUAGCUCCAAGGGAUUUUUUCUAUCCCCGGGUAGUCACGGAUUUCUACCAAACCAUGACAACCAAAGAAGUAAGAAAUCCAACUCUGAUUCAUUUCAUAAUUGAUGGAAGGCAUGGUAUUUUGGGAGCAAGACAUAUUGCUGAAGCCCUGCAAAUUCCUUUUGAGCCAACUCAAUUCGACAAUUUUAAAGCUUGGACAAAUCCUACUGAGUUAGAGAUGGUUAGCACACUAACCAGAGGAGCUGCAAAUCGAUCGCAUUUGUUGAGGGGGGAGCUACCUCCAGUUAUGUUUUUGAUUGAUGCCUUUUUGAGGCAUAAUAUCUAUCCCCUGCAGCAUUGGACCCAAAGAAGGGGAAUUCUCCUAGAAGCCUUGUACAAAAUGUCUGAAGGAUUCUUCUUUGGGCCUCAUCAUCUGAUCAUGGCAGCCCUUCUAUACUUUGAGGAGAAGGUUCACAAGAAGAAGCUUCAAAGAGCAGAUUGCAUUCCACUCCUCUUCCCAAGGCUGCUAUGCCAAGUUUUGGAGCAUCUCGGAUACCCCUCUGAGCCUCAGCAGGAAAGAAAGAGAAUAUGCCGUGAGCCUUUUACCCUUGAUAAAUGGAAUAAUAUGACGGCCUACAAAAUUGAUCAGCCUGGGCAGCCUCAGCCAGCAGCAAGGAGAGUCUCCCCAAGACAUAUACCUGAAGGUAUAACACUUGCUACUCCUGCCAUCCCUCGAGCUCCACCAGCUGCACCUGCUCCAUCACAGCCAUCCACAUCAGCUGAGCCGAGGAUGGCCAUCCCUAUAUCCGAAUAUCGAGAGCUGUGCCGUGCAUUGGAGACUCUUACAGCUUCUCAGAGCAAUCUUGCUCAGGAGUUGGCAGCCAUUAAAGCAUGCCAGGAGCAGAUGUUAGCCUCUCAGACUCAACAAGCUGCCAUCCUAAGGCAGCUUCAAGUCCAUUUCGAUCUGCCACAAGCUGUAGAGCCCUCUAUUCCUACUCCACCAGAGCCACACUCUCAGCCUUCAGAGUCUCAUCCUCCAGAACCCGAAGCACCAGCUGAUCCACCUACUGAGGAGGCAGAUCCUUCUGCCUAGCACCAUCACCCCCCUCAUCAGACAUUAUAUAUAUAUUUGCUGUUUAUGUUUUUAUGCAUGUUUGUUUUGUUUUAGUUGAAAAGAAAUCCCAGUAUUUUGGUACUAUAUAUGGGAUUCCUUGUGUUACUUGUCUUUAGUAUUGUAAUCACAUGAACUCAAAGUAAUACAAGUUGACUAUUUCUUGUUAAAAGUUAGCAUUAAAGUUUCCUUAUUUCCUUUUCUCACAUAUUCUAUUCUUUUUGAAACAUGUGGUUUUCCCCAAUCAAUAUUCGAAUUUGAUAUCAGCAUGGAGGUACCACUUCCUCCCUUUUAUUACAGUCACUCAAAUCACAUUGAGGACAAUGCUCAGUUCGGUUGGGGGGUAUGAGGAAGGAAGUAUUCUAAACCUUUUUGGUAUUGCAAUUAUAUUGGUUAAUUAGUUGUAGAUUUUACUUUUUACUAGUGUUACUCUAUUCUCCAUGAAUUUUGAGGAAAAAUUUUCAAAUUAAACCAAGAGAAAUUGAACUGUUGUUUUUCACUUGACUUAGAGUAUGGAUUAUGCUUACUAAAGUGGUUCAAUUGUUGAAACUUCUACUGAAAUUGAAUUGAGUUCUUCCACUUUAAGCUAUCCACACACUGUGCACAUUAGUUUCCGAUUAUAAGAUGAAAAGCUAUUUCCCUCUUGACUUAGUAUAUUUUUGGGACUUGGUAUAUUUGACCUCAUUUGAUAAAAAUUGAAACACCCUGCAAAAGGCCAAUGAGCCUUUGAAAUAAAGAAAGUUGUUUGCUUGCCUUGAAACCCGAGCAAGGUCUGAGGGGUAUAUGGUGAAAAUCUUUAAAGCCUGGUGCCCUAAGCCUUAAUUGGUUGGGAGUCACCGACCUCAAUGCUCGUUACAAGGGUGAAUAGGUAGAGUUAGCAUAUGGUAGAUGCUUGGGUAUUAGAAAUUCAUUCUUAAAAGUCCGGGGAAAAAUCCGAGGAGUUAGUGGUUGAAAGAUCCUUAAAACUUGGUGCCCUAAACCUUAAUUGGUUGGGAGUCAUCGAUGGACCCCCAUUACAUGGACAAGUCAGAAAGAGUACCCCAUAAAGCUACCUUAAAAAAAAAAAAAAAAAAAAAAAAAAAAAAAAAGAUGAAAGUGUGUUCUUUUCUUAUUGAUUUUGGUCAGUUUGCUAAAGUGUUGAAAAGAGAUAGGUUGGGGGGUGAGAUUAGUAGCAUAUUAUUCUCGGAACCUAAGGAACCAAUACACAUAGAUUUUUGUGGAAGAUUGAAGUUUAGUUCUUAGAAAAUGAAAUGAUUUUAAAACUUCAGUUUGCAUAAUGCACUCCCUUGAUUGACAGUGUUUAGCAUAGGUGUUAUGACUCUUGUUGAGAUUUGGGUUUGUAUUUCUUUAAUGAUUCAUGUGAGAAAUAGAUCAUCAUGCCACUUGAGAAUUAUUUUCCUUUUAGCAUGAUGUUGUAAAUUUUAGAUUAGUUUGCUAUUUAUUUUUUAUUUUCUCUCCUAUAUUGCUAAGGGACUAGCAAUAUGUCGGUUGGGGGGAGUGAUUACUACUCAAAAAGUGCUAUUUGAUAGCCUUUAAUUAAUCCUUUUUAACACUUUUGAGUAGUAGUUUAGGCCUUUUAACUCAAUUGGCAUGUUAAGGAUCCUUUAAAGCAAUUUUGAUCACUUUGUGCAAGUUUUGGUGUUUUUGUUAGUAUUUUGAUCACCAAAGCAAGUCAAGAAUGAGGAGAACUAUGAGGAAUCAUGGGCAAAGCUUAGAAUUCAAUUGCCAAGAGUGAAUCCGGAUUGCAAGGAGAAAAAGCAAAGAGAAUCUGUCAUGAAGCCUAUUCUUGAUGACAGUCGUAGCAGCCACUUUUGGAGCACUUUCUGAAGUCCAAAUGAUGCAAGCUAUAUACCAUUUCAAAGCUCAGGAAGUCAACAAUCCAAUGCUUCAAACGGUGCGCGAUUCGGAGUUGAAACGAAGAAGUUGCAGCCAUUACAAGCCAGUCACUCUAAAGUGUUGCGGAAUCAGCCUUUUGUUGCGAGAAUUUCGCAGCACUUUUGUACAGUAAGGUGUUUCUCCUUCUGACGAUGCACGAACCAUGCCGCGAGAGGGAAGCUAGGAACUUCAAGAUGGAAGCCAACUUUGCAGCCUGGUGAAGAUAGCUUGGUCUUGCGAAAUAAUUUCGCAGCCCUCUUGGGUGUCUGCGAAAUUUCGCAGGCACCACUUUUUUCCUGCGAAAUGGCUCCGGAAGCCUCCCGAAGCUUGCUACCGACAUUGGGAGAUAUUUUCCAUUAGAUUUUUGUUGUCUAAAUUCCAAAAUACUCCUUGUAAACCACCAAUUACAUGAUUCCUUAGUUUUUAAGUUAGUAAAAAGACCAAAUAUCUAUGUAAUAAUUAGUUUUAUAUUAGUUUGCUAUAAAUACCUCUCGGGAGCAUGUUCUCAGAGAGGAGUUCCUUCUGUAACCAUUUUGGUAAGCAAGUAAAGUCUUUUCUUUCUACUGCCUUACCUUCUCACUUUGUAUUUUCAUUUUAUUUCUAAGUUAUGAAUUCUCUGAGGAGCUUUCCCCAGAGAAUGAGUAACUAAACCUCCAAUUCCUUGGAGCUAAGGUUGCCGGGGAAGGUUCCAAGUGCAAGAAUGCAAAGCUCUGUGGUUUUAGCUAGUAAUGAAGAGGAAGUGAAAUCCUUUAGUGAUUUCAAUGUUUUUAGUUAACUUAAAACACCUUGGAGUCACCUGGGCCAACACUUGGUAAGGCAAGUGAUUUCCAACCGUGGAAAUGCACUAGUUUACCCCUUGCGAGCCUCUGGUAGGUGACUUCAAGGUAGGAUUUUCUGGAAUUACCAACACUUGGUAAGCUUUUGGACUCCUAGGAGACAUCCAUUAGUUAUCUCUUGCGAGUUUGUGAAGGGGAAUCCAAGGUUAAAGAUCACCUUGAAUGGUAAGUGCUCGUGAGAGGCAUGAACCAUUGCAAGUUGUAUCAGUGAGAGAAUUAAAGUGAAAUCUAAUUGAAGGAGUCUCUGUACAUCACCGGUUAGAGAAUUGACUAUAAGUUGAAUCUCUAAUGCGAGGAAAUGAACCAUCUGACCGGAGCUAUGUCUUUUGCAUGAGGAACCACCCCAGUGAACCUAAAUCUCCAAGGAAUGCUUUUCUUCCUAAAUUAUUCCAAACUUCUGUUAAGUUAGUUAGUUUAAGUCUAAACCUUUACCAAUCAAACUUUGUGUUUUAUUCCUUAAGCUAACCGUGAAAUGAAACAAAACCAAUUCACUUGGAAUUGGUAUCCUUGAUUGCUUGCAAAUCAUUCCCAGUGAACGAUCCUUAGAGCCACUAUACUAUAGUAGCUUUGUAUUUGCUACCCUAGUGUAUGGUGUUAUAGGUAUAAAUUUUGUUGAUCACUUCCUCAAUCAAGGAACACCAGCUGAACACAAAUCAGCUGAGACACCAAUUGGGCAUGAGUCAGUGCGUUAGAGGAUCAAGAAGAAGAAAAAGAAGGAACUGUUGGAAUUAGUAUGAGUGUGAAGAGAAAAGUAUAUAAAUAAGGGGAAGUAAAAGCAAAGUUCAAAAAGCUAUAUUUUUUUAUUGUUGGUGUAUGGUUGCAUGAUUAUCCCUAUAAAUAAUAGGAGUUUUUUGGUAUUCUACUAGUAGUUGAAGCAUAAUUUCAUAAAUUAAUAUUUAGAGCGGGGUGGGGUGAGUUGUGACAAAAUUCAUACCCGUCCCAAACCUUGGUUCAGAUUUUUAAAAUAUUCUCAAACUUAUCAUAUACCCAACUUUUAUAUUUCAUACUUGUCCUAAUAGAGGCACGUUAGGCCGGGUUACUUGAGUAACCUACAUAAUUGUCAUCCCUAGUUGAAAUACACUUUUUGGCAGUGGCCACCAACUGAGCUAGAAGCUUGAUUGAUUGACCUACAAGAUUAGUUCUCAUCAUUUUAAAAAAAGUUCUGGCUUUGGUUGUGAGUGCAAUUGAAUCUAAACUGGCAUUUGCUUAAUGCAUCUACUUCAAUCCUAAACUUCUUACUUCUUAAGCCUCAAUUGUUGUUAGGAUUUUGGAAAACCCAUUUCCUUAAAUUGUAAAUUUAAGAUAAAAUAAAAUAAAAGUGAGACAUUUCUUGAUUGAAUAUUGUUAAAGGUCCCUUGGCAUUAAGACUUGGUUGAAGCCUUGGAAGAUUAGUGGAACUCUCAACAUGUGUUUGAAUCUUGAGGAGAGUGGAUGUAAGCCAAAAUUUUGUCAAACCAUUAUACAAAUUGAGUUUGAAUCCUCAUUUCUUGAUUUCUUAUUUAUUUGCUUUUUCUUAUUAUUACUUGAAUUGUCAUUUGCAUUCAUUAAUGUUAAAAUUGGUUAUAAUUAACCAACACUAAUUCUCUUUCCCCUUCCCUUUCUUGGGUGUAAACCUAGGUUGGAUUAACUAGAUAAAUCUAUUAAGAUGGUAAAAGAAUAAUUAUUCUUAACAUACAUAAGAUCAUCUUCAAUCAAAUGACUCAUUGGCUAAUAUGUUGAAUUUGCUUAUUACUUGCAACUCAAAAUUGUGUUCUAGUUGUGUCAAGUCCCCAGUGUAUGGACAUUAAAUUUGUAGUACGUGAUGAGUAAUUAGAUGGUCCAACUCCAAGAAAGUGAUUGAAAAGUAGUUCAAGAAAGGUGCAAAAGGGAAUUGUUUUGGUAUUUUCGUUUUUAUUCUUGAAGGUGGCAGAGCUAAAAUUUGAGAAAUCAAGCAAAACAUACUGAAAUUACAUUGAAAGAAAGAAGAUGGGAGUUAAUGUCUUGCAGUACAUGAUAAGGACUUCAUGCAUGUAGUGUGACCCAUGUCUUGGACUGAUGCCAACUCACGGUUACACUUAUACCCUUGGUUCUCUCUUUACUACCUUGGCUAACCUAGAUCAGGCUAUGAGAUAGGCUCCUCACCACACCAUUACUUGCCCAUUAAUUAGAGACAUUUUCAAGCAAUGAGGUAACAUGGUGACACCAAGAGGGUCUAUUCCUCGCCCGGAACAAGUCUAGACUUGGUCUCAAAAAAAUGGAGAAAAAUGAGGUGUCGUUAUGUAGAAAUACAACAACCAUGCCUUCCUCAUUACUUAGAUUCAGAAUGUGAAGGUGAAAUUGAGAAACAGAAACUCUUGAAACCAAAAUGAAAAUUGAUACUUUUACGAAGAAUUACAACAACAUUAGAGGAAGACUACAUUCUUCCUCUUUAUUCCUACAUUUCUACACUACUUCUACUCCACUCCAUAUUUCUACAUACAUCUUUAAUCAGUCUUCCCUCCUUUAUAUAGAGCCAUCUUCACACAAAUUUCGCAAGGUAGAAAAGAGGAAUGAAACUUGGAGCAAGGUUCGACUACUGGUUGUAGCUUGUCAAGGCUGGAAGUGAACUUUUCUUGGCUUUCUGGGCAUGGGUAGUAACUUGUGGGUUCCUGUUUGGCAUAAAAAUGGCUAGAACAUGUGGCACUAUCUUGUUGGAUGAUGUGUCAAGCAUGUGGCAGCCAUCUAGUGGCGAUUAUGUCAAUUUUGGGAUGGAGAGUUGGCAUCCAAUUGCAAAGAAAUAUGACGUCUACCAACAUGCAAUGUAAACCUAUGUAGAUCAUAUGAAGAUAGAGAGGAAAAAUAUAGAAAUGGAUAUAUACCUAGAACUAGCUUUUUAUUAAAUGAAACGGAGAGACAACAAUGAAGGAAAAUAAAAUUUUUUGGCUUAUAUCAAAGAGUUCACAUUGUGUUACCCUAGGUUUUCUUAAAACUUACUUUUAUGAUAACAAAAAAGAAAAAACCAUUAUUGUUUAAUCCUUUGUUUUAAACGCAUGUAAGGUGUAAUUAAGUUAGUUCAAUGCAUUAAUUUAAGAAACUUGACCUAUCAAAAGUACAAAAUUAGAUGAAAUCCAUUUCAAUGGUUAAAAUGAUCAAAAUCAAACUUUUUCUAAGUAUUUUUUAAAAGCAUCAAUAGUGAAAGACAAUUUUAUAUUUAGUCGGAGUUUGGACAAAACUGAAAAACACACAAAAUCCAAGCGACCAUCUCUAGCUUGGAUGGUCGCUUGAUCCCACCUAGAGAUGUGCAUGAGUAAAAGGAUUUGAAAAUGGAAAUUGACUAUGUAGUCGAUCAAUUAACUUUGCAACAUCAUAUGCAAUCCUAAUUGCUAGUCAUCUAAUCAAUUAGGUAGUCAAUCAACAGGCCAAAAAUAUGUUUAUAAUGACUAUUUUGUACAAAAACCACCUGUAUAGUUAAAUAUAAUGCAUUUCAUUUAUAAAUCUUCUAAUUCUUGAAUAACGAUCCUAUCAUCCUUUGAAAGUUUUUAUUACACUUUUUUUACUUUUGUUCUAAAACUUACACAUCACCCUUAAUUGUACCAUGAGAACCUAGCUAUUUUUUAUUUUUUUUUUUGUAAUUCAUCAAAGUUAGCUUUUGUAUUCAUUGUUGUAUUAUUUUUAGUAUAACUUAGAAAGCUAGUGUUUUCAAGUGAGUAAAAUUAACUUGUAAAUAUUGUAAAGAUUCAUCGACAUGUAUCUUAAACUAAGUGUACAAGUUAAAACAUUUGCUAGUAGAUUUUCUCAAAAUUUAGAAUAGAGCUUGAGACUAUUGAAAUAGGUGGGGUUGCACCAAACCACAUCACAUCGUUGUUUGCACCUUUUUUCACUCUCUUUUACUUAGUUGCUCUAUAUUUGUUGUCUAGUAAUAUCCUAUAGGCUUGAUGGGUUAGGGAGCAUCCCUUUGUGAAAAAAUUUUAUUCAAUCCUUAGUUGUAUCACGCAUAUAUAAAAUGCCUCAUUGUUUUAAUGGUAUUCAGUCGUGGCAUCACAGAUAUGGGCAUCUAAAUUUUAAAAGUUUGAAACUUUUAUCUAAAGAAAAUAUGGUGCUUUGCCUUUUUGUAAAGCAUGUUGAUGAAAUCCAUGAGAAUUGUGUACUUGGGAAGCAACACCGAGAUGACUUUUUUUUUUUUUUUAUAAUAUUGUUUGUCCAAAUUCCCUACAAAUUAGGCCACCAGAUGUUCAUAAUUCUCCCUUCUUGAAUUUGAAAACUCGGACAAUUGGACAAUGCGACACCUAAGUCCGGUUUCUAAAUGCUAAAGUGAAAGGGUAGGUAUGGACCAUUGAAAUGUGAUCACAACUUUUCUCUGUAGCCAUGUUGUCUCUUUUUUCUUUUGCAUGAUUUUCUUACCUUAACAGAAUCAUAGACUUGUUUAGUCUCUAAAUGGGAUUAAUUUCAUCCAGCUUUAAGCUACUAUAUUAUAUCUAGGUGGAGGACUUUUAAGAGUGCAACCGACAUAGAGCACAUGGAAGUGGGUAUAUGGGACAUGAAAUUUCUUCUUAUAAAGAUUGCAUGAUUUUUAUAUUAGAGUUGUUGAGGCGCUAUGUAUUUAGCUUGUUUUGCAGUUAAAUUAAUUGGAUAAGUAGACAUUGGCGUUUCUAAAUCUACUGUGAAGUGCUUCAUGUACGUGUGAAGUAUUAGAAAUUUCUUUCUUGGCAACUUGUUUUUCUUUGCGGUCUACUGAUAGGUUUGACUAAAAUUAUAUUCCCUGUCAUGCUAAUUAAUUUUCACGUGCAUGCUCAAAAGAAAAGUAUGACCUUAGUGCACCAAAAUCACUUUGAUUAAUUUGUGAUAGGUUUUUGUGCAUCAUGACAUUAGCCUUAUUCAUUUAGAUAAUGUUUAGUUUUUAGAAAGUAUUAAGAAAAGGAAAAUAAAUAUUAAGAAAAAUAUUCUUAUAUUUGAUUGUAUUAUGAAAAAUAUCAUAAAAAAAUCAAAUAUAAUUUAAAUUAAUUAAUAAUUUAUACAUUUUCAAAUUAUUUAAUCUUUAUAUUGAAGAUAUAAUAUAAAUGAAAUGAGUUUUAAGUAUUAUAUAAAAGUGAUUUAUUGAUCUUACAUAUAUAUAUUUCUUUUUUUUUUCCUUCUAUUUUUUCUCUUUAUUUUAUUUUCCUUAUGUUUUCCUCAACAUUUUCCGGAACCAAACAUAGCCUUAGGAAAUCCACAAUUACCUUCAACUGAGUAGAUUCUGUUGUUUUAGCAAUGUUAGGCUGCUAACUUGUGUUGGUACGAACCUAUUAAGCCUAAAGAUGUAAUUAGUUAGGAUAUUCUUUUCCCUCUAGUCUUGUAGCUCCACGUGUACAGUUGGUUAGGACCUCAUUGUAUAUAAUGCUUGCCCUGUUAUUGUAGAAGACAACAAAGAUAAAUAAUAUUAACAUUUUUCCUCUCAUCUCUCUCUGUUUCCCUCUGUUUUCAUCUCCUCUCUCAUCUUGGUAUCAGAGCCUCCAUGGCUUCUUUCAAAGAAACCUCCGAAUCACCUUCUGCUAGCAUUGUUAAUGUGCAAAACCCAUUAUCUCAAUCAAACAACCUUCCUUCACCAGUAGCCACACCCUCUUUUUCUUUCUCGUCUAUGAAUCAACCUCUCACAGUGAAGCUGGAUAAUGGGAACUACCUCAUAUGGAAGAAUUAGCUUCUAAAUGUCAUCAUUGCUAACGGACUCGAUGAUUUCAUUGACGGAUCUCGACCCUGCCCUCCUCGAUUUCUCGAUCUGCAACAACAAACCCUCAAUCCAGAGUACUCAGCUUGGCAGAGAUACAAUCGACUUCUGAUGAGUUGGCUGUACGCAUCCUUGUCCAAAGAUAUAAUGGCUCAGAUUGUUGGGUAUUCAACAGCUAUGGAGAUUUGGAAUGCCCUUAAUCAGAUUUACUCUGCCUCUUCUAUGGCGCGGUUUACUGAGCUUCGCACCAAGCUUCAAACGCUCAAGAAAGAUGGACUCUCAGUUGGUGAAUAUAUUCAAAGGCUCAAAUCCAUUUGCAAUAGUCUUGCAGCAAUAGGAGAACCAGUUUCUGAGAAAGACCAUCUUAUCUAUUUGUUCAAUGGAUUAGAUUGUGAGUAUUAUUCUUUUGUUACCUCCAUUCAAAAUCGAUCUGACCAACCAACUAUUGACAAAAUCCAUAGCCUAUUGCUUAGCUAUGACUUCCGGCUUGAACAACAAAACUCUGUUUCUCUCCAUUCUGCCCAAGUCCAUAUGGCUCAUCUGAACAAGAAACCUUAUAAAUCAACUCCUCAACCUACAUUCAAUCAUAUUCACAUUCAACCUAGAUACUCUUCUCCACCUUUUAAGCCAACCACUAGUCAAUAUCAACCCAACAUUUUGGGCAAACCACAACCACAACCAUGACAGCCUCAACCUCAAUGGAAACCACAUUUUUCAAUCUAAAAUCAAAAGCCUCAGCGCCAAAUUUGUGGUAAAUUUGGACACACUGCUCUUAUUUGCUUCCAUCACACAAAUUUGAACUAUUCACCCCAACCUUCUCCUAAAUCUUUCAAUACUGUUCUCACCACAAAUUCCCAGCUCCCUAAUCCUCCAAAAUUUUCUUACCCUACAAUGGCUCAUCCUGCUGCUACGCAUAACACGGUUCCCGAUACAAAUUGGUACAUGGACUCAGGUGCUACACAUCACUUUACUCUGGACAUCAACGUGCUUGACACUGUGACACCAUUUAGUGGUUCAGAACAGGUGACAGUUGGGAAUGGUAAGCAACUCUGUAUCUCACAUCUUGGUACUGCAAAACUACCAUCUUCGUAUUCUCCUCCUGUUCUACAUCAGGUAUAUCACACUCCAAAAAUUUCAAAUAAUCUUAUUAGUGUUAAAAAAUUGUGUUCUGAUAAUAAAGUUUUUGUUGAAUUUUAUGCCACUCAUUUUCUUGUCAAGGAUCAGGUUUCGAAGAGAGUUCUCCUUUAGGGUCAACUUGAUAAUGGCUUAUACAAAGUUCAGUCGUCAUGCUCUCCUUCUGCUGUUUCCUUUCCUCCUCAAGUUUUCAUAGCCAACAUCAAGUAUCCAAAUCUGUGGCACAAGAGACUAGGCCACCCAGCUUUAUCUGUUGUUAAUCAAAUCUUGGAUUCUUGUAACAUUGCUCGAACACAGAAAAUUUGUUUUAAUUUUUUAAAUUCUUGUCAAUUAGCAAAGAGCCACAGGCUUCCUUUUUCUCUGUCUCCAUCCAUUGCAGAAAAACCUUUUGAGUUAAUUCAUACAGACCUAUGGGGUCUUUCGCUCGUUCGCUCUAUUUCUGGUGCUCUUUAUUUUUUACUUUUCAUUGAUGAUCAUACUCGUUUUACUUGGUUUUAUUUGCUCAAAACAAAAGAUGAAGCAUAUCCUACUUUUCUCAAGUUUCAAGCUCUCAUUGAAAAUCAAUUUAAUACCAAGAUUAAGGCUGUCCAAUCUGAUUGGGGAGGUGAGUUUCGAUCUCUCUCCAUACCGUUUUCAAAUAUGGGCAUUGUCUAUUGUUUAUCGUGUCCAUACACCUCACAACAGAAUGGGCGAGUUGAGCGAAAAAAUCGCCAUGCGAUUGUCCUUUCUUGCUUGCUCUAUGCCCUUAUCUUAUUGGCCUUAUGCCUUUCAAACUGCCACUUACCUUAUUAAUCGUCUCUCUACCCCUGUGCUGCAUCAUCAAUCCUCUUACUUCGCACUCUAUCACAAACUCCCAACUUAUACUCAUCUUAAGGUCUUUGGUUCCUCUUGUUUUCCGUAUUUGCACCCUUAUAAUACCCAUAAACUCCAAUACAGGUCACUAGAGUGUGCUUUUCUUGGUUACAGUUCACACCACAAAGGUUAUCUAUGUCUUGACAUUCAUUCUAGCAGGGUGUAUAUUUCUCGCCAUGUGAUUUUUAAUGAAGAUUCUUUUCCAUUCAAGAAUUUGAAAUCUUCUCUCUCUCAGUCUAUUUCUUCUUCCUCUUCUUUAUAAGUUCCUCUGUUCAUUCUCUUGCCUCCCCUUUCCCCAUCUCCUCUUAUUUCUUCAUCUAUACCUCAUUCUUUUCCCUCUUCUUCUUCUACCUCUAGUACUUGUUCCCCUCUCGUUGCUCCUACCUCUCUUCCUUCCUCUUCACACUCUGUGUCUCCAUCUAUUCCACCUCCUUCUCCACCUUCUCCGAGUGUGGACCUGCUUGCACCUUGUGUGAAUACAAAUUUACAUACUUCUUCUCGCACUCACAAUAUUCAUCCUAUGGUGACUAGAUCUAAGGUUUGUAUCUAUAAACCUAAGUUGUUGUUGAGUGUCUCCAUAGGUUCUCUCACUAAGCCUACUUCCUUUCUUCAAGCUAUUAAAGAUCCUUCAUGGAAGCAAUCCAUGGAAUUCGAGUUUGCUACCCUUCAACACAACAAGACCUGGCAUUUGGUUCCUUCACCUUCCUCAGGCGAAGUAAUCGGUUGUAAAUGGGUCUAUAAGCUAAAGCUUCAGCCUGAUGGCUAAAUUGAGAGAUACAGCCUGCUUAGUAGCUAAGGGUAUCAUCAAAUUGAAGUAUGGACUACUUCGAAACAUUCAGCCUGAUNNNNNNNNNNNNNNNNNNNNNNNNNNNNNNNNNNNNNNNNNNNNNNNNNNNNNNNNNNNNNNNNNNNNNNNNNNNNNNNNNNNNNNNNNNNNNNNNNNNNAGCUUCAGCCUGAUGGCUAAAUUGAGAGAUACAAGGCCUGCUUAGUAGCUAAGGGUUAUCAUCAAAUUGAAGGUAUUGACUACUUCGAAACAUUCAGCCUGAUUGUCAAGCUUUCUACUAUCUGUAUUGUGCUCAGUCUUACUUUUUCCCAGAAUUGGUGUAUUAGACAGCUGGAUGUUCAUAAUGCCUUCUUACAUGGUGACUUAGCUAAAGACGUUUUCAUGGAACAACUGCCUGGAUUUGUUGAUCCUCUCUAUCCUACUCAUGUCUGCAAGUUGGAUAAGUCUCUCUACUGUCUUAAAUAGUCACCUCGGGCUUGGUAUACUAAGCUGAGUACUUCUCGCUACACUUGGGAUUUGUUACUUCUAAGAAUGACUCUUCCUUAUUUAUUUGUCAUUCGUCUCAUGGGUUACUUCUUGUUCUUGUCUAUGUGGAUGAUAUAAUCGUCAUUGGGAGCCACUCUCCUCAGGUUACUCACCUUAUCCAACAGUUGCAUCAUUAGCUUUCUUUAAAGGAUCUUGGUCCUUUACAUUAUUUUCUGGGCUUGGAGGUUCAUCACACCCCUACUGGUAUUCACCUCAGCCAAGCAAAGUAUAUCACUGAUCUCCUUACCCGGGCGGCUAUGUUGGAUGCCAAGCCAUGUCCCACUCCUAUGUCCUCCAACACAUAUCUCUCUUUUCAUGAUGGAGUGGCUCUUGAAAAUGGUUCAGAUUAUCGAAGUUUUGUUGGUGCCCUUUAGUAUUGUACCAUGACACGCCCAGAUAUAGCUUUUGCAAUAAAUAAAGUGUGUCAAUUCAUGCACCAUCCCUCUAAUGUUCACUGGCAGGCUAUAAAACGUAUUCUCCGGUACUUAAAGGGCACAUCUCAUUUUGGUCUCUUCCUACAGCCUUCCUAUGACUUCAACAUCACUUGCUAUACAAAUGCCGACUGGGCUUCCUGUCCUGAUGACAAGUGUAGCACCAGUGGCUACUGCCUCUUUCUUGCCUCUAAUCUGGUUUCUUGGUCAUCUUCCAAACAAAAAGUGGUCUCCCGCUCCAGCGCCGAAUCAGAGUACCGAGGGGUAGCAAAUGGGGCUGCUGAAAUUGCUUGGACUGAAUCUCUUCUUUGUGAACUUUCCAUUACUCCCCCUCCCCUCAUUCUCUGUGACAAUAUCAGUGCCACGUACUUAGCUGCCAAUCCUAUUUUGCAUGCCCGCACCAAACAUGUGGAAAUCGACUAUCACUUUGUCACGGAACGUGUUCUUCAAUGCUCUCUUUUUGUCCAGUUUACACCUUCUGAUGAUCAACUUGCUGAUUGCAUGACCAAGCCUCUCUCCACCCAACGUUUCAUCACUCUACGCUCCAAGCUCACUGUUCUCACUAGACCAAUGAGCUUGAGGGGGGAUGUUAAGCCUAAAGAUGUAAUUAGUUAGGAUAUUCUUUUCCCUCUAGUCUUGUAGCUCCACGUGUACAGUUGGUUAGGACCUCAUUGUAUAUAAUGCCUGCCCUGUUAUUGUAGAAGACAACAGAGAUAAAUAAUAUUAACAUUUUUCCUCUCAUCUCUCUCUCUGUUUCCCUCUGUUUUCAUCUCCUCUCUCAUCUGAACCAAAUGAUCCAUGUUAACCUUGGCUUGGUUUGAUUUGGCUCUAUCUUAGAGAGCUCAAGGAUCACGUCAACUCUGGUUUCUACUAUUCAGGUCCAUUCCCAUAUGAACUGGUUCAAAUUUGAGAAAAUGGUAACAGACCUUUAGUGAUGUUGGUUUGGAGCCAGUUGCCAAACCCGCCCUGAGCUUUACCACUAAUGUCAAGGGAGAAAGCCAUUUGAACAAAAACAAUAGCUUCAAGGGACUGAAUCGUGGAUGAAAUCUGAUCCACAUUUCUUCUCAUUUUGGAAACAAAUGAGAACUUAACUAAGAAGAUUCUACGGCCUCAUAGUGCUUUUCCUGAUCUAAGGUUGGUUCGUUUCCCAAACUGUGAGAUGCACGUGCCAGACUUCAGAACUCUCACGCUCAGGAGUGUAUCCACGUGGUGGACAUAAGAUGGUGGCUUAAGAUCUGGUGUCGGUGGCUUUACUUUACUAGGAGAGUAGUGUGUCUUCAUCUCAUUCACUGCCGGAGGGUGGCGUAAGCAGUGACGCUAAGGUGGGGCACAGUCAAUAUCAUUUGCAUUUGACCAUUAUAGUUUUCUCCCGGCUUUAAAGUAACCUUAUCGUGAUAAAGGAUUACUAGCACUAGUUCAGAUGAUAGUCAUGUUAAAUUCGGACCAUGUUUGUGUCACAUUAUCAGCAACCAUGUGUUUAUGGUUCAUGCUUUCUGCAACUAAAAUUGAUAUAUAACCAGGUGAACUUCAAUCUAAAUUCUGAAAGUACUCAUGUGAUAGAUGGUGCCCGUCUGCAGAGUCCAUCAAUUGAAAAAUGGAGUGAGUGUAUCUAUAAGAGGGAAGGCUUGGAAAAUGUUCAGUUUUCUGGGAAUUCAACAAGGAUCUAAAAUAGAUUGUUUUCUUUGCUGAUUUCAAUGGUUGAAAUUUGAGAAGAUUGUGUCCACAUAACACAACUAUUACUGGUCCUUCUGUUGCAAUUUAUCCUCUAAAGCUCUAGCAUGUCUUCCAAUUCCCACUUCCCUGUUACUCCAGGAAAGCUAUUUCUGUCAUUGUGAAGAAGAAAAGAGAAUGUACAUAUCGAUGCUUUUAAGUGACUGGAGCAUUUAUAUCAGGUGGUCUGCAGCCAUAUAUGCCACUUUGUGAAGAUUGGAACAGUCAAUCACUAGGCUAUAUAUUAGUGUGGCCCAGCCACUUUAAUCAAGGACAAGUCUUCAUACUUAAAGUCAAAUUCUGCCUUUAGUCUCAUUAUAAAUUUCUGUUUAAAUAUUAAGCAAACAUUUGUUUAAUGCGAUUAAGACAGUACUAACUCAAUACCUGUUCUAUUUUUGGAUGCAAAUGCUUGAUGGUUUCAUCAUUGGAUGGGAUAAAGGUGCAUUCAUGAUUAGGAAUACUAGUAGUUAUAUUUUAAUUCUCUUUUUUCUCAAUGAGACUUGUUGGCACAAUUUUGCUGUUGAGAAACCUACCUCUCCAUGGAAAAUAAGUUGUGAUUGAUAGUACUGGAUAUAUUCAAGAAAUCUAAAUAUAGAUAGCACAAAAUAUUAUCGACAUAAAUAGCAUUAACAGCGUACGUAUGUCUCAGUGCUCAUCAGCUAUAAGCAUGGGGCAAACACUUACUAUGAGCAACUUACGUCAAAAUUCCAGAAUAGGACAUAGAAGUGACAGAUAUAGAACAUUGCAUAUGAGUCACAAGAAAGGAAAUUACGGGUGCAUAGCAGCUCUUAUUUUACAUACUACUACUCAUACUGAUCAAAGUCACUCAGUUGGGAUGGGUGGGAGUAGGAGGUUUGUGGGGUGGCUUGUGCGGAGGAGUUGGCAGCUUCUUUCCAGGACCUGGUUGCUUCUCUGCUGGAGUUGAAGGAGGCUUAAUCUUCCGAGGUGGCUUGUAUGAGUCUUCAGCAUUCUCAGCUGGAGGGUGACCAGGGUUGUGACCAUAAUGUGGUGGCUUCUCUCCCUUAGGUGGUUUGCCAACUGGGGUUGGUGGCUUGUAUGAGUCUUCAGCAUUCUCAGCAGGAGGGUGACCAGGGUUGUGACCAUAAUGUGGUGGCUUCUCUCCCUUAGGUGGUUUGCCAACUGGGGUUGGUGGCUUGUGUUCUGGGAGUGGCUUCUCCCCCUUGGGAGGUUUUUCCAAUGGGGUUGGUUUGUGUUCAGGAGGUGGCUUCUCCACUGGAGGCUUGUGUUCAGGAGGUGGCUUCUCCACCGGAGGCUUGUGUUCAGGUGGUGGCUUCUCCACCGGAGGCUUAUGCUCUGGUGGUGGCUUCUCGAAUGGGGGAUGCUUAGGAUAAUCAGCAAGUGAGGGGGCGGUGAGAACCACCAGGCCAAGCAACACCACUAGCAAAUAUGUAGGAGACAUCUUUGGGUUUGGGCUCAGAUGGUGCAAAACUAGGAGAAUUGGCUAGCCUUUUAUAGCGGAUCGUACCCAAUAAUGAAAUGACACGUGUCAUUAUGACCCAUGUGUAAUGGGGUCGAUUUGGGUCCUACAGUGUUGAAAACUUCGACAUCCACUUUUGGCCUUUUGCUUUCUCUACAGCCGCCUUGCUUUUUCCCUCUUUCCUUUUGUUUUCCUCCUGCCCCAUUCUAUCAACUAAACACAAUUAUGUAGUUGUUUAAUUCUUAAAUGAGAUAUUAUCCGUCAAUCGUAUUAUAUUUUAUCAAGAGAGAACGGAGUGCAAUGUGGCUGUAAUUUUAUCGUUUAGUUUUAUCUCUUGGACCACUGCAUUUUUGUUAAGAGGUGCAAUAAUACACGUCUUUAUCUGCCAUUCAAUAUUUACAGUAAAGAGAGGGCACAAAACUCUUCACUUCGCACCAUAAUUAUUUUGUUUUCUGGACACCCCGGGGCCCUUUGGUUGGUUUGGGGGUCAGAAAGUGAACAUCAUAGGGGGUUUUUCCCUUAUGUGCAUUUGUAUCUGAUGGCUUUAACUCGCCUUGUUACUACAAAGAAACUGUCACAGAUAGGAACUUAUUCCAGGCUGAGUAUCUCCUCAUAGACCCUAUAAAAGAAGACAAGUCAUAAUGAACAUCUAACCUUUGUUCAAUUUGAUUCAAUGCCCCCAUUGUGUCCAUCUCACAAAUCUGAAUUAUUAUAUCCAUUGAAUACAUAAAUUAAUGAAGAAAAUAUGAAACCCAAGAUACAUCUCUGCACAACCUCAACCCUGGUUGCUAUGUUUCCCUUCUAUUCACAUGAUUUGAUGCUAAUUGCCAAACUUGCAACAAGCCCUGAGUUUGACACCUAGUAUCGAUGGGCGAAUUUAAAGUCUCCUCCAAACAUAUAUUCCACAGCUUGAAGCUCACAGAAGAUGUUACAGGCAGGGAAAAACCUUCAGAGUUCGCUACCAAAGAUAAUUAUUAAGGAGAUAUCACAAAGAGAAUUCCAAGGGGUCUGAAUCAAAGACAAAUUGGUCGUUCGUGGGGGUUCUUACUUUCUUUUGGGUAUAACUCACUGAGGGCACUGUCUUUGUUAUUUGCAUUUCACAUUUAGAGUUCUGUUCUGGAAACAUAUAAAAGGAGCAUCAUUUUGUUCUUGGGUAACCCAUAGUCGUGAGUGGGUCCAUUUGCAUGCUACUUAGUUGAAAAGUUGGACCAUUUGCUCCGACGCCUACCUCCCGGAUUCCAUGCUCGGAUAAAACAAGAAUAAAAAAAAUAUUUAUAAUUUACAAAUGGGGGAAAGAAAAAAAUGUCAACAACAAACCAGGAAAAAAGAGUAGUAAAAUUCAUGUCACAUGCUAGUGAGAGAAGGGGUUGUUACACUCACUCGAAGUUCUUUCCAAAAUAUCGCAUGGUAUUUUAUUUUAUGUGUCAGCGCAGUUGUGAAUGGAACGUGCAAAAGUCCAAAUUGGCGUUUUUCCUUUUCCCGUGUAGGAUGGCGACCUUUAAUAAAUAUUUAAAACAAAAAACGAAAAAAAGGAGGGAAAAGGGAUCAGAAAAGAUAAAACAAUGUGUACAAGAGCUCAAUUAGUUUGCAAAUUACUGUUUGGAUUUUGAUAGUAUUUUAUUUGUCCAUCUAUAUUUGAUGGAAAAGAGAAUUUAAGAUAUUUCUGAAACAAAAGCAUUAGUGUAAAACUAAAUUAAGGUAUAAUUAAGUUAGUUCAAUGCAUUAAUUUAAGAAACUUGAUCUAUCCAAAGUACAAAAUUAGAUGAAAUCCAUUUCAAUGGUUAAAAUGAUCAAAAUCAAACUUUUUCUAAGUAUUUUUUAAAAGCAUCAAUAUUAAAAGACAAUUUUAUAUUUAGUCGGAGUUUGGACAAAACCAAAAAGCACACAAAAUCCAAGCGACCAUCUCUAGCUUGGAUAGUCACUUGAUCCCACCUAGAGAUGUGCAUGAGUAAAAGGAUUUGAAAAUGGAAAUUGACUAAAUAUUUAGUUGAUCAAUUAAAUUUGCAAUGUCAUAUGCAAUCCUAAUAGCUAGUCAUCUAAUCAAUUAGGUAGUCAAUCAAGUGUUUGUAAUGACUAUUUUGUACAAAAAACCACAUGUAUAGUUAAAUAUAAUGCAUUUCAUUUAUAAAUCUUCUAAUUCUUGAAUAACGAUCCUAUCAUCCUUUGAAAAUUUUUAUUACACCUUUUUUACUUUUGUUCUAAAACUUACAUAUCACCCUUAAUUGUACCAUGAGAACCUAGCUAUUUUUUUUUUUUUUGUAAUUCAUCAAAGUUAGCUUUUGUAUUCAUUGUUGUAUUAUUUUUAGUAUAACUUAGAAAGCUAGUGUUUUCAAGUGAGUAAAAUUAACUUGUAAAUAUUGUAAAGAUUCAUUGAUAUGUAUCUUAAACUAAGUGUACAAAUUAAAACAUUUGCUAGUAGAUUUUCUCAAAAUUUAGAAUAGAGCUUGAGGCUAUUGAAAUAGGUGGGGUUACACCAAACCACAUCACAUCGUUGUUUGCACCUUUUUUCACUCUCUUUUACUUAGUUUCUCUAUAUUUGUUGUCUAGUAAUAUCCUAUAGGCUUGAUGGGUUAGGGAGCAUCCCUUUGUGAAAAAAUUUCAUUCAAUUCUUAGUUGUAUUACGCAUAUAUAAAAUGCCUCAUUGUUUUAAUGGUAUUCAGUCGUGGCAUCACAGAUAUGGGCAUCUAAAUUUUAAAAGUUUGAAACUUUUGUAAAGCAUGUUGAUAAAAUCCAUGAGAGUUGUGUACUUGGGAAGCAACAUCGAGGUGACUUUAUUUUUUUUUCCUUUUAUAAUGCCACACCUAAGUCCGGUUUCUAAAUGCUAAAGUGAAAGGGUAGGUAUGGACCAUUGAAAUGUGAUCACAACUUUUGGCCUUUUCCUUUCUCUGCAGCCAUGUUGUCUCUUUUUUCUUUUGCAUGAUUUUCUUACCAAAACAGAAUCAUAGACUUGUUUAGUCUCUAAGCUACUAUAUUAUAUCUCGGUGGACUUUUAAGAGUGCAACCGACAUAGAGCACAUGCAAGUGGGCAUAUGGGACAUGAAAUUUCUUCUUACAAAGAUUGCAUGAUUUUUAUAUUAGAGUUGUUCACGUGCAAUGUAUUUAGCUUGUUUUGCAGUUAAAUUAAUUGGAUAAGUAAACAUUGGCAUUUCUAAAUCGACUGUGAAGUGCUUCAUGUACGUGUAAAGUAUUAGAAAUUUCUUUCUUGGCAACUUGUUUUUUCCUUGCCAUCUACUGGUAGGUUUGACUAAAAUUAUAUUCCCUGUCAUGCUAAUUAAUUUUCAUGUGCAUGCUCAAAAGAAGAGUAUGACCUUAGUGCACCAAAAUCACUUUGAUUAAUUUGUGAUAGGUUUUUUUGCAUCAUUUAGAUAAUGUUUAGUUCUAAGAAAAAUUUAUAUAAAAAUGGUUUAUUUAUCUUACAUAUAUAUAUAUAUAUAUAUAUUUUUUUUUUUUUCAUUUUUUUUUCUUCUAUUUUAUUUAUUUAUUUUAUUUUCCUUAUGUUUUCCUCACAUUUUCCGGAACUAAACAUAGUCUUACGAAAUCAACAAUUGCCUUCAACUGAGUAGAUUCUGUUGUUUUAGCAAUGUUAGGCUGCUAACUUGUGGUGGUACGAACCAAAUGACCCAUGUUAAUCUUGGCUUGGUUUGAUUUGGCUCUAUCUCAGAGAGCUAAAGGAUCACGUCAACUCUGGUUUCUACUAUUCAGGUCCAUUCCCAGAUGAACUGGUUCAAAUUUGAGAAAAUGGUAACAGACCUUUAGUGAUGUUGGUUUGGAGCCAGUUGCCAAACCCGCCCUGAGCUUUACCACUAAUGUCAAGGGAGAAAGCCAUUUGAACAAAAACAAUAGCUUCAAGAGACUGAAUCGUGGAUGAAAUCUGAUCCACAUUUCUUCUCAUUUUGGGAAAAAAUGAGAACUUAACUACAAAGAUUCUACUGCCUCAUUCAUAGUGCUUUUCCUGAUCCAAGGUUGGUUCGUUUCCCAAAUUGUGAGGUGCACGUGCCACUCUCACGCUCAGGAGUGUAUCCACGUGGUGGACAUCAGAUGGUGGCUUAAUAUCUGGUGUCGGUGGCUUUACUUUACUAGGAGAGUAGUGUGUCUUCAUCUCAUUCACUGCCGGAGGGUGGCGUAAGCAGUGACGCUAAGGUGGGGCACAGUCAAUAUCAUUUGCAUUUGACCAUUAUAGUUUUCUCCCGGCUUGAAAGUAACCUUAUCGUGAUAAAGGAUUACUAGCACUAGUUCAGAUGACCGUCAUGUUAAUUCGGACCAUGUUUGUGUCACAUUAUCAGCAACCAUGUGUUUAUGGUUCAUGCUAUCUGCAACUAAACUUGAUAUAUAACCAGGUGAACUUCAAUCAAAAUUCUGGAAGUACUCUUGUGAUAGAUGGUGCCUGUCUGCAGAGUCCAUCAAUUGAAAAAUGGAGUGAGUGUAUCUAUAAGAGGGAAGGCUUGGCAAAUGUUCAGUUUUCUGGGAAUUCAACAAGGAUCUAAAAUAGAUUGUUUUCUUUGCCGACUUCAAUGGUUGAAAUUUGAGAAGAUUGUGUCCACAUAUCACAACUAUUACUGGUCCUUCUGUUGCAAUUUAUCCUGUAAGGCUCUAACAUGUCUUCCAAUUCCCACUUCCCUGUUACUCCAGGAAAGCUAUUUCUGUCAUUGUGAAGAAGAAAAGAGAAUGUACAUAUCGAUGCUUUUAAGUGACUGGAGCAUUCAUAUCAGGUGGUCUGCAGCCAUAUAUGCCACUUUGUGAAGGUUGGAACAGUCAAUCACUAGGCUAUAUAUUGGUGUGGCCCAGCCACUUCAAUCAAGGACAAGUCUUCAUACUUAAAGUCAAAUUCUGCCUUUAGUCUCAUUAUAAAUUGCUGUUUAAAUAUUAAGCAAACUUUUGUUUAAUGCGAUUAAGACAGUACUAACUCAAUACUUGUUCUAUUUUUGGAUGCAAAUGCUUGAUGGUUUCAUCAUUGGAUGGGAUAAAGGUGCAUUCAUGAUUAUGAAUACUUGUAGUUAUAUUUUCAUUCUCUUUUUUCUCAAUGAGACUUGUUGGCACAAUGUUGCUGUUCAGAAACCUACCUCUCCAUGGAAAAUAAGUUGCGAUUGAUAGUACUGGAUAUGUUCAAGAAAGCUAAAUAUAGAUAGCACAAAAUAUUAUCGAUAUAAAUAGCAUUAACAGCGUACGUAUGUCUCAAUGCUCAUCAGCUAUAAGCAUGGGACAAACACUUACUAUGAGCAACUUACGUCAAAAUUCCAGAAUAGGACAUAGAAGUGACAGAUCUAUAUAUAUAGAACACUGCAUAUGAGUCACAAGAAAGGAAAUUACGGGUGCAUAGCAGCUCUUAUUUUACAUACUACUACUCAUACUGAUCAAAGUCACUCAGUUGGGAUGGGUGGGAGUAGGAGGUUUGUGGGGUGGCUUGUGCGGAGGAGUUGGCAGCUUCUUUCCAGGACCUGGUUGCUUCUCUGCUGGAGUUGAAGGAGGCUUAAUCUUCCGAGGUGGCUUGUAUGAGUCUUCAGCAUUCUCAGCUGGAGGGUGACCAGGGUUGUGACCAUAAUGUGGUGGCUUCUCUCCCUUAGGUGGUUUGCCAACUGGGGUUGGUGGCUUGUAUGAGUCUUCAGCAUUCUCAGCAGGAGGGUGACCAGGGUUGUGACCAUAAUGUGGUGGCUUCUCUCCCUUAGGUGGUUUGCCAACUGGGGUUGGUGGCUUGUGUUCUGGGAGUGGCUUCUCCCCCUUGGGAGGUUUUUCCAAUGGGGUUGGUUUGUGUUCAGGAGGUGGCUUCUCCACUGGAGGCUUGUGUUCAGGAGGUGGCUUCUCCACCGGUGGCUUGUGUUCAGGAGGUGGCUUCUCCACCGGAGGCUUAUGCUCUGGUGGUGGCUUCUCCACCGGAGGCUUAUGCUCUGGUGGUGGCUUCUUGAAUGGGGGAUGCUGAGGGUAAUCAGCAAGUGAGGGGGCGGUGAGAACCACCAGGCCAAGCAACACCACUAGCAAAUAUGUAGGAGACAUCUUUGGGUUUGGGCUCAGAUGGUGCAAAACUAGGAGAAUUGGCUAGCCUUUUAUAGCGGAUCGUACUCAAUAAUGAAAUGACACGUGUCAUUAUGACCCAUGUGUAAUGGGGUCGAUUUGGGUCCUACAGUGUUGAAAACUUCGACAUCCAGUUUUGGCCUUUUGCUUUCUCUACAGCCGCCUUGCUUUUUCCCUCUUUCCUUUUGUUUUCCUCCUGCCCCAUUCUAUCAACUAAACACAAUUAUGUAGUUGUUUAAUUCUUAAAUGAGAUAUUAUCGGUCAAUCGUAUUAUAUUUUAUCAAGAGAGAACGGAGUGCAAUGCAGCUGUAAUUUUAUCGUUUACUUUUAUCUCUUGGACCACUGCAUUUUUGUUAAGAGGUGCAAUAAUACACGUCUUUAUCUGCCAUUCAAUGUUUACAGUAAAGAGAGGGCACAAAACUCUUCACUGCUCUGCAUGUGUCCCAAAAAUGCGAUUGGACAAAUUAUGAUUUGCAUGCUAAAAAGAGGCAAAUGAGGUUAAUUCGCACCAUAAUUAUUUGGUUUUCUGGACACCAUAAAAAGAUGUUAUACAGGCAGGGAAAAACCUUCAGAGUUAGCUACCAAAGAUAAUUAUCAAGCAGAUAUCACCAAGAGAAUUCCAUAGAGUCUGAAUCAAAGACAGAUUGCUCGCUCGUGGGGGUUCUUACUUUCUUUUGGGUAUAACUCACUGAGGUCACUGUCUUUUUUAUUUGCAUUUCACAGUUAGAGUUCUGCUCUGGAAGGUUUGUUCUGGAAACAUAUAAAAGGAGCAUCAUUUUGUUCUUGGGUAACCCAUAGUCGUGAGUGGGUCCAUUUGCAUGCUACUUAGUUGAAAAGUUGGACAAUUUGCUCCGACGCCUACCUCCUGGAUUCCAUGCUCGGUAAAACAAGAAUAAAAAAAAAUAUAUAAUUUACAAAUGGGGGAAAGAAAAAAUGUCGGAAAAAAUAGUAAAAUUCAUGUCACAUGCUAGUGAGAGAAGGGGUUGUUACACUCACUCGAAGUUCUUUUCAAAAUAUCGAAUGGUAUUUUACUUUAUGUGUCAGCGCAGUUGUGAAUGGAACGUGCAAAAGUCCAAAUUGGCGUUUUUAUUUUUCCCAUGUAGGAUGGUGACCUUUAAUAAAUAUUUAAAACAAAAGACGAAAAAAAAAAGGAGGGAAAAGGGAUCACAAAAGAUAAAAUAAUGUUUACAAAAGCUCAAUUAGUUUGCAAAUUACUGUUUGGAUUUUGAUAGUAUUUUAUUUGUCGUUCUAUAUUUGAUGUAAAAGAGAAUUUAAGAUAUUUCCGAAGCAAAAGCAUUAGUUUGCUCUGUGAUGUCCCACAUCGAAUAGGGGAGAAAGUUUCUGGCGCUAUAUAUGUAGAGGCUCCUCUUAACCAAGUAGAUGCGUUUUAAAACCAUGAGGGCCCCCUUAGGUCCAAAGCGGACAAUAUCUACAUGAUUGGGUGUAAGUCAUUACAAAUGGUAUCAGAGCCGAUCCCCGACCCCGGUGUGGGGGUUUGUUUGGCCCUGUAAGGGGUGUUUGUCUGUUUGACCCCACAAUCCCAUGGGACACAACGAGGACGUUGUGUCUGCAUGGGGGGGCGUUUGUGAUGUCCCACAUCGGAUAGGGGAGAAAGUUCCUAGUGCUAUAUAUGUAGAUGUUUCUCUUAACCAAGUAGAUGCAUUUUAAAAUUGUGAGGGCCUCUUUGGGCCCAAAGCGGACAAUAUCUACAUGGUUGAGUGUAAGUCAUUACAUGCUCCAUGUCAAUUUCAGCAUUUCUCAUAUGUUUCACACAUACACAGAAGAGCAUCGUUUUUUAAAGCAUGCAUUUAUGUUGGAUUAAUUUGGAUUUUGUGGGAACUGGGGCAAGGAUCACAUGGAAGAGAGGUUGACUUUUUUCAGUACUUCAAUGGUUGAAAUAUGUGAAGGCUUGAUUGAUACUAAAGCUUGAAAUUGCGACUCUGUCAUUUGUAAAAAAAUAUGACAGCUUCCAUGCUCUCGUUUGGUUGCAUUGUCCGGUCGAGAGGUGCAAAAAGCAUUCUCUCUCUUCUAAUAGUCUUUUCGUUUAAAUCAAGGGAUUUGCCUUCCCGGUCGAGGUCCAAUAGAGGGUAACGGUCACCUACUAAACAUUAAAUGCUCCAACAACUAGUGAACUGAUCGACCCCAGCUCGACUAGUUGAGGUUACUUUUUGGUUUUCUUGUCUCCCGAGGUUAGAAACCUAUAAAUAGAGAGCUUCACUUCAUUUAUGAGUAAGAGAACACCUAAAUUUAUUUGUUUACCUACUUGUUUUUGCCAUAAAAGCUCUCAUUUCUUUUCUUGGUGUAUUAAAUCUCCAUUUGCAUAUCCUUUAGUGCACCUUUGUGAUUCAUUCUAGCCUUGAGUUGUAUUUAAGCCUUUGUUGAGCUAGGUUGAGAGUUUCAUACUUGUUUAUUGAGUGUUAAAGCCUUCAAGUGAGUUAAAACUUGAAGAGAUUGUGUAAGAGCCCAUUGGAGUCGGAAUCCAAGUGUAAAGGUGAUUAAAAGCUUGGUUGAAGCUUCAAGUUAGUGGAACUCUCACUCGGUUAUGAGCUUGAGAAGAGUGGACAUAGACAAGGCAGUGUCGAACCACUAUAAAAUCUGAGUUUGAUUUCUCUAACCUUAUCUCUUUAUAUUUGCUUCUCUUGUGCUUAAAUUUUUUGUGUUUAAAAAGAAUUUUUAAAAACUCAAUUCACCCCCUUCUUGGGAGUUUUUCUCUUUUAAGAUCAGCUUUUAUUUUCUCAAUUGGUAUCAGAACUAUGCCUCUUGUUUAAGACUUAAUCGUCUAAGAGGAAAUGGCUAAUCCAUCAAGUUCAUCUCACAUUGAAAGUUUUGCAACCAAUAGACUUCUUUUUUUUUUUUUGCGGGAACUGAUUAUCCCUAUUGGAAAACUAAAAUGACUUGGUUUUUACAAUCAAUUGAUUUAGAUGUAUGAGAUGCCAUUGAAGAUGACCUAACUUUUCCUUCAAAACUAGUUGAUGGAGUCAUGGUUCCAAAACCUAAGCAAGAAUGGGAUGAGCGUGAUUGAAGAAAUUUUCAAUUAAAUGCUAAAGUCGUUUAUACUUUGCAAUGCUCUAUGGACAGAAAUGAAUAUAAUAGAAUAUGUCAAUGCAAAUCGGUUAAAGAAAUUUGGAGAUUGCUUGAAAUAACUCAUAAAGGAACAAAUCAAGUUAAAGAGUCAAAAAUCAAUUUACUUGUUCAUAGAUAUGAAUUGUUUUUUAUGAAAGAUAAUGAAACUAUUGUUAAGAUGAUCACUAGGUUCACCAACAUUGUUAAUGGUCUUAAAGCCUUGGGAAAGACCUACAAGGAAUCCGAAAACGUGAUGAAGAUCUUGAGGUCACUUCCAUCAAAGUGGCAUACCAAGGUCACCGCAAUUUAAGAAGCAAAAGACUUGAUCAAGCUACCUUUGGAGGAGUUCAUAGGGUCAUUGAUGACAUAUGAAAUCAAUUUGGCAAAGAAGUAACAAAAAGGUGAAGACAAAAAGAAGAAGAACAUAACUCUCAAAGCUACAACUAAGGAAGAAGAAGUUGAAGAAGAAAAACAAAUUGAAGAAGAUGAAGAUUUAGCCCUCAUCACAAGAAAGUUCAACAAAUUCAUGAGGGGUGAAAGGUUUAGAAGAAGAAGGUUCACUUCUAGAAGAGACUUUUCUAAAAAGGAAUCUUCAUCUAAUGGUGACAAAAAGAGAUGGGAAGAGAAAAGAGACUUGGUGUGUUUCAAGUGCAAGAAACCGGGACACAUUAAAUAUGAUUGUCCUCUCUACAAAAGUGAAGUCAAGAGGAAAAAGAAUAAGGCAAUGAUGGCCACUUAGAGUGAAAGUGAAGAUGAAUCAUCCGAAGAAGAAAAUGAGAAAGAAGUGGCAAACAUGUGUUUCAUGGCAAUAGAUGAACUUGAUGAGGUAAAAUCUAACCUUAGUGAUUAAGAUAUACAUGAUGCAUUUGAAGAAUUGUAUGAGGAUUUUUAAAAACUUAGUUUGAAAAAUAUUUCUCUUAAAAAGAAAGUUCAACAACUUGACAAAGAACUUAGAGAAGUAAAAGAAAAAUUUUCAAAUGUUAAAGUUUCUAAAACUCAUCUUGAAAAAGAAAAUGAGAUUCUAAGAAAGAAAAAUGAAUAGUUGAACUCCUCUCUUUCAAUCUUUUCUUCUAGACAAAAAUCUUUUGAAAUGAUUCUAACUAGCUAAAAAUGUGUUUUUGACAAACAAGGGUUAAGAUUUAAAUCUUCAAAAAAUCAAAAGUAUUUUAAAAACUAUUUUGUAAAGGAAUCCACAAGUGCAAGUCCUUCCACUACUUGCAACUUUUGUGGAAGAGAAUGGCACAUUAGUAGUACGCCCUUUAAGAAAUGGUUCUCAAAAGAAUUUAAAUGCAAAAACUAAAAAAGAUUUGGAUUGAGAAAUCCAAGGUCACUAACCCUCAAGGACCCAAAAAGAUAUAGGUACCUAAAUCAACUUGAGUUUUAUGUUGUAAGGUUCAAAGAAUGAUAAGUGGUUCUUAGAUAAUGGUUGCUCAAGACACAUGACCGGAGAUGAAUCCAAGUUUGCUUUUCUUAAAAAGAAAAAUGGAGGAUAUGUUACCUUUGGAGACAAUGCAAAAGAAAGGAUGAUUGGUCAAGGCAACAUUGGUAAUGGCACAUCCUCUCUCAUUGAAAGUGUUUUAUUAGUAGAUGGUUUCAAACAUAACCUUUUAAGCAUUAGUCAAUUUUGCGACAAAGGUUUUUAAGUGAUUUUUUAAGCAUCUCAUUGCAUCAUCAAGGAUAUUCAAAAUGAUAAAACCAUUUUCAUGGGCCAUAGAUGUGAUAAUGUUUAUGCUAUAAAUAUUUCAAAAUAUGAUGGCCAUGAUAGAUGUUUUUCAAGCAUGCAUGAUCAAAGUUGGUUGUGCCAUAGGAGAUUGAGACAUGCUAACAUAGACCUCAUUUCCCAACUCAACAAAGAUGAACUUGUUAGAGGCCUUCCCAAAAUAAUUUUUUAAAAAGAUAAAGUUUGUGAAGCUUGUCAAGUGGGAAAGUAAAUCAAAAACUCUUUUAAAAACAAAAACUUCAUUUCCACAUCUAGGCCACUUGAGUUGUUGCAUAUGGAUUUAUUUGGUCCCUCUAGGACACCAAGUCUUAGAGGAAAUUCUUAUGCAUAUGCUAUUGUGGACGACUUCUCUAGAUACACAUGAGUCUUGUUUUUUAGUCAAAAGAAUAAAGUUUUUUAUGAGUUUUCAAAGUUUUGCAAUAAGAUUCAAAAUGAAAAAGGUUUUUCAAUUACUUAUAUAAGAAGUGAUCAUGGGAGAGAAUUCGAAAAUAUUGAUUUUGAAGAGUAUUGCAAUGAGCAUGGAAUUGACCACAAUUUUUUGGCUCUUAGAACUCCUCAACAAAAUGGGGUAGUUGAAAGGAAAAAUAGAACUCUUCAAAAAAUGACAAGAACCAUACUAAAUGAAAACAACUUACCAAAAUAUUUUUAGGCCAAAACGGUUAACACUUCUUGUUAUGUUUUAAAUAGAGUAUUAUUGAGGCUCAUACUUAAGAAAACUCCCUAUGAGCUUUGGAAAAACAAAAAACCCAACAUUAGUUAUUCCAAAGUCUUUGGAUGCAAUAUUUUAUAAUAAACACCAAAGACAAUCUUGGAAAAUUUGAUGCAAAAUUGGAUGUUGGAAUUUUCCUUGGUUACUCAACUUCAAGUAAAGCUUUUCGAGUUUUAACAAAAGAACCAUGGUUGUAGAGGAGUCCAUCCAUGUUAUUUUUUAUGAAUCUCCAAGAAAGAGAGAGGAUUGAUGAUGAUUUAGGUUUGAAGACCUCUAUAGGAAGAUUGCAAAUCGAAGAUAGAAGACAACAAGAAGAAAAUGGAGAGAAUCCAAAGAAAGAAGGAUCACCAUUGGCACUACCCCCUCAUCAACAAGCGCAAGGUGAAUCAAGUCAAGAGCUUCCUAAAGAAUGGAAGUUUGUCAUCAAUCACCCACAAGAUCAAAUUAUAGGCAAUCCAUCUAGUGGGGUAAGAACUAGAUCCUCUCUUAGAAAUAUUUGCAAUAAUCUAGCUUUUAUCUCUCAAAUUGAGCCUAAAAAUAUAAAUGAUGUUUUAGAUGAUGAAAAUUGGAUAAUUGCAAUGCAAGAAGAGUUAAAUCCAUUUGAAAGAAGUGGAGUAUGGGAAUUAGUACCAAGACCUUCAAAUCAAAGUGUUAUUGGAACUAGAUGGAUCUUUAGAAAUAAAAUGGAUGAAAAUAGCAUAAUUGUUAGAAAUAAAGCAAGAUUGGUAGCCCAAGGUUUUAAUCAAGAAGAAAUGAUAGAUUAUGAAGAAACCUUUGCCCCCGUAGCUAGGUUGGAAGCCAUUAGGAUGCUACUUGCCUUUGCAUGUUUUAAAGACUUUGUUUUAUAUCAAAUGGAUGUGAAAAGUGCUUUUUUAAAUGGUUUUAUAAAUGAAGAAGUAUAUGUUGAACAACCACCCGGUUUUCAAAGUUUCAACUUUCCUAACCAUGUUUUUAAACUUAAAAAGACACUUUAUGGUUUGAAACAAGCACCUAGAUCAUGGUAUGAAAAAUUGAGUAAAUUUCUUUUGAAAAAAAUGUUUUAAAAUGGGAAAAAUUGACACAACUCUUUUUAUAAAAACCAAAGAAAAUGAUAUGCUCUUAGUUCAAAUAUAUAUUGAUGAUAUCAUUUUUGGUGCUACUAAUGUCUCUCUUUAUGAAGAAUUUUCUAAGUGCAUGCAUAGUGAGUUUGAAAUGAGCAUGAUAGGAGAACUCAACUUCUUCCUUGGACUUCAAAUCAAGCAACUAAAGGAAUGAACCUUCAUCAAUCAAGCAAAGUAUAUAAGAGAUCUUCUCAAAAGGUUCAACAUGGAAGAAGCCAAAACAAUGAAGACUCUAAUGAGCUCAUCCAUUAAGCUUGAUAAGGAUGAGAAAGGUAAAUCCAUUGACUCUAUUAUGUAUAGAGGCAUGAUAGGUUCUUUGCUCUAUUUGACCACUAGUAGACCUUACAUUAUGUAUAGUGUGUGUUUGUGUACUAGAUUUCAAUCUUGUCUUAAAAAAUCUCACUUAAGUGUCGUGAAAAGAAUCCUCAAAUAUUUGAAAGGGACAAUGGACAUAGGCUUAUGGUAUCCUAAGAGUGAUAACUUUGAAUUAAUUGGUUUUUUGGAUGCUGAUUUUGUCAGUUGUAGGGUUGAAAAAUAAAACACUAGUGGCACUUUUCAUUUCUUAAGACACUUACUUGUCUCAUGGCAUAAUAAGAAGCAAAAUUUGGUAGCUUUGUCAACAGCAGAAGCUAAAUACAUAGCAACUGGUUUAUGUUGUGCACAAAUCCUUUGGAUGAAAUAAACACUUAGUGAUUUUGAUUUAUCUUUUGAGCAUAUUCCUAUUAAAUGUGAUAAUAGUAGUGCCAUAAGUAUAUCAAAAAAUCUCGUGCAACACUCUAGGACUAAGCAUAUAGAGAUUAGACAUAAUUUUCUUAGAUAUCAUACACAAAAGGAUGAUAUAACACUUGAAUUUGUAAGCAUAAAAGACCAACUUGCCGAUAUCUUUACAAAACCUCUAAGAACAUUUUGUUGAUAUUAGAGGACAAUUAGGAGUGAUUUCUUUAUGAUCUAAUGUGAUGAAUUCUUGAUGAAUAUACUUUUUGAUUGCAUGAAUUUCAUGUCAUAUAUGCAUCAUAUAGAAAUAUACUUAGAUAAUGGUCAAAUUUCGACCAAAAAUCAAAAUUCCCAUGGCAUUAGGCAUAAAAAUUUUGGAAUUUCAACUGAAAAUGGUAGGAGGAGGAUCACAAAAUGAGAAAGUAUGCAAAAAUUGAAAAAUCAAAACGUUGACCAAGCGGUCAAUCGGACUAGACCGAUCGACUAGUUUGUCGAGAUUUAGGAUUUUUAAGAGACUCCAACGCUUCAAUUUUUGCACCGUUCUCCUCUAUUUCUUCACGGUUUCUCUGAUUUUGUCUUUUAGAGACUAAUUUGAGUGCGUUUUGGAUCAAUUGAAGCAUUUUGGAUUGGAUUUUAGGAAGAUUGAAAGUUAAGGUUUCGGAUUUGGGUCGCCUUCUCUUCCUCUCGCGUGUCACAAUCAGCUUUAGCAUUGUUCUCUUUCCAUUUUCACACACCUAGGGUUUCAGUUGUGAGCAUCUCUCUCUCUUUACCAACCACUACUCCCUUGCUUCUUCCAUAUGGCUCCUAGGCGAGAGUCCGCUACUUCUAGGGCACAAGGCAAGCACCCAACUGAGUCGUCUCAGUCAAAGGCACGUCGAAAAGUGAGAUUUGACAUUGCCUUGUUCAGUUCCAUGGAGGACUACCAACUAUACAAGCAACACUUUGCUUAGAGACGAGUAGUUCCCAAGAGAAAUAUUAAUUUUCCUCAACUUCAGCAUUUCGAAUUUAAGGGUCUAUUUACUAGGAUGGUUGGUUGUCUAUUGUCACAAUUUCGGAGCCGGUUUUCCUGACCUUAGUGCGAGUUUUUUACUCGAGGGCGACUUAUGGCAUGGGUGGCAUGAUCAUUUCUACUGUUGGAGGAGUUGAGAUCUGUCUGGACCCAGAGAGCAUCUGCCAUAUUUUCGAUAUUGCUCUGGUUGGACUCAAAGUAUACAAGUCCAAAAUGUGGCCCAUUGUGCCAGGAUUUGAGCUUAGAGAGGUCAUUCAGAGGAUUUGUGAACUUCCAGACGCCCAGGAGAUGGGCAAACCAUUGCCACACAGUUUGACGGUCAUCAACAGGGUGCUACACCAUAUAUUGUGCUCUAUCUUUCUACCACGAAGUGGACAUUGAGAUGAGGUCUCUUAUUAUGAGGCAUUCCUUAUUGACUCCAUUCUAACGGAGAGACGAAUUCAUCUACUAUGUCAUCAUUCACUAAGCCUCCUCACAGUGACAUACCACCUCAUCAGGCACCUCUUGCUCCUGACCAUGCUCCAUUGAUGGAUUUAUUUACUCAUAUUAGCUCUCUAGGCACUCGCAUGAAGGAGUUUGUUGUAGUUAGUGAUACAUGGUUCUACUCCAUAGAGGAUCGCAUGGAUCAGUAUCAGACUGGCUUCACGUCACAGUUUGAGUAUCUCCAAUAGAGGAUUGAGCAUAUUGAGGAUCACUUGAGCAUGAGAAGAUGAUGGCUUUUCUAUGCUCUGUGUUUCCACCUCCACCUCGUCAACCUUGAUUUCUUAGAGACCCAUUGUUUUCAUUUUGUAAUGUUGCCAAAAGGGGGAGAUAUUUAGGAUCUAGGACUCUAUAGGAGACUUACAUGCAUAUCAUUUUCAUAUCAUUGUUUGGAUCGUACAUAUUGGAUAGUGAUACUUUUUACUUAUAUAUGAUAUGCCUAUAUGUUUCAUGUCUUACAUUGUUUCUUAUUGCAAAUUAUCUCUAACAUGUCUUGAUUAUCUUUUUUUUAACUUCAUAAAUUUUGAUUGUUAACCCAUGAUUGGUUUGAGGGGAAGAUUCUUCUUCUCCUAGAUAACCAAGGUUUGUCAUCAUAAAAAAAUUGGAGAUUGUUAGCCCAAGGGUUCUCCUAAUCAUGUUUUGAUGAUAACAAACCAUGCUUAAGUUACUAAUUGGUUUGAAUUAUAAAGAAUUUCAAGUGUUAAUUUGAAAAUUCAUCAAAGAACCUAAUGGAUGCAAGAUCAAGAUUUUUGGAAGACCUUUAAUCAUAAGAAACAUAUGUAAGAUGAAUGCAUGGGUGCACUUAAGAUUUGCAUAUCAUUUCAUGCAUAUUUGGAAAACACGGUUUAUGCUUUAAAGUUACAUUUCCAUCAAAAUUUGAGAUCCAUCAAAUGAACCUUAGGAAAAAUGUUUUAAAAUUGGCAUAUAAUUUUACCUAAAGACCUUGCCUAAGUGUUAGAAGCAAAAGGACAAAAAAAAUAUAGGUUUUCUGGUCAAAAAUGGUGAACCAGUCAAGGCAUUGUCUAAAUCAGCUCAAUCGGCCAAGGUACCGGUCGAUCGGUUUCCCUUUCCCUGUCGAGAUCUAGUCAAGAGGUACAAAAAUCACAAUCUCUGUCUCUUUCUCUCUUUGUCUAUCUUCCAGUAGUCUUUCCUUCCCGGUCGAGGGAUUUGCCUUCCCGAUUGAGGUCCGAUUGAGAGUAAUAGUCACUUGCCAAAUAUUAAAUGCUCCAACAGUUAGUGAACUGGUCGACCCCCACCUUGCCCAGUUGAGGUUACUUUUUGGUUUUCUUGGCUCCCGAUGUUAGAAACCUAUAAAUAGAGAGUUCCACUUCAUUUAUGAGCAAGAGAACACUUGCAUUUAUUUGUUUACCUACUUGUUCUUGCCUUAAAAGCUCUCAUUUCUUUUCUUGGUGCAUUAAAUCUCCAUUUUGAUAUCCUUUAGUGCACCUUUGUGAUUCAUCUUAGCCUUGAGUUGUAUUUGAGCCCUUUUUUUAGCUAGGUUGAGAGUUUCAUACUUGUUAAUUGAGUGUUAAAGCCUUCAAGUGAGUUGAAACUUGUAGAGAUUAUGUGAGAGUCGAUUGGAGCCGAAAUCCAAGUGUAAAGGUGAUUAGAAGCUUGGUUGAAGCUUCAAGUUAGUGGAAUCCUCACUCAAUUAGGAGCUUGAGGAGAGUGGACGUAGCCAAGGAAGUGUCGAACCACUAUAAAAUUUGAGUUUGAUUUCUCUAACAUUGUCUCUUUAUAUUUGUUUAUCUUGUGCUUAAAUUUAUUGUGUUUAAAAAGAAUUUUUAAAUACCCAAUUCACCCCCCUCUUGGGUGUUUUUCUCUUUUAAAAUUAGCCUUUAUUUUCUCACAAACUAUUGUAGUAUAGUGGUUUUUAGGUGUCAUCCAUUAGGAUGAAUUGUUCUCGGUAAUUAAGGCGUGAAUGAGAGGAGAAUUAAUGAUUGUGAUUAAGUAAAAUUGAUUUGAAAAUUCAUGGUGAAAAAUCAAUUUAACAAUGGUUUCUAAUUGAGAAAAACAAUGAAAUGUGAAAUAAAAUAAAAUUAAUAGGAAAUGAAAUUCUCGAAGUUAGAAUUUUCUAAAAAACAAAUUCCAUGGUGAAUGGAUGUUGAGAUCUAAUUUUCAUCAAGUUAGAUUGAAAACCGAAAUUUUCAUAUAAACUGAUUUUUUAUUUAGUUUUAGGUCUAGAUUUAAUUUCCCUUAAAAUUAGGUUAUUUAAUCCAAGAAAUCAAUUCAAAUCAUAUAUUCAAUUCAUCUUAAAUUAUCUUCCAAUUAUUCACACAAUGCAACUAUUCAAUCUCAUCAAAUCUAGCUUUUAAGAAUUUAAUGAAUCUACCUAGUUUGCAUUGUAAUAGUCAUCCAUGACAAUUUGAAGAGAAAAAUAAUUCAAUUAAUCAAUCACUUGGAUCAAAUUACCUUUGCAAUUAAAGUUCAUUUCUCUAAUUCACCACAGAUUUUGUCUCUAGAUCCUCCUUUCUCAAAGAAAAAUGAGAUUUAGCCACACAUGAUUGGAGAUUUGGUCUCAUAAGGCAUGUUUAGCUAGUGAUAAAAUGAGAGAAAAUAAAGAAAAAUAGAGAAUUCGAUUAAGAAAGAAAAUCUAAAAAAUUCUACAAUUAGAAAUGUCCAAAAAGCUUUUUCAUGAGAAAAUCAAGUUUCUAUUUAUAGGCCAAGGUCAAGUGGACACUUGACAUCAUCUAAGAGGUCUUCCGGAAGCUUCUUCAUCAAGAAAUCUGGAGUUUAAUAAUAAAAUGGUCAUUUCACAAGAGCUCAAACAAUUUCGCAUGAUUAUGUGAAAUAAAAAAUGCAACAACAGCAAUUUACAUCUUCUUGGAGCAUUUCGCAUGACUGUGUGAAAUUUUCACAUGAUCAUGUGGAAUCGACUUGACAACUCUCAUUUAGCCUACAACAUAAUUCCACCUUUUGGUCCAUUUUUCAUAGUCAUGCGAAAUGGAAAUAUUUGAUUUUUAAGUUUUCUUUUGUCAUUUCUUUCAUUUCCUUCUCUUGAUUCCACUUCAACUACCUCCGAAUCCUGGUCCAAACCAAUUGCAUUACUUCUUUCAUUAUGCAUUUGGAUCAUCAUCAACAUUAUUUGUUCUCUUCAAUUUGAUUCAUCUCUUUUGUCACCAAUUUAUCAAAAUCAUACCUUGAAAUGACUCCAAAACUUCAUAAAACUUGUUAGUAACUCUUGCAAGGGCAACAACAUAUUAAUUAAGUGUUUUAGGCAUAGUUACUACUCAAAAGAUGCGAAACUCAUGAUAAUUAUUAUAUAAAAUAUGCUCUUUUUGAGUAGUAAUCAACUUUCUUGCAUAAGCAGACCUUUUAGGGUGGAGUACUAAAGACCAAUAUGCUUGUCCUUGUUGUAAUAAAGAAACUUGCUCUUAUUGAUUGCACCAUGGGAGAAAAUUUUGCUACAUGAGUUAUCAUCAAUUUCUUCCCACCAAUCAUAGAUUUAGACGUGACAAGAGGCCUCUUAAUGGCAAGGAGGAACUGACACUCACACUUAUACAAUUAUCGGGCAUUGAUGUGUUGCAACAAUUAGAAUAACUUACACCAAUUAUGUUGGGGAAGUCACAAAAGGCAAACAUGAAAACUAAAAGGAAAAAAGAAAAAUGUUACAUAUCACCACAACUGGAAAGAAAAAAGUAUUUACUUUCAUUUGCCAUAUUGGAAAGCACUUAUUUUACAUCAUAAUAAUUUAGACAUAAUGCAUAUUGAGAAAAAUGUGUGACAAUAUAAUUGAGACAUUGUUCAGUAUUGACGAAGAAACAAGGACAACCUAAAUAGUCAUCUCGAUUUACAAGCUCUAACUAUUAGAAAUGAGAUUCACCCAAUAGAAAGCAGGACCAAAUUUAUUUUGCUUGCAACAUGCUACUCACUCACCCCAAAUGAGAUUAAGGAAUUUUGCAAGUUUUUGAAAUCAAUAAAGGUCCCCAAUGGCUAUUCUUUCAAUAUCUCUCGUUAUGUGCAACUCAAUGAAAGGAAGAUAUAUGAGCUCAAAUUGUAUGAUUGUCAUGUCCUAAUGCAACAACUUCUCUCACUUGUAGUUCGUGGAGUUCUACAUAAGAAUGUUUGUGGAGUUAUCAUAGAAUUGCGUAAUUUUUUCAAGCAAUUGUGCUCAAAGGUGUUAGAAACAAAUCACUUACACCAACUUGAGAACAAUAUUAUUGUCAUACUAUGUAAAAUGGAGCAAAUAUUUCUUCCAUCAUUCUUUGAUAUUAUGGUGCAUUUACUUGUGCAUCUAGUAAGGCAAAGGUUGCAAGACUUGUGCAAUAUUGUUGGAUGUACCUAAUUGAACGAUAUUGUUAUAAUUUCAUAUGAAUCAUUUAAUUUUAUUUUAUAUUAUGUUCAGUUCAUUAACAUGUACAUUGGUCUACAUAUGGAUGAUGAUAGGUACCUAAGCACUUUAAAGUCAUAUGUGCGUAAUAGAACUUUUCUAGAAGGUUCUAUUGUAGAAAGGUACCUUGCAAAAGAAUGUACAACAUUUUAUUCUAGGUACUUGAAUGAUGUGGAAAUAAAGUAUAAUCACAAUGAUAGAAACUUUGUUGGUUUCAACACUAGAGGAGAUGAAAGGGGUUAUCUUUAAACAUAUUGGACAUGCAUUGGGAAAGCCCAUAUUUCAUUAACUUAGUUCAAAAGAGUGGUCACAAGCACAUUUAUAUGUGUUGACAAAUUGCGAAGAUGUCAUACCAUUCAUUGAGUAAAAAAUUUAUUUGAAUUUUAAUUAAAGCUCUAGUUUAUAUCCUUAAUCAAUGUUUUUUAAAUUCACAAGGAGCACAAGCAAACCAUCAAGGCUAGACCACAUAUACGUGUUUGAGACGUAGAUUUAAUUCAUAACAAGGAAUUUAUCAAGUGGUUUGAAAGACAUGUAAGUAUAUUCCUUAUUAUAAGGGAUUUAUUUCACAUUAUGUUUAUAUUGAAUCCAAACCUAUUAUUGAAUUGUAGGUUGAACAAUUACAUAAUGAAGGUCAUAUAUCUGAACACCUUCUCACAUUAUCAUGUGUUCCAAAUUCAUUAGUUACAUGCUUCAAAUGAUAUAUUGUCAAUGGAUUUAGAUCCCACAUUAAAGAACGUGAUAAAAAAGUUUUUAAAAAAAGACUCAGAAUAAUGGAAUUGUUGUAGUUGCAAAAACGUCAAGCUUUACAAGUGCAUGUGAUAUGAGUCCAAUUAUUAGUGAUGCUCUCUACUAUGGUGUUCUAACUAAAGUUGUUGAGUUACAUUAUCUUGGUGAAAAUAAGGUUGUUUUAUUCGAGUUUGAUUGGUGGGAUGUUACAAAUAUUGGAAAAUUGAUAAAAGAUGAUGAGUACAAUUACACAUUUGUUAACUUUGCAUGAAUUCUAACCACGAACGAACGAUUUGUACUUGCAUCUCCAGCAAAGUAAGUGUUCUAUGUGAAGAAUGCGAAUGAAUCAGAUUGGCAUACUAUCAUGGAGAUGCAACCUCAAGACCUCUAUAAGAUGAACGGGAUAGGAUCCAAUGGUGAUUUUGAACCAUUUCAACAAAGUGAACUACAUGAUCACUAAUAUAUCUCAGAUUUAGUUGAUGAAGAUAUAAUCAAGUGGAACAAAAGUGAUGUUUUAGGACUAAUCAUCCUAAAAAAUAUUGUAGUUUCUUAAAAAAAAAAUGAAAAUGAAGAAGAUAAUUGAACCUUUGUCAUACUUUAAAAAGCAACUAUGCAUUGUUCAUUUUGUAUGUUUUGGUUUUCUUCAUUUAAUUUCCUGAUUUUUGUGAUUCAAUGUCAUAUUAUUGAUCUUGAAAUAUUUUUCUAAUUUUUCAUUCUACGAUGGUUUCAACAAGGAUGACAUCAAGUCAAAAAAGGAAAUGUGGUCCCACACACAAUAUUGCAUUACAGGGAUUAAGGUCAGGGAAGAAGGUAAAAGUUGCAUUUAAUGAGUACAAUCAAUUGGUUAAACAGAAAAAUGGAAAACACUUAUCGAGCUACAUAGGGACACUUGUAUCUAACCAACACAAUGUACCUCUCCAAGCUAGUGAUUGGAAAAAUGUUCCAAAUGAUGCAAAAGAGAAAGUAUGGCCUUUGUUUUGGUAUGUUGUAUUUCUCACUAUAUGAUGUCAUUUCACUGUUAUUCUAUUUUGUGACUAACGUUUGAAUCAUAUGUAAGAAAAAUUUGAAGUAGAUAAAGACUGAAAAGAUUACAUGUUGGGUAUAGCCUCAAAUAAAUAUAGAAGCUAUAAAAAUAUGAUGAAUGCAAAAUACUAUGACCCUUGGCAUAAGGAUGCAUGAGGAGAGGUUAAUACAUAAAUCACCAUUUGUCUCUGAUGUUGAUUGGAAGUGGCUUGUCUCUGAUGCAUAAACCAAAUCCCCCACUGAAUGUUUGAUAUUUGAUAGCAGGAAAAACACACCCGCAGCUAUACACCUCCAUCAUUCAGAUAAUUAUAGUGGGGGAGAUGAUUCAUGGUUGCCCUUAUACCCUUUAUUUGCACCAUCUAUUGAGAUUCUUUAUCAUGGCCAGGUUUUACUGCAGCAAUAAGAUAUGGUGGCAACAAUUUUAUCUAUAGGUGCGGUUCCAGACCGCCUCCAUAGGUGCGGUUCCUGACUGCCUCCAUAGGUGCCUCUUCUUGUAAUGUUUGUUCUGGGAAUUACACUUGAAAGCCUUAUCGUGAUAAGGGAUUACAAACACUAGUUCAGAGGACAGCCAUGUUAAACUUCCACUAUGUUUGUGUCACAUUAUCAGCAGCCUAGUGUUUAUUGGUCAUGCUAUCUGCAACUAAUAUAACCCGGUGAACUUCAAUCUAAAUUCUGAAAGUACUCAUGUGACAGAUGGUGCCUUUCAGCAGAUAUCAUCAAUUUAAAAGUAGUGUGUGUGCCUAUAGGUGGGAAGGCCUUGGCAAAUGUUCAGUAUUCCGGUAAUUCAAGAAGGAUAUAUCUAAAAUAGAUUUUCUUCUUGCCCAUUUCAAUAGUUAAAAUUUGAGAAGAUUGUGUCCACAUCACACAAAUAUUAUUGGUCCUUCUGUUGCAAUUUACCUCUGAACAUGUCUUCCAAUUCCCACGGUCCUGUUACUCCAGGAAAACUAUUUCGGUCAUAUUGAAAAAAAAAAUAUUAAAGAAGGUACACAUGCUUUUAAGUGGACUGGGGCAUUCAUAUCAGGUGGUCUGUAUCCACAUAUGCCACUUCGUGAAAGGUGGAACAGCCUAAUCACUAGGCUAUUUAGUGUGGCCCAGCCACGUUAAUCAAGCACAAGUCUUCAUACUUAAAGUCAAAUGGUGUCUUUAGUCUCAUUACACAUCGCUAUUUGAAGAUUAACUCAUCACUAGUGUAAUGCGAUUAAGACAGUCCUAACUCAAUAUUUGUUCUAGUUUUGGAUGCAAAUGCUUGCUGGUUUCAUCAUUGGAUGGGAUAAAGGUGCAAUCAGGACUAUGAAUACGUGCAGUAAUACUUCAUUCUCUUUUUUCUCAAUGAGACUUCUUGGCACAAUUUUGCUGCUCAGCAACCUACCUUUCCAUGGAAAAUCAGUUGUGACUGAUAGUAAUGGAUAUAUUCUAGAAAGCUAAACAUAGAUAGCAUUCAAUAUUAUCGAUAUAACAUUAACAGCGUAUGUCUCAAUGCUCAUCAGCUACAAGCAAUGGACAAACACUUUGAGUAACUCACAGCAGUCAAAAUUCCUAAACAGGACAGACGUGACAGAUCUAUAUAUAGAACACUGCAUAUGAGUCACAGGAAAAGAUAAUACGGGUACAUAGAAGCUCUUAUUUUACAUAUUACUCAUACUGAUCAAAGUCGCUCAGUUGGGAUGGAUGGGAGAAGGAGGUUUGAGGGGUGGCUUGUGCGGGGAAGUUGGCAGCUUCUUUCCGGGAGCUGGUUGCUUCUUUGCUGGAGUUGAAGGAGGCUUAAUCUUCCGAGGUGGCUUGUAUGAGUCUUCAGCAUUCUCAGCAGGAGGGUGACCAGGGUUGUGACCAUAAUGUGGUGGCUUCUCUCCCUUAGGUGGUUUGCCAACUGGGGUUGGUGGCUUGUUUUCUGGGAGUGGCUUCUCUCCCUUGGGUGGUUUGCCAACUGGGGUUGGUGGCUUGUGUUCUGGGAGUGGCUUCUCCCCCUUGGGAGGUUUUUCGAAUGGGGUGGGUUUGUGUCCUGGUGGUGGCUUCUCUCCCUUGGGAGGUUUACCAAUUGGGGUCGGUGGCUUGUGUUCUGGGAGGGGCUUCUCUCCCUGGGGAGGUUUAGUGGGUGGCUUGUGUUCUGGAGGUGGCUUCUCCACCGGAGGCUUAUGCUCUGGUGGUGGCUUCUCGAAGGGGGGAUGCUCAGGGUAAUCACCAAGUGAGGGGGUGGUGAGAACCACCAUGCCAAGCAACAACACUAGCAAGUAUGUAGUAGACAUCUUUGGGUUUGGACUCAGACAGUGCAAAACUACGAGAAAUCGCUAGCCCUUUAUAGCGGCUCGGACCUAAUACUGACAUAAUAUAAAAUAAAUAUUAUAUUUUAUCAAGAGAGAACAGAGUGUAAUUUUAUCAUUAAUACCGAUCGAGGCCAAAGAAAGAAGACCCAUAAUCCAUUUCCCACAAGCAUACACAAUGCAGCUGUAAUUUUAUCAUUUACUUUUAUCCCUUGGACCACUGCAUUUUUGUUGAGAGACACAAUAACACAUUUUUAUCUGUCAUUCAACAUUUACAGUAAAGAGAGGGCACAAAACGCAAUUAGAUAAAUUAUGUUUUGCCUGCUAAAAAGAGGCAAAUAACUUUAUUUGCAACAUAAUUAUUUUGGUUUCUAGUGACCCCGGGGCCUUUCGGUUGGUUUGGGAUCGGAAAAUGAACAUCAUAGGGGGGGUUGUGCCCUUAUGGGCAUAUAUAUCUGAUAGCUUCAACUGGCCUUGUUCCUAGAAAGAAAUUGCCAAAGAUAUAAACUUAUUCCAGGCUGAAAGUAGAUGAGAGUCAUAAUGAACAUCAACCUUUGUUCAGUUUGAUUCAAUGCCCCCAUAGUGUUCAUUUCACAGAUCUGAAUGAUUAUAUCCGUUGAAUACAUAAAUUAAUGAAGACAAAUAUGAAACCCAAGAUACAUCUCUGCAUAACAACCCCAACCCUGGUUGCUAUGUUUCCCUUCUUCUAUUCACAUGAGGAUACUGGUUAUAAUUGUCAAACUUGCAACAAGCCCUUUGACACCUAACGUCAAUGGACGAAUUAAAAGUCUCCUUCAAACGUCUAUUUCACAGCAUGAAGCUUAUAAAGGAUGCUGACAACCUUCAGAGUUAGCGACAAAAGAUAAUUAUCAAGGAGAGAUAGUUCCAUGAGAAUUCCAAGGAGUCUGAAUCAAAGACAAAUUGCUCACUCAAGGGUUCUUAUUUUCUUUUAGGUACAAAUCUCUUGAGUGUUGUUAAAGAAACACGUCACUGUCAUUUUGAUUUGCAUUUAACAUUUCACUUUUGUUCUGGAAGGUUUGUUCCGGAAACAUAUCAAAUGAGCAUCAUUUUCUUCUUCGGUGACACAUGGUCGCGAGUACGUGGGUCCAUUUUCAUGCCACUUAGUUGAAAAGUUGGAAAGAAAAAACAUGCCAACAAGAAGAUAGUGAGAGAAGGGGCACUUCAAGCCUUUAACAUGAACAAACAGUAAAUAAAAGAUGUUUCUCCACUCAUAAAAGUGUGUUAGAUAGCAAUAUAACGAAUCACAUCCAAAAUCUUUACUAGGCUCAAACAUAAAGAAGACUCAUUUUUAAGAAAAGAUAAAAAUGGCAUUGUCUGAUAGUAUCCAAUACACGAGAUGGCACUUAAUUUGUACAAGAUCUGUCAAUGCUGACGCACAUUUUCUGAUUAAAAAAAAACUGAUCAGUCAAAAGCAAUGAAGAGAAGUGAUGACAAUGAAUGAUGCUUCCAAUAUUUUCACCCCUUAUAGUGUUCUUCAUGAUUCAGAUAUAUAAUUGGAAAUAGAACAACCCUAUGCCAUACAUUCGUCUAAGUAUGGUGUCUAAUUUUUUGUGUCAGCGGUUGCGAAUGGAGCGUGCAAAAGUCCAAAUUGGCGUCUCUCCAUUUCCACAUAGGAAGGUGACCUUUAUUGACAAAUACCCAAUAUUUGUAGACAUUCCUUAAAUAUCAUAACUUCUUGUUGAUUUGAAAAUCAUUUUUCAACUACCAUGUUUUAAUAAAUAUUUUUUAAAAUGUAUUUUUAUCAAAGUCCACCAUGAUGGAUAAUAUUCACCAUGCAAUAAUUAAUAAAGUACAAACUAAGCGAAAUGAAAAGCAUUUUCUUUGCUUUGAGUUGAUUUUGGUUGCAUUGAGUUGAUUUUGGUUUCAUGGUUUUUUCAACUCUUAUUUUGAUUGGAAGAUGUCAAGAAAAGAAAACAUAAAGAAAAAUUAAAAGGGAAAAAAGAAGAAAAAUAAAAAAAAAUAGAUUUAAAAGUUAAUAAAUUAUUUUUUAUAUUUAUUUUAAUUCAUUUCACUUAUUUUUCUUUUACUAUAUAAAAUUUAAAUAAUUUAAAUUUUAUAAUUAAUUUAAUUACAUUUCAUUUUCUUCUAUAUUUAAAUAUUGGAAAAAUAUUUUACUUAAUAUUUUUUUCUUUAAUUUCUUUGGCAUUUUGGGAACCAAACUUAGCCUUUAAAAUAAAAAACAAAAAAAAAAUGAAAAUAAGGAGGGAAAAGUGAGAAAAGAUAAAAACAAUAUGUAAAGGAUUUGAAAAGUAUUAGUUUGUAAUUACUAUUUGGAUUUCAAUAGUAUUUUAUUUGUCUUUCUAUAUUUCAUGUAAGAGAGAAUUUAAGAUAUUCCCCAAGGCAAAGCAUUAGUUACCUGCAAUCAGUGGUGAUAAGGCUCCAAGCCAAUUUUGGGCCCCAUAUCUUAAGACAGUACAAUUUCCAUUUCAACAUUUCUGAUUUCUCAGAUGUUUCACAUACCACAGAAGAACAUUGUUUGUGAAAAUAUGCAUUUAUGUUGGAUUUUGUAUGCUGUGGGGACUGGGGCAAGGAUCAUAUGGAAGAGUGGUUGACUUUUUCUGUACUUUAACGGUUGAAAUAGGAUAAGCACGGGCAUUUGUGAGGCUUAAUUGAUUUUGAAGCCUGAAAUUGCGUUUCUGUCAUUUUGUCAAAAAAAUGGCAGAUUCCAUACUCAUAUGUUUGGCCUGUGGCCAUGUACAGAUGCCAUUUAGUGACCAGUUUGUAACUGUCAAUCGUUGCGUUUUGACUCUGCCUCAACAACAUCUGCCAUUGACGGGUUUUCAUACUUGCAAAUCAAAUAGUCUUUCGUCCCAUCAGGAAUUUCGGUUUAAAUAUUAUUAAGCAUACGUUUGGCUGACAAUCAUUAUCCAGUUCAUGAUUUGGUUUCUUACCCUUAAUCAAUGGUUUCUAAGUGAAUAUAUGUAGAAGGAAAUCCGAAGUGUAGACAGUAGUAUCGAUAACUCUCAAUAUUCUCUAUAUAAUAGAAUAAACAGCGUCAUAGUGAUCGUCGCCUACAAGCAAGGUACAAAUACCAAAACGAGUGACUCACAUAGACAUCUCCCAACAAGAUGUAGUAGUGACUGACACAUGGACACAAUUAACUCGUAGAAAAGGAUAAGACCAUUGCACAGCAGCUCUUAUUUUACAUACUACUUAUGCUAACCAAAGUCAAUUAGUUGGGAUGGGUGGGAGAUGGAGGUUUGUGCGGUGGCUUGUGGGGCGGAGUUGAUGGCUUCUUUCCAGGAGCUUCUGGCUUUUUCAUCGGAGCUGAAGGAGGCUCAAUCUUAUGAGGCGGCUUGUAUGAGUCUUCUUUACUCUCGACAGGAGGGUGGCCAGGGUUGUGAUCAUAAUGUGGUGGCUUCUCUCCCUUAGGUGGCUUGCCAACUGGGGUUGGUGGCUUGUGUUCAGGAAGUGGUUUCUCUCCCAUGGGAGGUUUAGCAAUUGGGGUUGGUGGCUUGUGUUCUGGGAGUGGCUUCUCUCCCUUGGGAGGUUUAGUAGGUGACUUGUGUUCUGGAGGUGGCUUCUCCACCGGAGGCUUGUGCUCCGGUGGUGGCUUCUUGGUUGGAGGGGGCUUGGGGUAAUCAGCAAGAGAUGGGGUGGUGAGAACCACCAGUCCAAGGAACAACACUAGCAAGUAUGUGGGAGACAUUUUUGAGUUUGGGCUGAUCAGAUGAUGCAAAACUAAAGCAUUACGUGACCUUUUAUAGCAUGUAGCUCCCAAUACCCACUAAGUAUUGUGGGGUCCAUUUGUGCCCUACGGGGUUGAAAACUUAGACAAUUGGGCAAGGACCCACCUGACUAUGGAGGACUAGUGAGGUGUGAUCAUAGCUUUAGGAUUUUUCUUCCUCUGCAGCCGUCGUGCCGUUGGCAUGAUUUUCUUAAUCUUAAAUAAAGGCAUAGUUAUAGAGUUGUUUAAUCUCUAAAUGGGAUUUUAUAUAUAUCUUCAGAUAGCCAUUAAUAUAUUUGAUGAAGAAAGAAAGACAAGUGCAUACAACAUGUAUACGACUAGCUUUCAUGGAGUUCAUUUAUGAUCAGUUUUCCUGUACAUGUAAACCAGGAUCAUAUAUAUGUUUCUGUUCCACAACUAUUUUGGAAUCUUGUUUAUCAGUUUUUAUCAUUAUAAUGUCACAUAGGCUGCCAACUUGGGCGCUAAAAGAACCAGUUGGGCUAGUUCGUUUCAGAAUUUCAAUGUGGAUUCAGGAAUUGUUUUGUAAGAUAUGCGAAAUAGUAGAGGGAUGAAUAGUGUUUCAUUAAUAAAAGUGUCCUGUAAAUUAGAAGGUGUCAUAGAAACUAUAAUCAAUAAAUAACUUUUUUUCCCCACGGGUGGUGUUUCUUGUGGGGAUCAGUGACUGGUUUAGGUUCACCCAAAAUGAGUUCAGACUAAAAUUGGUUUGAGUCAAUGCCGUGUCUCUUUUUUCCAGAAAUCAACUAUUUUAUGCAUUGAAUAAAUCAUACAAAGAAAAUAUGAACGCCCGCAAAACCUAAACCCUGGUUGCUAACUUUCUAUGUUUCAGUUCUAUUCACGCAAGAAUAUUAGUUUAAGUUUGGGAAAAAUGGCAACUUACCUAGUGAUUACUUGGUUUUGGUUUGCGACUAUUUACGCAACCAACCAUGAGUUUGACUUUAACGUCAUGGGUUGAAGCCUCCUACAGGAAGGGAGAAAGCUCCACAGCUAGCUCCAAAAGAGAAUUAUCACAUUGAUAGCUCCAGAGAUUCCCAAGGGGACUGAAUCAAAGACAAGUUCCUCACUUUUUCUUCUUUUGAGGCCAAAUAUGAACCAAGGAUCACACAACCUCAUUCAACUUCAUAAGUUUGAUUUCAUGCAGUUGAACACUGGGUGAAGGCCAUGACAAGAAUUGAUUCAAAAAUUCUAUCACUCUUUUAAGUAAUGGAAGAUUAUUAUCUCUGAUUGGCAUCACAACAGCACAUGCUCCUAGAUCUUUCUAGACACUCCAUGCAAUGAAAGCACAAUGGAUCUUGUAACGAUAGAAACUAAGCCAUGCUACAGUACUAGAUGAUGAGGUAAAACUAGUAGACACGGGUGGCAGCCUAUAUGGGAGGGACACAAGUCUAAUUGAUUUGCAUUUCAGCAUUAUAGAUAGGUAUGUUUUGGAAGAUUUGUUCUGGAAAUACCGCACCAAGUAGGAUUCUUUUUCUCUUUAGUGGGUCCACUUGCAUGCCAAUUAACGAGUUGAAAAGUAUGAGCACCUACCUCGUGCUCGUGGAACCGAAGGUCAGUGAAGUGGGGCUCCUUUUGGCCUCGUGUAAACUUGAUUCAGAAGUGAAGUUAAUAGUCUUCCAUUCAGAUGGAUACAUGGGAAUUUUUCUCUUUUAUUUAUUUAUUUAUUUUUUUUUUGUGUGUGUAUGUCAAAGGAUAAUGAAUGAAGCGCGUUAGCUUGUUUUCUGACUGGAACCGCAGAUGUCCAAAUUGGAGUUCCUUCAUUUCUUACUUAGGAUUGUUACAUGUAUAAACAAGGUAUAAGAAAUAUGCCAACGUGUCUUGAGGAGUUAUUGAUUAGAAAUAACAAGUCACCCGACUGUAGAGUUCCAAGAUUUGAAUCUUCAGACCCUAUAGCAGCCUCUGGGGUACGUGGCAUCCUAUAGCAUAUUAAUGAAGGCUUUUUCGAUUUAGACUUCACAAUACCAAUUAAUAUGUAUGCACAAAAUGGAGAUGACCCCAAAAAAAACAGAAUCGCCAUAGUUUAUGAGGUUAAGGUGAUUCUCCACUUAAUAUCUACAUUAGCUAAUUAUGUAAAUCAAAUGAACUUCUAUUUUUCCUUUUUUUUUUUGGUUUAUGUCAAAUAGUAGCCCAUAAUUAACCCAACCAUUAGCCUGUUUGAAUUGAUUUCACAUGCACAAUGUUGUAGUAGUUCAUAUUUUGAAUUUUAUUUUUACAAAGGUAGUUAAGGAAAAUGAAGUAUAAUAAUUAUAAAAGCAGACUAUAUACACUACAAUAAUUGUUAGAAUGGUAUCUCAAAUUCUAAUUUAAAAUAUUAUUUUUUGUAAAAGAAAUAUUAUAUAGAAUAUUUCCUAAUUUUAUAAAUGAUUAUAAUUAGAUCUUUAUAAAAUAAGGAAAGUUGGUAAGAAUAUCUUUAUAAAUAUUUUAGGUCAUGAGAGAAAGAAAUGGGAUAAAAAUGUGAUGAAGAGGUGAAAUAAGAGAGUUGAUUAGGAUAUAGAUGUGAAGAAGAAAGGGAUUCAAUAUAUAUAUAUCUUUCAAUUACCACAUUAAAACCCUGUGAACCUUUUAUAUGGUUUACUUUAUUUUUAUAUUCCUCCUUUAAUAUAUUUACAUUAAUGCUUCCAUUGGCACAACAAUAACGAAUUACAAAUACAAGCAACAAGUCCCAUGUUUUAUUACCAAAAGCAGGUAAAAUCCACCUAAUAUAUUACAAUAUAUUCAUCCAAUAUUUUAGACCAAUUCUUCACCAUAAAUAUCAUAAUGUGGCUUUUGUUCUUUCUUAAAUUUAAAUUGAAUUGUCUUAUAUCAAUUUGUUUGUGAUUUUUUCAUUAACUUCACUUUCAUUUGGUUAUCUUUGGUUUUUGAAAAGUAUUAAGGAAUUAAUUAACAAAAUAAUGUUAAGAAAAAUAAUUUUCUCUCUUUUGAUUUUGAUUUUGUAGUAGAAAAAUAUAAUUAAAAUUAUUUAAAAAGUAUGUAAUUUUAAAUUAUUUAAUAUUUAGAUAAAAAAAAUAAGUCUAAUGAGUUUAAAAUAACAUAUAAAAAUAAUUUAUUUAUUUUAAAUUUAUUUUUUAUUUUCCAUUAUGUUCUCUUUCUCUUUUACUUUUUCAUAUUUUUUCUUACGAAGAAUCAAACACAACCUCAUAUUAUAUGUCAAGUGUUUGUCUAUAUUUGAGCAAUGUUAGAUACGGCCAUGGAUUCAUCAAACUAAACUGAUUUUAAUAGAUACUUCACAAAUUGAUUUAUACACUAAAUCAUUGGAUAGCAAUGAUGCAUUGGAAUUAAACGUAGGAUGAAGCUCGAAGAACACUGUUUGUGUAACAACAUAUUUAUGAAAUUAUGCAAAGGAUGAGCUUCGGGGUAGUAGUACAAGGUCAUUAAUGGAGAGCCGUGUUAAACCUUGAUUGUGAUUGGAUUCCGUUAUCAGCAACAGCAACCUUGUUUGUAACCUUGAAAGUCAUUCUGUCCACAUCGAAACUCCAAUUUGACGUUUGUAAUUACCAUUCCUGGAGUGUUCCUUGAUUGAAAUUUAAAUAAUAAUUGCGGCCCACAAGGAAUAUUUUCGAUUCUGUGGGAAUUUGACAAGGUUUGUUAGAGAAGACUGGUGACAUGUUGACUUCAAUGGUUCAAAUAGGAGACGUAUGUGGAUUUGGGGGGUUUAAUUGAAACUGAGUCCCUAUGGCUUUUUAAUAUUUGCAUUGAGCAGUCUCCAUGUGACUUCCUAAUUCCCACCAACCCUCCUGUCCAUGCUGUGAAACUAAAUUGUAAUUUAUCAGCCUUUGUCAAUGGUUUCUAAAUUAAAGAUAUAGACCAUGCAUGUACUUUAAUAAAAGCAAAUCUAAAGUGUAGAUAGCAGCAAUGGUGACACCCAAUAUUCUCCAUAAAAUAGAAUUAGAAUAAGCAGUGUUACAUUGUUCAUGAUCACCUACAAGCAUACAAGAACUUCCAUGAAUAACUCAUAGCAAUUGCCAACAGGGCGUCGUAGAGACUCAUACAUAGAACACUAUCCACCCAGAGGAAAGGACAAGACCAGUGCGCUGCAGCUCUUAUUUUUCACAUGUAUACCACCACUCGUAAUAACCAAAUUCACUCAGUUGGGAUAGGUGGGAGAUGGUGGUUUGUGGGGUGGCUUGUGGGGAGGAGUUGGAGGAGGCUUUAUUUUCUGAGGCGGCUUGUAUGAGUGUGCAGGAGGAUGCCCGGGAGUGUGACCAUAAUGUGGUGGCUUCUCUCCCGUAGGUGGUUUGCCAAAUGGGCUUGGUGGCUUCUCUCCCUUAGGAGGUUUACCAAUUGGGGUUGGUGGCUUGUGUUCUGGGAGUGGUUUCUCUCCCUUGGUAGGUUUGCCAAUUGGGGUUGGCGGCUUAUGUUCUGGGAGUGGCUUCUCUCCCUUGGGAGGUUUGCUAAUUGGGGUUGGCGGCUUAUGUUCUGGGGGCGGCUUCUCUCCCUUGGGAGGUUUGCCAAUUGGAGUUGGCGGCUUAUGUUCUGGGAGUGGCUUUUCUCCCUUGGGAGGCUUGCCAAUUGGGGUUGGCGGCUUAUGUUCUGGGGGUGGCUUCUCUCCUUUAGGAGGUUUGCCAAUUGGAGUCGGCGGCUUAUGUUCUGGAAGUGGCUUUUUUCCCUUGGGAGGUUUGCCAAUUGGGGUUGGCGGCUUAUGUUCUGGGGGUGGCUUCUCUCCCUUGGGAGGUUUGCCAAUUGGAGUCGGCGGCUUAUGUUCUGGGAGUGGCUUCUCUCCCUUGGGAGGUUUUGUUGGUGGCUUGUGUUCUGGAGAUGGCUUCUCCCCUGGAGGCUUGUGCUCCGGAGGUGGCUUCUGAAAUGGCGGGGGCUUGGGGUAAUGAGCAAGAGAUGGAGUACUGGUGAGAACCACCAUUCCAAGCAACAAUACUAGCAAGCAUGUGGGAGACAUCUUUGAGUAGUUGUAGCUAAGAUGGCGCAACACUGUAGGCAUUGGGUGGCCUUUUAUAAAGGGCUGGACCCAACAGCCAUAUGACACGUGUCAUGAUGACAAAUGA